This 248469-nucleotide long non-coding RNA is filed under the name Triticum aestivum (bread wheat). RNAcentral describes it as "long non-coding RNA (TAES_LNC003945)". The stretch from base 86811 to 86897 matches the Rfam family "MIR1120/MIR1122 microRNA precursor family". Lineage: Eukaryota; Viridiplantae; Streptophyta; Magnoliopsida; Poales; Poaceae. The record is from RNAcentral.
CCUGCUGUUUAGUUUAUUGUUUCCUUUGAUGGAGAUGCAAUUUUCUUGCUCACACAAUAAUACAAUGAAUGAUAGCAUCUCUAUCUACUUUGAACCAAAUUAUAUUAUAUUCCCCCCUCUGUUAAUUAUUUUUCUGUUUUGGGUAUUCAUUUUGUUUAGUUGCCUAUCAGUAUAAAUACAUGGCUGGAUUGCUUUCACUUCAUAUUAAUAACUAUUCUGUCGCACAUUGCAAAUAUAUAUAUGCUGUCCUAACUAAUUAAGUAGAAGCUUGGAUUGGUGCUGUAUGGUCUCUAACUGACAUUAAAUUCUCCUCUGUUUGUGCUGUACUGUUCUGCUGCUGCAGCCUUCUUCGCCGCCAAAAGGAAAUGAUGCUCUACAAAAUCCACUCCCAUGCCCAAAUCCAAGACCUGCAGGCCCGCUCCGAUGAGCUGGGCCACUCCAAUGAGCACAUGGAUGUGAAGCUUUUCUCUCUGGAGUCGGUGCGCAUAGCGCUUGAGUCGUAUGCACUCCUCCGCCCGCUGAUCAUGGAGUCCAGGAUGUGGUUUUGCCCGGAGCUGGAAAUCCUCUCGGAGGUGGCAGGCUUGUCGCUGUAAAUCCAAAAGCUCGAGCAUGAUGUGUUACCCCAGCUCACGGUUUAGGAGGCUAAGCUGGAACCGGGCGCCCUGGAAGCCCUCCUACUCAUGAACAACUCAGCUGUUGCGCUCUUACAUAUGAGGAAGUGCUUUAAGGAAGCCUUGGGCUUUUUUCUUCGCGAGGAUUAUGUGGUCUCAGCCAAAGUCAAAAAGCUGAGCAAAAUGCUAAAGGAUAUUGCUGUCCCGUUGCUUCAGGAGCAUGAAUGCAACAUUGUCUGGCUUCAGGAGCGUGUCCCGUUGCGGGUCCAGCUGGUCACCGAUGUGUUGGAGACCCGGUUAAUUUCUGUGAUUCUGAUGAGUCUUCUGAUGAUGAGUCUUCUGAUGAGUAUUCUGAUGAGUAGACUUAUCAGCCAGCUCGAGGCUGUUGUGAUGAGUAUUUCUUAGGGGCAUGGCAAACAGUUUAGAAUCAAAUGUUGCGAUGUAUUUCUUGGAACCUCCUUUAUGUUUGGAUGUGUUAUUAAUGGAUUUUAAAUGAUAUGUAUUUUGGGUAGUGUUUUCUCAUUCUGUCCUAGUAGGGUACAACUUGCAAUUACUUUCAUUUUUUUUAGAAACAUCCAUUCUGUGUUUUACAUGGAGGUAUUCGCUCUUUUUAGGGAAUAUAUGCCAAAAGAAUAUAGUAUGUUAGAAAAGAAAUCCCAAAUUUAAGUCUUUUAAGAGGUUUAACUAAAAGACUACAUACGGAUGAAUAUAGACAUACUUUAGAAUGUGGGUUUACUCAUUUUGCUCCGUAUGUAGUUUGGAUGAAUAUAGACAUACUUUACAACGUGGGUUUACUCAUUUUGCUCCGUAUGUAGUUUGGAUGAAUAUAGACAUACUUUAGAACGUGGAUUCACUCAUUUUGCUCCGUAUGUAGUUUCCUAGUGAAAUCUCUUAAAAGCUUAGUCCCUGUUUGUUUAAAAAGUCCUAGGACUUUUUUUAGUCUCAAGUAAAAAGUCUCUAGUCCCUAUCUGUUUGUUUCAAGGAACUAAACAUGGACUAGAGGAUAAUAAAUGACAUGCUAAAAGAUCAUGUUGCCCCUAAACAUGAACUAGAGGAUAAUGAACUAGUAGUUGCGGGGGCAGAUCAGGGAAAAGUCUCGAAAAGACUCUCAUAUAGGAUCUUCUUCUUUUUAGUCUCAAAUGCCUAGUUUAGUCCCUAAAAGUCCCUCUCAUUUGGUUAAAAAGUCUCUAAGAGGGACUUUUUCUAGUCCCUACACCAAAAAGUCCCUGGAAACAAACACCCUCUUAUAUUUAGGAACCGAGGGAGUAGUGCUUAUCUGUGAGUGUCCAUGAUUAAAGCUUUGCAAAUACCAUAAACAAAACUUCACCUUGUACUUGAAGCUGAAUUGAAUUGAAAUGUGAUUAGCCUUCCACUAGCCAGCCAAGGAGGAAGGAGCCCACCGUUCCAUCCUCCCUAUCUCUAUUUCCUCUUGUUGCGCCCACCUUCCCCUUCUCCUGACACGUAAAUCUAGUUGAGGACUGCAGCAGAUCUAGUUGCGUUGGUCACCGCGCAACAACCCUAGCCACGACGAGCUCCACCACCGUGCGGUCCGAGAGCCACGUCGCAGUCCUCAACUAAACUAGGCUGCUCCACCUUGCCGUCACCAGCCCCUUCUCCGCCCACCUCCCCCUUCUCCUAACACGUAGAUCUAGUUGCAUCGGUCGCCGUGCAACAACCCUAGCCACGACGAGCUCCACCACCNNNNNNNNNNNNNNNNNNNNNNNNNNNNNNNNNNNNNNNNNNNNNNNNNNNNNNNNNNNNNNNNNNNNNNNNNNNNNNNNNNNNNNNNNNNNNNNNNNNNNNNNNNNNNNNNNNNNNNNNNNNNNNNNNNNNNNNNNNNNNNNNNNNNNNNNNNNNNNNNNNNNNNNNNNNNNNNNNNNNNNNNNNNNNNNNNNNNNNNNNNNNNNNNNNNNNNNNNNNNNNNNNNNNNNNNNNNNNNNNNNNNNNNNNNNNNNNNNNNNNNNNNNNNNNNAACUAGGCUGCUCCACCUUGCCGUCACCAGCCCCUUCUCCGCGCACCUCCCCCUUCUCCUUGACACGCGGAUCUAGUUGUGUCGGUCGCCGCGCAACAAGCCUAGCCAUGACGAGCUCCACCACCGUGCGGUCCGGGAGCCGCGCUGCAGUCCUCAACUAAACUAGGCUGCUCCACCAUGCCGUCACCAGCCCUUUCUCCGCCCACCUCCCCCUUCUCCUGACACGCACUAAACCCCCUCGAUCUUAAAAGCCUCGUAUCUUUAUUCUGUUAGGUUUUUGGGGAUUCUAAAAAUCUCCAACGCGGUUCCCCCAGUAGAAUUCGAACGUAACUUUUCGAGUAGAUGAUUUUUCAUAUAAAAAAAUUUUUAAUCCGAGUUCGUAUGCAAAAGUUAUGCCCAUUUUACUAAAUUCCAGAGAGAUUUUGUAAAUAAAGUCGAAAUUCAUAUUUGUAAAUUUUCCCAACAACUAGACCACAUAUCACAUGGGAAACUUAUUUUCUUUUAUUUUUUCGACAUUUCCAUCAUUUUCUUUUAUUUUAUUUUUUUUAACUGAAAAGGCGGUCCACAAGGGGGUGCAUUUAGUAAUGACGCACCUUCACAAAGUGCGCCAUUACUAUGUGUAUGACUUGGUCAAACCUUGGUCAAAGUUAGUAAUGGCGCACUUUGUAUAGGUGCGCCAUUACUAAGUUUGACAUAGUAAUGGCGCACAUAUGCAAAGUGCGCCAUUACUAAGUUUGACCAAGGUUUGACCCAGUCAUACACAUAGUUAUGGUGCACUUUGUAAAGGUGCGCUAUUACUAUGUCAACUUAGUAAUGGCGCACGUAUAAAAAGUGGGCCAUUACUAUGUGUAUAACUGGGUGGAACCUUGGUCAAACUUGGUAAUGGAGCACUUUUCACCUAGUGCGUCAUUACUGUUUUGGUUACUAAUGGCGUACAUACACAUGACGCGCCAGAUGUAUAGUGUGUCAUUAGUGUCCAUAUUAGCUAUAGCUGUUUUUCUAGUAGUGUGCUAUAUGCCUAGACUCAUUGCAGCCUCGUCGAUCAAACUAAGCUGCCAUCCAGAGGCUACGGAUUCAAGUACACAGGUAGGAAGAACAUAUUGCAGAGAAUCAAAUUAAGCAAGUGGCAAGUAAUGAUGAAUGAAAUUCAGCAAUCUUACCCUAAACAUAGCUACGGCCGCCGUUCAGACGAGGAGAGCGGCGAGGGAAGCGUGGAGAACGGCGGGGAAGCGAUGUCGCAACCAUUGUCCUCCUCCUCUUGUGCUUCGGAGUCAUCUUCGACUCGGUUGGAGGCUCCACAAUCUGCAACGGCACCUCGUGCACCGUGGGUUCCUGAUCUAGUGGAUUCUCUACCUUGGAUCUGAACAUCCCACCACCUUCGCCAGGUCCAUGGGCUGGACGAAUCGGCCUGCUUCAUCGCCCAGAGGAGGAUCUCGACGAAGUGCAUCGGUUGUGCGGGUGGGGGGAGGAAGCUUUGCCUUCUCCCUACUCGUCAUUUGCUUCAAAGUGGCCAUUGCCGUCCAGUGCAUCUGACUUGUGUUGUGAAACCAAGAACGGAUCUCCGUCAACCUUCUCAUCUUGACCUGGUCGCCGCAGGCGAUCUCUAUGAAGUCAGCGUUCUCGCUGCCGGCGAUCUGCUCGAUCUGCUGCUCCAUCGAGGUUUUUGCGUGGAUGGAAGAGGGGGAUGGAUGUGGAAACUGGGAAGAGCAAAGUUGCGGCCGCGAGAAGGAGGAGAAGGGUAGGAGAUGGUCACGGUUGUAAUGGUGAUGGAAGAGGGGAAGUUUCACGGCGGUGGCCAUUUGCAUUGGACGAGAGGGGCGGCGGUUUUGAAUUGGACGAGAGGGCCACCUUAUCAUAUUUUUCCUAGGACUAAAAUGCCCCUAGAUUAAAAGGUGUCCCCACCUUGUCAUUAGUACUUUCGAAUACUUUCAUCUGCGUACUUUCGAGUACCACGUAUGUAUAUAUGCACUGUUAGAUCGAGGCAAACGAACGGCUCCAAAAAACGCCAACUACUGUAAAAGUUGUACUGAAGUAAUUAUCAUAUCUCAUGUUCAUGUACCCUUUUGUCCCAAAAUAAGUGUCAUGGUUUUAGUUUUAAAUUUAAACUAAAAGCACGCCACUUAUCAAGGAGUACUUAGUACAUAGUUAGUACAGAAUAUUUACCUGCAAAAAAAAAGUUAGUACAGAAUAUAAGCGUCAGCAAAGCUUUCUCUUCUUGUGCUUGGAGGUUUUAGUACAUGCGCUCACCAGCCUCUUCUUAUAGGCAGACAGGUGCGCUACCUUGUCAGUGAGAGUAGAAGAGUGGGCCGCGAGCUUGGACAUCAACUCCUUCAACAGAGCAGGGCAGCUUCUGGAGACAUGAUCGAUCGAAGUCGUGUUCGAUCGCCAUGGCCUCGUCUAGCUUUUUUUUUUUGAGGGGGAGGCCUCGUCUAGUUUGGUNNNNNNNNNNNNNNNNNNNNNNNNNNNNNNNNNNNNNNNNNNNNNNNNNNNNNNNNNNNNNNNNNNNNNNNNNNNNNNNNNNNNNNNNNNNNNNNNNNNNNNNNNNNNNNNNNNNNNNNNNNNNNNNNNNNNNNNNNNNNNNNNNNNNNNNNNNNNNNNNNNNNNNNNNNNNNNNNNNNNNNNNNNNNNNNNNNNNNNNNNNNNNNNNNNNNNNNNNNNNNNNNNNNNNNNNNNNNNNNNNNNNNNNNNNNNNNNNNNNNNNNNNNNNNNNNNNNNNNNNNNNNNNNNNNNNNNNNNNNNNNNNNNNNNNNNNNNNNNNNNNNNNNNNNNNNNNNNNNNNNNNNNNNNNNNNNNNNNNNNNNNNNNNNNNNNNNNNNNNNNNNNNNNNNNNNNNNNNNNNNNNNNNNNNNNNNNNNNNNNNNNNNNNNNNNNNNNNNNNNNNNNNNNNNNNNNNNNNNNNNNNNNNNNNNNNNNNNNNNNNNNNNNNNNNNNNNNNNNNNNNNNNNNNNNNNNNNNNNNNNNNNNNNNNNNNNNNNNNNNNNNNNNNNNNNNNNNNNNNNNNNNNNNNNNNNNNNNNNNNNNNNNNNNNNNNNNNNNNNNNNNNNNNNNNNNNNNNNNNNNCGCGUGGGGCGCGGCGGCUCGCCGGCGCUGGCAGGCCUUGGGGCGGGCCACCGUGGGGGGGGGCGGGGCAGGCUGGUCGGGACGCGGCUGUUUCGGCCGGCGUCUGCAGGCACGUGGCGGCGGCGGUGUGCCACGAGUGAGGACGGCGACGCUGCGGCGUCGCACGGGACGGGCGGCGCGCAGCUUCUCUUCUGCGGCCGGUGGAGGCGUGGCUGCACUUCCUCGAGGGAGGCUGUGUGGUGAUGCAUGGACGAGCCUGCCAGCCCUGUGGUGCGGGGGUGGGCUCGGGCGGCGGCUUCGGCCGCGAGGGGCGUGGCAGGACGUCGCGAGGACGCCCUGGUGAUGCACGGGUCGAGGGCCCGGGUUGUCGGCGAAGAGCGCCCCAGCUCUGGGUGAUGCUGAUUCGUCGUUGGGCAGCUCCGAUGGUGGUGGUGGUUGGUGGGCUCGCUGGUGCCGGUGCAGGAUGAUGUGUGGCUGAGGUGGUGUGGGAGCUUCGGUGAAGACCCUGUCCCGGUCUUGUGCCGUGACCAAUGAUGGCGGCGGUUGUGGCCGUCGUUGACCUUCCUGGAGGCAUCGCUGUUUUGUUGCCGCUCCCCUCCUGCACGGAUCCGGCCAUCUCGGCCUCUUCGGGGGAAACCCUUGAUCUGUGAUCGGACGAUGGCGGCGCCUUGGCGUCGUUUUCCCUCUUGGGGGCUUCGUCUUGGGAGCCCGGCAUCGGUGGGCGGGACCCGUGGAUGGCGGCGGUUGUGGCGACCAGGCUUCUGUAGCAACGAUGAUGGUGGGAGCGAUGUCGACGACGCGGCAAUGGUUGCGGUAGUCGGCUCUUCUCCGGCGUGUCCGCAGUUUUGCCUCGGGUUGUUUGUUGCUGCGGAGUUGAAGCUGUAGUGGCGGGGCCCUGUGGUAUACGAUGACCGGCUGCAGGUGGCCCGUUCGGCGAUCUCCCGUGGCGCCAGCCGUGCAUGGUUUUGUUCUUCAGAGUUCUCCGUUAGAGUCGGAGCUGCGCUGUCUGGCCGCAGGUGGCUGAGAUUUGGUGCAGAUCUUCAUGUAGCUUCACACGUCCGCUUUGGUGUGGGUUGAGUCGACGAUCGCCUGCGGUGAAGUCGAAGUCGUUUGCUCAGAGUGUAGGGAUGGCGAUGACGCCUCUAGGGGAGGAGUGAUGACGAUGAUGCCUGCGUGCUGUCUCGACGAGACCCUCUUUGGAGUGGUGUGUGUGGGUAUCUUAUGUGUGCAGCUCAGCUGUUGUGAGGGUUUUCGAUCGGUUCUCCAUAAUUAACCGUGCAAUCUGGUUUUCGCUCGGUUUUCCUUAAUUAACCGAGCAACUCUCUUCUGCUUAUUUAAUCGAUGAGGCAAAACUUUUGCCUCCGUUUUAAAAAAAAAGCACGCGUCCUUGAGCCCUUGGCCAGUGAUGCUGCUCAGCGUGGUUGCCACGGUGCUCACGUCCAUGUGCGGCCCAGUAGCCCAAUAAGCCAGGGUAGGCCAACAUAAAAAUAUAUUUUUUCGUAAUAUUUUUUACCAUUUUUCCUAUGCUAUAAAGCUUUUCAAAAAAUCCCAGGGUGGGCCUCUACCUCCGCCACUGCAUGUGCCUCCACAAUCUAUCCUCGCAAACCAGCUUGAGACUCUCCAUGUCCGCGACCUCCAUGAGAUGCUGAGCCAUGGCGACCCCAUCCCCUUCUUCCUCUGGCUGACAGCGAGUGGGUGUACACGAAAUGCAGCAGAUGCCUGAAUACCUCUCCUCGCAUGCCGUCGAUUUGCACGCCGCUCUCUUUCAUUGCGCCAUAAAGCUCCGCCCUGAGGACCGUGGACCGUGCCGCGAGCACGCACCGAAGGUCUCCCAGCCGAUCACGUUCGCCGCUCCGGAGGAGGCCACGGAAAUGGUGAGGCCAAUCAAACGGCCACGCCGACGACGGACCAUUCGAUCGUAUUCAUAUGCGAGGACCUCGAUGACCGUGAAGCAGUCGUCCUUGAGGAGGUGUGGCGCUCCACCUCCAGGUCGGCCCUCUCGACCAAGUCGUCGCAGCUCCAGUAGGCGCCGGCGCCCACCAAGUCGCGCACCUCGCCGCUGGUCCUAGCGUAGCGCGGCACCGGCCGGGUUGGCGUGGUGGUCGAGCACGUCGAACGCGACCACGGCCUUUGUUAGAGUUGUGUCGAAUAUAGUGUACAAGGUAGGUUACAAUUGGACUUGUAGUUGUAUUGUGUUUAGAUAGGAUAUGAAGUUGUGUCGUAAUAGGACACUUGUAUCCUAGGCCUCUAAUAUAUAGCGGGGCUAGACACACGAUGUAACCUAUGCCAACAUAAUAGCACCGGAACGCAAGGGAAGCCGGCGGCAUGUGUCGGUGUCCAGGGCGACCGGGUGCGGUAUUGUAGCGGUGUCAUGGGGAGGAGCGCCCAUAGUCAGGCCCCGGGGAUGUAGCCAUAUCGGUGAACCUCGUUAACAAAUCUCGGUGUCGCGCUCGUGUGAUUGCUUGGUCCUCGGAUGAUCGACGGUAUGCCUCGAAUUUAUUCUAACAAGUGGUAUCAUGAGCAAAGUUACGAGGAGGCUGUGGAUUGUUGAUCUGGAGGAAGGUUUGAUGUGUUGAUCGGUAUCAUGAAGUCGCCGUAGAGCAAGUGGUGUGCGCGUUGUGAAUGAUUGGAAAAUAUGUCAGACGAAGGCAAUCUCGACGAGUUGUAGAGAUCGGAUUGUGAGUUGUCAGCAGACGCAGGAGGCAACGCUAGACAGCGUGUACGGCUCGAUCGCAAGGUGAUGCGUUGCGUUCCAGAGGCGCGCGACGCUCGACAGGCCAAGCGGCCGAAGUCGUGGCGCGCGCGGUGUGGGCUGGCCCAACGGGGCUAGCUGGUGCACGUGGUGUGCCGGCGGACGUGCGGAAGGCUGCCUAGCGCUAAGCGGCAGGGCUGCAAUGCAGGUUCGAUCGACUCACCAGAUUUGUUAUGAAGAAAAGGAGGACACGGACGGAGGCAGCAUCAGAUCAAAUCGAGCAGAAAAAUAAUUCAUUGAUACACAUGCAUCGGGAAGGCUAAGGCGAGGCAAAAGCAAUUAGCUUAGCAUUGAAAGUUGUGCCUGGGUGCUAAUACAUGUGAGUACUGGUAGGAAUUUGUUGCUCGUGCACCUCGUGUACUUGAGCACGUGUUGGAAGCUCGUGUAUUUUUCGCAAGGUCAGCCGUACAAAGAAUCAUGGCACCAAUAGGUACCAGGUUUGAGGUGGAGAAGUUCGUUAAAACCGAAAACUUUGGGUUAUGGCAGACAAGAGUGAAAAAUUGUUGGCACGAUAGGGAUGCUUGAAGGAGUUGCGGGAAGUCAGUUUAGCUAGGAUGGAAUUGUGAUGUGAUGGAUGGAAAUUCGCAGAAGACGAUUUGAGAGCCUGAAGUGUGUCAUGCAGCCGAACAAGUACGGCUGGGUCGGACUAGAUAGUCUGACGGAUCGACGUGAGUCGGUUGGAACAGAAGACGGUGGUGGGAUCAGCGACAGCGACAUAGGAGCGUGAUGCUGAUGGUGACCGACUUCUGGGGUGUGGAAACACGUGGCGCGGGCCCAAGGGCUUGUGUGGCUUCGACAAGACUAUGGCGCGAGGUUGAUUCAAGGUGGUGUACACACGGAGCUUGAAGUCGACGGGGCGCGAGGGUGGACUGAUCAUCUGCUAUGGAGCCAUGUUGAAGGUGGAGCUGGAUUGAGGGGCUACGGUGUAAGGAUCCAUGGAAUCGAAGCCUAUUCAGCAAGGAGGAAAAGCGAGUGACAUGCAGUUCGAACUGGAGCCCAGUGGUCUGAUGGAAGCGUGAAACUCGUCAUCGGUCGGUGAUGAUCGGUGGUACUCUGCAGUGGGGGUCGAAUGGUGUGGGUUCGCGACCCUUGAGACUCGAACGGGACAGCGGAGGUCGACGCGGUGAUAGCGGCGAGGUGUGCGGUACGCACGGGACAUGGAGACGGGCCAGGGCUCUGGUGGUCAUACAUGUGGUGAGACAACUGCGAAUUUGACUCGGGAUGACUACAAGCAACGGUGAAAUUCUUUCAAGUUUCAGACAGGCGGUCAAGAAAGGAGCGGUGAUGUUGAGUUCAGGUAACUCUUAUGUGUGACAUCCAACAUGUGAGUUGUUCACUUUCAUGCAGGUCAGUGAUCGGUGUGUGAUGGCGUUGACGGAUACUCUGGAAGUUGGGAGCACACACUAGAGUAACAAGGAACUUAAUUUUGCUCGAGUGUUGACUGUAGUCAAGAAAAGAAGGGACUACAAGUUGCAGGUGGAGUCACAUGGAGUCUUUGGAGUAGCAGCGAUACUCACGGAAUAAGCUCAAGUCCAAUCUACAUGGAAGUUUGAUGCAUGGACAAAUGCAGGAUGGUGGAGUAUAUUCGCCAAGGUGGAGUUUGUUGGAGUUGUGUCGAAUAUAGUGUACAAGGUAGGUUACAAUUGGACUUGUAGUUGUAUUGUGUUUAGAUAGGAUAUGGAGUUGUGUCCUAAUAGGACACUUGUAUCCUAGGCCUCUAAUAUAUAGCAGGGCUAGACACACGAUGUAACCUAUGCCAACAUAAUAGCACCGGAAUGCAGGGGAAGCCGGCGGCAUGUGCCGAUGUCCAGGGUGACCGGGUGUGGUAUUGUAGCGGUGUCAUGGGGAGGAGCGCCCAUAGUCAGGCCCCGGGGAUGUAGCCAUAUCGGUGAACCUCGUUAAUAAAUCUCGGUGUCGCGCUCGUGUGAUUGCUUGGUCCUCGGAUGAUCGACGGUAUGCCUCGGAUUUAUUCUAACAAGAUAGGCGGCGUCGAGGACGGCCUUGACAGACACGAAACCAGUGGUUUCCGGGGUGGUGCCGCUGGGGUAGAAGCCGCGAGGUGCCGUCUCCGACGCGGAAGGAAGGAGAUGAGACGCCACAGCUGUUGGGGUUGCUCUUCCUCAUCCACGUACGAGUAGCCUUGGAUCUUCAUCAUGCAUGUGGAUGUGGAUGUGGUGCGUCGUCGGCGUCGUAGCACAGAGAAUGGAGGCCGAGUCGCCGUUCGCAGCAGCCAUGACGGCGUACCUGGGUCCGGUCCGGCGGCCGUCCAGCUCUGACGACCUAGGACUAGGAGCGAGUGAGACAGCUUGAUGAGGUCGGACUUGUCUCCGAUCGAAGAGUCUGUAAGAUGAAAAGCGUUCCCUACCCCUUGAGGGGGAGUCGCAGGCUGUAUAUAUUGAUGUGGCCGAAGCCAGCCUUGGCGUACAAGGAAGAUUUACAAGAGUUUGAGUAGAACAAGUAAAGGAAGGAGUUGGAGACUACUACGGAAACUAUAUUCGCUAACACCCUCCCUUAAUCUUAACUACCCUAGAUUAAGAUUACUCUUGAACUCCUCAAACGGUCUUGCUGGUAAAGCCUUUGUAAAGCCGUCCGCCAUUUGGUCCUUAGAGGGAAUAAACCGUAUCUCAAAAUUCGUUGCUGCAACCCUCUCUCGCACAAAGUGAAAAUCAAUUUCUAUGUGCUUUGUUCUUGCAUGAAACACAGGGUUUGCAGACAAGUAUGUUGCUCCCAAGUUAUCACACCAUAAACAUGAGAUACGAUUUUUCUUGAUCCCCAAUUCCUCAAGAAGUGAUUCAACCCAAAUGAUUUCAGCAGUUGCAUUCGCCAAGGACUUGUAUUAAGCUUCUGUGCUUGAUCGUGACACAGUUGCUUGCUUUCUAGCACUCCAAGAAAUAAGAUUGGACCCAAAGAACACUGCAAAGCCUCCAGUUGAUCUUCUAUCAUCACUGCAUCUUGUCCAAUUAGCAUCAGAGAAUGCACUCACAAGAGAGGAGCCAGAACAUUUGAAGUGAAGUCCUGUUCCCAUAGUAUGCUUCACAUAUCUUACAAUUCUCCUUACAGCUGACCAAUGUGCGGAAGUGGGAGCAUGAAGAUAUUGACAAACUUUAUUAACAGCAAAUAAGAUAUCUGGACGUAUGAGAGUUAUAUAUUGUAAUGCUCCCACAGUACUUCUGUACCUUGUGCUCUCUUCUUCUUGAAGUGGCUCACCUUCAUAUGCUGAGAGUUUUUCUGAGGAAGAUAAAGGUGUAGGUACUGGCUUGCAAUUCUUUAUUCCCAUGCGAGACAAAAACUCAAUGAUGUAUUUCUCCUGAUUUAACACAAUACCAUCUUGAUGAAGGAAAUAUGCCCUAGAGGCAAUAAUAAAGUUAUUAUUUAUUUCCUCAUAUCAUGAUAAAUGUUUAUUAUUCAUACUAGAAUUGUAUUAACCGGAAACAUGAUACAUGUGUGAAUACAUAGACAAACAUAUAGUCACUAGUAUGCCUCUACUUGACUAGCUCAUUAAUCAAAGAUGGUUAUGUUUCCUGACCAUAGACAUGUGUUGUCAUUUGAUUAAUGGGAUCACAUCAUUAGAAGAAUGAUGUGAUUGACAUGACCCGUUUUGUUAGCCUAGCACUUGAUCAUUUAGUGUACUGCUAUUGCUUUCUUCAUGACUUAUACAAAGUUACUACAACUAUGAGAUUGUGCAACUCCCGAUUACCGGAAGAACACUUUGUGUGCUACCAAACGUCACAACGUACUGGGUGAUUAUAAAGGUGCUCUACAGGUGUUUCCGAAGGUACAUGUUGGGUUGGCAUAAUUUGAGAUUAGGAUUUGUCACUCCGAUUGUCGGAGAGGUAUCUCUCGGCCCUCUCGGUAAUACUGAUCACCUAAGCCUUGGAAGCAUGUAACUAAUAAGUUAGUUAUGAGAUGACGUAUUACGGAACGAGUAAAGAGACUUGCCGGUAACGAGAUUGAACUAGGUAUUGGAUACCGACGAUCAAAUCUCGGGCAAGUAACAUACCGAUGACAAAGGGAACAAAGUAUGUCGUUACGCGGUUUGACCGAUAAAGAUCUUCAUAGAAUAUGUAGGAACCAAUAUGGGCAUCCAGGUCCCGCUAUUGGUUAUUGACCGAGAAUAGUUUUCGGUCAUGUCUACAUAGUUCUCGAACCCGUACGGUCCGCACGCUUAAUGUUUCGAUGAUAGUUUUAUUAUGAGUUUAUAAGUUUUGAUGUACCGAAGUUUGUUCGGAGUCCCGGAUGUGAUCACGGACAUGACGAGGAGUCUCGGAAUGGUCGAGACAUAAAGGUUGAUAUAUUGGACGACUAUAUUCGUACACCAGAAAGGUUCCGGGAGUUUUCGGAGAAAACCGGAGUACCGGAGGGUUACCGGAACCCCCCCGGGAAGUAAUGGGCCUUAAUGGGCCCUAGUGGAGAAAGAGAGGGGCCGGCCAGGGCAAGUGGCGCGCCCCCUCCCCUUGAGUCCGAAUAGGACAAGGAAGGGGAGGCGGCGCCCCCCUUGCCUUCCCCCUCUCCUACUCCUUCCUUCCCCCUCCCUCUUGGAUCAGGAAAAGGAGGGGGGAAACCUACUUGGAGUAGGUUUCCCCCUCCUAGGGCGCGCCUCCCCUUAGGCCGGCCCCCUCCUCCCUCCCUCCUUUAUAUACGGGGGCGGGGGGCACCCCAUAGACACAAGUUGAUCUACGGAUCGUUCCUUAGCCGUGUGCGGUGUCCCCCUCCACCAUAUUCCACCUCGGUCAUAUCAUCGCGGAGUUUAGGCGAAGCCCUGCACCGGUAGAACAUCAUCAUCGUCACCACGCCGUUGUGCUGACGAAACUCAUCUCCGGAGCUCGGCUGGAUCGGAGGCCGGAGAUCGUCAUCGAGCUGAACGUGUGCAGAACUCGGAGGUGUCGUACGUUCGGUACUUAGAUCGGUCGGAUCGUGAAGACGUACGACUACAUCAACCGCGUUGUCAUAACGCUUCCGCUUACGGUCUACGAGGGUACGUGGACGAACACUCUCCCCUCUCGUUGCUAUGCCAUCACCAUGAUCUUGCGUGUGCGUAGGAAAUUUUUUGAAAUUACUACGUUCUCCAACAGUGGCAUCCGAGCCUAGGUUUUAUGCGUUGAUUUUAUAUGCACGAGUAGAACACAAGUGAGUUGUGGACGAUAUAAGUCAUACUGCCUACCAGCAUGUCAUACUUUGGUUCAGCGGUAUUGUGAGAUGAAGCGGCCUGGACCGACAUUACGCGUACGCUUACGCAAGACUGGUUUCACCGUUACGAGCACGUGUGCUUAAAGGUGGCUGGCGGGUGUCUGUCUCUCUCACUUUAGUUGAACCGAGUGUGGCUACGCCCGGUCCUUGUGAAGGUUAAAACGGAGUCUAUUUGAAAAACUAUCAUUGUGGUUUUGAUGCGUAGGUAAGAACAGUUCUUGCUAAGCCCGUAGCAGCCACGUAAAAUUUGCAACACCAAAGUAGAGGACGUCUAACUUGUUUUUGUAGGGCAUGUUGUGAUGUGAUAUGGUCAAGACGUGAUGCUAUAUUUUAUUGUAUGAGAUGAUCAUGUUUUGUAACCGAAGUUAUCGGCAACUGGCAGGAGCCAUAUGGUUGUCGCUUUAUUGUAUGAAAUGCAAACGCCCUGUAAUUGCUUUACUUUAUCACUAAGCGGUAGCGAUAGUCGUAGAAGCAAUAGAUGGCGUAACGACAACGAUGCUACGAUGGAGAUCAAGGUGUCGCGCCGGUGACGAUGGUGAUCAUGACGGUGCUUCAAAGAUGGAGAUCACAAGCACAAGAUGAUGAUGGCCAUAUCAUAUCACUUAUAUUGAUUGCAUGUGAUGUUUAUCCUUUAUACAUCUCAUCUUGCUUUGAUUGACGGUAGCAUUUUAAGAUGAUCUCUCACUAAAAUUAUCAAGAAGUGUUCUCCCUGAGUAUGCACCGUUGCCAAAGUUCGUCGUGCCGAGACACCACGUGAUGAUCGGGUGUGAUAAGCUCUACGUCCAUCUACAACGGGUGCAAGCCAGUUUUGCACACGCAAAAUACUCAGGUUAAACUUGACGAGCCUAGCAUAUGCAGAUAUGGCCUCGGAACACAGAGACCGAAAGGUCGAGCGUGAAUCAUAUAGUAGAUAUGAUCAACAUAGUGAUGUUCACCAUUGAAAACUACUCCAUCUCACGUGAUGAUCGGUUAUGGUUUAGUUGAUUUGGAUCACGUGAUCACUUAGAUGACUAGAGAGAUGUCUGUCUAAGUGGGAGUUCUUAAGUAAUAUGAUUAAUUGAACUUAAAUUUAUCAUGAACUUAGUACCUGAUAGUAUCUUGCUUGUCUAUGUUUGUUUGUAGAUAGAUGGCUCGUGCUGUUGUUCCGUUGAAUUUUAAUGCGUUCCUUGAGAAAGCAAAGUUGAAAGAUGAUGGUAGCAAUUACACGGACUGGGUCCAUAACCUGAGGAUUAUCCUCAUUGCUGCACAGAAGAGUUACGUCCUGGAAGCACCGCUGGGUGCCAGGCCUGCUGCUGAUGCAACUGACGACGUUAAGAACGUCUGGCAGAGCAAAGCUAAUGACUACUCUAUAGUUCAGCGUGCCAUGCUUUACGGCUUGGAACCGGGUCUUCAACGACGUUUUGAACGUCAUGGAGCAUAUGAGAUGUUCCAGGAGUUAAAGUUAAUAUUUCAAGCAAAUGCCCGGAUUGAGAGAUAUGAAGUCUCCAAUAAGUUCUACAGCUGCAAGAUGGAGGAGAAUAGUUCUGUCAGUGAACACAUACUCAGAAUGUCUGGGUAUAACAAUCACUUGAUUCAACUGGGAGUUAAUCUUCCUGAUGAUAGUGUCAUUGACAGAAUUCUCCAAUCACUGCCACCAAGCUACAAGAGCUUUGUGAUGAACUAUAAUAUGCAAGGGAUGAACAAGACUAUUCCCGAGCUCUUCGCGAUGCUGAAAGCUGCGGAGGUAGAAAUCAAGAAGGAGCAUCAAGUGUUGAUGGUCAAUAAGACCACUAGUUUCAAGAAGAAGGACAAAGGGAAGAAGAAGGGGAACUUCAAGAAGAACGGCAAGCAAGUUGCUGCUCAAGAGAAGAAACCCAAGUCUGGACCUAAGCCUGAAACUGAGUGCUUCUACUGCAAGCAGACUGGACACUGGAAACGGAACUGCCCCAAGUAUUUGGCGGAUAAGAAGGAUGGCAAAGUGAGCAAAGGUAUAUGUGAUAUACAUGUUAUUGAUGUGUACCUAACUAGAGCUCGUAGUAGCACCUGGGUAUUUGAUACUGGUUCUGUUGCUAAUAUUUGCAACUCGAAACAGGGACUACGGAAUAAGCGAGCACUGGCCAAGGACGAGGUGACGAUGCGCGUGGGAAACGGUUCGAAAGUCGAUGUGAUCGCAGUCGGCACGCUACCUCUACAUCUACCUUCGGGAUUAGUUUUAGACCUGAAUAAUUGUUAUUUGGUGCCAGCGUUGAGCAUGAACAUUAUAUCUGGAUCUUGUUUGAUGCGAGACGGUUAUUCAUUUAAAUCAGAGAAUAAUGGUUGUUCUAUUUAUAUGAGUAAUAUCUUUUAUGGUCAUGCACCCUUGAAGAGUGGUCUAUUGAAUCUCAAUAGUAGUGAUACACAUAUUCAUAAUGUUGAAGCCAAAAGAUGCAGAGUUGAUAAUGAUAGUGCAACUUAUUUGUGUCACUGCCGUUUAGGUCAUAUCGGUGUAAAACGCAUGAAGAAACUCCAUACUGAUGGACUUCUGGAAUCACUUGAUGAUGAAUCACUUGGUACUUGCGAACCGUGCCUCAUGGGCAAGAUGACUAAAACACCAUUCUCCGGAACUAUGGAGAGAGCAACAGAUUUGUUGGAAAUCAUACAUACAGAUGUAUGUGGACCGAUGAAUGUUGAGGCUCGUGGCGGAUAUUGUUAUUUUCUCACCUUCACAGAUGAUUUAAGCAGAUAUGGGUAUAUCUACUUAAUGAAGCACAAAUCUGAAACAUUUGAAAAGUUCAAAGAAUUUCAGAGUGAAGUGGAGAAUCAUCGUAACAAGAAAAUAAAGUUUCUGCGAUCUGAUCGUGGAGGAGAAUAUUUGAGUUACGAGUUUUGUUUACAUUUGAAACAAUGCGGAAUAGUUUCGCAACUCACACCACCCGGAACACCACAACGAAAUGGUGUGUCCGAAUGUCGUAAUCGUACUUUACUUGAUAUGGUGCGAUCUAUGAUGUCUCUUACCGAUUUACCGCUAUCGUUUUGGGGUUAUGCUUUAGAGACGGCCGCAUUCACGUUAAAUAGGGCACCAUCUAAAUCCGUUGAGACGACGCCUUAUGAACUGUGGUUUGGCAAGAAACCAAAGUUGUCGUUUCUUAAAGUUUGGGGUUGCGAUGCUUAUGUGAAGAAACUUCAACCAGAUAAGCUCGAACCCAAAUUGGAGAAAUGUGUCUUCAUAGGAUACCCAAAAGAGACUGUUGGGUACACCUUCUAUCACAGAUCCGAAGGCAAGACAUUCGUUGCUAAAAAUGGAUCCUUUCUGGAGAAGGAGUUUCUCUCGAAAGAAGUGAGUGGGAGGAAAGUAGAACUUGAUGAGAUAACUGUAUCUACUCCCUUAUUGGAAGGUAGUUCAUCACGAGAACCAGUUCCUGUGACGACUACACCAAUUAGUGAGGAAGCUAAUGAUAUUAAUCAUGAAACUUCAGAUCAAGUUUCUACUGAACCUCGUAGGUCUACCAGAGUAAGAUCCGCACCAGAGUGGUACGGUAAUCCUAUUCUGGAAGUCAUGUUACUUGACCAUGAUGAACCUACGAACUAUGAGGAAGUGAUGAUGAGCCCAGAUUCCGCAAAAUGGCUAGAGGCCAUGAAAUCUGAGAUGGGAUCCAUGUAUGAAAACAAAGUAUGGACUUUGGUUCACUUACCCGAUGAUAGGCAAGCCAUUGAGAAUAAAUGGAUCUUUAAGAAGAAGACUGACGCUGAUGGUAAUGUUACUGUCUAUAAAGCUCGACUUGUUGCGAAAGGUUUUCGACAAGUUCAAGGGGUUGACUACAAUGAGACUUUCUCACCCGUAGCGAUGCUUAAGUCUGUCCGAAUCAUGUUGGCUAUUGCUGCAUUUCAUGAUUAUGAAAUUUGGCAAAUGGAUGUCAAGACUGCAUUCUUGAAUGGAUUUCUAGAAGAAGAGUUGUAUAUGAUGCAGUCGGAAGGUUUUGUUGAUCCAAAAGGUGCAGACAAAGUGUGCAAGCUCUAGCGUUCCAUUUAUGGACUGGUGCAAGCAUCUCGGAGUUGGAAUAAACUCUUUCAUAGUGUAAUCAAAGCAUAUGGUUUUAUAGAGACUUUUGGAGAAGCCUGUAUUUACAAGAAAGUGAGUGGGAGCUCUGUAGCAUUUCUAGUUUUAUAUGUUGAUGACAUAUUAUUAAUUGGAAAUGAUAUAGAAUUUCUGGAUAGCAUAAAGGGGUACUUGAAUAAAAGUUUUUCGAUGAAAGACCUCGGUGAAGCUGCUUACAUAUUGGGCAUCAAGAUCUAUAGAGAUAGAUCAAGACGCUUAAUAGGACUUUCACAAAGUACAUACCUUGACAAAAUUUUGAAAAAGUUCAAAAUGGAUCAGGCAAAGAAAGGAUUCUUGCCUAUGCUACAAGGUGUGAAGUUGAGUCAAACUCAAUGCCCGACCACAGCAGAAGAUAGAGAGAAAAUGAAAAAUGUUCCCUAUGCUUCAGCCAUAGGCUCUAUCAUGUAUGCAAUGCUGUGUACCAGACCUAACGUAUGCUUAGCAAUAAGUUUGGCAGGAAGGUACCAAAGUAAUCCAGGAGUGGAUCACUGGACAACGGUCAAGAACAUCCUGAAAUACCUGAAAAGGACUAAGGAUAUGUUUCUCGUAUAUGGAGGUGAAAAAGAGCUAGUCGUAAAUGGUUACGUCGAUGCAAGCUUUGACACUGAUCCGGACGAUUCUAAAUCGCAAACCGGAUACGUGUUUUUAUUAAACGGUGGAGCUGUAAGUUGGUGCAGUUCUAAACAAAGCGUCGUGGCGGGAUCUACAUGUGAAGCGGAGUACAUAACUGCUUCUGAAGCAGCGAAUGAAGGAGUCUGGAUGAAGGAGUUCAUUUCCGAUCUAGGUGUCAUACCUAGUGCAUCGGGACCAAUGAAGAUCUUCUGUGACAAUAUUGGUGCAAUUGCCCUGGCAAAGGAAUCCAGAUUUCACAAGAGGACCAAGCACAUCAAGAGACGCUUCAAUUCCAUUCGGGACCAAGUCCAAGUGGGAGACAUAGAGAUUUGCAAGAUACAUACGGAUCUGAAUGUUGCAGACCCGUUGACUAAGCCUCUCUCACGAGGAAAACAUGAUCAGCACCAAGACUCCAUGGGUGUUAGAAUCAUUACUAUGUAAUCUAGAUUACUGACUCUAGUGCAAGUGGGAGACUGAAGGAAAUAUGCCCUAGAGGCAAUAAUAAAGUUAUUAUUUAUUUCCUCAUAUCAUGAUAAAUGUUUAUUAUUCAUGCUAGAAUUGUAUUAACCGGAAACAUGAUACAUGUGUGAAUACAUAGACAAACACAUAGUCACUAGUAUGCCUCUACUUGACUAGCUCAUUAAUCAAAGAUGGUUAUGUUUCCUGACCAUAGACAUGUGUUGUCAUUUGAUUAAUGGAAUCACAUCAUUAGAAGAAUGAUGUGAUUGACAUGACCCGUUCUGUUAGCCUAGCACUUGAUCGUUUAGUGUACUGCUAUUGCUUUCUUCAUGACUUAUACAAAGUUCCUACAACUAUGAGAUUGUGCAACUCCCGUUUACCGGAAGAACACUUUGUGUGCUACCAAACGUCACAACGUAACUGGGUGAUUAUAAAGGUGCUCUACAGGUGUUUCCGAAGGUACAUGUUGGGUUGGCAUAAUUCGAGAUUAGGAUUUGUCACUCCGAUUGUCGGAGAGGUAUCUCUGGGCCCUCUCGGUAGUACUCAUCACCUAAGCCUUGCAAGCAUGUAACUAAUAAGUUAGUUAUGAGAUGACGUAUUACGGAACGAGUAAAGAGACUUGCCGGUAACGAGAUUGAACUAGGUAUUGGAUACCGACGAUCAAAUCUCGGGCAAGUAACAUACCGAUGACAAAGGGAACAACGUAUGUUGUUAUGCGGUUUGACCGAUAAAGAUCUUCGUAGAAUAUGUAGGAACCAAUAUGGGCAUCCAGGUCCCGCUAUUGGUUAUUGACCGAGAAUAGUUUUAGGUCAUGUCUACAUAGUUCUCGAACCCGUAGGGUCCGCACGCUUAACGUUUCGAUGACAGUUUUAUUAUGAGUUUAUAAGUUUUGAUGUACCGAAGUUUGUUCGGAGUCCCGGAUGUGAUCACGGACAUGACGAGGAGUCUCGGAAUGGUCGAGACAUAAAUAUUGAUAUAUUGGACGACUAUAUUCGGACACCGGAAAGGUUCCGGGAGUUUUCGGAGAAAACCGGAGUACCGGAGGGUUACCGGAACCCCCCCCCCCCCGGGAAGUAAUGGGCCUUAAUGGGCCCUAGUGGUGAAAGAGAGGGGCCGGCCAGGGCAAGUGGCGUGCCCCCUCCCCUUGAGUCCGAAUAGGACAAGGAAGGGGGGGCGGCGCCUCCUUGCCUUCCCCCUCUCCUACUCCUUCCUUCCCCCUCCCUCUUGGAUUAGGAAAAGGAGGGGGGAAACCUACUUGGAGUAGGUUUCCCCCUCCUAGGGCGCGCCUCCCCUUAGGCCGGCCCCCUCCUCCCUCCCUCCUUUAUAUACGGGGGUGGGGGGCACCCCAUAGACACAAGUUGAUCUACGGAUCGUUCCUUAGCCGUGUGCGGUGCCCCCCUCCACCAUAUUCCACCUCGGUCAUAUUGUCGCGGAGUUUAGGCGAAGCCCUGCGCCGGUAGAACAUCAUCAUCAUCACCACACCGUCGUGCUGACGGAACUCAUCUCCGGAGCUCGGCUGGAUCGGAGGCUGGAGAUCGUCAUCGAGCUGAACGUGUGCAGAACUCGGAGGUGCCGUACGUUCGGUACUUAGAUCGGUCGGAUCGUGAAGACGUACGACUACAUCAACCGCGUUGUCAUAAUGCUUCCUCUUACGGUCUACGAGGGUACGUGGACGAACACUCUCCCCUCUCGUUGCUAUGCCAUCACCAUGAUCUUGCGUGUGCGUAGGAAAUUUUUUGAAAUUACUACGUUCCCCAACACUUGAGUUUUUCUAACUUCAAUCCCAAGGAAGAAAUGCAAGUCACCCAGGUCUUUCAAGGCAAACUCUGAGAUCAAGUCAUGCAGAAGUGCAUUAGUAGCAUUUUGUGAAGAACUUGCAACUAUGAUAUCAUCAACAUAUAUAAGCACAAAAAUGACUACUCCAGCCUUGUUAUAAAUAAACAAAGACAUGUCAGCUUUAGAGGCAAUGAAACCAAGAUAUUUCAACUGUAAGCUUAAUCUGGAGUACCAUGCUCUGGGUGCUUGUUUUAGACCAUAGAGUGCUUUGUCAAGCUUGCAAACAUAAUGUGGUGAUUCCUUAUCCUCAUAUCUAGGUGGUUGUCUCAUGAACACUUCCUCUUCCAGAACACCAUGCAAAAACGCGUUCUGUACAUCUAGCUGUCUUAGGCUCCAACCCUUAGAUACAGCAAUGGCUAGCACAAGUCUGAUAGUUGCAGCUUUCACAACAGGACUAAAGGUAUCCUCAUAAUCAAUACCAUAACGUUGCUUAAAGCCCUUUGCAACUAGACGUGCCUUAUACCUGUCAAUGGAGCCAUCUGCCUUCUUUUUGAUUCUGUACACCCAUUUGCAAUCGAUGAUAUUUUUGCCUUUUUGGUUUGGUACAAGAUGCCAGGUCUUGUUCCUCAUAAGUGCAGAAUAUUCCUCAUCCAUUGCCUUCUUCCACUUAGGAUCGUCAAGUGCACUACUCAACGUUGUUGGCUCUCCUGAAAUACACAAUAUUCCAUAUGGUAUAGUUCCAUCUUUUCUUAUUUUAGGAUUCCGUAUACCUUUCUGUAGACGUGUCAUAACCCGUGAAGAAGCUGCUGGCUGAACCUCAGGAAUGCUGGCCACAGAAGAUCCUGACGAGCCUGCAUGUGCUGACACAGGGGAAUCUGCCGCCUCCUGCGCAGAUGAUCCUACAGCCGAUGGUGUGGCCGCCUCCCCAGUGCGCACAUGAGAACCAGCCGCCCGGUCCGGCACAGCAGAUCCGCAGCCCGACCGCGGUUGCAGGCGCACGCGGGGCGAGGGGGAUCCGGCCCCGCUGCUGGUCCCGCCUGUUGCUGAGGUGGCGGCGCGGGAGUGGCCCUCCCUUGAUUCGUUGCCGCAGCUGACAGAGGCGCGAUCCGAGGCGGAUCUGCUUGCGCGAUCCGAGGUCUGCCCGCGCACAGGAGUUCCAGGCGCCGCCGGAUCACCUUCGUUGUCCGUGCCAGGUUCGUCUUCUUCCUCAACAUGCAAUAUAGGAUCAAUUUGAGCUAUAUUUUCAGGGUUUUGAUCAAGUUGAGCCCUGUUUUCUCCAGAGACCUGCACAGGCAACAGAAAAGAGCAAGUACCAGUAGAAAUAUCGUCACUUUGAUUAGUACAAUUGUCGCCCCCAUGAUCAAAAGACCGAAGAUGUGGAGGAAGAAGAAGAAUUUCCUUGCGAAGAAGUGCACCGGCAUUGGGAUGAAGUGAUGCAAACGGAAACACGGAUUCAUCAAAGACAACAUCUCGGGAUAUGUAGACCCUACCACUAGGAACAUCAAGACAUUUGACCCCUUUAUGCAUGGGACUAUAGCCUAAAAAGACACAAUUUUUUGAGCGGAAUGCAAGUUUGCGUGUAUUGUAGGGUCUAAGAUUGGGCCAACAUGCACAACCGAAAACACGAAGAGAUGUGUAGUUUGGUAUGACACCAAAGAGUCGUGUAAUAGGAGUUUCAAAUCUGAUAACUUUGCUUGGAAGCAAAUUGAUAAGAUAUGUAGCAGUUAAGAAUGCUUCAUCCCAAAAUUUAAGUGGCAUCGAUGCAUUUGCGAGGAAUGCAAGCCCCAUAUCAACUAUGUGACGAUGCUUUCUUUCAGCAGAUCCAUUUUGUUGGUGAGCAUGAGGACAUGAGACAUGAUGUGAUAUGCCAAGUUUUUGGAAGAAAGAGUUCAAUUUUUCAUACUCACCACCCCAGUCACUUUGGAUAGCAAUGAUUUUAGAGUUCAGUUUGCGUUCAACAAGAUUUUGGAAAUUGAUAAAGACUUGGAAAACAUCAGACCGUUUCUUUAACAAAUAAAUCCAAGUAAAUUUACUAUUUCCAUCAAUAAAGCUUACAUAAUAAGAAAAUCUCCCAGCUGAAGUAGGGGCUGGCCCCCAUACAUCUGAAAAUAUGAGUUGUAGAGGAGCAGUAGACACACUAGUAGAGAUGGAAUAAGGUAAUUGAUGACUUUUUGCUUGUUGACAUGGAUCACAAACUGACUCAACACUAUUCUCAUAAGAGAGUUUAUUUUUGCUAAGAACGUAUUUAACUAUGACUGAAGAUGGAUGACCUAAACGACUAUGCCACCUUGAUGAUGAUGGCUUGGUGACAAUGUUGGCUUGCUUAUUUGACCAUGAAGAUGAUGAUGAUGAUAUAAGUAGAUAGAGGCCUCCCACGCACCGUCAUCUAAGAAUGAUUCUCCUUGUUCUCAAAUCCUUAACCAAGAAAAAAUAAGGGUAGAAUUCUAUGAGAACAUUGUUAUCAAGGGUGGAUCGAUGAACGAAAACAAGAUUUUUUGAUGUUUGAGGAACAUGCAAGACAUCUUUCAGGUGCAAAUUUUUCAUGGGGUUUUUAACAAUUGAACUACCAAUGUGAGUGAUGUUCAUACCAGAACCGCUUGCCGUGCGAAUUUGGUCGCCUCCAUUGUACUUCUCCCGUGUUGUCAGCUUCUCAAGUUCACCUGUGAUGUGAUUUGUUGCUACACUGUCGGCAUACCAGUUUGUAUCUACGCCAUAGGAGACAGCAUGCGCCUCCUUCUCUUCCUGAUCGUUCUCUUCAUAGCGCCACCAGCAAACACGUGCGCCUCCUGGAUGGUGCCUAUAGCAUAUCUGACAUUUAGGGUAAUCGUGCUGCUGUUCGCGCACUUGCUGUUGCCGUUGUUGUCGAGGGCGUCCUCUGAAUCCGCCGCCUCUGUUUGCAGGAGAGGGCUGGCGGUCACCGCGGUCACCGCGAUCACCACGGCCGCGCCCCCUUCCUCCUCGCCCACGGGGUCUGCCGCGGGACUGGCCACGGCCUCUGUAAACUGCGCUGGCCGAUGAAUGAAAUCCUCCUGAAGAUGAAUCACCCAGCAUCUCCAUCCUCUGAUCAAAAGCAGAAAUCUGAGCGAAGAGGUCGUCGGCGGUGAUAGUGUUCUUGACAGCACCAAUCGUUGCAACCACAGAGUCAUAGUCGCGAUCAAGUCCCGCCAGGAUGUAGUCCACCAUCUCCGGGUCAGAGACAGGGCGCCCAGCAGCAGCAAGUUCGUCCCCAAGGCUCUUCAUCUUUGCCAUAUACGCCGAGCUCGACAUGGUGCCCUUCUUGGUGUUGGUGAUUGCGAUCCUCAGAUUGGUGAUCCGGGAUAGUGAUUGUGAGGCGAAGAGAUUUGUCACCGUCGUCCAGAGCUCGUAGGUGGAGUCCUUCCUGAUGACUUGUGCAAGGAUUUCAGGAGACAUGGAAUUGAGUAGAUAUGAUAGGACCUAUUGAUCUUUGGCGAUCCAGGGCCCGUAGAGGGGAUUCGGCUCUAGGGUCGUGGUUUUAUCCGCCUUCGUGAUAUCCACCACCCUCGAUGGAGCGGCAUCGGAGUUGUCCAGGAGCCCAGUAACCUGCGCACCUCGCAGAGCUGGGAGAACCUGUGUCUUCCAGAGGAUGAAAUUUCCUCUUGCGAGCUUCUCUGACGGUGGCGAUCCAAGGUUAAGAGCAACGCCGGCUGAGGAAGCCAUGGAGACAAUGGUAUGUGGUUUAGGGUUUUGAUCUUUGGCUAGAUGUUUUGGGAAGAGGUGGCUCUGAUUACCAUGUAAGAUGAAAAGUGUUCCCGACCCCUCGAGGGGGAGUCGCGGGCUGUAUAUAUUGAUGUGGCCGAAGCCAACCUUGACGUACAAGGAAGAUUUACAAGAGUUUGAGUAGAACAAGUAAAGGAAGGAGUUGGAGACUACUACGGAAACUAUAUUCGCUAACAGAGUCUCCCUUCGCUUAUAUGGAUGGAGAUGGACCUCAGCUCAGCACCUACUCCCUCCCAAUCCGAGCAAGGGAACUGAGGUCAACACGGACUGAGGCCCGGGGCAAGAAGGGCCAAGCCUGGCCGCUUUCCCCUGAAAAAAUGGAAAACUCGUUUGCGGCAAGUUGUCCGGACUAGGCCCACGACAGAGGAGAAAGACCAGUAAUGCUAAACAUACAAAGGUUUACAUGCUUUUACAUCAUGAUUAGGUUCUUUUCAAACUAACUAAUCACUCCCCCGAUUUUCAUGGGGAUGGGCCCCUUCUCUUCCUUAAUCUUCAAUCAAAACCCACCUUUAUGUACAAGCAUGUAUCCUUUUGUAUAUUUUUUUUGGAGAAAUCUCGCCCACUUUCAUUGAUUUGAUAACUAUGUUCAUAGGUACACGGUUCGGCUUAUAGGGGUUACCCAACCACACAUGUCUACCUACUCCUAAAUUACAAGCAAACUUGGUGAGAGUAUGAGCCUCGAAAUUAAAAUUCCUACACUCAUGAAUAAAAGACCAAGACGUACAUAUAAGAAGAUAUACGCGCCGCAAUCUCUUGGAUGAUAGCCGCAUUAGGACCUCCCGUCCCCUUGUUGAUAUCUUUUACCACUUCUAGGCAGUCUGAUACUACUACCAUAUUCUGAAUAUGAAGAUCAUUUGCUAGGGCAAGAGCUUCACUGCAUGCAAAAGUUUCGAGCAUCAUUGGAUCACCAGUUUCUUUUUGUACGUGUAGCAUUACUAGGAGAAAGACGAGCGUUUCAGGAUGGGCUGGCCCGUUAAACAUUUCAACCAUUCCGGUUUUGGGAAGGUUUAGCCGAUUUUUUCCCCGGUUUGGGAAUCUUCCUUCUAGAAGGUUCCUGAAGCGGUUUUUUUUUCUGUUCCUUUUUCUUUUUUAGUUUUUUUCUGUUCUUUUUCUUUCUUUCGGCGCCCUGUAUCUUCAAAAAAGAAAGCUAUUAAUGACUGUUUCGAUCAACAAGCACGGCGGCGGCUAUCACUUCCAUUUUCUUCUUUUUUCAUGUUUAUUUUCUUUUUAAAAAAGUUUACUGAGUUUAUUGAAAAAAAGCGUAAGUUUUAAAAAAUGUUUGUGUUUUUCUUAAAUUGUUGAAAACUUCAAAACAAAUCCUGUUUUGCAAUUUUGUUAACAAAUUUAGAAAAAUUGUCGCCUUUUCCCCAAAAAACAGGGCUUCAAAAAAAUUAGCAUUUUCAAAGCUUUUAUUUAGAGUUUAAAAAAAAGCUCUCUUUUUUUCCAAAAAUGUCCGUUCUUUCAAUUUUGCUCAAAAAUCUCCCCUUUCCCAAAAGUUGUUUAAGAUUUAAAAAUAUAUGAGUUUUCCAAAGAAUGUUGGUGUUUUCAAAUAAAUUUCAAUUUUUUAAAAAAUUAUUCAAAAAAAUUGAAAUGAUUUGAUUUCAAUAAACAUUCUAUUCUCUCAAUAAAAUCAUGUUCAAAAUCCAAAAAAUAUUUAGAUCUGUUGCCACUCAUAGGUGUUAUGCACCGCAAUGCAUAUUUAGACACCAAUAUUAUGCGGCUUUCCAUUGGCGGCUAUGUAACAGCGUUGACUGACAGGAUGUGUGCCCGACAUUUUCAGGAAUUUUAUGCCGCUGGAGUUGGUCCUUACAAGUUUGCGCUGCUUAUUAUUAAUAAAAUUUAUUCAGCUCUUGCGUCUUAGGACGCCGGGAGUUCGGUCCCACUUUAUCACCAAGUAUAUAUAUUUUUCGGAUGUUUUUGGGGAGUCGCUACCAACUUUGGGCAAUGCGACGUUAGUUCGGCACCCCAAGAAAGAAGGCUAUCCGUGAAAUGAAGAACUAUUGUACAGACAUGGGGAUGAACACGAAUUAAGCGAAAACUUUGCACCCGUUCUACCUUAGCAUGGAAGCGAACUGUAAAUAUGAGACGAAAAUUAAUUUAGGGAACAAAAUUUGCGGAAACGAAAAUGAAAUUGGGGAACAUAAUUUUCGUAUCUGCACAUGCAUAUUGUGUUUUUUCAUGUAUAGCCAAAUCUAGACCAGCCUAGAUACCUGGGCUAACUCAAAUGUCCUUGAACUUAACUAUACUUGUAUAUGCUGCCAAAAAUAAAAAUCACGCAUAAUAGUAUACAUUAUUGUGAUAUAUCAUAAUAGUUACAGUCACCUUAGCAAUUGUCUUUUUGGAUUUUAUUCUAUAUUUCUUUGAAGUUCAAUAGUUUUUUGAGUUCCAGCGAUUUUCCACUUUUUAUUUGUGCCCCCACGGUAGUAUCUUCUUUCCUAUUCAUUUCCACACAAAUUUAUACUCCCCCCUAUCCAUAUCUCAAUUAGCGAAAGGUAGUUUCGCUCCCGGACGCCGUCCAAGCUUGAGGAUCUGGCCGUCUAUUUCGAUAGAAGAUGGUGGAUCCAAGCAGUGGCAGAGCAAGACAAAAACCACUGGGGGGCAAAGGUAGAUUACAAAGAUCUGGGGGCAAAACACUGAUUUUCCUCUCAUCUAGGCCCUUCAAAAAAUCUUCUCACUUUUCUCCAAAAGCUGGGAGGGUGGGUCCCCCUGGCCUCAACAUAGCUUCCCCACUAGAUCGAAGACCUGUGGUCGUCCAUGCAUCCUUUGGUCACCUUUCCCUGGAAGAAGUUGUGGUAACUGCUCCAGGGCGUUGGUUCGUCCAUAGGUGGUUGACUUCCUGACCGCAAGAUAAAAAGUCUUGCCGGCUCUACAGAGGAGCAACGUCGGCACCGGCGCGCCAUCCCCUUGUCCCGAAGGUUGUUGUCGGAGAUACCCCAGAUGUUUGUUUUUGAUUUCUUGUUUGUUUGGGUUGUUUUUUUUUGUAAUGUUGGUUCUUUGAAUUUAUUGAGCUAGGCUUUUUUUCACUAGUGCUAACUUUUUUGGUUCUUAGAUUAGAAUAAUUUGCUUUUUGAGACAAUAUAAUUCUCUGCUAAAAGGCAUGAAAAUGAAGGUAAAAUAUGGUAGAAAUCAGCCCACUCCGUUUUCACCCAGUUGACAAUGGAUUGCUCAAAUGCGGGAGCUAUUUCUCGCAUUCAGCGAGCCAAAAGAUUUCUCUCGCUGAAGGAUUCCGACUAGGCUAUCGCGCCGGCCCACUAUCGCACAACAAAAUAGAAAACCCUAUCAAGAAAACGAGGGCGCAAGCAAACUUGGCCAAAAUGGGCCGGCCCGGCCCGGCCUGGGUCCAACGAGCCAGGCAUGCUAAGUACGCGUGCCGGCCUCUUUGGCCCAGGCACGACCCCUUCACUACAUGGGUCGGCACGUCGGCCGGUUUGUCCUGAGUAGGCACGUCGAGGCAUCUAUCGUUAUUGCCUCAUUGGCAUUGCUGAAGAAAAAAUGAUGGUUGGCGUCUACAGGAAUAAUGAAUAAAGAAUUGCAGUGCGCUCUUGAGCUUGUGUCGCGCUAAAGGCACAUCGAUUUGCAGGAAUAAGGUUACAAAAAAAAGAUUUGCAGGAAUAAAGAAUUGCAGGCAGGCACGUCCCCCUGGUCCCUGCCUGGCUGCCUCCCUGUCCCUGGUAUACGUAGUUUUUUUUUUGUUGAGAAAUUGGUAUACGUAGGUAGCAGUAGGUUUUGCUCAAGAGAAAAUGUGCUAGUCGUGCCGUGCCGGGCUGGCAAGGCAGCCCAGGCACGACCUAGCCGAGCCACGUGCCAGGCACGGCCCACUAAGUCGCGUGCCAUGCCGGGCCGGGCACAUGGGCUAUCGUGCCGGCCCGACAAUACCGGCCCAUUUGGCCAGGUUUGGGCGUGAGGGGGAAUCGAACCGUGGUUUUACGAACGAGCAUAGAGCCGGUAGCCACUGCACCACUUAUGACUUCAUGUAAAAUACACACUACUUGAUGUAAAAUACCAGAGGUUUUUUUAUUUCUUCAUUUUUCCUUUCUUUCGUUUCUUUGGUUUUUUGUUUGGUCUUCUUAUUUUUCUCCGGUUUUGUUUUAUUCAUCAUUAUAAUUCGAUUUUCUCAAUUUUUUUGCUUUUUUCAUUUCAUUUUUCUGUUUUCAAUUUUUUUUCUUCUCUGUUUUUUGUUUUGUUUUCCUUUUUUAUUCUCGAUUUUUUGUUUUCCUUUGGUGCUUUCUUAUGUUGUAAUUUUCACUCUACACUUACACACAUGUCAAAAACAUUUUUUGUAACAAGUGAUCAACAUUUUCUGUGUACAAGUUCAACAUUGUCCCAAUGCUAUUUCAACAUUUUUCAAAUACUUGUUCAACAUUUUUAAUAGUUAUUCAAUAUUUUAUCAUAUACUUGUUCAACAUUUUUAAUACUUACUCAACAUUUUCAAAUACUUGUUAAACAUUUUUAUAUACCCAUUCAACAUUUUAAUACCUUUUUCAACAUUUUUAAUAGCUAUAUGAAUGAGUCUUAAAAGGAGAAAUCAAUGGCUCACAAAUCGACCGAGCCAAAUUCAUUUUUCAGGUGACUUGCAUAUAGCUGAACUAAAGUGAGAGUUUGCAGAUUUUAUUGUGUAAUAAGAAUUUCUUUAUGGCACAAUAGUUUUUUGAGUUUUGGGGAUUUUUCACUUGAUGAAUGUUUGUGGCCGCUUCGUAGUGUCUACUAUGUCGUAUUCGUUUCACAAUGUGUACAUUUUUUUUGAGGGGUUCACAAUUUGUACAUUUUUUAGGGGUACAAUUUGUACAUUUUUUUUGAGCAUGGUACAAUUUGUACAUAGGAGUAUUUGUUUUCACUUCCCGUAGAAGAUAGUAUGAAAACAAGACAAACAUGGCAGACAUGAGCUCAGACAUGCAUUAUGCCCCCACAAGGAACGAGGAAGCAUCCGAUCAACGGUUAAUAAGAAUCAAAAGCUUUGCUCUGAAGCCAGGUCUGACAAGAUUGAAGCAAGGUCCCAGAAGAUUGAUGCGGCAUCCAAGGUGGUGAUAGAUGCGGCGUUGGACAAGAUUGAUGCAUCAUCCAAGGUGGUGAUAGAUGCGGCGUUGGACAAGAUCGACGAUGCAUCCAAGGUGGUGAUAGAUGGGCGUUAGAGAAGAUUGAUGCCGCAUCCAAGGUGAUGAUCAAUGCAUCAUCCAUGGUGAUGAUAGAUUCGGCGUUGGAGAAGAUCAAUGCAUCAUCCAAGGUAAUGAUAGAUUCAGCAUUGGAGAAGAUCAAUGCAUCAUCCAAAGUGAUGAUAGAUUCGGCGUUGGAGAAGAUCAAUGCAUCAUCCAAGGUAAUGAUAGAUUCGGCAUCCAAGGUGAUGAUAGAUUCGGCGUUGGAGAAGAUCAAUGCGUCAUCCAAGGUAAUGAUAGAUUCGGCAUCCAAGGUGAUGAUAGAUUCGGUGUUGAAGAAGAUCAAUGCAUCAUCCAAGGUAAUGAUAGAUUCAGCGUUAGAGAAGAUCGGCGUUGAACAUUUUUUAAAAACAUGAACAUUUUUUAAAACACUGACAUUUUUUGAAAUUAUGAGCAAAAUUUAAAACAAGAACAUAUUUUGAAAUUCCUGAAAUACUUUAUGAAACACGAACAGUUCUUGAAAUUGUGAACAAAAUUUGGAAGCAGGAACAUUUUAUGAAAUUUCUGAACAUUUUUUGAAAUUGAGAGCAAAUUUUGAAAACAAGAGCAUGUUAUAAAAUUCCGAAUAAAUAUUUGAAAUUCUCAAACAAAAGAAACAUGACUAAAGAAAAAACGAAAGAAUAAAGAAAAGAAAAAAAAAAGAGAAAGAAAAGAAGAUGGUGGAUAAACCAGAUCUGGUGGUCUACUCGGAUAGAAGAUGGGGUCGUCCACGCGUCCUUUGGUCACGUUUCCUCUUUGGAACCAGUAGCGGUAACUGCUCCAGGGCGUUGGUUUGUCCAUAGGUGGAAUACUUCUCGGCCGCAAGAUAGAAAGUCAGGCUGGCUCUCGAGAGGAACAGCAGCGGCACCGGCGCGCCAUCCCCUCGUCCCCAAGAUUGUUGUCGGAGUUUACCCCAAAGGCUUGUUUUGUGAUUUGUUGUUUGUUUGGGUUGUUUUUUGUAAUGUUGGUUCCUUUAAUUUAUUGAGCUUAGGCUCUUCAGCAUAAAAAAACGACAAUUAAUAUGUUCUCCCUCCGUCUCGAAAUGUAAGAUGGUUUUUGGUACUAUGAUAGUGUCGAAAACCGUCGUCUUAUAUAUGUAUUGACCCCUUCUUUAAAUUAGAUCUGGCAGAUGCAGGAUGAACUCCUACCACAUGAUCGCAUACGAGCAAUUCAAGAGGAAUUGGCGGGAUUCUUUCUUGACCACGUCAUACCUGAACAAGGAGAAUACCAUGUGAAAUUGAAAUUGUUGUAAGGGAUGUUAUAUAUUGUACAUUUGUAGCAGCGUCACCAAGCACGAAGAAAGAGAUGUCACUUCUCUCUAUAUAUGUUCAUGGCGAUCUUGUGUAAUUAAUGGUUUCCUUUAUUUGCUUACUAGCUAGCGUCGAGUUCUCUCUAUAUGUGUAGUAGCUAGAGUCGACCAAGCACGAAAAAAGAGAGGUCACUUCUCUCUAUUAGCUCGCUAACACAAUAUGAAACCCCUAAAUUAACCCUCCAAAACUCCCAAACCCCCCCUUCCAAAAAAACAAAACCCCCAGCGACUGCGAGCUGCUGACGCGUGGCCGCCUUUUGGUCCCAGCUGGUGUUACCAACCGGGACUAAAGGUCCUCCCUCCCCCGCCCCAGGCAGCGCCACGUGGAGGGCCUUUGGUCCCGGUUCAAAAGCAAACCGGGACUAAAGGUUUUGGCUAUUAGUCCCGACCCUUUAGUCCCGGUUCCAGAACCGGGACAAAUGGCCCUCUGGAACCGGAAAAAAUGGCCCUUUUUCUACUAGUGAAUUCUCAUAGGAGAUACUUUCAGAUAGACAUAAUCUCCUACUUCGAAAAUUAAUUCUCUUCUUCGAUUAUCUGCAUAGCUCUUCUGACGAGUUUGUGCCACUCUCAAGUUCUCUCUAAUCAACCUGACUUGUUCCUCGACAUUCCUGAGCACAUCUAGUCCAAAGACUUAACUUUCACCCAUUUGAUUCCAGAACAACGGUGUUUUACACUUACGUCCAUACAAUGCUUCAAAGGGUGCCAUCUUUAGACUAUUCUGGUGACUGUUGUUGUAAGAGAACUCCGCAUACGGUAAACUUUUAUCCCAACUAGUACCAUACUGCAAUGCACAAGCUCUCAACAUAUCUUCAAGAAUCUGAUUGAGCCUUUUUGUCUGUCCAUCAGUCUGAGGAUGAUGUGCCGUACUGAAAUUCAACUUUGUUCCCAAAGAUUUAUGCACUUCCUGCCAAAAGAUGGAUGUGAACUGCGUACCUCUAUCAGACACAAUCUACUUAGGAAAUCCAUGCUGACAUAUUAUUCUUUCCAUGUAUAGAUCUGCCAAUUUUGCCCCGCUAUAAGUAGUCUUGACAGGCAAAAAGUGAGCGACUUUAGUGAGACAUUCCACUAUUACCCAUAUAGAAUCAUAACCUUGUUAAGUAUGUGGUAAUCCCACUAUAAAGUCCAUUCCGACUUCUUCCCAUUUCCACUCAGGAAUCUUCAUUGGUUGCAACAAACUAGCGGGUCUCUGAUGCUCAGUAUUUACCCUCUGACAAGUGUCACAUAUAGCUACAUACUCAGCCACAUCUCUUUUUAAUCCAUACCAGCAGUACUUCUCCUUAAGAUUUAGAUACAACUUAGUACUUCUAGGAUGAAUAGAAUAGGCUGACUCAUGUGCUUCACGCAAAAUUGUAUCAUGAAUGGCUUUCACCUGAGGAACACAUAUCCUUUUUCCAAACCAUAAGGUUCCAUUCUCAUCUAUUCUGAAGCCAGGUGCUUUACCAAUCACCACAUUCUCAGCUAUCUCCUUUAACUUUUCAUCUUCUAGCUGACCCUUACGUAUUUCUUGCUCCAACGUAGGAAUCCAUUUUAUCUCCAUAGCACUAGCAACAACACCAAGGUUCAGAUGUUGCAACCCCGCAUACAACUCUUCUGCCUCUGGUCUCAACUUAUGAUUGUUGUCAUAUUUCUUCCUACUGAGAGCAUCAGCUACUACAUUCGCCUUACCUAGAUGAUAAUGUGCCUCCGGUUCAUAAUCCUUGAUUAACUCUAGCCAGCGACGUUGUCUUAAAUUCAUACCUGUCUGAGUGAAUAUAUACUUCAAGCUCUUAUGAUCGGUGUAGAUAUCACUCUUGUGACCAAUCAGAUAGUGUCUCCAGAUCUUCAAUGCAUGUACCACAGCUGCUAACUCCAGAUCAUGAGUAGGAUAAUUUAACUCAUGCUUCCUCAACUGUCUUGAUGCAUGCGUUGGUGGUGGUAACCUCAUGUCCGCUUGCACCGUGUUCGAUGAAACACCAAGGAGGGUCAAAAGCUUCAAACUGCAUCGGAGUCGCUCGGAGUAGCAGCGGGUACACGCUGGAGUGCUGGAUGUGAUGCUUGGCCUGAAGGAAAUAUGCCCUAGAGGCAAUAAUAAAGUUAUUAUUUAUUUCCUUAUUUCAUGAUAAAUGUUUAUUAUUCAUGCUAGAAUUGUAUCAACCGGAAACAUAAUACUUGUGUGAAUACAUAGACAAACUAAACGUCACUAGUAUGCCUCUACUUGACUAGCUCGUUGAUCAAGGAUGGUUAUGUUUCCUAACCAUAGACAUGUGUUGUCAUUUGAUUAACGGGAUCACAUCAUUAGGAGAAUGAUGUGAUUGACAUGACCCAUUCCAUUAGCUUAGCACCCGAUCGUUUAGUAUGUUGCUAUUGCUUUCUUCAUGACUUAUACAUGUUCCUAUGACUAUGAGAUUAUGCAACUCUCCCGUUUGCCGGAGGAACACUAUGUGUGCUACCAAACGUCACAAUGUAACUGGGUGAUUAUAAAGGUGCUCUACAGGUGUCUCCAAAGGUACAUGUUGGGUUGGUGUAUUUCGAGAUUAGGAUUUGUCACUUCGAUUGUCAGAGAGGUAUCUCUGGGCCCUCUCGGUAAUGCACAUCACUUAAGCCUUGCAAGGAAUGCAAUAAUGAGUUAGUUGCGAGAUGAUGUAUUACGGAACGAGUAAAGAGACUUGCCGGUAACGAGAUUGAACUAGGUAUUGAGAUACCGAUGAUCAAAUCUCGGGCAAGUAACAUACCGAUGACAAAGGGAACAACGUAUGUUGUUAUGCGGUCUGACCAAUAAAGAUCUUCAUAGAAUAUGUGGGAGCCAAUAUGAGCAUCCAGGUUCCGCUAUUGGUUAUUGACCAGAGACGUGUCUCAGUCAUGUCUACAUUGUUCUCGAACCCGUAGGGUCCGCGCGCUUAACGUUACGAUGACAGUUUCAUUAUGAGUUUAUAUAUUUUGAUGUACCGAAGGUUGUUCGGAGUCCCGGAUGUGAUCACGGACAUGACGAGGAGUCUCGAAAUGGUCGAGACAUAAAGAUCUAUAUACUGGACGGCUAUAUUCGGACACCGGAAACGUUCCGGGUGAUUUCGGAGAAAACCGGAGUGCCGGAAGGGUUACCGGAACCCCCCGGGGAAGUAUGGGGCCUUAGUGGGCCUAAGGGGAGAGAGAUGGCAGCAGCCCAGGAGGUGGCGCGCCCCCUCCCAUGGGGAGUCCAAAUUGGACUAGGGGAAGGGGGCGCGGCCCCUCUUUCCUCUCCCUCUCCCUCUCUUUCCUUCCCCCUUCUCUCUUCUUAGUUGGACUAGGAAAGGGGAGUCCUACUCCUACUAGGAGGAGGACUCCUCCCUCCUUGGCGCGCCCCAAGGGCCGGCCGGCCUCCCCCCUUGCUCCUUUAUAUACGGGGGCAGGGGGGCACCUCUAGACACACAAGUUGAUAUUCGUGAUCGUUCUCUUAGCCGUGUGCGGUGCCCCCCUCCACCAUACUCCUCGAUAAUAUUGUAGCGGUGCUUAGGCGAAGCCCUGCUACGGUAGAACAUCAAGAUCGUCAUCAUGCCGUCGUGCUGACAGAACUCUUCCCCGACACUUUGCUGGACCGGAGUCCGGGGUCGUCAUCGAGCUGAACGUGUGCUAGAACUGGGAGGUGCCGUAGUUUCGGUGCUUGAUCGGCCGGGUUGCGAAGACGUAUGACUACAUCAACCGCGCAUAACGCUUCCGCUUUCGGUCUACGAGGGUACGUGGACAAUACUCUCCCCUCUCGUUUCUAUGCAUCACCAUGAUCUUGCGUGUGCGUAGGAAUUUUUUUGAAAUUACUACGUUACCCAAUAGUGGCAUCCGAGCCUAGGUUUUAUGUGUUGAUGUGAUAUGCACGAGUAGAACACAAGUGAGUUGUGGGCGAUAUAAGUCAUACUGCUUACCAGCAUAUCAUACUUUGGUUCGGCGGUAUUGUUGGAUGAAGUGGCCUGGACCGACAUUACGCUUACGCUUACGCGAGACUGGUUCUACCGACGUGCUUUGCACGCAGGUGGCUGGCGGGUGCCAGUUUCUCCAACUUUAGUUUAACGGAGUGUGGCUACGCCCGGUCCUUGCGAAGGUUAAAACAGCACCAACUUGACAAAGUAUCGUUGUGGUUUUGAUGCGUAGGUAAGAUUGGUUCUUGCUUAAGCCCGUAGCAGCCACGUAAAACUUGCAACAAACAAAGUAGAGGACGUCUAACUUGUUUUUGCAGGGCAUGUUGUGAUGUGAUAUGGUCAAGACAUGAUGCUAAAUUUUAUUGUAUGAGAUGAUCAUGUUUUGUAACCGAGUGAUCGGCAACUGGCAGGAGCCAUAUGGUUGUCGCUUUAUUGUAUGCAAUGCAAUCGCCCUGUAAUGCUUUACUUUAUCACUAAGCGGUAGCAAUAGUCGUAGAAGCAUAAGAUUGGCGAGACGACAACGAUGCUAUGAUGGAGAUCAAGGUGUCACGCCUGUGACGAUGGUGAUCAUGACGAUGCUUCGGAAAUGGAGAUCACAAGCACAAGAUGAUGAUGGCCAUAUCAUAUCACUUAUAUUGAUUGCAUGUGAUGUUUAUCUUUUAUGCAUCUUAUCUUGCUUUGAUUGACGGUAGCAUUAUAAGAUGAUCUCUCACUAAAUUUCAAGAUAAAAGUGUUCUCCCUGAGUAUACAUCGUUGCCAAAGUUCGUCGUGCCCAGACACCACGUGAUGAUCGGGUGUGAUAAGCUCUACGUCCAUCUACAACGGGUGCAAGCCAGUUUUGCACACGCAAAAUACUCAGGUUAAACUUGACGAGCCUAGCAUAUGCAGAUAUGGCCUCGGAACACUGAGACCGAAAGGUCGAGCGUGAAUCAUAUAGUAGAUAUGAUCAACAUAGUGAUGUUCACCAUUGAAAACUACUCCAUUUCACGUGAUGAUCGGUUAUGGUUUAGUUGAUUUGGAUCAUGUGAUCACUUAGAAGAUUAGAGGGAUGUCUUUCUAAGUGGGAGUUCUUAAGUAAUAUGAUUAAAUUGAACUUAAAUUUAUCAUGAACUUAGUCCUGGUAGUAUUAGCAUAUCUAUGUUGUAGAUCAAUAGCUCGCGUUGUUGCUUCCCUGUGUUUAAUUUUGAUAUGUUCCUAGAGAAAAUUGUGUUGAAAGAUGUUAGUAGCAAUGAUGCGGAUUGGAUCCGUGAUCUGAGGUUUAUCCUCAUUGCUGCAUAGAAGAAUUAUGUCCUUGAUGCACCGCUAGGUGACGGACCUAUUGCAGGAGCAGAUGUAGACAUUAUGAACGUUUGGCUAGCUCAAUAUGAUGACUACUUGAUAGUUUAGUGCACCAUGCUUAACGGCUUAGAAUUGGGACUUCAAAGACAUUUUGAACGUCAUGGACCAUAUGAGAUGUUCCAGGAGUUGAAGUUAAUAUUUCAAGCAAAUACCCGAGUUGAGAGAUAUGAAGUCUCCAACAAGUUAUAUAGCUAAAAGAUGGAGGAGAAUCGCUCAACUAGUGAGCAUGUGCUCAGAUUGUCUGGUACUACAAUCGCUUGAAUCAAGUGGGAGUUAAUCUUCCAGAUAAGAUAGUGAUUGACAGAAUUCUCUGGUCACCAUCACCAAGUUAGUAGAACUUUGUGAUGAGCUAUAGUAUGCAAGGGAUGACGAAAACGACUCCCGAGCUUUUCAUGAUGAUGAAAUCGAUGAAGGUAGAAAUCAAAAAAAAGGAGCAUCAAGUGUUGAUGGUUGACAAGAUCACUAGUUUCAAGAAAAGGGCAAAGGGAAAAAGGGGAACUUCAAGAAGAACAGCAAGCAAGUUGUUGCUCAAGUGAAGAAGCCCAAGUCUGGUCCUAAGCCUGAGACUAAGUGCUUCUACUGCAAAGGGACUGGUCACUGGAAGCAGAACUACCCCAAGUGAUUGGCGGAUAAGAAGGAUGGCAAAGUGAACAUAAGUAUAUUUGAUAUACAUGUUAUUGAUGUGUACUUUACAAGUGUUUCUAGCAACCCCUCAGUAUUUGAUACUAGUUCAGUUGCUAAGAUUAGUAACUCGAAAUGGGAGUUGCAGAAUAAACAGAGACUAGUUAAGGGUGAAGUGACGAUGUGUGUUGGAAGUGGUUCCAAGAUUAAUAUGAUCAUCAUCGCACACUUCCUAUACUUUCGGGAUUAGUGUUGAACCUAAAUAAGUGUUAUUUGGUGUUUGCGUUGAGUAUGAAUAUGAUUUGAUCAUGUUUAUUGUAAUACGGUUAUUCAUUUAAGUAAGAGAAUAAAUUGUUGUUCUGUUUACAUGAAUAAAACCUUAUAUGGUUACACACCCAAUGAAAAUGGUUCAUUGGAUCUCAAUCAUAGUGAUACACAUAUUCAUAAUAUUGAAACCAAAAGAUGCAAAGUUAAUAAUGAUAGUGCAACUUAUUUGUGGCACUGCCGUUUAGGUCAUAUUGGUGUAAAGCGCAUGAAGAAACUCCAUGCUGAUGGGAUUUUGGAAUCACUUGAUUAUGAAUCACUUGGUGCUUGCGAACCAUGUCUUAUGGGCAAGAUGACUAAAGACUCCGUUCUCCGGAACAAUGGAGCGAGCAACUGACUUAUUGGAAAUAAUACAUACUGAUGUAUGCGAUCCGAUGAGUGUUGAAGAUCGAGGCGGGUAUCGUUAUUUUCUGACCUUCACAGAUGAUUUAAGUAGAUAUGGGUAUAUCUACUUGAUGAAACAUAAGUCUGAAACAUUUGAACAGUUCAAAGAAUUUCAUAGUGAAGUGGAAAAUCAUCAUGACAAGAAGAUAAGGUUUCUAUGAUCUGAUCGCGGAGACGAAUAUUUGAGUUACGAGUUUGGUCUUCAAUUAAAACAAUGUGGAAUAGUUUCACAAAUUCAUGCCACCUGGAACACCACAGCAUAAUGGUGUGUCCGAACGUCAUAACCGUAUUUUAUUGGAUAUAGUGCAAUCUAUGAUGUUUCUUACCGAUUUACCACUAUAGUUUUGGGGUUAUGCAUUAGAGACAGUUGCAUUCACGUUAAAAAAGGGCACCAUCUAAAUCCGCUGAGACGACACCGUAUGAACUGUGGUUUGGCAAGAAACCAAAGUUGUCGUUUCUUAAUGUUUGGGGUUGCGAUGCUUAUAUGAAAAAGUGUCAUCCUGAUAAGCUCAAACCCAAAUCGGAGAAGUGCAUCUUCAUAGGAUACCCAAAAGAAAAUGUUGGGUACACCUUCUAUCACAGAUCCGAAGGCAAGAUAUUCGUUGCUGAGAAUGGAUCCUUUCCAGAGAAGGAGUUUCUCUCGAAAGAAGUGAGUGGGAGGAAAGUAGAGAACUUGAUAAGGUAAUUGUACCUUCUCCCUUAUUGGAAAGUAGUUCAUCACAGAAAUCUGUUCUUGUGACUACUACACCAAUUAGUGAGGAAGCUAAUGAUGAUGAUCAUGUAACUUCAGAUCAAGUUACUACCGAAUCUCGUAGGUAAACCAGAGUGAGAUCCGCACCAGAGUGGUACGGUAAUCCUGUUCUGGAAGUCAUGUUACUAGACCAUGACGAACUUGCGAACUAUGAGGAAGUGAUGAUGAGCCCAGAUUCCGCGAAAUGGUUUGAGGCCAUGAAAUCUGAGAUAUGAUCCAUGUAUGAGAACAAAGUAUGGACUUUGAUUGAUUUGCCCGAUGAUCGGGAAGCCAUAGAAAAUAAAUGGAUCUUCAAGAGGAAGACGGACGCUGAUAGUAGUGUUACUAUCUACAAAGCUAGACUUGUCGAAAAAGGUUUUUGACAAAGUUCAAGGUGUUGACUACGAUGAGAGUUUCUCACUCGUAUCUAUGCUUAAGUCUGUCCGAAUCAUGUUAGCAAUUGCCGCAUUUUAAGAAAUCUGGCAAAUGGAUAACAAAACUGCAAUCCUUAAUGGAUUUCUUAAAGAAGAGUUGUAUAUGAUGCAACCAGAAGGUUUUGUCAAUCCUAAAGGUGCUAACAAAAUAUGCAAACUCCAGCAAUCCAUCUAUGGACUGGUGCAAGCAUCUCAGAGUUGGAAUAUACGCUUUGAUAAGUUGAUCAAAGCAUAUAGUUUUAUAUAGACUUACGAUGAAGCCUGUAUUUACAAGAAAGUGAGUGGGAGCACUACAACAUUUCUGAUAAGUAUAUGUGAAUGACAUAUUGUUGAUCGGAAAUAAUGUAGAAUUAUUCUGCAAAGUACAAAGGAGUGUUUGAAAGGAGUUUUUUCAAAGAAAGACCUCGGUGAAGCUACUUACAUAUUGAGCAUCAAGAUCUAUAGAGAUAGAUCAAGACGCUUGAUAAGUUUUUACAAUGAGUACAUACCUUGACAAGAUUUUGAAGUAAGUUCAAAAUGGAACAGUCAAAGAAAGAGUUCUUGCCUGUGUAACAAGGUGUGAAAUUGAGUAAGACUCAAAGCCCGACCACGACGGAAGAUAGAAAGGGAGUGAAAGUCAUUCCCUAUGCCUCAAUCAUAGGUUCUAUAAAGUAUGUCAUGCUGUGUACCUAUUGUAUACCCUACACUGAUUUUGGCAAGGGAGUACAAUAGUGAUCUAGGAGUAGAUCACUGGACAGCGGUCAAAAUUAUCCUUAGUUGAAUAAGGAUAUGUUUCUCUAUUAUGGUGGUGACAAAAAGGUUCGUCGUAAAGAGUUAUGUCGAUGCAAGCUUUGACACAGAUCUGGAUGACUCUAAGUCUCGAUCUAGAUACAUAAUGAAAGUGGGAGCAAUUAGCUAGAGUAGCUCCGUGCAGAGCAUUGUUGACAUAGAUAUUUGCAAAAUACUUACGGAUCUGAAUAUGACAGACCCGUUGACUAAAAUUAUCUCACAAGCAAAACAUAAUCACACCUUAGUACUCUUUGGGUGUUAAUCACAUAGCGAUGUGAACUAGAUUACUGACUCUAGUAAAACCUUUGGGUGUUGGUCACAUAUCGAUGUGAACUAUGGGUGUUAACCACAUAAAGAUGUGAACUAUUGAUGUUAGAUCACAUGGCGAUGUGAACUAGAUUAUUGACUCUAGUGCAAGUGGGAGACUGAAGGAAAUAUGCCCUAGAGGCAAUAAUAAAGUUAUUAUUUAUUUCCUUAUUUCAUGAUAAAUGUUUAUUAUUCAUGCUAGAAUUGUAUUAAACGGAAACAUAAUACUUGUGUGAAUACAUAGACAAACUAAACGUCACUAGUAUGCCUCUACUUGACUAGCUCAUUGAUCGAAGAUGGUUAUGUUUCCUAACCAUAGACAUGUGUUGUCAUUUGAUUAACAGGAUCACAUUAUUAGGAGAAUGAUGUGAUUGACAUGACCCAUUCCAUUAGCUUAGCACCCGAUCGUUUAGUAUGUUGCUAUUGCUUUCUUCAUGACUUAUACCUGUUCCUAUGACUAUGAGAUUAUGCAACUCCCGUUUGCCGGAGGAACACUUUGUGUGCUACCAAACGUCACAACGUAACUGGGUGAUUAUAAAGGUGCUCUACAGGUGUCUCCAAAGGUACAUGUUGGGUUGGCGUAUUUCAAGAUUAGGAUUUGUCACUCCGAUUGUCGGAGAGGUAUCUCUGGGCCCUCUCGGUAAUGCACAUCACUUAAGCCUUGCAAGCAAUGCAACUAAUGAGUUAGUUGCGAGAUGAUGUAUUACGGAACGAGUAAAGAGACUUGUCGGUAACGAGAUUGAACUAGGUAUUGAGAUACCGACGAUCGAAUCUCGGGCAAGUAACAUACCGAUGACGAAGGGAACAACGUAUGUUGUUAUGUGGUCUGACCGAUAAAGAUCUUCGUAGAAUAUGUGGGAGCCAAUAUGAGCAUCCAGGUUCCGCUAUUGGUUAUUGACCGGAGACGUGUCUCGGUCAUGUCUACAUUGUUCUCGAACCCGUACGGUCCGCACGCUUAACGUUACGAUGACAGUUUCAUUAUGAGUUUAUAUAUUUUGAUGUACCGAAGGUUGUUCGGAUUCCCGGAUGUGAUCACGGACAUGACGAGGAGUCUCAAAAUGGUCGAGAAAUAAAGAUCGAUAUAUUGGACGGCUAUAUUCGGACACCGGAAGCGUUCCGGGUGAUUUCGGAGAAAACCGGAGUGCCGAAAUGGUUACCGGAACCCCCCGGGGAAGUAUUGGGCCUUUGUGGGCCUAAGGGGAGAGAGAGGGAAGCAGCCCAGGAGGUGGCGCGCCCCCUCCCAUGGGGAGCCCGAAUUGGACUAGGGGAAGGGGGCGCGGCCCCUCUUUCCUCUCCCUCUCCCUCUCUUUCCUUCCCCCUUCUCUCUUCCUAGUUGGACUAGGAAAGGGGAGUCCUACUCCUACUAGGAGGAGGACUCCCCCCUCCUUGGCGCGCCCCAAGGGCCGGCCGGCCUCCCCCUUGCUCCUUUAUUUACGGGGGCAGGGGGCACCUCUAGACACACAAGUUGAUCUUUGUGAUCGUUCUCUUAGCUGUGUGCGGUGCCCCCCUCCACCAUACUCCUCGAUAAUAUUGUAGCGGUGCUUAGGCGAAGCCCUGCUACGGUAGAACAUCAAGAUCGUCACCACGCCGUCGUGCUGACAGAACUCUUCCCCGACACUUUGCUGGAUCGGAGUCCGGGGAUUGUCAUCGAGCUGAACGUGUGCUAGAACUCGGAGGUGCCGUAGUUUCGGUGCUUGAUCGGUCGGGUCACGAAGACGUACGACUACAUCAACCGCGUUGUCAUAACGCUUCCGCUUUCGGUCUACGAGGGUACGUGGACAACACUCUCCCCUCUCGUUGCUAUGCAUCACCAUGAUCUUGCGUGUGCGUAGAAAAGUUUUUUAAAAUUACUACGUUACCCAACAUGGCCAUCUCCAACUCACGAGCGUGCAAGAGAGAAAUCAUGAGACAGUAAUGAUUUAAUUUGGUUUUGCAAUGUUUUUAUUUUAAAAAUAGUUGGUUUAUCUUUGUAAAAUAGUUAUUUACAUGAGAAUUAUUGAACAAAAUAGUUUUUAAAGAGAAAUUUGCAUUCAAAAAGUCUUCAUUCGUAACCAAGCUACGAGUUCACAUUUGCUCUUUUUCCGCGUUUGAAAAUUGAUUGCAGUUUUACUUAACAAAGCAAAAAAAUUGUUCAUUUUUACCACAGCAAAAAGAAAAGAAAUAUCAGGGUGUUUUCUUUUUUUCAUUACUAGCCUUUUUAUUCAUCUUUUUGGGCUGUUAGGGGCUGGGAAGGUGUUCAGGCUAGGGCUUUUAUCAUUCCGAACGAGUGGGUUCGACCGUUACCCCUCCCAUACCGAACGAAACAUUCGAUCUGGGGUGCUCCCAAACCCCAUAUCGGGUCCUAAAUUUAAAUAUAUUUUUUGCCAUCGCAAUCCUCAAUUGGCAUGGCAAAUUUUAGCUAAAUAUAAUGGCAAAUUUUCACUUUUAUUGCCAUGGCAUUUCUUAAUCUUUUUUAUUUUCCAUGGCAAUUUUACAAAUUUUCAUGCCAAAAUUACCUAUAUCUAAAUGGAAAAUAUUUAACUAUUAUUGCCAUGGAACUUUCACAUUUAUUUGCUUACCAAUACUGCCUUGGAAAAUUUACUUAAACCGCCUUGGUAAUUUUUACUCUUUAUUUUCCAUUGGCUAAAUUAUCUAUAUCAACAUGGGAACAUGGAAAAUUUCACUUUCAUCUUUUUUCAAGGGAUUUUUACUUACAAAGCAACUUGCCAUGACAUUUUUUCUGUGCCAUUGCGUCUUUUUGUCCAUGGCAAAAUCUAUUUUGUGAAAGACGAAUGUCAUUCUCUGGUUUGCAUCAAUGGGAUUUUUUAGUUCUCAAUUUCCCCCUUUUUAAUGGCAAUUUUUUUUUGCAUAGCAUAGCAAAGUCUGGUCUUUAUUUCACAAGCUUAAAAUAUGUCUUUUAGUCACAGUACAAACUGGGCCAUAUUGGGCUCUGUGCUUUUACCCCUCUUGAUAACCCCUCUUGCCCUCCCUCCUAUAUCAUAAAAGCCGCCCGCACUCCAUCGCCUCGCCGCCGUUCCCCGCAACCCCCUGUCCUCUGUCGACCCAAUCUCACAUCGAUCACCCGGUGCUUCGUCCUCCUCUCCAGAUCAAAUCUUACGCCCGCUCGCCCGAGGUGAGCACAUGCUUGUACAUCCCGAUCAGCCUGGAGUUCCGAUUGGUUGGUAGGCGCUGGUUCGUAGGUCUCGGAUCCAGCCAGCGUGGUCUCCCUCCGCCUCCGGAGUUGCUCGUUCCGAUUGUGGUUGGUAGGCGCGGCGCGGCGCCGUCUUGUAUCCUGCCUGCCUCUGGCUUUGAGUAUUCAUUCGUAUGAGGAGGAACCUCGACUAGGAUAGGAUUUAAUUAGUUAGGGUUUGUUUGUUUGGUAACACCACCUAGUUAGGGUUUGUUCGGUUAUCCGUAAUAAGGAAUCAAUCUGACGUUUUAGGGUUUAGGGUUUGCUUGGUUGUGGUCAGAUUUUGGUUUCUCAAAAGGUGUAUGAAUUCUUCAACUGUGCCUGUACAGGAUAGCUGGAUAAGGUAUUAAUUUGGAUGGAAUUCAUGCUAUGUUGUUCGAUUUCAGUUUAUGCCUGCCAGAAUGUUAAAUUUUUUGUUUUAUCAACUGUGUUUGAGCGUACUAGAUUUUUUGUUGCAUAUUCAUCUUCUUGCUCUGUUUGGAUAGGUAACAAUUAAUAUUUGGGAUCCUAAAAUAUCUAUGCACUGGCAGCACUUAACCUGCAGCUGCUGAUUAAUGUUGUAGUCAUAUGUGCUGCUUUCCAGCUCUCUUGUUUGGAUAGGUAUUUGGUUAUCGUUUGUAAAUGCUGGUUUGGUUUUCUGUGCUCACUAUGCCCUUGCACAUGGGAUGCAAUUUUUUUAUUUCCCUUCUGUUUAGUUUAUUGUUUCCUUUGAUGGUGAUGCAAUUUUGUUGCUCACACAAUAAUACAAUGAAUGAUGGCAUCUCUAUCUACUUUGAACCAAAAUAUAUUAUAUUCCCCCCUCUGUUAAUUAUUUUUCUGUUUUGGGUAUUCAUUCAUUUUGUUUAGUUGCCUAUCAGUAUAAAUACAUGGCUGGAUUGCUUUCACUUCAUAUUAAUAACUAUUCUGUCGCACAAUGCAAAUAUACAUAUGCUGUCCUAACUAAUUAAGUAGAAGCUUGGAUUGGUGCUGUAUGGUCUCUUCCUGACAUUAAGUCCUCCUCUGUUUGUGCUGUCUGUUUCUGCUGCUGCAGUCUUCUUCGCCGCCAAAAGGAAAUGAUGCUCUACAAAAUCCACUCCCAUGCCCAAAUCCAAGACCUGCAGGCCCGCUCCGAUGAGCUGGGCCACUCCAAUAAGUCCAUGCUUGUGAGUCUUGUCUCUCUGGAGUCGGUGCGCAUAGCGCGCGAGUCGUAUGCACUCCUCCGCCCGCUGAUCAUGGAGUCGAGGUCCUGGGAAUGCCCGCAGGUGGAUUCCCUCUCGGACGUGGCAGGCUUGUCGCUGGAAAUCCAAAAGCUCGAGCAUGAUGUGUUACCCCAGCUCAAGCUUCAGGAGGGUAAGCUGGAACGGGGUGCCCUGGAAGCCCUCCUACUCAUGAAGAACUCAGCAAGUAAGCUCUUACAUUCGAGGAAGUGCUUUGAGGAAGCCUUGGGCGUAUUGCUUGCCAAGGAGGAUCUGGUCUCAGCCAAAGUCAAAAGGCCGAGCAUGAUGCUAAACGAUACUGCUGUUCAUGUACUCAAAGCUAACAACACUCGCUUGUUUAAGGAGCUUGUCCAGCUGGUCACCGAUGUGUUGGAGACCCCGGUUCGUUUCUGUGAUACUCGUAAGCAUAAGUAUUCUGAUGAGUAGACUUAUCAGCCAGCUCGAGGCUGUUGUGAUGAGUAUUUCUUAGGGGCGUGGCAAACAGUUUAGAAUCAACCCUUUAUGUUUGGAUGUGUUAUUAAUGGAUUUUAAAUGAUAUGUAUCUUGGGUAGUGUUUUCUCAUUCUGUGCUAGUCGGGUACAACUUGCAAUUACUUUCAGUUUUUUUUUUUGAGAAAUACAGUCACAUGGAGGUAUUCGCUCUUUUUGGGAAUAUAUGCCAAAAGAAUAUAGUAUCUUAGAAAAGAAAUCCCAAAUAUAAGUCUUUUAAGAGGUUUCACUAAAAGACUACAUACGGAUGAAUAUAGGAACGUGGAUGGAUUCACUCAUUUUGCUCCGUAUAUAGUUUUCUACUAGUGAAAUUUCUUAAAAGACAUAUAUUUAGGAACGGGGGGAUCUGUGAGUGUCCAUGAUUAAAGCUUUGCAAAUACCAUAAACAAAACAUCACCUUGUACAUAUAAAGUGAUGAUUAUUUUUACACUAACCGGUUUGGCAAGUAGUACUUCCUUCGUAAAUAAAGAAACAUAAGAGUGUUUGGAUUAUCAUUUCUUUAGAGAGGGAGUAGUAUAUAUAUAGAAUUGAAUUAAUAAUCUCUACUCCUAAAGUAUCAGUUGGUCGUCUCUGUUCAUCGGUUAAUUUUCGUCCCACCAACACCGAUUUUUUUUCGUGCUCCCUCCCACCCAACCCCCGGGCCAUCGAACAAAAAAAAAAGGGUUGGCUUAGCUAUGCCCCACGAAGUCAAGGGGCCAAACAUCCGAUUGAAACAGAGAGAACCGGAUGAAAAAAAAUCUACGAAAAAAGACCUACGAAAUUAAACCAGCGAAAAAAAUGAAUCGCACGCAGGUAUACGAGCGAUUCCUCCUUCCUUCGAACCACUCGCACGCUCGAUCCCUUCGCCGCCGCCGCUCCAUCCCUUCGCCCCCACCGCUCGAUCCCUUCGCCGCCGCCCUCCCACAUCAAAGCCGCCACCGAUAUGCCCUGCCGGAUCUCGCCUCAGCCCCGCCGUCUUGUGAUCUGGAGUUCACAGCCUCUGCCGCCGAUAUCCUCGCACGCGUUAGGGUUCCUGCGCCGCCGCCACACAGGAGCUCGUCGACCAGCCCAGCGUGCUGCUGCUCCGCGCUCGCUUCCCUCGUCGGUCGCCUUUGGACCCCUCGCUUCAGACUCCGCGCCAAGCCGCCGCCUCUUUGCCGAGAAAGAGGGCUCCCGAUCUCCGCCGUGGUCGACCAUCAGCGCGAUUGGCAGAGCACCCAGCCCGUAGGCUCAUCCCCUUCUUGGAUCCACUCCGGCAGCGGCCAUCAUCGGUACGUUCCGCUCGUGAUAUAUUGGUGUAGGAUCAUCCCCUUCUCUUUAUCUAAAAAGGCUAUUCUACAUACGCCAAGGAGAAGAUGCUCACCUUCUCGCCCCUGUUGGAAAUAUGCCCUAGGGCAAUAAUAAAUUGGUUAUUAUUAUAUUUCCUUGUUCAUGAUAAUCGUUUAUUGUCCAUGCUAUAAUUGUAUUGAUAGGAAACAUAGAUACAUGUGUGGAUACAUAGACAACACCAUGUCCCUAGUAAGCCUCUAGUUGACUAGCUCGUUGAUCAAUAGAUGGUUACGGUUUCCUGACCAUGGACAUUGGAUGUCGUUGAUAACGGGAUCACAUCAUUAGGAGAAUCAUGUGAUGGACAAGACCCAAUCAUAAGCCUAGCACAAAGAUCGUGUAGUUCGUAUGCUAAAGCUUUUCUAAUGUCAAGUAUCAUUUCCUUAGACCAUGAGAUUGUGCAACUCCCGGAUACCGUAGGAAUGCUUUGGGUGUGCCAAACGUCACAACGUAACUGGGCGGCUAUAAAGGUACACUACGGGUAUCUCCGAAAGUGUCUGUUGGGUUGGCACGAAUCGAGACAGGGAUUUGUCACUCCGUGUGACGGACAGGUAUCUCUGGGCCCACUCGGUAGGACAUCAUCAUAUGCGCAAUGUGACCAAGGAGUUGAUCACGGGAUGAUGUGUUACGGAACGAGUAAAGAGACUUGCCGGUAACGAGAUUGAACAAGGUAUCGGAUACCGACGAUCGAAUCUCGGGCAAGUACAAUACCGCUAGACAAAGGGAAUUGAAUACGGGAUUGAUUAAAUCCUCGACGUCGUGGUUCAUCCGAUGAGAUCAUCGUGGAACAUGUGGGAGCCAACAUGGGUAUCAAGAUCCCGCUGUUGGUUAUUGACCGGAGAACGUCUCGGUCAUGUCUGCAUGAUUCCCGAACCCGUAGGGUCUACACACUUAAGGUUCGAUGACGCUAGGGUUAUAAAGGAAGUUUGUAUGUGUUUACCGAAUGUUGUUCGGAGUCCCGGAUGAGAUCCCGAACGUCACGAGGAGUUCCGGAAUGGUCCGGAGGUAAAGAUUUAUAUAUGGGAAGUCCUGUUUUGGUCACCGGAAAAGUUACGGGUUUUAUCGGUAACGUACCGGGACCAUCGGGAGGGUCCCGGGGGUCCACCAAGUGGGGCCACAAGCCCCAGAGGGUUGCAUGGGCCAAUUAUGGGAGGGGACCAGCCCCAGGUGGGCUGGUGCGCCCCCCCCCACAAGGGCCCAAGGCGCCUAAGGAGAGGAGAGGGGGCAAACCCUAAGGGCAGAUGGGCCUUAGGGCCCAUACCUGGUGCGCCUCCCUCUCCCCCUCCACCUGGCCGCCACCCAGAUGGGAUUGGGGCUGGCUGCCGCCCCUAGGGUGGAACCCUAGAGGGGGCGCAGCCCCCUCCCUCUCCCCUAUAUAUAGUUGAGGUCUUUGGGGCUGCCAACACAAGAGUUUUGACCUCUCCCUGGCGCAGCCCUGCAUCUCUCUUUCCUCCUCUCCCGCGGUGCUUGGCGAAGCCCUGCAGGAUUGCCACGCUCCUCCACCACCACCACGCCGUCGUGCUGCUAUUGGAUGGACUCUUCCUCAACCUCUCCCUCUCUCCUUACUGGAUCAAGGCGUGGGAGACAUCACCGGGCUGUACGUGUGUUGAACGCGGAGGUGCCGUCCGUUCGGCACUAGGAUCUCAGGUGAUUUGGAUCACGACGAGUACGACUCCUUCAACCCCGUUCUCUUGAACGCUUCCGCUUAGCGAUCUACAAGGGUAUGUAGGUGCACUCUCCUUCCCCUCGUUGCUGGUUUCUCCAUAGAUAGAUCUUGGUGACACGUAGGAAAAUUUUGAAUUUCUGCUAUAUUCCCCAACAGUGGCAUCAUGAGCUAGGUCUAUUGCGUAGAUUCUUUGCACGAGUAGAACACAAAGUAGUUGUGGGCGUUGAUUUUGUUCAAUAUGCUUACCAUUACUAGUCCAAUCUUGAUUUGGCGGCAUUGUGGGAUGAAGCGGCCCGGACCGACCUUACACGUACACUUACGUGAGACAGGUUCCACCGACUGACAUGCACUAGUUGCAUAAGGUGGCUAGAGGGUGCCAGUCUCUCCCACUUUAGUCGGAUCGGAUUCGAUGAAAAGGGUCCUUAUGAAGGGUAAAUAGCAAUUGACAUAUCACGUUGUGGUUUUGCGUAGGUAAGAACCGUUCUUGCUAGAAACCCAUAGCAGCCACGUAAAACAUGCAAACAACAAUUAGAGGACGUCUAACUUGUUUUUGCAGGGUAUGCCAUGUGAUGUGAUAUGGCCAAAAGGAUGUGAUGAAUGAUAUAUGUGAUGUAUGAGAUUGAUCAUGUUCUUGUAAUAGGAAUCACGACUUGCAUGUCGAUGAGUAUGACAACCGGCAGGAGCCAUAGGAGUUGUCUUAAUUUAUUUAUGACCUGCGUGUCAACAUAAACGUCAUGUAAUUACUUUACUUUAUUGCUAACCGUUAGCUAUAAUAGUAGAAGUAAUAGUUGGCGAGACAACUUCAUGAAGACACGAUGAUGGAGAUCAUGAUGAUGGAUAUCAUGGUGUCAUGCCGGUGACGAUGAUGAUCAUGGAGCCCCGAAGAUGGAGAUCAAAAGGAGCAAAGUGAUGAUGGCCAUAUCAUGUCACUAUUUGAUUGCAUGUGAUGUUUAUCAUGUUUUUGCAUCUUAUUUGCUUAGAACGACAGUAGUAAAUAAGAUGAUCCCUCAUUAAAAUUUCAAGAAAGUGUUCUCCCUAACUGUGCACCGUUGCGAAAGUUCGUCGUUUCGAAGCACCACGUGAUGAUCGGGUGUGAUAGAUUCUAACAUUCACAUACAACGGGUGUAAUACAGAUUUACACACGCGAAACACUUAGGUUGACUUGACGAGCCUAGCAUGUACAGACAUGGCCUCGGAACACAAGAGUCCGAAAGGUCGAGCAUGAGUCGUAUGGUAGAUACGAUCAACAUGAAGAUGUUCACCGAUGAUGACUAAUCCGUCUCACGUGAUGAUCGGACACGGCCUAGUUGACUCGGAUCAUGUAAUCACUUAGAUGACUAGAGGGAUGUCAUUUCUUUAGAGAGGGAGUAGUAUAUAUAUAGAAUUGAAUUAAUAAUCUCUACUCCUAAAGUAUCAGUUGGUCGUCUCUGUUCAUCGGUUAAUUUUCGUCCCACCAACACCGAUUUUUUUUCGUGCUCCCUCCCACCCAACCCCCGGGCCAUCGAACAAAAAAAAGGGCUCACUUAGCUAUGCCCCCACGAAGUCAAGGGGCCAAACCUCCGAUCGAAACAGAGAGAACCGGAUGAAAAAAACCUACGAAAAAAGAUCUAUGAAAUUAAACCAGCGAGAAAAACGAAUCGCACGCAGGUAUACGAGUGAUUCCUCCUUCCUUCGAACCACUCGCACGCUCGAUCCCUUCGCCGCCGCCGCUCCAUCCCCCACCGCUCGAUCCCUUCGCCGCCGCCCUCCCACAUCAAAGCCGCCACCGAUAUGCCCUGCCGGAUCUCGCCUCAGCCCCGCCGUCUUGUGAUCCGGAGUUCACAGCCUCUGCCGCCGAUAUCCUCGCACGCAUUAGGGUUCCUGCGCCGCCGCUACAUAGGAGCUCGUCGACCAGCCCAGCGUGCUGCUGCUCCGCGCUCGCUUCCCUCGUCGGUCGCCCUUGGACCCCUCGCUUCGGACUCCGCGCCAAGCCACCGCCUCUUCGCCGAGAAAGAGGGCUCCUGAUCUCCGCCGUGGUCGACCUGUUAGGUUGAUCUCUCCACCAAUGGGCCCAACGGCUCAUUGCGCCCUUGACCCACGCCCUGAUCGGGAGCGUCCAGCCCAAGCAAGGCUGGUGGGCCCCUAUCACGCAGUGCUAUAAAGAGGAGGUGGGGACCAGGGGCACAGGGUACGAGGUUCGUCGCCGCCACUGUUCCCCACUCCUAACCCUAAUCCGAUCCAGAGGGAGGCACUGAAGCGAUGGGAAGCGCCACCAGCCACUUCAUCGUCACCCUCUACACCAACCGUCGCUGCCCGUGCGCAGACCAUCACUGACGAACCAGCGAUGGCCGGAAGGCUAAGGUAGACACCCAAACAGAGAAGAUAUGCCACCGAUCUACUCCUAGUCGAUCCAGUAAGUCUAUCAAUGGUAUCAGGCCAUGUAGGCUAAGAAUUUUGGUACAAAGUGCAUACACAGAAAGAACAUCCCUCUCUCCCCACCCCUCCCCAAAGAACCCUAGCAGGGCAGAGACAAACAACAAAAAGAAAGCAAAAAGUUCACCGGCAGAGGGCCCAGGCCCCCGCCGGCAAAGUGCGCCGCCACUCCGGCCGCGCCAGUUCCUCUCGAUCCGAACGGGCAUCGGCUAGCCGAGCCGUCCGGACGAAGAACAACCCCGCAAGGGGCAAAGGGCACUGCGACCAAUCCGCUCGACAGCGGCGCGCUCACCGCAAGGUGGACGCGCAGCCGGCGAGGGGGAAGGCCACGGCGCCGCUGCCGUUCGCUCUGCCGUCGUCGAACUCGAAUGGGAGCAAAGGAGGCAGCAGGAUCUCUCUCUCUCUCGCCGGGGUGGUGGUGGAUGUAAAAAAGAGAACGGGAAAGGGAAGGGGGGGCUCGCGCAGCCGCAUCCCUCUCUGCCACUAGAUGCGGUGGACGGAGGGAGAAAAGGAAGAAGGAAUGAAAGGGGAAAAAGAAGGCAGCCAGGCUCGCGCGACGCAGCGCAGUGGUCGGUCGACACCGUUGCCGGCGUCCAGGGCACGGCACGGUGGCCCGGCGUUCGGGAUAGAGCGAGAGUCACGAGAGGGAGGUGAGCGGCGCACACGGGGGAAAUGAGCGAGGGUUUUCCCCUCGGCAGCGUCGCCAGCUGGUUUUAAUCCAGCGAGAUGCACGGGCCACCGUCAGAUCGCGUUUGACGACCAAGAUAGAAAACCUAAGGAGGAGCGGGCCUUUUUGGGCCAAAAGAGGCUGAGGCCAGCAGCAGUAUGGGCGUUGCCGCGCGAGCUGGGCCGAGGCCGCAGCCGCGCGCUGGGCCAGCUGCAAUUUUUUUUAGUAGUUUUAUGUCCAGUUAUUUUUGGGCAGAUUUACUAUAGCUUUUCUAUACAAAUUUUUCCAACGAAAAGUUUGUUUUGGAAAAUAGAAAAAAAAGGGUAAACAGAAAAGUUCUGAAAAUGAAAAUAGAAAAUUUUCAGAAAAAGAAAAGUUCAUGAAUUUUAUAAAGAAAUUUAAAAGUUCAUGAUUUUUUUAUUUGGUCAAAUAAAAGUUUCUAUAAAGAAUAUAAAGUCCAUGAAUUUUUUAUUCAUGUUUUCCGCUGCAAAAUAAAGAAAAGUGCUCUUUUAAGAGAAAAAGAAAAUUCUUAUGAAUAGAAUAUUGUAAAGUUUCGCUGCAAAAUAAAAGUUUUAUUCUCCAAUUAAAUUGGAACCAACAGGAAAAUUUAAUUAGAAGAACGGUUUUGAGAGAAGUUUUUUCACUUGUGGGUGAAAUCAGAUUCAUAUAGUUUCUGCUAUGACAGUAGAAAGAUAUUUGAUUAAAGGUUAAUUAUGGUAUUGUUAUUUUCUGACCAACGGUGAUGAUGACGAUAUUAUAAUUCUAUGAGUCUUAUGUUCAAAGCUUAAAUCUCUGAUAAAAGUUGUAUCAAAAUUUUCAGAGAACAGAUAAAAGAUCAAGAAAUGCUCUUGAACAAGAGAACUGUAUAUUUAUUGUUCCCGCUGUAAUAAAGUUGGUGAUGAUGGUUAUUUCUUAACAAAGUUGUUUAAUAGACAUACUAUGAAAAAAAAGUUUAUACUAUCAUCACAUUGUUUAUGAGUUAUAUGCAUUAUUUUCAUUUCCGCCCAACGGUGAUAUGGAAUUAAUGUAGAAGGAUGAUGUUUUGUUCUAAUUCUGCCCAACGGUGAUUUAGAAUAUAAAAGAAAGUUUUAAAAGUUUAAUGUGCAUAUUUUUUAACUAGUAAACAUGGGGUUAUUUUUAUGCUCAUUAUUGUUGAUUAUUGGUUAAGUUUUCUCAGACUAAAAGUUUUCCAUGCCUUCAUUCGUGAAAGCGAAUGGCUGGGUACUUGUGACCCGAGAGAUGACCAAGAAAGGUCAACGUAAGGGAGUAUGUUCUCUCUAGAGAAUGGCUUCAAAAGAAAAGAGAUAUAUAAUUGAGAGUCUUGCUCGACGAUGUCUUCAUGUACUCUCCAUGGAAAAAGAAUUCUCAUCUUCUAUGAGAUGCAAUAAGUGAGAUGCGUGAUUAAUUUGACCAACGUCGGAUUAAGCAUGUGUAUUAAAGAAUAUUCGGAUUUACUCCUAAAUUUGAUGAUUUAAUAUGUAUUCAAAAGAGCCAAUUCUGGCAUUUAUGUCCCUUACAGGGAAUUACCCGCAUGGCGGGAAAAGAUGAUUAUGAUAAAACCAGCAUGGCAGGAAAAGUCUGGGAAAAUCCCUGCGUAACCCGUAUGGCGGGAAAUUUUCUCAGACUUAUCAUGUAUGACAGGAGAAAAACAUGAUGACUCAUGUGCUUUUAAUGUGUCCCAUUCUGGGAGAAAAGUAUGGAGUAGCUAUUAUGCCUUCCUCGUAUCGACCGUACAUCUUAUGUGUAACGGUCAUUAAGCGCUCAAUAAAUCCGAAGAGAACAAAAGUUACAGACGAACCUGAAGAUAAGAAUGAUAUGCAAGUGUGACUUGCAAAAGUACUAAUGAUAAAGAACUCUGUUGAGUUUCUGAAAUGGAAUAAGGAAAAGGUACUCCCAUACCAGUUAACAGAUAACUUCAUUACAUAUGAAGUAAUCAAAUAAAUGAAGUAGAUACUCAAAGUUUCCUCAAUUCACAAGAGUUGUGAAUGGUUUUUCGAAAUUGUGGCAGAAAAGUUCUUGCCACAUUUCGAGGGGGAGAAAGAAAUAUGAGAUACCCAUUAAUGAAGAAUGUGAUCGUCUGGGGGAGUACGAUGAUCAUAAUAAUACCCCUAAAGAAAAGAAAUAGUUGUAUUCCUGGAUCUUUUGCAGUUCCGAAAGCAGACUAAGGAAUACUAAGACGAUGCUUAAAGUGCCAUAAAGAAGAAAAUUUUAACAGAAUAAACCCAAAUAAUAAAUUUUAAAGAUACGCCAUUCUUAGUGAAAAUGGAGUAAUCUGGAGGAGCAUGGUAUGAAGAUACCAAGACUCAAAUAGAUUGUAUCUGGGGGAGCAUGUUGUAUGACCUAUACAACACCCGUUGUUAGCUCUAUAAAGGAGGAAUGAUUAAACAUGGAUCUUGUGAUAAAGGUCCCUGUAAAACCUAUUGCCUCUUGGAAAUGAAAGACUAUAAAAUAAUUUGCCUCUUGGCAAUGACAGAGCAACAACAGCCCCAUAUGAAAGAAGUGCUAGUACCUGAGACUCAGAUGGUCUCAAGGAAUGAGAAAAUCAGAUACUUCUAAUUACUAUAAAGUCUAUGUUAGUGAAAUUCAAAUGGAGGUUGAUCCCACCUCAUUUAAAGCGCUCAAUCGAGCUUUGAGAAGUGUCUGCUUAUCUAAAUGAUAAGAGACUAUGUGAGAUGAAAAUUGGUGAAUUCUGACGAUGUUCGGGACUCAUAAGUAAUUUCCUAUGGAGCCAAAACAGUAGGCUGUUAAGAGUCAACAAGGACAAUGUGACUCCAAAGUAAAUACGUAAAGGUGUAAAACACGACUUAAAUCGAAAGGUUUUUGCGGGUUUACACUGAAUAGAUUACAAUAAGUGUUGGUAGCACAUCAUGAUCUGAGUUACAUCAGAUGAAAGAUAUUAUAAUUUGAGUUAUAUCAGAUGAAAAAGUAAAGAACACAGGGGAUACUGCCUGAAGAAGUCUUUUAUGGACUAAAGCAAUCAAAUGUUGUUUUGGGUUAAAGAAAAUGCGAGGACAAUUGUAUUCGUGCAAAGUUAUAGAAUGGGAAAUUCAUUUCCUAAUCAUGUGCAUGUGGAUGACAUCCUACUUGCUAGUGGUGAUGUCAACCUACUGCAGGAGGAGAAAAGAAGUUCUUGUCCUCAAAUUUCAAAAGAAUGUUCUCGGUAGAGUGUCUCUCGUUAUAAGUAUCGAGAUUCACGAAGAAAAGAAUAAAAGGGGGUAUUAGGGAUGUCGAAUGGACAUGCUAAGAAAGGUCUCUAAAGUAUGCAUGCGAGAAAACCUACGCCUGUUCUUACAGUCAAGGGUAAUGGAAGUGGAAGCUAUGGUGUUCCAAAAGUUGACGAGAAAAGAUUCAAACAUAUAUGGUACCAUAUGCUUUAGCUGUUGGAAGCUCAAUAUAUUGCCCUGACACAGUUCACAUAUCCGGGUUGUUUUGGCAAUGUCCAGUCCAUAUAUAGAUCACUGGAAUGGAGACAAAGAUAUCGGCCUCAUGCUGAAAGAAAUAAGUGCUCUCAAAAGAUUGUGAGUACAAAGACAUGACUUGUGAAAUGUAUAGCGAAAUCCACAAUUGUCGCUAACUUUCAUACUUGGAGGUUUUUGUGUGGAAAAGCUUCAAAGAAUGAAACAAUUAUCUUCAAUGUGAUGCAAAGAUAUUUUAUAGCUUGAUAUGAGGCUGAGGGACAGGCAAAAUGGUUAAGGAGACCUGUACCCGAAGUUGAUAAUGGUUGACAACAGUGAUAACUAUUAGUCUUUCGCUCCUGUGACAACGGGUCAAGUGUUGGUGCCAAACACAUUGACACAAAGUUAUACGUUGUUAAGGAGAAAGUCCGGAAUUAUGUUGAAAUGCUUGGAGCAUGAAAGCAACAGACAAGUAUUUGCAGAUCUGCUUAUUAAAGGCUUACCGCCCAGUGUGUUCGGAGAACACACAGUCGACAUGGGUUUUAUGGUAUAGUCUAACAUUUCCGGACAAUAAAAGGGCCCAAGGUUAAAGAAACUGUUUCAAAACAGAAGAGUGUGUUGUGGGUGUUGAUUCUAUCGGGAUAGACCGUGAUGAUGAGACAUGCUCUACAUGCAAAUCUGUGAUGGAACGAGUACUUUGAAAAGAGUUAUUUCGAAGUACAAAGUUAAAAGUAUAUGAUGAGAUCAAGGGGGAGAAUGUUAGGUUGAUCUCUCCACCAAUGGGCCCAACGGCUCAUUGGGCCCUUGACCCACACCCUGAUCGGGGGCGUCCAGCCCAAGCAAGGCUGGUGGGCCCCUAUCGCGCAGUGCUAUAAAGAGGAGGUGGGGACCAGGGGCACAGGGUACGAGGUUUGUCGCCGCCACUGUUCCCCACUCCUAACCCUAAUCCGAUCUAGAGGGAGGCACUGAAGCGAUGGGAAGCGCCACCAGCCACUUCAUCGUCACCCUCUACACCGACCGUCGCUGCCCGUGCGCAGACCAUCACCGACGAACCAGCGAUGGCCGGAAGGCUAAGGUAAACACCCAAACAGAGAAGAUAUGCCACCGAUCUACUCCUAGUCGAUCCAGUAAGUCUAUCACGACCAUCAGCGCGACGGGCAGAGCACCCAGCCCGUAGGCUCAUCCCCUUCUCCGAUCCACUCCGGCAGCGGCCAUCAUCGAUACGUUCCGCUCGUGAUAUAUUGGUGUAGGCUCAUCCCCUUCUCUUUAUCUAAAAAGGCUAUUCUACAUAUGCCGAGGAGAAGAUGCUCACCUUCUCGCCCCUCCCCCUACCGUGAUGUACGUGGAUGAAUCCGACGGCAACGAGGACGACCUCGUAGGAUCCAGCCACGGUUGUGCGGAAUUUCGCGGGGACGGAUCUACCCGGCCUCUCGUCCUAUCUGCCGCUGGUAGAGGCAUCCAUGUCCGAUGGUGUGAAUUUUGGCUGGUUCCAUGAGCACUUCGUUCCCUGCCGUGUAGUCUUCGUUGAUUCGGGAAGAUGGUGGUUGUCUGUUUAGCCAUUUCAAUCUGCUAUUGAUCAUGCUCAUUCUUGUUAUAUUCAGUUAUAUUGGAAACACCAUCUGAUUCAGUUAUAUUCUUGAUCAUGCUCAUGCUCAUCCUUAUUCAAAUAAGAAUACUUCUGUUUGGAGAGCUCGGGCGUCAGCUGUGUGGAAGCACCAGUUGAUUUGUAACUGGUCGGAAGGUGAGCUUCUCAUACUCGCUGCCGUCGAAGCACGGCACCUCGCCGCCACUUAUGUUGCGUGUUGUUGUGCUGUAGGUCCUUGGGGUUGGUUGCGGCAACUCGCGACUCGAAGACAUUUCGUGCAUGUGCUCCCCUGCGCUUGGUGACCAAUACAUCUACUCCGUCGUGAACAUGUGCUUCGUGUCAUACAGGUCGCCGCCAAGGGUGAGCUCGUGCAGCGGUACAGGUAUAGAUGUGCAUCCCAUAAGGGCAGCUACAGUUUCUUUCAUAAAGUUAUUUGUGUGAGUGCCCUGCAUAUUGAAGUAAACUGGAUCGGCUAAUCUUGAGUUCCUCUACCAAGUUAUAUUACUUCGACAAGAAAAGGUGCAGAAAGACCAUAUAAAGUACUCUGGUGACUCUCUCAAUUGAAAUAGAAUUUUUUUAGAUGCGUGAAACAUGCACAACGAUUUGCUCUAUUGAGUCUAUGUAUGUUGAACUAGCACUCGAAUUAUAGCUCAUGCCGGUAUACUAAUUUUCUCUUUCUCAUAUCAGCUCUCCUUCCUUUUGUCCAUUUUUCUUCACUACUACCUGAAGGAAACUGUACUGGAUAGCAGCCUAUCAUAUAUAGUUACAUGUACCGAGUGAUUUAGCUUCAUUUUAAUGAUACUAUCAACAACUAACUACUGCUGCGACAUAUUUGAUGCAACCUGUAAAAUAUUUUUUGUUUAAUUUCAGCAUAUCAUUUAUAUACUGAAGUCUCUUCUGGACAUGUUGUCUAAUUGCGUCAUGUAUGUUAGAUAUUUGUUCUAUAAUACUUGCCAUUGACUAUUUUCUUUUAUUUAGGUUAUGUGCAUUAUUGAUCAGCCAAUCUUGAGAGAGAGAUGGGUUGGCGUGAAUGGGAAGAAAACUACAUUGAAUGGACAAGAAGUAUGCCCUCAACUUUUUCAUGGUACUCCCUCCGUCCGGAAAUACUUGUCAUCAAAAUGGAUAAAAGGGAAUGUAAUCUCUUUUUAUCCAUUUUGAUGACAAGUAUUUUCGGACGGAGGGAGUAUGUCUUACUUAUUGUUCUUGUGAUUUUUCCAUCAGUUUCACUUUACAUUUCUUCUUUGCUUUUUCAUGGCAUCGGGAUGCCCACUGCCGACGGCGCUGCGUUGCUACCAAAGGGGCACCCUGCCGCGGCCGGGGACUCGCUGCCGUCGAAGCACGACACAUUUCCGUCACGUAUCUUGGGUGUUGUGGUGCUGCAGGUCCUUGGGCUUGGGUGCGGCAACUCGAGACUCGAAGAUGAUCUUCUGUGGUAGGGCGUCGCCGGCGGCGGCGGCACCUGUAUAGACCGUCUCGGUGUGACAGAAGAGUUCGGAGUUCACUCCGAGAAAGAAUUGCUUUGCAUGUACAUUUGCUGAAAGACUGAUGUGCUGAACUUUCGAUGAUUUCGAUUGGUCUCUAACAUAACCUUUCCUCUUUUUGUUGAUAUGUCCAAAAGAGAUCCUUAUUUCACCUUUUGUUUAUAGGUAUUCAACUUGAGGAAUUUCAUACUUUUGGAGUGGAGCUAUCAAAUAUAUGUGUGCUCGAUGUUGGUGUUUUAAUCCGGAUCUCUUGCUGAAGGUGCUCGAUGUUGGUGUUUGAAUACUGCUACCGUACUUCAAGGUCUGUAGCAGCUCUUACAAUGGAUUCUUUUUAAUGAUAGUACAAUUUAUUUUUGUUUCGAUUUGGUAUUGUUGUUCUGUUCACUUAACCCAUUCUGUAGCAGCAGCUUUUCAUGUCGUUUCCUCGCCAACAAAUGUCAUAAUUUAUCACAUACGUGUGCAAAUGGUUUUUUGGCUAUAGUAUGAGUAUAUGGUUCAGAGAAGUUCGGUCAGAUGCAAAGCAUGCUUAGCAUCUCAUAGUCGUAGGCUAUUCCUUUUAAAAUUGAAGCCAUCCAGGUUUUCAAUUAUGGAGAUGAUUUGGAAACUCAGCAUAGAAAAUUAUUUACUCUAAUGCAAAUUACACAUAUUAAGGCCUUUAUUCUUUUAUAUUAAGGAAUCCAGUGCAAGCAUUAGCCCAUCUUUAGCUGCUCAUAAGCAGUAUCAGUGAUAUAUAUAUAUAAGUACACUCUUGCUAAGAUUAAUCUUUGAUAUAUAUAAUUCAUUGCCUGGAUAUAGUUUGCUUUGAAUGUUUUUUUGCUCUUUAGUCUAUGAAGAAUUGCAAGGAGGAGGAUAAUAGAGCAGCAACCAGAGCUGACAAUUGGCCUGUAAAUGCAGCAAAGUUCUCCUAGAGGUGUGAUGUUGGUGGUGAUUUUCUUAUAUGGGGAUAUGGAUGUGGCGGGUCUAUGGGCACCAUGCUGACGCAGAGAAGGAGGUGCAGGUAGCGGGGCGCUUGAGGUGAGGUGGCUGCAGGGUCGCUCGAGAAGAACAGGCUCAUAAGCACCACCUGGAUGCCUUCGUCAUCAGCAAUGUGGACAAGGUGCAAAAGGGAUAUCUCCCUUACCUCUUAUUCAGCCUGGAAAAUUAUGCAAUGUUUGGUUUGGCAGAUUUAACAGUCGCUGGUUUGGAAAUUUGUUACGUAUAGAAGUAUAGGAAUAACAUGACUAAUAUUUAUUGAAUUUAUAGAGUUAUUGUUUUUUUCUACAAAGUCAGUUGUCACAUUAGAAGAACAUCGUCUAAAAUCUUGACAACAUAAAGGAGCAUAGAGUUAAUAGAUUAUGAAAUCCUGUAGUGCAUCAGAUGCACCCUUCACUAAUUUUUGAACACAUUUAUAUUAUCCAGGUUCCGACCUCAUUCCCUGUGAUGUUUGUCUUUUUUAUGUGGGCGAGGAAAACAUUUUUAGGAGUGAUACUCCCAAACUUUGAUUUCUUGGUUGUCGAAUCAUGGUGCUGAUUAGAUUUUACUUAACCUUAAUUAAUCUAUUUAUAUUGCGGCUUUGUCUUUUAGCUCAUCUUUUAGUUUCUCUUCUCCACUUAACACAAGAUUUUAUUGUAGGCUACCAAGUACAGUUAUACCACUUAUACUCUUUCUUUCUGAUUAUGCAAAGCUUGAUCUAUACUCAUUGAACUUUGUUAGAUAGUAGGCCCCCCUAUUAGUGUGCCUGAAUAUAAUUGUUUCUCCGUGUUUAUAGUAUCUUAGUCCAGUAGAAUGAAUGUUCUCGAGUAAUUAGAGGUAGUUGGAUCAAGUGAAUGUCUGAAUACCACUAAAAUCGAAAUCAUAAUUAAAAAAUACUGACCUUUUUCUUCAGGGCGUCUGUUCCUCCUCCCAUGGUCAGCACCACCACCUACUCUGAAUCUCCGAUCAGAAUAGUAUGAACUAUUAAAUAGGGAACUUAAUGCUUAUCAUUGUUGAUGUACAUAUGUACAACUAACAAUGUGUGUGCUGCAACCAGCUUACUUUAUUCCUUACUGAAAUUUAUCUUGAUUUAUUUCACAUCAGAUAGUUCUGAACCUAGAUGAUCUCAAUUAAGGUCAUUGAAAUUUGUUAAAUUAUUUUUAUCCGCUCUUCUGAACGAGCGUAUACUAUGAUCUGAUUUGUAUAUCAUAUUACUGAGGCAGCGCUGGGCCAUGUUGUGGUGAGAACAUACGAGAGAUAAUUGGGGUGUGUGGCUGAUUGCUUCAUAUGCUGCUAAUCAUAUAUGUAGACUGCUGAUUGCUCCUGAUAUACAGUGUCGAUUGCAGCUGAUAGUAGGAUUGUACUCAAUUUGAUAGGUAAAGUGGGAUGGCGGGAUUGUAUAGUGCUCAUAAGCCAGUCCGGGCAUUGUCCUUCCUCGAAUGAAUCUGAGACUACUCCUCAUAUGUUAAUCAGUUGCUCCUCCCUAGCUUUGGUUUGGUCUGAACUUCAAAGUUUUCAUCCAUUCAACGUUGAUUCAGUCAAAGAUCUCUUGGAAAAAUUAUUUCGACAAGAUUCACUCUAUAAUGUUGUUAUCAUUGUCCUCUGGAAUAUAAGGAAGCGCAAAAACUCCAAGGUCUCCUGGGAUGUUUUUGAGGAAUUGCACAUUACUGCUAGCAAGAUUGCUGCUGAUUGAUACCAUGGUCCAACAGGUAUUCACACGAAAUUAAUAAAUGGCACCUUACGGAUUGGAGUACUCCACUGUAUCACCUAUCUGGGAGAUUUUAAUUUUUUCCUUCUAUUAUUUCUCUUAAUCCCUGUGUACUCAUUGGACUUUGUAUAGUUCUCAGUUUUAUGAAGUGGUUCAGGCUGGCGUAAGCCGCCAUAGUCCCAGUAAAAAAAGGCUACAAGCUUCGCUUCGGCCUUUCGGAACUGAAUAUUAUGUAGUUUUAUUGAGAUUAUUGAUAGUGCUUCUCUACUAUCAAAGAAGGUAAUAGUCUCUUAUGUGUUUCUUUUUGUCCAUUUGAAUGCACUCCAUUUUUUAGUGUAUUAAUUAACAUCAAACCUCCCAUUCUUUCUAGAGUGCUGAUGUAUUAUUAUUUUCAGCUUAACACAUUUAACUUCCUAUAGAUUUCAUGGUUUAUGCAGAUUAACCGAGCUAAGAACUUUUGUGAAGCUAAAGCUGGUGUUAAGAUGAACGCCGCUAUGUAUAUAUUUGAAACAGUUAGAUACAUGCUUGACAGACUAUAUAGGGGUGAUCAAAACCAUGCAAAGCAUUAUGGGACAAGUUUCUCUACCUUAAAUAAGUGUGCGUUCUCUCGUGUUUACUAUUCGUUUAAGGGUCAUCAACCCGUGUAUUUAUUUUCAUUGACCAAGUUUUAAAUUUUUCUUCAGUAGUGUUCAUUGUGCAGUUCUAGAUUGUUAAGAGAGUAGAGUUUAUUGAUUUAUUACAUGGAGAGACCAGAAGUGUCGUAGUGGUCUUGACAUAAUUGCUAACAUUUUCUACUAGACAAAGUUUAAUUGCACUAAAUACAAAUUAGAACAUGCAUAGACAUUUAUCUUCUUUCUACAGAAUGGUUAGUGUAAACGUACUUUGAGUUGUACAUGAUUCUGUAUCUGACCAUUUUAUCUCAUAUGUUGAUGUGGUUGCAGAUAUGAACUUCAAAUUAUCCUGCAAUGUAUUGACUGCUCAGAGCUAACUUGACUACGCCAGUUUUCUUUUAUGGCUCAAAGUAGUUAGUGUCCCCCCUUACUAUGAGAGAGGUACUACUUCAAACAUCUCUUCUUAAUGUUUUAUGUCAUGGCAUACAGUAUGAGGGAGUGUUAGUUGGCUUGACUUUCGUGGCACUCAUUUCGAGACUAGUCGUCCAAUAUAUCAAUCUUUAUGUCUCGACCAUUUCGAGACUCCUCGUCAUGUCCGUGAUCACAUCCGGGACUCCGAACAAACUUCGGUACAUCAAAACUUAUAAACUCAUAAUAAAACUGUCAUUGUAUCGUUAAGCGUGCGGACCCAACGGGUUCGAGAACUAUGUAGACAUGACCUAGAACUAUUCUCGGUCAAUAACCAAUAGCGGAACCUGGAUGCCCAUAUUGGUUCCUACAUAUUCUACGAAGAUCUUUAUCGGUCAAACCGCAUAACAACAUACGUUGUUCCCUUUGUCAUCGGUAUGUUACUUGCCCGAGAUUCGAUCGUCGGUAUCCAAUACCUAGUUCAAUCUCGUUACCGGCAAGUCUCUUUACUCGUUAUGUAAUGCAUCAUUCCGUAACUAACUCAUUAGCUAUAUUACUUGCAAGGCUUAUAGUGAUGUGCAUUACCGAGAGGGCCCAGAGAUACCUCUCCGACAAUCGGACUGACAAAACCUAAUCUCGAAAUACGCCAACCCAACAUCUACCUUUGGAGACACCUGUAGUACUCCUUUAUAAUCACCCAGUUACAUUGUGACGUUUGGUAGCACCCAAAGUGUUCCUCCGGUAAACGGGAGUUGCAUAAUCUCAUAGUUUCAGGAACAUGUAUAAGCCAUGAAGAAAGCAAUAGCAAUAUACUAAAUAAUCAAGUGCUAGGCUAACGGAAUGGGUCAUGUCAAUCACAUCAUUCUCGUAAUGAUGUGAUCCCAUUAAUCAAAUGACAACACAUGCCUAUGGUUAGGAAACAUAACCAUCUUUGAUUAAUGAGCUAGUCAAGUAGAGGCAUACUAGUGACGUUAUGUUUGUCUAUGUAUUCACACAUGUAUCAUGUUCCCGGUUAAUACAAUUCUAGCAUGAAUAAUAAACAUUUAUCAUGAUAUGAGGAAAUAAAUAAUAACUUUAUUAUUGCCUCUAGGGCAUAUUUCCUUCAUCUCCUCCCCUGCUCGGUCUACCCCACAUGCAUGGCGUAUAACAUCCUCUAGCCCCAACUGCCGCCAAACCUCUCUAGCCUUAUGGCAUCAAAAUAGUACAUGACACACAUCUUCUGCUCCUUGUUUACAUGCAGGACACGGCGGCCGGACUGGGAUGUGUCUAUUAGCAAGAACCAUUUUGCAUGGCAGUGUUCCGUGUAAGGUUCUCCAAAGAAAUUUUUUAACUUUCGCCAGACAAUUCAGUUUCCAAACCUUUUCCCAUGUUGGGUUAGCACUAGUGGCUCCCAAACCAUGUGUCCUCUUCAAUUUACGGCCAUGCUGAAAGUACCAUAGAGCAUGGUAGGCCGAUUUCACUGUAAAAAUUCCAUGUUUAUUCAAACUCCAUGCUACAAAGUUACUCAUAUCAUGUGUAGGUAGUGGUAAAGCAAGGACCCGUUCCACAUCAAUCGAGAUGGUUUGCUCCACAAGUGGCACAUCCCAGUGACCUGUAGCUGGAUCAAUUAAAUCUCUCACCUUUGAUAGUAACUGGUUACCUCUUGGGGUAAUAAUCAUUCUGGAUGGUGAGUUAGGAAUCCACGCAUCCCUCCAAAUAUUUAUUUUUUCACCAUCCCCUACUCUCCAAAUGUAUCCAUGUUUCAGGGUAUUCACCCCUUGCAUAAUGCUCUGCCAAGUGUAGGAGGAAUUAUUUUUCAGCUUAAUUAAUUUACCAGCACAAGAAGCGGCCGUGCUGGGAGUGAAAAACUUCCAUGACUUGAUGUCCACUUGCUGCUGGUACCUUUGGUGGGAGAGGAGAAAGCUUGUGCACAAUGAGCCGGUACAAGAUGCGAAGAGAGUUGCGCAAGCGGUAUGUGCUUUAGCUGCUAACUAUGCUAUUGCAUGUGACCCAAAGGCCUCGUUAAAGAGGGGAGGUUGGUGCAAACCCCCUAGUGGAUAUGUUAAUUUAAAUGUUGAUGCGGCCUUUGAUUGGGAUUUGCUUCAGGGGGCGAUGGGAGCAGUCAUCCGAGAUGAUAGAGGACAUAUGGUUGUAGCUAGAAACAAGCUCAUUGAUUCCUGUUAUGAUGUACUAACUGUUGAGGCAAUGGCUCUGAAGUUUGGGUUGAAUAUGGCGCUCACAGCUGGGUGCAAUAGACUGAUUGUCAACUCGGAUAAUCUGGAACUCAUGGAAAUAAUGAAUAAGGAUGGCCAAUAUGUUGGAGAUGCCGCGACCAUUGUCGAUGAUUUUUAUCAUCUGGCUUGCGAAUUUAGCUCUAUUGUCUUCGAAUUUUGCCCCAGAGAGUCGAAUGGGGUUGCACAUGAACUAGCUAGGAUUGCUAGAAGUUCGCUUUGUAAUGAGUGGUUAGAUAAUGCUCCUUCUGAGCUUCUUCCCCUACUACUUAAAGAUGUAAGUCUGAUCACGAAUGAAUAAAGAGGAAGUAAAGUUGUCAAAAAAAAGAGCAUGGCAAUUUUAUUUUUAAUGGCAUGUCAUUCUUACCUUUAUUUUUGAGAAAAGCAUGUCAUCUUUACUAUGUCCUUCUCGCCUGAUGUAUGAAGUAGGCGGACCCUAGAUGGGCUUUCCCAAUAUGGGUUCCUGGGACCGGGUUCCUGCAGAGUUUUUUUUUCUUUUCGUCUUGUGUGUUUCCUGGGCCAAUUUUCAUCUUUUUGUUUGGUUUUCUGUCUUAUGUGUUUCUUUAUGGAUUUUAUUCUUUCUCAAUACAUGUCCAUUUUUCUAAAUACACACUGUAAAAAUUUACACAUCUUGAACAUUUUUUAUUAAUUGGCAUAAACCUAUUUUUGGAGUGUGUGAGCAUAUUUUAAUUGUCAUGUACAUUUUUCUGAAAGGCAGUAUUUAUUUUGCUGAAUUACGUGAGCAUUCUUUACACAUCUUGAACAUUUGUCCAUAUUUUUUUGAAACACAUGAAAAUAUUUUUGAAUGCUAUAAACAUUUUUUAUAUCAUGCUGCAUUAGGUCUAUAUUAGUUUAAACUAAGUCAGUGACAAUUAAUAUGGAUCAUAGAGAGUACAAUUUUGUACAUGAUGUUUAUAAUUUUAUAUUUCACUUUCCACAUUUUUUAUUUAUUAAACUCUAUUGUGUUUUUGGAAUAAGUGUAUUUAGAAUAUUUUUUAAAAAUGUAAAUAAAAUGGAGCGAAUGAAGAAGCAGAGAAGAAAAACGAAGGCCGGCCAAAUGUAUGGCUUUCCCUGCCUCAUACCUGCAAAUCAAGCUAAGCAGCGGGUGAUAAUUUUUUACACAAUGUUUAUAGUUUUCUAUUUCAAUUUGAACAUUUCAAAAUUUUAAGGAAAUUAUUAUUUUUAAAUAAAUGUUUUUAGUUUUUUUUAAUAAAAAGGUGAAAAAAAAGGAAAUUGAGCGAAUGAAGAUUGAAGAAGCAGAGAAGAAAAAUGCCCUUUCUUUCAUUAACUGAACUGCGUGCGUGCAUGGAAGGGCUAUCAUCUUUACUUAAGAGGAGUGACUUACCUAUCAUUGUGGAGAUGAACUCUAUUCUUGUAGUCAAACUGAUCCAAUCGAGGGAUUUGGACAAAUCUAUUUAUGCUUGGAUAGUUAAGGUGAUCAAGUAUGUUUUGGGGAUUCGUGGUUCUUGUAUUACUCAUGUAAAUCGCUCUCAAAAUAAAGUUAGCGACUGCUUAGCUAGAUUUGCUAAAUUAGAAGGACAAACCAUGACUUGGGUUGGUUCUGGUCCAGAUGUUGUUGUUGAGCUAGCUGUUGCUCAAUGUAUGGACACCAUGAGUUGAGUAAUGCAAAAAAAAAAGUUUGCGCAAAAUUAUUUUCAAUUUUUUUUUGAAAAUUUUAAAUAUGGUUUUUGUUUUUUUUCUUUUCAAAAAAAAUACCACACAAAUUUGGCAUUCGUUCCAUGGCUCAUAUCUCUACUCCUAAUGGACGACUUGGUGAAUAGUCUUCAUGGUUUAUUUUCGCUGGGUUUUUUCAUCAUCCUCCCACCUCACGGUUUCAAAAAAACCAACCAAAACUAGAGGCCCGUCCCACGAAACGAAACCCAAUUUGCCCUCGUACCACCACUCCUCCCUCUCCCUUGACCUCCCUUGUCUAGGGUUCCCCGGCACCACUGCGGCAGCCGCCGCCGAAUCCUAGGUCGCCGCACAUCGUCGCCGCCGCCGCGAAUCCCCAGGGACGCCGCACGCCACCGCCGUUGCGAAUCACCAGAGACGCCGCACGCCGCCGCCGCACGCCGCCGCCGCGGAUCCCUAGGGAUGCCGCCGCCACCGCCGCGGAUCUCCAAGGGCGUGGUCACGUUGUACUAGACAAAGUGUGUUCGUCGCCGGCCUCUCCUCGUCCGACCUUGACUUCACCCCUUCGACUCCGGUGACUCCUCUGUGGCCCGGUGGGCGCCAACUGUCGUGGAAUUUUCAUGGCAGAUGUCCUAGUGUGAGGACUUAGUCGUGAGGCCAACGCAUCUACGCGGUAGCUUGAAGGGAUUGGUCGGAAUCGAGAGAUGCGAGGCGGAUCAACACACAAGACAAGGAUUUAGACAGCUUCGGGCCCCAGGAAACAUCAUCCGGUAAUAGCCCUACAUGAUGUUUGUGGCUAGCUCUCAUUAUGCUCACGAGGGAGUCGCCGUAAACCGGCUCUCCUAGUUAUGUCUAGCCCUAGAGAUUGUUUCUUCUUGCUUGUCCCUCUUUGGGGAGCCUUGUCCCUCCUUAUAUAAGUUAGAGGGGCGGGUUACAUGUGGAGUCCUAUUAGGAUUAGGACUAGUCUACCUUCUAAUACAAACCGGAUACAAGUCCAGGUCUUAACUCCUUGUAAGACAAAUAUUUCUCACGCCUUUCCUCUUAAACCGGCCCACCAUAACAUGAGCCGGCCUUCUGGGCCUUGGGACUUGUCAUCCGUCUGUCCCGCCCGCCGGGUUACCAGUGAAUCAUAAUGUUCAGUCAGGUUGCUUGUAAACUGUCUGGUCAGUGCGGGUCGCCGGUGAAUCGCCAAGUCCGGCUGGGCUAUACUUCCGGCCGGGUUACGCCGCGGGGUAUAUCCCCGACAUCUCCCGUGAUAUCUGACGAUAUAUUUAUAAGUAAUGCGCAUGGAUGGUCCGUCCUUGAUUUUAGGGUGGCUUAGUCGGUUGGAAGAUUUGUUAGUUAGCCUAUUUAAAGGUAGCACGAUGCUCUGGUGCUAUUGUCAGGGCUUGCUAGCCCAGCGGAGGAGUCCCUAGUUCUUCUCUUACCCAAAGUAUUACGACCACCGUCUGUCAUUGCCGCAGUCGCCUGACACCAAAUCAACCAUGUCAUCGUCGAGCUCCAUUAGGUACGCGCUGAGGGGCCGAUCAGUUGAUGUGCCCCUGAUCCCUUGCCCUGACUGUGGCGAAACGGUUAGAUUCUAUCUCUCUAGUACCGAAGAGCAUGAUGGUUGGGUGUUCUACAAGUGCAAACACCACGAUGUACAAUCCCUUUACACUUUGGGUUGACAUUUACUGCAUGAGUAAUUUUUUCUACUGUUUCGUUAGUGCUGGUUUGAUUUGUGUUCACUUGAUUCAUAGGAUCCAUGUGAUUUCUGGCGCUGGGAACUAGAGUACGUGGAUCAUCUUGUUGGUACAAGUGUCCUUGUUGGUGCUUAUGCCCUUGACGCAAUGGCUGCGGCACAGGAUAGAAGGGAACAGCUACAGCGCGCAAAAAACAGUGGGAAAAGAAUGCAUGUACCAAGAGUGGCAACAUUGGAGGCAGGACAAAUUACAUUCAGAGCAAUGUGGCAACCAUUACGAAGCACCAAGCUUAUAUGAUGUUAGGACUAGGGAGACAAAUUGUUUUCAUGCUGAAGCUGUUGACGGCUAGUGUAAUGGUGUUGUGUGUGUUGUGUGUGAUGUUGAUUGUGAAGAAAUAAUAUAUUUGUGAUCGUAUCAAGGCGAUUAUCAUGGUUACAUGUAAUAACAACUUAAUAAGAAGGUGUGUUCUAACAUGAUAACUCUUAUACGCCCCCAACCCUAUUUUAACAUGACAUGUAAGAGUAAGAAAUAAAUCUUAUACGAUGAUUCCACGAAAUAGUUGUUUUGGUUAUUUCUUACGUUCUUGACUAUUAUGAGAAAAUAAGAGGUAAGACGGAGCAUGUUAAAAUUGUUAAAAAAUAAUGAAUAAACCGAGUUGCAAUGAAGGCAAUCGAAUGGAAAAACAUAAAUGACCAUUUAAAUUCUUGCCCACUAUGUUGUGCACAAACACAAGAGUACCAUGUUAACACCACAUACAAAUGAUUCCAACUUUUUUUCAUGCCCUCCCAUGAGCAAAUCAAGCAAACAUGCAAAUAUGGUUCUCAGUUUCGACAACUUCUCCACGUAUUGGGAUUUUUUUAUCAAAAAUGCCUGAAAACUGGCCCCACGUGACAUUAGUUGCAAACUUUACUAAGAAUACAUCAAACUUGGCAUGGAGGACUAACAUGACCAUGAGUUGUUACCCCAAAAUUUUUGUGUUGAUUUAAGAAAUGUCAACAAACCAGCAUGUGUCUUCUCAGAGGAUGCCAUGUUAGCCCAAAGGAAGGGCGCGUAUUGGAGCACCUCCGUCUUUACAAUAUCCACAAAUGAUGCCAACUUUAUUUCAUGAUCUCCCAUGAAAAAAUCAAUAAUGCAUUCACAAAGAUUUUUAAUUUGGCCAACAUUUAUAAUCCUUCUGCAAUUUCGAAACGAAAAAGAAACAUCGUCUGCAUGGUCUACCCCCCUAGCCACACAUCGAAAGCAUGGGGCACAUGAUGCAUUACACUUUGUUUGUCUUAUGGUGGACCUAGUUGACACACCAGGCCUAGUUGGAUCAUUGGCCUACACCGGAUUCCAUGUCAUGUGAAACCUCGGCCACAUCAACUGCUCCCGUCUAGAACCUUCGAACUGCACUUUCCACUUUGUGAAGCAAGUACAACAUGAAAUUUGUGAAAUUUCCCCAAGCUUUUAAAGUGCAUCUCAUGACAAAAUCAAGUAAGCAUGCAAAAAUGCUAUUCAGUUUACACAGAAUUUUGCAUGUACAGUAAUUUUUUCGGCCGAAAAUACUAGAAAACUGGCCACAUGUGAAUCAUAUUGCAAACUUUACAAAAAAAUGGUUCAAACAUGGCAUGGAGGCCUAACAUGGCCUUCAAUACUCACCCCAAAAAGUUGGGUCAAUUUCAUACAGGCCAGGAUAGUACUAUAGCAUCUGCUCUCAAAGCGCGCCAGGCUCGGCCGGAAGGGCUUGUGUUGGGGAACCUCCAUGAUCACACCAGCUUCAUAUUUGGUAAAAUAUAUUUCAUGGCCUCCCAUGACCAAAUGAAGCAUGAACACAAUAAUUGUAAGCUUCUACUAGAUUUUCCAUUUUCUUCCAUUUUUCGGUCAAAAAUGCCCGAAAAGUGGCCGCAAUUGCCAAAACUUGGAAAUUUUGCUGAAACUCGUUUUAAUGUUGUCCUAGAAGCCUGUAAUGUAACAUUUUCCUUUGCAUGUCAUAAGUUGGGUUCAAUCCACAUGAAACAUGAUCUACUUGGUUUGUACAUUCGACAGUGUAGUCGCGCUUCUGACCGGGAGCUUUACAAAGGUUCUCGACGGAGGCAGCGCGUGUACCGCAUCGACUCCAUGGAUGGAAUCCAAUUUGAACCAAUGUUCGCACUUGGUAUGGUAUCAAUUAGGUCCACCCUUAGGCAAAGAAGCUUGAAGGCAUCAUGUGCUACCACUUUCGAUGGUUGUCUAGGGGGGUAGACCGUCUGGGAGGAAAUGAAAAAAUCAUGAAAAUCAUGUGUAACCUUGAACGCACUGUGCAUGCAUGCUUGAUUUGGUUCAUGGGAUGGCAUCAAAAUAACUUGGAAUCCUAUGUACAUGGUAUAUUGAAGGAGAUGGCCCGAGACGGGCCCUUCCGGGCUAUCCUUGUACCCUCCGAAAGCACGUGUUGGUUUAUUGACCUAUAUUAAAUGAUCGUCAAGUUUGUAGGGUUACAAUCCAUGGCCAUGUUAGGGAUACAUAUGCCAAGUUUGAACCAUUUUCAUCUAAGUUUGCAAGUUUUUUCAUGUGUAAAUCUUAGUCUAAACUGAGAAGCAUUUCGCAUGGUAGCUUGUUUUGGUCAUGGGAUUCCAUGGGAAAUAGUAGACAUCAUUUUGUAUUGUAGAUGAUCUACUAUAAACAUGGGGGUGCCCCCAAACACGUCCUUGCGGCCUUGACAUGCACCCUCCAAAAUCACAUGUUGGUUUGUUGACCUACCUGAAAUCAACCCAACUUUGCAGGGUUGCAAGCCAUGGUAAUUAUUGGGGUAAGUACAAAUUUCAACCAUUUUUAGCAAAGUUGCAAGUUUUGUCACGUACGGACAAUUAUCGGGCAUUUUCAGAACAAACAACAUAUUUUAUACCACUUAAAAAAUGCAUUCCUUUCUCGAUGACACAUUUGUUUUUUCUUCAGAACAUUACAUUUGUUUUGGCCAAUUACAUGCUAAUGUUUCAACCUCCCAUAACUCACGCCACCCAGAUCUCCCGAAAUCCCAUGAUUACAGCUCCUCCCUCGUAACCACCCGCGGCAUCCAGGUCCCGUACCACCUCCCACGACUGCUGCAAGAUCAGAUUGUAGCCGCCGCCCACCAGGAACAUCGCCUGAGGGGUCGGACCACAGUGGUGUUGUCGCCGUCUCCUACGCGCGUUAACGCGCGCUGCUCCUGUUGCUGCCGUCGAGCGCCACACAUCCACAUCUAGUGUGGGACGCACUAUCCGCGUGGAGCAUUGGGCCGCCACCAUCGACGACAGAAUGUUACGUGAUCAUAGCUCUUUUGUAACCUUUCUUGGACACGCAUGUCUACUAGUAAAGCCCUAAUAGGUUUCCCACAAGUUAUUCCAGUCGUUAAGAUUACCUGAUCAUAUCUCUCAUUAAUAACUAUCAACAUGAUCAAUCUUGGCACACUACACGAACGUCCGAAGAGGUAAUACUACAACAAGGGUAUCUCUUUCAUGAAAUAACAUGUCGUAUGUUUAUGCAAUCCCAAAACCCUAGUUGAACUGUCCCAAUGUUAUGCAUGACCAAAAUCUGUGGUGUGCUUAAAGUUACAUGUAGUUCAUAUUAUUUAAUAAACUCAUCCAUGCUUGCGUAUAAGAAUCUAUUUUUGUUACACAUUUCUCAAUGUGAAGGUCAAAUAAAUUGAACUGGUUUUGCUUCUGUUCCAUAGGUGCAGUAAAAUGGAAACUACUGUUAAAAGUGCUAUUAAUGGAGAAAAAUACGUCUCCGAAAUGACCGAUGAGGUACAUAGUUGACAUUUCGUUUGAAAACUGUACUUGCAGACACUUCUUUCAUACUCGAUAAAAUUUAUUGCUACUUUUAAAGGAAAUCUUGAGGAAGCACGGCCAAACAAAGUUAGUGUGCUCAUCGUCAAGGCUCGCCAAAGUCAUGAAAUUGUUGUCACCAGAACACAUAGAGAAAAUCAUAAGCGAUACCGGUCUUGGGUGUCUAAACAUGAUUCGUGAAUUUAAACUCCGGCGCAUUAUGUGGUAAGACUAACAUAGAGCUUCAAUAGUGAGACAUCGUCCAUUACCAUAGGUAAAACACCCAUUCCUAUCACCACAAAAGACGUGCACCAUAUAUUUGGCCUUGCGAUAGAAGGGGAGGAUAUUGAUGAAAAGCUGCAAAGCACGCCGGAUCCAAAUUUGUUUAACACAUUUCAAAACAAUGGGAGCAUUGAUCUGGCUGACCUUGAGACAGCGGUCUUAAGUUCCAAACCUUCGGACAAUGAUUUCCUGGCGCGGUUCGUUCAAUUCGCUAUUGGCACAGUUUUAGCACCAACAGCACAAUGUUAUGUCGACGCGAAAUACCUUCAACUUGCUGCGGAUAUUAAAAGCCUUCGAAAAUUGAACUGGGGAUGUUUCACAAUGAAACACUUGUUGAGGUACAUACACAAAUUUAGCUCUCUUGAUCAAGUAUCUCUACAGGGAAAUCUACCUCUGCUUCAGGUUAGUGCAACAUCACUAGUUAACAUUGUAUAAUUGUUUUUCUUUUCUAUAUCUCUCUAUAUUGACGAAGUAAUUUAUUGUGAAGAUUUGGUACUGGGAGCACCCGCGUUCCGGCAAAUUGAUGUAUACUCCUAUACCCCCACCAUUGGUCACACGAUGGGACGAAUGCACGUGUGUAAUAAGAGCAGAAGCUUACACCUCAGGAGGUCUUCAUAAAGGACUGGUGUGUUUCUAGAUUUGACCCAUGUAUGUAUCCGGUUAUUUAUUUGCUACUACUGAUUCAUUGUACCUGAUUCAAAGGUUGUGAUGGAAAUUUGUGCUCGACAACCAGAGGCUAACAUUAGAAAGGAUCCAGGAAGCAAAAAAAUUGUACGUGAGGAUGAAGGUGAUUCAUCUCGAGCACAAUCACAAGGUCAAAAUAUGAGUAGCCACCAAGUAAGCCCAACAAAGACAAUUUUCAUUUUCCAAGAUCAGUAAAAGGUUGCAUCGAAACUCAUUCAUUUUGCUUUGUUCUGAACGGGGUGUUAUUUCGUUUGCACAGGUGCAAAUGAUAGUUGCAGCCCUGAAUGCACAUUGUGCUGAGCAAGAAAAGAAGAUAGACAGACAGUUAAUGGAAUUUCAGCAUAGAUUUGAUGCGAAAUUCCUCACCCUGAGCGAAGAGUUAAUCGACAUUAAGAGUAAAUCUGGCAUUAAUCCUAGGCUCUCGCUGCUCGAGGACGAAAUUAAGAACUUAAGGAGGGAACUGAAGGUAUGUCAUGUUGUGCAUUUUUUAUUGUUAUGAAUAUGUUCCUCCAUAUUCAUUAUUGUUAUAAUUGUUAUAGGAAUUAAAAAACCAAACUAAAGUCAGCCGACAAUCCGAGUCACAGAAAGCAGGCGUCGAGGUAAUAAUUAUGGCCCACGACAUAAGUAGUAUUACCAAACUAAUUAUAAUUAACCAUUUUUGUUGCUGUAGGAACAAGUCAAUGUGUGCAGUGAUCCCUUCAUGGCGACUCCUAAGUUCGACGCAUCCACGCCACGUACUUCGACUCCAACACCAAGUGCCAGACACGUCCUGCCAAACAAGGACGAUCCUCGAAUCACACCGUUGAAGCCUCUAUUUGAUAAUGAUUACGUGCUCACCGCUGAGGACAAAGAGGCAGCCAUUUUCAUCUGGGGAACACACGGCCCUGUUGAAGUCGUUCAAAUCGGAGACAUUCCCCUAAGAGCGGAACAACUGAAGCCAAUUUAUGAUAAAAAAUACAUCUGUGGUGAUGUAAGCCCCUUGUACUCCAUUGUACAUCAACUAUUUGAACUGUUGGCACAUCAUUAUAUGAUUACAAAUUUGGCAGGUUAUUAUGGUGUAUGCUCACAUCAGCGGAGUUGAGACUGAUACUACCUCAGUCAUAUCCCCCAAUGAAACCAGAAAGCUUUUACAAACAAAAGGGGUUAUUCCAAAGGGCCGUGGAAGCUCGUUGCUUCAACUUAUUGCAAAUAAAUUUGUAGGACGCCGGAAGGUACCUAUUUUCCUCACUUCCAUAUAUCGUAAUAGAUAGUGUAGAUGAAAUAUUUCAGGGGUCCCCCGAACCAUAAUUGUUACCUUAUAUACAUUAUUCCGUGGAAUGAGUCCUCUUUGACUUCAUGGCAGGUCCACACCCCGUUUAAUGUGAAUGAUAAUCAUUGGAUGGGAAUGGUGUUCAAUUUCGACAAAGAAGAGAUUCAAAUCCUAAACUCCUUGAAAAAUCAAUUUGGCGAGUCGAAGGAAACUGCUCUUGUAAGCUUUAUCUUGCUGCCUCUUUACUGUCGCAUGGCACAUUAACUCCAAAUCAUCGUAACCCUUCGUAAUACUCGUAUUAUGCUAGGUGGAGGCAAUUCAGGCCUGCAUGGACGGAGCGGUGAAGGAUGUCUUGGUAACACCAGAUAAUCCCAUCAAAUUUACCGACUUGGAAGUAGUACACUAUGACGACAUACCGCAACAGAAUGACGGGUACGUACGACCUCCUAAAUUAUUCCUUGCCGACACGUCCAAGUUUACUAAAACCUAAACUAAACACUGCAUGCAUUCAUGUGCGUUUUUUACACUGAAGUACAUGUUGACAUGGAACAGUGAAGUAUUUACCGACAAAGUGGAGUAGGUGAGCCAAACACUAUAUUUUCUUGUAGAAUAUCUUAUGACUGAACGAUGUGCUGACAUAUGUGUCGCUUAUCAAAUGUAGUCACAAAUAGAUAUAUUUAGCUGGAAAAUAGUUUCAAGCUUGCUGCGUCCAGAUUGCAAUAGUCUUCGCAUGGAAACAUACAAGUACCCCAUAACGGUUAGCGAAAAAGCACUGAUAUUUUAUUGUAUUCACAUGUGUCAUGACGCUACCGAAUGCACUGAUGUCUGCUGUACAGGCAGAGACGUAUGAAGCCCACGUUGCAUCGGAACCUAUCAAUUCACAAGACGAUGUCCAAGAAAUUAUCGGUACUGUUGAGUGCAAGAUAUCAGACACGUCGAGCUCCCCAAAGGAUCCCGACACCCCGAGCUCCCCAAAAAAGCGAAGAGCACGUGGACGCCCGAGGAAGCUUGUUGAUUAAGUGCAAGCUAAAAAAACAAAAACUAUGGAAGAGCUCAGAGUGAAAUUUGAUAGCAAGACCAUUUCUAAACAAGUGUCUUCUUCGAUAUCAAGACGAUCACGCAAGCCAUCACAUGCUAUAUCGAGCCCAUUCAAGUUAACCAAAUGGUAGUUUAGGUACGUACUGGGUAGCACUAUAGUUAGCACUACUUAUGAUACAUUUGUCAUUUACGAUUUGGUGAUUGAACUUUAUCAAACGUGCAUCGACGAGCGGUGAAAGAUGGCUUGCUAACAAGAGCUAAGACCGUAAAAAGUAGUGUAUGAUAACAUACCUCAAUAUAGCAAUCUAUGUUGUCGCAGUACAUACUUUUGGCAAUCACGAACAUUAUAUAAUUUCGGCAAUUAGGAUCAUGUGCAUGCUACAUUUCUGGCAAUUACUAAUGCAUGCUCAUUUGUUUUGCUUCAAAUGGCAGUAUGUACUCCUGGCGAACAUUUGUGUGCUCUACUUUUGGCAGCUAUUAAUACAGGAUCAUUUAGAAUGGUUUAACUGUCCAUAGAAAUAACUAGAAUGUCAUUAUUUCUAAACAUACCAAAUUCAGUGCAAGAUAUAGCAUUAGCAUCUUCAGUUAGAGUCAUAACAUAUAUGUACCAUAUAUCACCAUAGUGGAGGUAUUAGGCAAGGUUGACCGCAAUGCACUUAUUAGUACAGGGUAGGUGCUUACAAGAUAAACAAUAGUUUAAUGAAACAACAACGCAUAUUAGUACAUGGUAGACGCUUAAUUAGGCGCCUAUCAUGUACAAAUUGGCACUGCUGCUUCCAAAAACCAUGUUUAAUAUAGUUAGCAUGUACCUAAGCACAUAGCAUUGGUAGUUGGCCAUUACUAUAAAUGAUCAAUGUACUACCAAACACUUAAACAUAGCAUGUUAAACACUCGCAACCCAAAAGAUAAACCGGCACAUAAGUUCAAGCAGUACGGUGGGGCAGAAGUAUCACACGACAACCAUAACAUAAAAAAAGUCUUAACUAGGGUGGGCCUGUAGUAACAACCAAGUAGCGCAUUAGAUCCUCGGCAUCUUGGCCGGACGAGGAGGCCUCGGGAGGUAGAAUGGAAGAUGCCCCUUCGCGUACUUCCCGAGGAAGGCACCAAAAGCGGAAUGUUCAGCCCGGUCCUGGGGCUUGCGGUUCCUCCCAUUACCACGGCUGAUAUCGGUGCCAUGCAUGAUUAGGUUGUCGUAGUUGCUCUUGAUUCUCGCGCAGCAGAAGGGGCAGGCUAUGUUGCCGUAGAGCCUGUUGGAGCCGCUGAGGUAUGGGAUUUCCCCAUUCCGCAGCCUCCUGAGGACGUAGCGGCUCUUGCUUUCCCUCCUCUCCUUACUAUCAUCCACGUCUUCGUCAUCUUCCUGUGUGUUAGUUGAUCGACAGCUAUGUCAGAUUAGGAAUACAGAAAUGUAGCAUUUCAUAAGAGUAUCAAGUACAUUCCGAAAGUAGGAACACAAAAAUAUGAUCAAUCAGAUGAUUCACACAACAUGUACCUCAUGUAUUGCUAUAUAUGUUUAUGUAUUAUUUGUUAUCUUUCUUGUUCUUUUUUCUUUGCUUUGCAUGCGUACCUGUUCUCCCCUGUAAAGAUGUACUCCUAUUUGUACAAUCUAAGUUGACAAUUAACUAAAGGGUUCGGGUUUUAGGGUAUGAACAAAUCAUUUUACUGCAUUCAAGCACAUAUUUUAUUUCAUAUUGAAAAUAGAUAAUUCCAAAAAUAGGAUCAUUUCCUGCCAUUUCUUACAACAAUAUUUUGUAUGAUCUGGUUUUAUCAUAAAGAGAUACCAGACAAUAUCUAAUUUAAUUAUAUUCAAACUAGAUGAGUACAUACUACAAAGUAAAACUACUGCAUCAACAAAGAAAAGAUUGCCCUCACUUGAUAUUGUGAAGACAACAAAUUAUAUGAAUCAUGUCAUGAAUUAUGUAUAAAAAGAGAAAUUUUUGACUGAGGUACAUCGGUUGCGAACAUAAGAAAUUAUGGCUUUAAUUACUCCUUGUUGCUAAUAAUUACAUAGGGUUCGUACAUAAGAAACUCUACAAUGAAUUACUUACUGCAAUCAGAAAAUGUCUUCACAAUAUAGCUGUAAGGCUUCAUGAUUUUCAUCAAAUAAACUAGUUUUUCUGACAACUAAAUAAAUGUACUGUUUACUAGGUCUCAACAGAUUUGGCAAUCAGAUUGAAAAUAAGAUGCAUAGUCCACUUCAUUAUAUGGAAAUCAUGAAGCAGAUAGAAAAGGUUUGCACUGUUAAGGUAUGGAAGAUUCUAUAAGAAAGGAGAAAAUGUGGUAUCAGCUUUGUGCAUAUGGAGCAUUAUGAUUACGCUUAGUAAUGAAAAUUUUCUAUAUAGUAAGAAUGCAAAAGAAAAUCUUGUUGCUAGAAAUGUACUGUUGCAUGGACUUGACAUGCAUGAUUACUGAUGUGGCAUAGUUUCAUGGAUUGAUUUGUCCAAGAGAAGAACUAAUCCAUGUUUGUUGUUAAUGGCAGGCAGUGGCCGUAAAUUGUUACUACAUGCAUCAGUACUGACCAUAUGCAUAACUCGAUGAUGUGGCCCAGUUUCAUGCAUACCAAAACCAGAUAAUGGGUUGCCACUAUUGAAGAACGGAGCAUAGUUUCAUGAAUAGCAAAACCAGAUAAUGGGUUGCACAAUUGAGGAACAGAGCAUAGUUGUAACAGGGGUUCUCUGAUUUAAACUCUCAUCAUUGAUAGUAUUGUUGGUCACUAGCGAGGCACACGUGCAUUGGGCGUGAAAGCAAGAGUUAAUGUCAAUUAUUUUAGAUGCACUUUACAUUGCUAUGUUACUGUAGCAAUGGAUUUUUGUGUGUGUUUUCUUUAAUAAAGAGAUAAUGUUUGUGCAUAAUAUGCAUUCAGAUUCACAAAGUUCAAAGCAUUAGCAAUUCAUUUAGAAGGAAAGACUUUGCGCUGUUAAAGUAUCCAAGAUUCUAUAACAAUGGAGAAACAUAGUGCUAUGAGGUUGUUUGUGCAUAGGUAAAAUUGUGCUUAAGCUUACAAAUGGAAUAUUCUAGAUAGUACGCAUGCUUGGAAUUUUUCUUUUGUAGUAAAUAAGAUAUCGAAUGGCCAACAAUGCUGGGAUUUACCAUCUGUCCACCGUUGGAUUGGCUUCAUCCAACAGCAAAUAUUCAAAGUUGUUUCCAAAGUACAUGUUUUAAAAGUUACCAUUUAUAGAAGCUCAAGCACCGUUGAUAAAUAUUUACUGUUGCAUGUCAACUUUUCAAGUUCUAGAUAUUAAUCAUUGAUCCUCUUGUUGAUUGUCAUGAAAUAAACAAAUUUGUAGGAAAUUUUCCAUCCACUCAAACCUGUCUAAAAGAAUCCUACGUUUUUAGUAUGCACAAUCAAACACUCAUACAAUCCUGUAGGAUUCAAGAUGACAUGCCAUUCUAAUCCCACGUUUUCCCUAUUCCUGCAUUUUGGAAAUCGUACGAAUCAAAGAGGUGAUACCUAACAAAUACACCAUUUUCUACAGCAGAACUGGUUCAUAAUCAGUUUCUAAAUCAUAUUCUUACUCAUCUUCACAAAAUAAUUGCACGCACAGGGGGAUGUUAGGCCUACAUUACUACUGUUCCAUGCCAGGUUUCAGAUUGAAGGGGUUUCCUUCCAAAUGUAUGAAACAACUAGUACUAAUCCUAACCCUAAGGGAGAGAUCAAGAAACAUAACCUAUCUGGACGAAAUCUAAUCCGUGCUGCAUGCAAUUUAGGAGAAAACCCCAUGGGAGAAAACCCCCAAAACAGAGUAGGAGAAUAGAGCAGAACAGAGUAGUACCUCCGAGAGCUCGUCGUCGACCUCCUCGUCGAACUCGACUGCCUUGUCCUGCACUUCCUUAGUGUCGAGCUCGGCCUCCUCGUAGUACUUGUCGAUGAGCUCGUACUGCUCGCGCUUCUGCUUGGCCCUCUGCUCCUCCAGAUCCACCUCCACCUCCUCCUCCACCUGCUCCCCGACCGCAGGCUCGGACGUUGUGAUGGCGGCCAGAGCAGUCACAACAGAUGGUGCACCGCCUCUCGUCGCCGCGAUGGCGCCAUCGGCCACGCCAACCGCGGCGGCAAUGACCACAGCAGGCUUCUCCACUGCUUCUACCGUUGCAUCCUUCUCCACCGCCGUGUCUUCACGGCCGGCCUUCAUCUUCCGACGAUGAAGGGCAAGGGAGAUGAUUGCUGGCUCGUAGGAGGUAGGGUUCGAGGUGAGAGGAGAGGGUUUUUGCUGAUUUGGGGAAGAAAAGUAGCAGGGGUGGGGGAGUGGGAGAGACGGGGUGGGGGAGGCGGCUUUUAUUUAGCUUGUGGGUGGACGUUUGGAGUUACCGAGGCUAGACGCGUGGAGUCGUGCGCUCGUGCACGCCCCAACCACUUUAAUUUUUUUGUCAUGAAUUUGUAUUUUUUUGACCUGUGGUUUAGCGAGGAAAUUAUACAAACCACCUACUUUUGGUGUUACUCUUGCAUAGAACACCUACUUUACAGGUUUGUUCCAAAAAAACACAUAUUGGGGUAAUUUGUUGCAGCAAGGUCUAAUCCGCCAUUUUGGGUGGGUUGACAUGAUUUCUAACAAGUGAGUCCAUUUAGUAAGUGCACCGCAGGAAAAAAACAUUCCACAUCAGCACCCAACUAGAGUUGUGCAAAAUUUACAAAUAGGUACUCCAGAAAUAAUUCUCAUUGUUUCUGGGCCCACAUAAAUGAACUAUUGAUAGUUUUUUUUGUUCCCACAUAACAUGUUGGCACACAAGAGCAUGCACCAAACUUGUUCUCCUUCGACACACAGACGCUAUAACGACGGACAUGUACCAGUAAUAUUCACAUUGCACGUGUCGAUACCAUCUUGACCAACACGCAACAACAUUGGUCUCAUUGGACUCACACAAGCCAAAAGGGGUCCAAAUCAUUCACCAAUUCUUCUAGUCACAUUCCACUCCAAGAUGCGACAAUGGACCGACAUGUAUCAAUCUUGAUCUAUUUGCACAAAUAAUUGGUAUAAGGGCCAGAUGCACCAAUAGAGGUCACAAUGCACUGACACGUGUCACUUGGGCCAACACACACCAUGCCCACAUACAAGGAACAAAUAAGCCUAUAGGAUCCACAUGCACCGAUAAACUACGUCUCGACAUGCAACAACUUUUUGUAGUCACAUUGCACGCAAAGUGCAUACCAAGACACGCCAAUGGCCCGUCAUGUAGCAAUCUUCAUGUGUUUUCACUAAUCAUGGUUUCUUUGGCCUCACGGAUGCCAUAAGGGCCAAAUGCACCAAUAUUGACACGUUGCACUCAAAUGUGCCACUUGGGCCAACAUGGAUCAUGGUUUCUUUACUAGCAAGGAUCACAUAAGCCAUUAUAUAGUGUUGGUACUCUAGCAAAUAACAACAUAUAUCAACAUUGGUCCUAGUUGCAGCUACAUAGGACCACUUAUGCCACACAUGGAGCGCAGCCUCGGUGCAUGGUUUUCUUUCCGUGCGUCUAUGUCUGGAUAAAUGUCUUAAGGAGAGGCAAAUUGGUUCUGCCGAACACACUGCAUCAACCGAACUGGCUAGACCCUUUACCUCACACCCGCAUGGCCCUGGUUCAAAUCCCCGUGAGGCAGUUGGAAAUGCCAAAAAAAUUUCUGUGGGUACUAACACGUGGGGUUCCCUUGUCAUCCACACAAACGCGCCACCACAUGUACCACAUUUGGCUAAGUGCACCUACUAAUCCACAUCAUUUUCAACUUUCUUCUUCCCCUUCUCGACAAGCGCCGCCGCCGCCAUCUCCAGACGACGCCUCUCUUCGCCGCCGGAUCUGCGUGGCCGCUGCCAACUCCAGCAAGUAGGUGAGAUCUCUCCUCAUCCCCCUCGUGAAUCUUCUUCCCUUCCCCAACCGCGUGCGUCCCCCUCUGGACGCGGAUCCGAUCUAGAAAUUUUAAUUGGUACAUGCGGUAGAUGAUUUGUUGAUGGAUAUGAUGGUUCUUUCAUAGAUUGAUGGACGUCGUAGUGUAGGAUCUGAGUUGUACCAGGGAAAAGUGAGGCCCUAUGCAAAUCAAAAUGCGGCCCUAUGUGUGAAAAAAUAAAUCAAAAUAAUUCAUAUGUUCUUCACUAUAGUAUGUAGUACUGACAUUGGAUUGGAUUGGAUUGGGAUUUAUUAGGUAGAUGAUACUGGCAUUGCCAUUGUCAUUGGCAUUGCUUUUUUAGGUAGAUGAUAGUAAACAGAUUUAAUAGGUAUUGCAUUUUAUGUUAUCACUAUGAUUUAUUAUAUGUAUGAUCUUUGUAUUGUACUAUGGUAUCGUACAAUUCAACUUAGAGUUCAACAUGUUCUAUGUAGAAUGGAGGAAGCACCAUGUGGACGGUGCAAGUCACGGUGCCGGACCAGCCUUUGUACUGCCACGCUGUUCGGCAUCUACUUCCAGCCUACUUUUGUUUUGCAGCGGUAACAAUUUAUAUGAACCUUCUGACAGUUCAUUUUUUUCUAUUUCCACUAAUGCAUUGUGUUUGUUAUUUGUUUUUUCUUGCACAGAUUGUCCCAUGCAAUGUGAGAUUGACAUUCAAUGAGCUCAUCGGAGAUACCGUGAUCUUCGACGCUCUUGGGGGGCCGUACACUAUGCAGGUCGAUAAGGGGCGAACGAUAACCCAGAUUGGAGGAGAUGAAUGGGAUCGUUUCUAAAAGCACAAGUGCUCCCUAGGUGGUUUUGGUAAUUAAUGACAACAUAUCUCUUGUUGGACUAACACUCCUAUCUAGUAUAUUUCAGAUAAGUUCAACAAUGGAGUGGCAUGGACUAAAGGAUGUGGGAACUCCUUCAAGAUGCUAAGGACAAAGGAUUGGCUAAAGCUUCAAGCUCAAGACUCUUCAUUUUACAUUUUAGUGAUCCAAGAUCACAUUGAGUUUAUAGGAAAAGCCAAUACUAUCAAGGAGGGAUAAGGUGUUGCUUAAUGAGCCUCUUGCUUCAUGUGCUUAGUGAUAUGCUCCAAAACCCUCAGCUACUUUCUCACAUCCACAAAUGACCUAAACCCAAAGCCAAAAUCGGUCACACCGAUCCUUCCUAUCCGGCGCCACCGAUUCCAAAAGUCAUAGCCACUAUCACAAACCCUAAGCAAAUCGGUUCUACCAAUAGGGAUCUCGGUCUCACCGAGAUGGGAUUGUAAUCUCAAUGUGUAUAUCCAUUACCAAAAUCGGUCUCACCGAGUUUGUGCAAUCAGUACUACCGAGAUUACAAUGCAAAGUUUCUGGUUAGCCUAUUACCAAAAUCGGUCUCACCGAGUUUGGGUGAUCGGUCUCACCGAGUUUGCCUGACCAACUCUCUGGUUAGCUAAUUACCAAAAUCGGUCUCACCAGUUUGUGUAAUCGGCCUCACCGAGAUUAUGUUAUGCCCUAACCCUAACCAUAUCGGUCUCACCGAGAUGCAAGUCAGUCCCAUCGAAAACCCUAACGUUCACUAGGUUUACUAAAUCGGUCCGACCAGUUUAACAAUUCGGUCCCACCGAGUUUGGUAAAUUGUGUGUAACGGUUAGAUUUUGUGUGGAGGUUACAUAUACCCCUCCACCUCCUCUUCAUUCGUGGAGAGAGCCAUCAGACUGAACCUACACUUCCAGCAUCCUAUUUCUGAUAGAGAACUACCUACUCAUGUGUUGAGGCCAAGAUAUUCCAUUCCUACCAUAUGAAUCUUGAUCUCUAGCCUUCCCAAGUUGCUUUCCACUCAAAUCUUCUUUCCACCAGAUCCAAAACCUAUGACAGAGAGUUGAGUGUUGGGGAGACUAUCACUUGAAGCACAAGAGCAAGGAGUUCAUCAUCAACACACCGUUUGUUACUUCUUGGAGAGUGGUGUCUCCUAGAUUGGCUAGGUGUCACUUGGGAGCCUCCGACAAGAUUGUGGAGUUGAACCAAGGAGUUUGUAAGGGCAAGGAGAUCGCCUACUUCGUGAAGAUCUACCGCUAGUGAGGCAAGUCCUUCGUGGGCGACGGCCAUGGUGGGAUAGACAAGGUUGCUUCUUCGUGGACCCUUCGUGGGUGGAGCCCUCCGUGGACUCGCGCAACCGUUACCCUUCGUGGGUUGAAGUCUCCAUCAACGUGGAUGUAGGAUAGCACCACCUAUCCGAACCACGCCAAAAACAUCCGUGUCUCCAAUUGCGUUUGAAUCCUCCAAACCCUUCCCUUUACUUUCUUGCAAGUUGCAUGCUUUACUUUCCGCUGCUCAUAUACUCUUUGCAUACUUGCUUGAUAUGUAUCGUGAAUGUUGAAGUUGUGCCUAAACUCCACUUGAACUUCAAAAAGACUAAAAACUGCAACUUUGGUACUUAGUGUCUAAUCCCCCCCCCCCUCUAGACACCUCUUCUCAAGAUCAUACAGUUUCAUCGCCCGCUUGCGUCUUAGUGGGGGUGAACGGAUCCUCUUCUCCUUAAGAGGACAAAGGCCCAGGAUUUCUGUUAUCUAUCUGAAUUUGAUUGACGAUAGUGAGGAUGAGGUUCAUGAGGAGGACGAUGGUGAGGAUUCAGAUGAUGAUGAGAACCCACUUGAUGAAACCCUCUAUGUCCAAGGAGUGAGGCUGAGCGACAAGGAAACCAGCAACCUCUGGGACAUGUUUCCGCUACGUGAAGACUACGUCGGGAUGCCAUUCGUGACCCGCCUCACAAAGACGAAUGUUAAACAGCAUCUCAUGGUAUGUUACUUAGUGUGGUAAUUACAUGAUAUGCAUGCUUAAUUAGUGUAGUAUUUGAUAUGAUAUGCAUGUUGUAGUACUGUGAUGAUAUGCCUAGUGUAGAAUUCAUUUAGUGCAGAAUUUUAUGGUAUGCAUGUGUUGUAGUAAUGCGAUAUAUGCUUAUGUAGUGUAGUAAUAUGCGAUGAUAUGCUUAGUGUAUGUAGUAUAUAAUCUAAUGAUAUGCUUAAUUACUGUAGUAAUUUGAUGAUUAGCGUGUAUUGUAGUGAUGUGACGUGACAUAUGUGUCUUGAAGUGUAUGGUUUGUUGAUAAUUGCACGUGACAUGCUCAUAUAUCAUAUCAACUGUUUUCAGAAAUUACCUAAGAGGUUAUCUGAUAGCUGUGGCAUCGAGCCGGAUGAAGAAGGCAUGGCUGCUGGACUACGCCUUACCAGAACGGGCUCCAUCACCACCUGUGCAUAUGCAGUGGACACGCACGGUCGCACUAUCUUCAACCGGGAGGGGUGGAAGAAGUUCCUUCAUGGCAAGAAUCUUUCGGUAGGUCAGGGCAUCCUACUCACUAUUGCGAAUACCCGUCGCCGUGACUUGAGGAUGAUGAUCACCAUCAACCUCAUUUGGAACUGGCUGGGCCAUGUUUCGAUGUGAAAUGAACUUCGUAUGUUAGCUCUUGUUUCAGAGUACUUGUCGUGUAUUACUGUACCUAUAUAUAUAUAUUAUAUUAUAUAUAUAUAUAUAUAUAUAUAUAUAUAUAUAUAUAUAUACACAUAAACACUAUUCUGAUCACGGGAUCAGAAUAAUAUUCUGAUCACAACCUGAACUGCCUGAGUAACGCGCCUGAACUUCUCUCUGUACAAACCCGACCUUCGGGCUAUUUUCGCAACCGUGCCUUCUACCGCGAGUUUUUCUGGUUAGUCGUGUUCCAUGUGAUGUAAGUGUAAUCUUCAAACGAUUUUUAGCAACUAAAUACUCGUUUUAGAUAGCAAUCUCGCUCAUAGGCGGAUUUUGCACUCGGGUCGUGAAGAACUCGCGUUUUUUGCGAUUUUACGGCCUGAGUUGUUCGACCUGAACUUCCCCCUGUGCUAGGUUGAACUUCCCGCAACAUUGCCCAAAUAGGUCUUACUAUAUACCGUUGGAAAGCUAUGGACACGUGUAUCAUGACCCAAGUUAAAUUUUUCGCAAAAUGUAAGCGGUUUAAGAGCAGUUUUGAAAACCGUUUUUUCUUCACACAAAAAAUGUGAAUCGUAAUUUCGAUCGCAUUUCUAAACCGUUUAUCGGAAUGAGACAUAUAAUAUGGCGUUGAAAAGCUGCUGCAAAACCGCUCCUUCCACAUGUUUAAAGUUUUUUCUAAUUUCCUAUGGUUAAAGAGUAAUUUGAAAAAACGUAAAAUUUCGUAAACCGGACAGCUGAGUUCGUUUUUUCGAUGUAAUUUCUAAACGGCUAAUCCAAUGGAGGCAUAUGAUAUGGCGUCGGAAAGCUUAGAAAAAUGCUCUACUUUUUCAUCUUGACGGUUUUUUUCUAAUUUUGAAUGGUUUAAGAGUAAUUUAGAAAAUGAUCCAAGUCCUACCGAGUUCGUAUUUUCGAGCUAAUUUUUUAACCGUGCGUCCGAAUGCAGCAAAUGAUAUGGCGUUCGAAAGCUUGAACAAAUGCGAAACUUUUUGGUAUGUAUUGUUUCUCCCAAUUGUUUACGGUUUUAAGUCAGUUUCAAAAAUGGCGAAAAACGUAUUUUCGCCAUAAUUUCUACAAACUUUAUCGGAAUUGGGCAAAUAAUAUACCGUUGAAAAGCUACGGAAAAUGCGAAACUCUUUCGUGUUGAUGGUUUUCUCUGGUUCCUAGCGGUUUUUAUGUAAUUUCGAAAACGGCGAGAUCACUCGUUCUGCCUUUAUUUCAAAACAGAUUCUUCGAAAAUGCACCGCAUGAAGAACCUGAACUUCUCGGCGCGUGUACCUGAACUUCACUCUGUUUUUCACGUGAUUUUUUUGCUCAUAGCUCUCGAUCCACUGCUCGUACCUCUCCAUCCACUCACCGGAAUUGGGCAAGUGAUAUACCGAUGGAAAGCUGUUGUAAACACGCAACUUUCCCGUGUUGAUCAUUUUUUCAUACUCAUGACGAUUUUAAAAGUUUUUUAUCCGAAAUUCAUUUAGCGUAGUAGUUGAACUUCCUGCUAUUUUCACGUUGAACUUCUGUGACGUAUUUUUGUUUGUAAUUUUCUCAUCCACUCGUCGGUGACAAAUUAUAUUCCUUUUGUACAAACCGCUCUCAAAAUAAUUUUUCUAACUUUCUCCGACCGAGGACUUGAACUUAUGACAACAACAAAUUUGGACCUUACCUUUUUAUUCAUUUUUCUCAUAUUAAACACACACCAUGUAGUACAUGAACUUUUUCCAUUUUUAUAAUUUGAAUUUUUUAUUUUCUUUUUGAAAUCAAAUUGCUUCCAAAUAAUAACUGAACUUCUUUGUGGAUUGAGAUAAUUAUUUUAAAAAUCAAAAAUAUUUUUUUUGUGUUUUCGAACAUGGAAAUAUAAGGUGAACCUCUCUCGCAAGAAUUUUUGAACUUCCCCGGACAGAGCACGUGAACUUCUUGCAACAAACCUUUUAAGCUGUUAGUUUUCUAUUCUUUUCUGAAAUGCAUUCCGUGUAGUAGUUGAACUUCCCGCUGUUUUCACCUUGAGCUUCUGUCACGUAUUUUUGUUCAACUUCUCUCACAACAAUUUUUGAACUUUAUCGGGCCGAGCACUUGAACUUCUAGAAACAAAAUCAUUAGCCUUUGCUUUUUCAUUCUUUUUUUAUACAAAAUGCACACCGUGUAGUACGUGAACUUCUGGUAGUUAUCAAUCUGAACUUCUCUCGGUUACGUGAAAAUAUCUGAGUUUUUUAUGAAUAUUAAUCUGACUUUCUUAAUAUUUUUUUAUGAAUUCUGAAGCGCUCUAUUUUUAAAAGUUGAACUUCUUGUUAUUUUAUUUUUGAACUUCUUGUUUCCAUUCUUUAAUAACAAGGAAAAUCCGAGUUUUCUAUAAUCAUGGAACUUCUCCAUCUUUUUAAUUUGGACUUCCUGGUUUUAUUUCUUAACUUUUUUAUGAAUUCUGAAGCGCUCUAUUUUUAAAAGUUGAACUUCUUGUUAUUUUAUUUUUGAACUUCUUGUUUCCAUUCUUUAAUAACAAGGAAAAUCCGAGUUUUCUAUAAUCAUCGAACUUCUCCAUCUUUUUAAUUUGGACUUCCUGGUUUUAUUUCUUAACUUUUCUAUGAAAUUUGAAGCGCUCUAUUUUUAAAAUUUGUUGUCUUUAAAAUUUUCAAUUACUAAGUAGUUAUUCUACAUGACCCAUCCACAUAAUAAUAUAUGAACUUCUCAGGAACUUAUUUUUCAUUAAGCACAUUUAAGUACAUAAUAUACAGGAAGGAGGUCGAAGAUGUGAGCGCGGAUGCAUCUACAUGUAGGAAAAUUUUUGGGUGCUCUUCUUUUUUGAAUGUAGGGUGCUAUUUUUUUAAGAGUGCAAGGUCAGAACAAGUCUCAUAUCCAUUGAACAUCUACAAUAUUAACUCUCAAACAUCAGCAAAACAACUUGAAGAAAAACAGUACCAGUUCUCAUUUGGCAUAUCAACAAGCAUAUACAGAGCACGUAAUCAGAACCUACUCUCGGCAUAAAUUCACCAUGAUGUUUUUAUUGCAUGCUGGCCUGUUCUCCUGGAGCACAAGACAGAGGAGAGGCGAGACAUUGUGCAUGCUUCCCAACCAGUACUUUUUGAACUUCCAUAUUUUUUUUGGAACCAUGAUCAUGGGGAAGUUCUAUGAAAUUUGACGGGGAAGGUCGCUGAGAGAAGCGACAACAGGUAACACACGAGCGAUGGUGACCAUAUGGCCAGCUUGCGGCGAACCAGCAACCUGUACUCGAGAGAAGGAAGCUGCACUGCAGUUGAAAGUCCAAGAACCGAUGUCGCGUGAUGCCGAGCGUGGGGAAGAUGACCGGAGCUGGUGCAAGGGGGAGCAGGAGGCCGCCCCAUGCAUGCCUCUUCCCAUGCCUUGCCGGGGGUCGUGGCCGGCUGGAUCCAGCCGCCCGCUCGACUGGAUCGGCGAUAAGGUUUACGGGGGCGGCGUGAUCCGCGCGGUGGCUAGGUCCGCUGCACGGCGAAGGGAUGGUGGCGCUUGGAGGUGAGGAUGAGGGCGUGGCGGCGGGGUUCUCCGGGGAGGGCGUGCGCCGGCGUGGGGAUCGGGGAUCCGGGGAGGUGGCUCGGCUACGGGGGGAAGCGGGGGCGUGGCGGCUCCGCGGGCCGGGAAGGAGGCGGCGGUGGUUGCGAGGGCCGGGGAGGGAGGCGGCGGUGGCUGCACGGGCGGAGGGAGGCGGUGGCCGCGCUGGCCAAGGAGGGAGGCGGUGGUCGCGCCGGCCAGGGAGGAAGGCGGUGGUGGCCGCGNNNNNNNNNNNNNNNNNNNNNNNNNNNNNNNNNNNNNNNNNNNNNNNNNNNNNNNNNNNNNNNNNNNNNNNNNNNNNNNNNNNNNNNNNNNNNNNNNNNNNNNNNNNNNNNNNNNNNNNNNNNNNNNNNNNNNNNNNNNNNNNNNNNNNNNNNNNNNNNNNNNNNNNNNNNNNNNNNNNNNNNNNNNNNNNNNNNNNNNNNNNNNNNNNNNNNNNNNNNNNNNNNNNNNNNNNNNNNNNNNNNNNNNNNNNNNNNCUGUGUGGUGUGGUUCGUAGCAGAGGGCAGAUGGGAUCGGGGAGGGGAUCGUGGGGAUGGUGGGGGUGGGUGGAGAUUUUUUCCUUUUUUACCGAUUCGGGAGUUUGGAAGGAUCCCGUCACUCCAUAUAUAAGCACCCCGUGAUCCAAAUAGUUAUUUUGAUCCCAUGAUCAUAAUAGUGCUACUCUCUCUCUCUCUCUCUCUCUCUCUAUAUAUAUAUAUAUAUAUAUAUAUAUAUAUAUAGGUUCAAUAAAUGGGCCAUGUAUCGAUGUGAAAUGAACUUGUUAUGUUUGGGCUUGCUUUGCUAUUGCCCCAGCGGUUAUUUGUGACUUCCUUGAACUUGAAUCUGUCUUGAAAUGUUAUUGGAUGCUUGGUGAUGUUGCUUUAUAGUAUAAAGCUGGGGGCGUUGGGGGACCUUUUUAGUAGGUUUGGUUAAUGGAGUUUAGCUCUUAUUGUACUUAUUGUUUUCUUUUCCAUACAAUUCUGAACCCAAACUACACAUGGCACAACCUUCUGUGAUUAGUUCCUUUGAUAACUAGUACUCCCUCUGUAAACUAAUAUAAGAGCGUUUAGAUUACUAAAAUAGUGAUCUAAAUGCUCUUAUAUUAGUUUACGGAGGGAGUAUUGAAGAGCAGCCACAGAGUUCCAUUCACAAUUUACUUGAAUUUUUGUUUUGAUGGAUAAACAAAAUAGGAAGCUAGCAAACUUAUUUAACAAGAUAAGCAAACUAUGUACUUGAUUACAUAAGCAAACUUAUUCAACCCUGACAAACUAGACAUAAACAAACAGGUUCAACUAUGACACACAUGACAUAUACAAGCUGGUUUAACCCAAGAAAAGCAAACUACAAAUUUCAAACAAUAAGAUAAAGGACAAGCACAAGCGCAAGCAACACGAAGGCAGAUUUUGAUGUCUCCUCAUCCCGCAUAGUGGCAGUGGUAGGAGGGGUCCUCUUCCUGCUCUUUUGAAAUUUCCAGACCUCUUUUGAUGUUGUUGAUUAUCUUCCACGACUUGUAGGUGGCGUACGCAUCUAUUGUUGCGUACUCGAUGAAUUAAUCUGGCAGUGGGCUGACCCCCCACAGUUUAUGGUUUGCCUGCUUGUCGAUCUUGUUCUUCAUCUUGCUGUAGAAUGGGUGGAUGACGCUGGCUGCAACAUUAGCCAAGGAGUCAUACGGUUUUCCGUUGUAUGGAACUCUCCAGUUGCGCUGAAUGUCGAUGUGCUUGUUGGGGUUUAUCUCCAAACCAGACAUCUUCAACUUGUCCCUGUCAUUUUUAAUGCUGAAACCGGCAAAGGUGAACAACUUCUCCUCCUGUAGGAACUCUUUGAGGCGCUUUGGCCUGCUAGGGGAGAGACAAGUGAUGAAUACAUGGAGUACUAGUGUUUAUUUUCAAGAUUUAAUCAUCUGUUUUUUACGGUUUACAAGUGAAUAAUACAUGGAGUAGAUGCUUAUACAGUAUAAGUCAUGGAUGAAUGUAGUUCAGAAACUAGUACACAAAGUUCUGAAAUUAAAAUCAAGUACACCAUGUUAUUUUUCUUUUUGGAAUAUAUAGUUGAGUCAAUGAUCUAUUUGCUUUCUUAGUGCCAGUUUAGUUUUAUUUUGUUGAAUAAAAUAACAUAUACCUCUGCUUCACCAAGUUCUUAAGUUUUUUUGGUGGUGAAAAUAACACCAGACCAAGUUCAGAAACUACUUGACUACAUCAAGUUCAGAAAAUUAGACUAAUGAAUCAAGAUGAGAAACUACACUUGUACAUCAAGCUCACAAAUUAAUCUUGUGCAACAAUUUCAGAUACUAUUCAAGUGCACCAGGUUCAAAAUAUAUUCUAGUGCAUCUACUUUGAGGAACUGCACUAGUGCAUCCAUUUUCACAAACUACACUAGUACAUCUAGUAUGAAACUAGUCUAAUGAAAUUUUGAGGGAGCAGUAUUGAUGAAUGGAAGAGGGUGAAUGAGUAGGAUUUUUCACCAUUUUGUGGCCGCAGCAAUGUGGUACACGAGGCAGAGACCCUCCACGCAGAACUGCAGAACUGCUGCCAUCUGCGGAGGUUCAUCAUCUUUGGUAAACUCCACAUCAACACCGAUGAUGUGGGGAUACGAGCCGCAUGCGCUCCUCUUGAUCCAAAAGAUCAUCUCGUCGGCCUUGUCUGGUUCGCUAGUGCAGACGACCUCCAUCAUCUCCUUGCCGUGGAGCUCAACCCCUUUGAGGGUUACGGUGUACUUGCGCUUCUGACCGGGAACGUGAAUGACGUCAAGGUUGCCGCUCUGGUCGGACAUCUGGCCACAAUGACGCUUGGCAGACGCUUCCUCCGCCAUUACCCUCCUCCUACGACUGCGAUGUUUGUGGGUUGUUUGUAGAAGAGAUGGAAGCGGCAAUGGAGGUUCUCGGAAUGAGGCAGUGAUGUAGUCGAUUUGGGGCUUUUCCACGACUGGGAUGGGGACGUGGGGGAGGUGGUUCGUGUGUAGGAUGUGGGGUUAGUGGUGGUGGGGCGCAGUUGCAAUCCGACGUGGCAACUGCGCUCUAUGCACUGCUGGGUUUGCGUGCGUCUGAGUUUAGUCCCACCACGGGCCUGCAUCCUGGCCCAUAUCACUGGGUUUGUUGUCGUAUGCGAGCCGUGGUGUGCGAAAUAUCAUGUUAGGUAGGUGGGCUUUUUUCUAUAAAAUCUUUUUUUGCCUAUGUGACAUGUUGACUUAUACUAAAAUAACACUUCCUUUUUUUAGGUACACGUUACUUAUGUGAAAAGUUUAAGUUUGAUAACAAUUAAAAACAUUUAAAACCUUGCCACAUUGGCUUUCUUGGACAUGUCUAAAAAGUUUAAGUUUGAAAACAAUUGAAAAACAUGUAAAACCUUGCAUCAUUGAAUUUUAAUUUUAAAAUAAAUUUGAAAUAUUGCAGUUAAUUUGUAGACCAUCUCUAAAUCAAACCAAAUUUGUUUUACAUUGUCACAUACAUGUGACAAACAUUGUUAUUUACAGAUCAUGUGUGCAAAAACUAAGGUGAUUUAGAUGUGGUCGAAAAAAGGUGAUUUUUUUUCACCACCUCCAAAUCACCUAAAAUUUAUUCUACAUGCUCAAAUAGAUGAGCCAAACAUGUCUAUGACAGAAAUUUGAAAAAAAAUGUAUCCUACAAUUCCCGCUUAAGGUGUAGACCAUUGUUUUGAUCAGUCAGUCUACAAGGCAGAAUAAAUUCAAAACAAAUUAAAAAAUUAUAAAACAUUGAAAACCUAGCUAUGUUUGUGCAACAUAUCAAGUGUGCAAAAUUAGAGAUGAUUUAGAGGAGGUCAAAAAAAUCACGCUAAAACACGAGGGGCCAUUUGGUCUCACUUAAGCCAGUUUUUGUAUAAAAUGUGAUUUUUCUACCACCUCCAAAUCACCACAAAUUUGUUCUACAUGCUUAAAUAGAUGUGCCUAGCAUGUCUAUGAGAGAAAUUUGGAAAAAAUGUAUUCUACAAUGUCCGCUUAAGGUGUAGACCGUUGUUUUGAUCAGUCAGUCUACAGGACAGAAUAAAUUCAAAAAAAAUUAAACAAUUAGAAAACCUUGAAAACCUAGCUAUGUUUUUGCGACAUAUUAAGUGUGCAAAAUUAUAGGUGAUUUAGAGAAGGUCGAAAAAAUCAUGCUUAAACACGAGGGACCAUUUGGUCUCACUUAAGCCAUUUUUUGUAGAAAAUGUGAUUUUUUUACACCACCUCCAAAUCACCCCAAAUUUGUUCUAGAUGCUCAAAAUAGAUGUGCCAAGCAUGUCUAUGAAAGAAAUUUGGAAAAAAAUGUAUCCUACAAUGCCUGCUUAAGGUGUAGACCAAUGUUUUGAUCAGUCAGUCUACACGGCAAAAUAAAUUAGAAACAAUUAUAAAAUUUUAAAACCUUGAAACCUAGCUAUGUUUGUGCAACAUAUCAAGUGUGAAAAAUUAUAGGUGAUUUAGAGGAGGUGGAAAAAAUCACGCUAAAACACGAGGGACCAUUUGGUCUACACUUAAGCCAGUUUUUGUAGAAAAUGUGAUUUUUUUCCACCACCGCCAAAUCACCACAAAUUUGUUCUACAUGCUUAAAUAUAUGUGCCUAGCAUGUCUAUGAGAGAAAUUUGGAAAAAAAUGUAUCCUACAAUGCCCGCUUAAGAUGUAGACCGUUGUUUUCAUGAGUCAGUCUACAGGGCAGAAUAAAUUCAAAAAAAAUUCUAAAACCUUGAAAACCUAGCUAUAUUUGUGCAACAUAUCAAGUGUGAAAAAUUAUAGGUGAUUUAGAGAAGGUCUAAAAAAUCAGCUUAAACACGAGGUACCAUUUGGUCUCACUUAAGCCAUUUUUUGUAGAAAAUGUGAUUUUUUCCACCACCUUCAAAUCACCCCAAAUUUGUUCUAGAUGCUCAAAUAGAUGUUCCAAGCAUGUCUAUGAAAGAAAUUUGGAAAAAAUGUAUCCUACAAUGCCCGCUUAAGGUGUAGACCGAUGUUUUGAUCAGUCAGUCUAUAGCGCAGAAUAAAUUCAAAAAAAAUUAUAAAAUCUUGAAAACCUAGCUAUGCUUGUGCAACAUAUCAAGUGUGCAAAAUUAGAGGUGGUUUAGAGGAAGUCGAAAAAAUCAUUCUAAAACACGAGGGACCAUUUGGUCACUUAAGCCAGUUUUUGUAGAAAAUGUGUUUUCCACCACAUCCAAAUCACCACAAAUUUUUUCUACAUGCUUAAAUAGAUGUGUCUAGCAUGUCUAUGAGAGAAAUUUGGAGAAAAAUGUAUCCUACAAUGCCCGCUUAAGGUGUGGACCGUUGUUUUGAUCAGUCAGUCUACCAGGCAAAAUAAAUUCAAAAAAAAUUAAAAAAUUAUAAAACCUUGAAAAUCUAGCUAUGUUUGUGCAAAAUAUCAAGUGUGCAAAAUUAUAGGUGAUUUAGAGAAGGUCGAAAAAAUCACACUUAAACACGCGGGACCAUUUUCUCUCACUUAAGCCAUUUUUUGUAGAAAAUGUGAUUUUUUUUCCACCACCUCCAAAUCACCCCAAAUUUGUUCUAGAUGCUCAAAUAGAUGUGCCAAGCAUGUCUAUCAAAGAAAUUUGAAAAAAAAUGUACCUACAAUGCCCGCUUAAGGUGUAGACCGAUGUUUCGAUCAGUUAGUCUACAGGGCAGAAUAAAUUCAAAAAAAAUAAAAAAAAUUAUAAAACCUUGAAAACAUAGUUAUGUUUGUGCAACAUAUCAAGUGUGCAAAAUUAUAGGGUAUUUAGAGGAGGUCGAAAAAAAUCACGGUUUAAUUUGUGUGUGGGGGGAGGGGGGGGUAGACCUCCCGAGAGCCGUUUACUGGUCAUUUUCGUUCCGUAUAUGUGUAAACAUUCCAAAUUUUGCCCAACAUGAAAAGAAUAUUAUGCGUGCAUGCUCUAUGUGGUCAAGGGAUGCGAUGCAGCAAAAUUGGGAUCAUUAGUGCAUGUAUACGCAAGUAGGGUCUCUGAAACGCACUUUUUGGGGAUAGCCUGUCACCACCCCGAGAGCACUAGCUCGGUUUCUCACCUGUAUGAAACCAACCCAACAUUUUACGAUGACAAGUCAUGGCCAUGUUAGGGCUACUUGCCAUGUUUCAACCAUCUUCAACAAAUUUUGAAAGUGUCGUCACAUGCGGGAUUUUUUCGGUCAUUAGUACAAUGUGGACCAUUUUCAACAUUUAUUGCAUGUUUUGUCACGUAUGGCAUUUUUCAGGCAUAUGCGACAUGAAAAAACCAUUUUUAAUACUUAAAAAACAAGGACAAUAUUUUCUAGAUUUUUUGGGAUAUCAUUGUGAUAUGAUUGAAAUCUCACAUAACUCACGCGGCCCACCCCUCCCUAAAUCCCGCAAUUACAGCGCCUCAUUCUAACCACCCGGCCGUGCCAUCCACAGCUCCCACGGCUGCUGCACGAUCAGAUCGGAGAUGCCGGGCUCACACGGAUUACAGCAGUCGCCGGCCACCGCCCACCACCAUGAGGGGUCGGACUUCAGUGUUCUUCUCCCGCUCCCUCCGUUUAUCCUUGUCGCCGUCUACUGCACUAUAGGGGCACUUCUAGUUUGCGACGCACUGUCCACGGCCAUCAACUCGGCGCCGCCGUCUCCGAGAGAAGGUAUUUCCUGAUCGUAGCUUUUUUUAAUCGUUGUCGGCCGCUCCUUUAGUAGUUGAACCCUCAUAGGUUUUGCACAACUUCACGUGGUUAAGCAAUUGGAUACCCAUGUUAAACUACGCUUAUUUUAUGCACGACCAACUAGGUUGUGUGCUUAAAGUGAUAAGUGGAUCAUAUGUUAAAUGAUGCACUUAUUUUUUUUUAAUAUUAGUUGACUGCUAAUUUUGUUAUACAUCUUUUAAUUAUUGUCUUCAUAUUAAUUGACCCGGUUUUCAUCAUUGCAUACAAGCUAGCAAUGUCAGUUUUAGAUAAAAGUCUUUGUAACAGAGAAAAGCCUUGAAGAACUCAAACUAAAAUUUGACAGCAAGACCGUACGCAAACAAAUGUUUUUGUUAUCAUCACGGUCACGUAGAGCCAUGAGCAGCUAUGUUGAGCCCAUUCAAACACAAAUAGGUAGCAUCAAUUGAUACAUGAUCUUGCUCAUGCUCUACUUUUAGCAUCAUUUGAUACAUGUUCAGUUCUUAUCAUAAAGUGGAUAUAUGUACCUUUGGCAAUCAUGAGCAUCCUCUACUUAUUGCUAUAACUAAUGCAUCCUUAGUACAAAAAUUGAAUUGGCAAUACGGUUGUAUUGGCAAUGAUUUGCAUGCUUUACUUUUGGCAAGAACUAAUGCAUAGAUGAGUUAUAACUGGUCAUAGAUAUGGCUGGAACAUCUAGAGUUAUCAUCACGGUCACGCGGAGACCCUAAACCAUCACCAGAUAUGUUGAGCCCAUUCAAACACAAAUAAAGCAGCAAUUGAUACAUGUUCAUGCUCAUGCUUUACUUUUGGCAUAAUUUGAUACAUGUUCAGUUCUUACCAGAAAGUGGAAACAUGCACUUUUGGGAAACAUGAGCGUCCUCUACUUAUUGCAAUAACUAAGGCAUCCUCAGUACAAAGCUUCAAUUGGCAAUAGGUAGAAUUGGCAAUCAUUUGCAUGCUUUACUUUUGGCAAAAACUAAUGCAUAGUUCAGUUGUAACUGGUCAUAGAUAUGGCUGGAACAUCCUGAGUUAUAAACUGAACAUAAUCAUGCCAAGCUAUAACUACCAUAUUUAUAGUAAUAGAGUUCCUAGCAUGCAUCACCAUAUGAUUCAAGAACGGUUGAAUUAACACAGCUAACAUAACAUAGACCAUCGUACGAUACUUGAGUUGCUAUGGCCUUGUACAAUGCAAGGUGAUUAGGCGAGGUGUUUAGAGAGAUAAACCAGGCUUUUCUUAAGCACCGGUGCUUAUUUGUACAGGGUAGACGCAUAACUAGGCGUCUGUCCUGUACAAAUAGCCAAUGGUGCUUCAGGAAAAACCCAGUUUAUUUUUCUAAGCACCACCCUUAGCAUCUACCAUUGUAUAAUGCCUAACAUGCAUCAGCAAAAUAGUACUAAUAACAACUUAGACAACUUAAGCAGGUUAGCAGCAAACACUUAGAUAAACGGCAGAUUAACCACCGCACACCAUAAGUUCACACCCACCAUAGACCAUAGGACAUAAGUUCUUACACACCAUAGAUAAUAAGUUUUAGAGUCGACCAGUGAAUACCGAUAACAUAAAAGGACACGGCGGUCCUGGGGCAGCAGCAGUAGUCUAGCAGCACAUCACUUGUCUCCCAUGUUCAGCAGCGGCGCGGCGGGAUGUAGUAGGGCUCAUUGACUUUGACAAUCUUUAGGAAGCGCCCGUAGGCCGCAUAUUUGGCCAGAGUACUGGCCUUUUGCUUCCUACUGUAGGAGUUGCCAGUGGCAACAGCAUGCUGCAUCAAGCCAUCUAUGCCGCCCUUGAUCGCCUUGCCAUAGAAGGGGCAACCAAGCUUGCCAUAGAAACAGUACUUGAAUUUUCCAGCAAUCAGCUGCCUCAUGAUGUAGCGGCUCUUGUUGUGCCUGCUGUCCAUGUCAUACCCCACAUCAUCGUCAUCCUCCUGUGAAUUAGUACACAAAGAAGAAUUCAGUUAAUCUAUUCUGCUACAUUGCUCUUAAUUAGAAUGUUUGAAAAGUACAGACGUGUAACAUGACAACUAUCUAUUUGCUGGAAAUAAGGCGUAUAUGCACAUACAUACUUGACCCAAAUAAUUUGACAUGCAUAAAUAUGGAUGGUGGAAUAGUUGCAUUGAUAGAUUAGUGCACAAGAAGUACAUAAUUAACACAUGAAAGAAUUCAUGAUGUGGCUUGGUUUAAUGAUACUUGAUACUUGUUACAGGUGUAAUUCUGAUUGGAAUCAGAAAAAAGGCUUCAUUAUACUCCUCCAUGUUACACACAAGGGGGUAUUCUUCUAUCUACUAGAAUCAAGAAACCAAUAUUCUUUCUAAGAGCAGCAAUACUAAUUCUCCAACAUUGUUAGCCCCUGAUAACUUUUAGAAGGAAAUUGAUAAAGGAGCUAUGGGCUACUAUCUUUAUCCCUUAACUUGUGACUCUGAUGAUACCGGUGUGGAAAAUACUUUGGAGGAACUUAACUUGGAAAAGGAAAUUUUGUCAUGCAAAACAAAGUGUUUUUUGUCUAUUUAUUGGAAUCAGAAAUUGAAUUCCAGUUUUACAAAUAUAUGCUAAAAAAGAUUCAUUCCAGUGGUCUAAAAAAAGAUUCAUAAAUUGAAUUCUAGUUUUACAAAUACAAGUUGAGUAUUUAGGGCAUGUUGUCUAAAAAACAUUCAUUCCAGUGGUCAGAUGCUGAAAUUGAGGCCUUCACAACAUUGAAGAAUUGUCUGGUCACUGCUCUUGUUAUGGCUUUGCCUUAUUUGACCCUACCAUUUACUUUUUAAAUAGAUGCAUCAGGUGAAGGUAUUGGUUCUGUCCUCAUGCAACAAGGCAGACCAAUUGCUAGAAAAGGAAAUGUUGUCAUGCAAAACAGGGGUUGUCAAAGACAUAAUCAAGUGGUCGGAACAGGAUUCUUACUAAUUAAAUCUGAAUGUAGAUGCAUCAUAUGAUAGUUAAGAAGGAGAUGAGUCGACGGGUGGUGUUUUAAGAGAUCAGUAUGGCAACUUUGUGUCAAUUCAGUAAAUUACCAUUAUAUUGCAAAUGCAUCAUCUGCCUGCUUGAUGGAUUCAGUGGCAAUGAAAGAAGGCCUAUCUUUGGUAGCACCUGUAGGCUAUCAUCAAAUUAUUGUAGAAUGGGAUUUCUUACAAGUUGUUCAAGCUUUUACUCGAGGUAACACAUGGUGGAAUGAAGGAUCACGUAUUAUUGUUGAUAGUUUUGAUCUAGUUCUGGAGAUAGGAACUGCGCAUUUUCUCACUGUCCUCGGGAAGCCAAUGGUGUCGCACAUGAGAUCGCUAGAAAUAGCUAUGAGAAUCAUCUAUCUUGUAUUUGGGUUGAUUACCCCACUUCUUUCAUUCAUGUAUCCCUUGUGAACAAUGUAAGUUUGCUUAAUCAAUAAAACAUGCCGUGAUGGAAUCAGAUAAUGAAUCUCUGUUUUAGCUAUACUAGUGGUUUUUUCUUCUGUCUAUUCGAAUCAGAAAAUAAAUCAGAUUCUAAAACCAUCAUCCAACAAGAAAAUAUAUGCUGGAUCCCUAGCUACAAUCCUACAUGUACGCAAACAUUAUGGUUGGGCCAGUACAUGAGUAGAAAUACCUCAUCAACACGUGAAGAAAAUGAUUCAGAUUCAAAAACCACCAUUCAUUAUGCAAGAAAAUCUAUGCUAGAUCCUUUCAACUAGCACGCCCAUAUGAAAUUGAUGCUCAUGUACUUAACAAAAAAAAACCAAUGCCAUGAAAAAACAGAGUACUUACAGGAAAUAUAAAUCUAAUAAAAUCAGAUUAGUACCUCAGAUAGCUCGUCGAUGACAUCCUCAUCGUAGUCGCUGCCCUUCCUGGGAUCCGCAGCCAUCUCGAACUCUAUUUCCUCCACGUCAUUCCCCUCGUAGAACUCCUCGAUUUUGUCAUAGAGCUCGCGCUUCAGCCUCACCUUCUGCUCGUCCAGAUCUUCAUCGACCUUCUCCUGCAUAGGCUCGCCGUCGGAUAGCUCGCCGGCCGGGAUGACAGCGGGAGGAGGCACAACAGUUGCUGCACCGCCUCCAUCACCGCUACGGCGGACUCAGCCGCUGCAACUGCGGCGGCAGCCACGACAGCAGACUGCUCUCCACCGAUGGUUGCCUCCGGCUCUUCCAUCGCAUCUUCACGGCCGCGCUUCAUUGGCGGUCGAUGAGAGGACGAGGGACGUGUUGGAAGGGAGGAGAGGAGUGGAGUGGUGAGGAAGGGAGGAGGGUUUGGGAGAGGACGAGGUGGUAUGGCUGGAGUGGGAGAGGACGAGGGUUUUCUACCCGAUUUGUGGAAGAAAAUGAAUGCGGCUGCCUCUUCGAGUUACCGAGGGGUCGAGGGGGGUGAUUUGUCUCACAUACCAGGGCCUUCCACAGUGAGGACGCGUGGGGUUUGCCCUGCGCCAUGCACCUCGCGUGCGGUUUGCCCCGCGCCGCCCUUCAAACUGCUGACACGUGGACACCAGCAGUGGUUACACAUGAUAGAUAUGGUAAAUGAAUUUCUUAAAUCUGAGGGCACGUAAUUUGUAUCAAAAUGCAUCAUCAGCUUAGUGGUAAGACCCUCACGAUCACAUACUAAUGCCCUUGGUUCGAAACUCCGUCGUGCAGUUUAGUUCCCUCUUUUUUGCCUAUGUGGUUUUUACAUGUGUGGAUCCCACAUGUCAUUCACACACAUGGAGAACACGUACAAACAAACUUGCCGGACAUGAUGUAAAUGGACCCAAAAAAUUUCUACUUCUAUGUAUCAUUCUUGUAUGGAUUUUCUAGUACGAUUAAGUGCUUAAAAUACUUCUCGGAGGUGAUGCGACAAGCGCACGUUGUCGAUCCACUGGGGUGGCCAUGCCCACAACAAGGAAAAAUUUGGUGUCCUUCUUAACAUGGCCAAAAAUUCACCUCCUUCACCGGCGGCUGUUCGGGUAGGAGGUAAGGGUCCGUGUGGAAGGACAGUUUUUUCUCGACAUGCUUCAAAUGGACCUAUAUUCUUUCUACACCCUUGUACCAACAUGAGAAGCAUCCAUGACUAGUUCCAUUGAUUUUCGAUGUUUUUAUUAUUUUUCUAGGGUUAUCACGACGAUAAAACCCUAAAAUAUUUCCCACCAGCGCCACCCUUCCCUCUGAUCACUCUGACUAGCAUGUACUUAACUUAGCAUCAAGGCCAUGAAAACAGGAAUCAGAACCGUAUUAGAUUUUGAUCCCACACAUACAAAAUAGAUAACACAAAUCACAGAUUGCAGGUACUACAAUUAUCUGAGUGAACUUCUAAUGCAUAACAACUUCUGGUAUUCAAAUACAUCACAUGAAGUACUGGGACAACUAGAAAUGCAAAACAGCUUCUGAUGUUGAGAUUGAGCAAGGGAUUUUUAUUGUGAGGCGCAGCAUCUUCAGCAACCUAUCCAUGAUUCCACCUGUAGCAUAUAAGUAACUGAAAAUUUUAGAUUGAAUACAGUUGGUAUUGGAAAAAUGAUAGUACGGUAAUUUGAAGAUGCCAAGGAAAUCUGUCACAACAACUGUAGGAGGAUACAAAUUUGAAUACAAAGUUCAUAGAUGUCAAUGUUGAAUUAAUAAGACCUUUGUAAGAUGCAAAAUCACUGCUGUGAUGAGAGUAAACAGCAUGUAGGCCAUAGCACAUGCAAGAAGCACUUACAGGAAGUGAAGGAAAAGGUUGUACAGCACGGCAACAUGAGUAAGCCAACAUCCCUACUAAAAUUAUUUCACUGCUUAUGUCUAGUUUUUUUCUUGAAUCAUUAGGAAGCCCUAAAUAUUUUGAUGCAAGAUCACCGACAGGGCAUUAAUGAAAUAUUUCAAUGUCUACAUCUCUCUACUGAAAGGCGUUACUGAAAUAUUUCAGUGGCUACGUGUGUGUGUAGUGAAACAACACCACUGAAAUAUUUCAGUUGCUACAUGCGUGUACUGAAACAGCACCACUGAAAUAUUUUAGUUGGUACGUGUGUGUACUGAAAGUGAACCGCUGAAAUAUUUCAGUGGAUACGUGCGUGUACUGAAAGUGCACUACCGAAAUAUUUCAGCGGCUACUUGCUUGUACUGAAACAGCACCCCAGAAAUAUUUCAGUGGCUACGCGUGUGUCCUGAAACUGCUACACUGAAAUAUUUCAGGGGUUGCAUGCCUGUACAAAAACUACAGUAUUGAAUUAUUUCAGGGGUUGCGUGCGUGUACUGAAACUGCAGUACUGAAAUUUUUCAGUGUCUACCCGUGUGUACUGAAAUUGCAUUGCACUACUGAAAUAUUUCAGUGUGUACCCGUGUGUACUGCAAUUGCACUACUCAAAUCUUUCAGUGUGAACCGGUCAGUACUGAAAUAUUUCAAUGCCUACAACUAUCUACUGAACUUGCAGUAUUGAAAUAUUUCAGUGUCAACCCAGAGUCUAUCACUCUAAAACUGUGUACUGAACUUGUCUGGAGGCACUUCUUGCAGCCUCGAUGGUGCAAGUUCAAUUUACACAGAUUGCAUCACGUAAUUUGAACACAACUCUUGAGGUGACAGAAAAAAUUUCAUAUCAUGGAUACCACUCCAGAACAUCAAAACAUAGCAAUGAUGGUGAAUCAGAGUAUAGAUCUGAAGCCUAAAAAUAACUAAGUGAGGAAGAACAAGUUUCACAGUUUCACAUUAGAAUUUUAGAUCUACCGCAUGACAGGAAAAGGAAAAUAUUUAGACCUAAAGGUUGGUGCUUGAGCAGUUCAUGAAGUUCCAGAUCAGGUUUUUAUACACAAAAGAGAUGAUCUGAUGGCAAAAGAAGGAUUAUCAUUACUACUGCAUAAGAGUAUAUCACAUUUGGAGUCUAUCCUAUAGGACUUAAUGAAGAACAGGGGAAGAACACCAUGAAGCUUCGAGGAGCCCGUGCGAACCCUAAACAGAUCUAUGGAGGAAAGGAAGAAGAACUCACCAAAAACUGUUGAACAGCGGAGAGGCGCCGUGAUUUUCUGGUACUGGCAGGGUGAUGCAGCGGCCAAGGUCGGGGCAUGAUACGUCUCCAACGUAUCUAUAAUUUUUUAUCAUUCCAUGCUACUAUAUUAUCAACUUUGGAUGUUUUAUAUGCAUGAUUAUGCUAUUUUAUAUUAUUUUUGGGACUAACCUAUUAACCUAGAGCCCAGUGCCAGUUCCUGUUUUUUCCAUGUUUUUAACCUUUUUCAGAUAGGAAUAUCAGACGGAGUCCAAACGGAAUAAAACCUUCGCUGUGAUUUUUUAUGGAAAAUAUCAAAAAUACCAGAAAGAAAAGAUACCAGAGGGGAGUCCCGAGGAGAUCACAAGCCAGGUAGGCGUGCCCACCCCCCUGGGCGCGCCUGGUGGGCUUGUGACCCCCUCGUGGGUCCCUCCAACUUGUUCUCGAUGCCAUCUGGUCGUAUAAAUACAGAAACCUCCAGAAGCCUCUGUAGCCACCAAAAACCAAUCGGGAGCCCUUUCUGGCACCCUGCCGGAGGGGGAACCCAUCUCCGGUGUCCAUCUUCAUCAUCCCUGUGAUUUCCAUGACGAGGAGGGAGUAGUUCUCCCACGGGGCUGAGGGUAUGUACCAGUAGCUAUGUGUUUGAUCUCUCUCUCUCUCUCUCUCUCUCUCUCUCUCUCUCUCUCGUGUUCUUGAGAUGUAAUGAUCUUGAUGUAUCGCGGACUUUGCUACUAUAGUUGAAUCUUAUGAUGUUCUUCCCCCUCUCCCUUCUUGUAAUGAAUUGAGUUUUCCCUUUGAAGUUAUCUUAUCGGAUUGAGUCUUUAAGAACACUUGAUGUAUGUCUUGCACGUGUCUAUCUGUGGUGACUAUGGGAUAUUCAUGUGAGUACUUGAUGUAUGUUUUGGUGAUCAACUCGCGGGUUUCGUGACAUUGGGAACCUAUGCAUAGGGGUUGGCGCAUGUUUGACUCUCCUGUAGAAACUUUGGGACACUCUUUGAAGUUCUAUGUGUUGGUUGAAUAGAUGAUUCUGAGAUUGUGUGAUGCAUAUCGUAUAAUCAUGCCCACGAAUACGUGAGGUGACAAUGGAGUAUCUAGGUGACAUUAUGGUCUUGGUUGAUAUGUGUCUUAGGGUGUUAUUCUAGUACGAACUCUAUGAUAGAUUGAACGAAAAGAAUAGCUUCGUGUUAUUUUACUACGGACUCUUAAAUAGAUCGAUCAGAAAGAAUAACUUUGUGGUGGUUUCGUACCCGACAAUAAUCUCUUCGUUUGUUCUCCGCUAUUAGUGGCUUUGAAGUGACUCUUUGUUGCACGUUGAGGGCUAGUUAUAUGAUCCAGUUAUGUUAUCAUUGUUGAGAGAACUUCCACUAGUGAAAGUAUGAACCCUAGGCCUUGUUUCCACACAUUUCAAUAUCGUUCGUGCUCACUUUUAUUGUUAUUUAACUUGCUGUUUUUAUUAUUUCAGAUUACAAAAACCUAUAUCUACUAUCCAUAUUGCACUUGUAUCACCAUAUCUUUGCUGAACUAGUGCACCUAUACAACUUACCAUUGUAUUGGGUGUGUUGGGUACACAAGAGACUCUUUGUUAUUUGGUUGCAGGGUUGCUUGAGAGAGACCAUCUUCAUCCUACGCCUCCCAUGGAUUGAUAAACCUUAGAUCACCCAUUUGAGGGAAAAUUGCUACUGUCCUACAAACCUCUGCACUUGGAGGCCCAACAACGUCUACAAGAGAAGGUUGCGUAGUAGACAUCAGGGCAGAGGUGAAGGUCGACGGCGGCGGCAGCGCUCGAGUGCUGAGGCGACGUGAGGUGGAAGAAAGACGAAGAGGCAAGGGGAGAAAAGGAAAGGGACCCUCGGCCCUAUUUAUAAGGCGAAGAGAUAAGUGACAGGCGCAGGAAUCGAGGAGCCCAAAAAAAUGGAUAUGUCCCAGAGCUGUCUCCUCGAUUUUCGGAGGCUCAUUAAUAAAAGUAAGGUAUAUACAGUUUUUUAAUGAAUAGGUGAAGUCAUAGCGAUUUAUUAUAAUCCUGGAAGAUGACGUCAUGGCGGUUUAUUAUAAUCCUGUAAGAUGACGUCAUGGUGGAUUACAAGGUUUACUCGAAGGUACUAAAGAAGAAGUUUUUCUAAAGUGUUGAAGAUUGACAUGAACAGGUUCAAAUCAAUCCGGGGCCUAAUGUUGGGGAUAUAACUACUGAGUAUAAACCGCCCGGGAGGGGCCGGGUUAUACCUGUAAUGAGUUAUUCAUAUUGAAGCCCAUGAAGACAAGGUGUAUGAUGCUUUAAUAUAAGAGAUCUAAAAGCCCAAGGCCCAAAGGCGGAUUAGGGCCCAUAGACAUAAACCGCCAUAAGGUGUGUAACUUGUGUUGUAAGAUAGGAAAGAGUAGAAACUGAGCCGGACACGUUUAUGAGCCGGUCGGGAUUCUGUAAACCGCCGGGCGUCAAGCUGUGUAUAUAAAGGGAUGACCCAGCGGUGGUUCAAGGACAAGAAACAACAACUCGAGAGCCAGGCAAAGCGUAUUCGCUCCCUGGUCAUCGAAACCAUAGCAAUCCCAUCAUAACUGGAGUAGGCUUUACCUUCAUCGUAAGGGGACGAACCAGUAUAAUUCCUUGCGUCCUUUGUCCGCUUUAACCCCUUUAAGUUCACUACGUUGCAAUGGCUCCACGACUAAGUCCUCACACUAGGACAUCUGUCGUGCCAAUCCCACGACAAGCGGGGAAAUAUUUAACAGAGAAACAAUAAAUCAUAUCCUGGGGACUACGCACACAACCAGGAUCAAGAGAAUUAAACCAUGUUUUAGCAUCACCCUUUAAUCAGAACGGGAAUAACUUAAGGAUAAAGUAAUAGCGAGUUUUCUCAUCAUUAGUGAAUAGGGUGGCUAUAUCAUUUAAUUUAGUAAGAUGUGUCACAACAGUUUCAGAUUCAUAGCCAUAGAAAGGAUCAGAAUCAACCAAAGUAAUUAACUCAGGAUCGACAGAGAAAUCAUAAUCCUUAUCGGAAAUAAAGAUAGGUGAAGUAGCAAAAGCAAGGUCAUAUUUCAUUCUAGCAUUCAAAGACUUUUCUUUAAGCUUAGCUAAUAAUUUCUUAAGAUCAGAUCUAUCAUUGCAAUCUAAGAAGUCUCUAGUAGUUUCUUCAUCCAUAACAUAACCCUCAGGCAUAAUAGGCAAUUCAUAUCUAGGGGGAGAAUCUUCAUCAUCACUUUCAUCAAUAUUUUUAGUUUCAGUAAUUUCAUUCUCUCUAACCCUAGCAAGUUGUUCAUCAAGAAAUUCACCUAAUGACACAGUAUUAUCAAGCAUAGAAGUAGUUUCAUCAUAAGUGUCAUGCAAAGCAGAAGUGGCAUCAUCAAUAACAUGCGACAUAUCAGAAUGAAUAGCAGGAGUAGGUGUCACAAGUUUACUCAAAACAGAAGGUGAAUCAAGUGCUGAGCUAGAUGGCAGUUCCUUACCUCCCCUUGUAGUUGAGGGAAAAUCUUGGUUCUUUUAUCUUUCAAGUUCUUCAUAGUGAUCAGCAGAUAUAAAUCCCAAGUAACUCAAAGAAUAGAGUUAUGCUCCCCGGCAACGGCGCCAGAAAAUAGUCUUGAUAACCCACAAGUAUAGGGGAUCACAACAGUUCUCGAGGGUAGGGUAUUCAACCCAAAUUUAUUGAUUCAACAGAAGGGGAGCCAAAGAAUAUUCUCAGGUAUUAGCAGCUGAGUUGUCAAUUGAACCACACCUGGAAACUUAAUAUCUGUAGGAAAGUAUUUAGUAGCAAAGUAACAUGAUAGUAGCGGUAACGGUGGCAAAAGUGACGGUAGCAGUUUUGUAGUGAUUGUAACAGUGGCAGCGGAAAAGUAAGUAAGCAAAGAUCAAUAUAUGAAAAGCUCAUAGGCAAUGGAUCAGUGAUGGAUAAUUAUGUCGGAUGCGAUUCCUCAUGCAAUAGUUAUAACAUAGGGUGACACAGAACUAGCUCCAGUUCAUCAAUAUAAUGUUGGCAUGUAUUCAGAUAUAGUCAUACGUGCUUAUGGAAAAGAAAUUGCAUCACAUCUUUUGUCCUACCCUCCCGUAGCAACGGGGUCCUAUUGGAAACUAAGGGAUAUUAAGGCCUCAUUUAAUAGAGUACCGGGAAUACAUGAACUCCUCAAACUACGGUCAUCACCGGUAAGUAUCCCGAUUAUUGUCACUUCGGGGUUAACGGAUCAUAACACAUAAUAGGUGACUAUAGACUUGCAAGAUAGGAUCAAGAACUCACUUAUAUUCAUGAAAACAUAAUAGGUUCAGAUCUGAAAUCAUGGCACUCGGGCCCUAGUGACAAGCAUUAAGCAUAGCAAAGUCAUAGCAACGUCAAUCUCGGAACAUAAUGGAUACUAGGGAUCAAACCCUAACAAAACUAACUCGAUUACAUGAUAAAUCUCAUCCAACCCAUUACCAUCCAGCAAGCCUACAAUGGAAUUACUCACGCACGGCGUUGAGCAUCUUUAAACCUCGCCUCGGCAACUUGCAAUACCCGUCACGAAGCUUCAGAAGUAUAUCACCUCAGCGCAGGAAGGGAUGUUCAUUCCCGACAGAGAAAAGGACAAGCUGACUGAGGCCCUAGGGAAUGCUGAGCACCCUGGACGAACACGAGGCACUCCAGGCUCCAUUCUGUGGAAGUUUGGGUUUCCCGACGCAUGCGGUUACAAAAGCCGGGAGAGAAAGAGGAAAGAGGAGAUGAGCGACAUGUAGAAGCUCAAUGCAAGAGUACAAAAGCUAGAGGAAGCUGAGAGCAAGCGAGCUGCCGACCAACCAUCUCAGCGGCAUGAAGCUACCCCAGAAGCUACCCCGCCAUCUCAGCGGAGAAGCAGCGUGGCUUCCACGGAGCCCGUUCAUCCUGACUUCACGUCUCCUAGCUACCCCGUGGAUACUAUCACGGAGGCUCAACAUUGCGAGCUUAUGAAGAAAUGUCGGAACCUCACUUUCAAGGCGUCUACAGGUGAAGGGGAAAAUUGGCUGGUUCAUGCUCUGAGGAGUACAUGUCUAUGGCAGAAGGAGUACAUCAAACUUCCAAACUGGACGCCUCUGCUUCCUGCUCCUCCUCCGGCGAGUCAGGGCACUCCGCCUCCUCCUCCUCCGGCGAGUGAUCAGGGAACUCCGCCUCCUUCUUCGGCUCCUCCGACACGUGAGGGCACUCCACCUCCUCCUUCGCAUACUCCGGCGCGUCGGACUAGUCCGCCUCCUCCUUAGCCUCGUCGGCAAUGGCGGAAGACAAACGUCGUCACACCUGCUCCUUCGGUGCGUCAGAUUUCUCCGCCUCAUCAGCAACGACGGAAGAGAGACGCCGCCGGUCCGGCGGCUAGUAGUACAAGCAGAGGCGGGAGCCAAUUCAGAUACGGUCCAUCUCUCAAGCCUCUGGAAAGUUACCAUAUGAGAGGACCGAGUAGGAAAAUGAGGACAUAUGUCGUGCCCAACUAAGGGACCAUUUUGCAAAGAAAAAUCCACCUCUGAAGGAGAAGGUAGAUCCGGUGAAAGUGAAGCGCACUAUCAAUGCCCUGAAGCGACCACAACCGCCUCCGCCGGAUUCCAACUAUGGCCGCAUAAUUACUAAGACACAUGCUAAAGCGCAGCAGUCGGGAAGUACUUCUAGUGCUGCAAGAGCGAAAAAACGAAGAAGUGGGAAAACAAUUCCUCAGCUCAGCGAACUGGAGAAGCAAUCGUGCCCCCCGCUCAAGGUGUCUAGCGAUAUCGCUAAUCAUCCGAUGCUACUGCCCAGUACCACUCUUGAUGAUUACCUGCCCAAUGAUGUACAGUUUGAAACGGCUGAGGUAGUAGACGUCUUCAGAUACGAGCAUGGGAAGCCUCUCGUCAAACCUGAUCAUCCUCAUCUAACAACGAUGAUGCAAAAAUUGCAUGACUGGUACAUGGAAACCUACAGGAAGUCUGGGAAAGACAUUUAUUAGUCGGAAUUAAAAAAGAGCAUGACUUCCCUGGAAUCGACAUGCUUCCUGUUGAAUUUGUGGAGUUAUUUCAAUUAUACAAUCAAAAGGCCCUCGACAAACAACUCAUGACUUGCUACUGUCUGUAAGUAUUACUUCUAUAAUUAAGUCUCUAGCUCAGCUCGUUCAUUGCAUGUAUAUAUAAUUAUCCUCACUAUAUUAUGCAGAUUGAAGAUGGUCGAAUGCAAAAAAUAGGAAUCUUCGACGUUGGGUUCAUUAGCCCAAAUACCGUAAAUGAAUGGUCGGUACGAAAGGUGGCUGAAGAUACUGAGAACAACUUACUACAAACGUUCCUUACACAUCAAAACAAAAGGGAAAUACUCUUUCCUUACAACUUCAAGUGAGUGUUACUGUCUUCUGCAUAUUCGGUUCCACUUACCCGUGGUUAAAUAAUGUAAUUGAUGAGUUAUGCGUGCGUAGCUUCCACUAUAUUCUGCUAUCCAUUAACCUUGAUGGGGCAUUAGUAAUUGUCUUAGACUCGCUCCGUAAAGAUCCCAAGUAUUAUGCGGACAUGACUGCAAUGCUCCAGAAGUAAGUUCAAUCAAUACCGGGACCAUAUCGGCAACUUUUAUUCAUUUCCUGAUAUCAAGUAAUCAUUUUCUUUGCCUGCCAGGGUUUGGAAAACGUUCACUGCUAAGGUUCCGGGUCUGAAGAAGGAGCUGCGAUUUACACACCCCAAAGUAAGUAGUACAAGCUAGUUUCGCGCAUCUCUCAUUGAUUCUAGUUUAAUCAAUAUCAUUAUCAUGCUUGCUUAUCAGUUUGAUUGAACUCUAUUCUCGUAAAGUGCUUGUUGCAUGCACCCAACACUCAUUUAUGUGGAUACUACGUAUGCGAGUUCAUUCGCUACUAUACCUCUGAACGUGCCUCCUAUGAGAAACAAUUUGAAGUACGUAAACAAUAUUCACAAUUUUAUUUUAUAUAUUACCAUCAAUUGUGUUGAGUUUCAUUCAUAUAUAUGUAUUGACCCCUUCUUUAAAUUAGAUCUGGCAGAUGCGGGAUGAACUCCUACCACGUGAUCGCAUACGAGCAAUUCAAGAGGAAUUGGCGGGAUUCUUUCUUGACCACGUCAUACUUGAACAAGGAGAAUACCAUGUGAAAUUGAAAUUGUUGUAAGGGAUGUUAUAUAUUGUACAUAUGUAGCAGCGCCGGAUAGAUAUACGAAAACUUGUUGUUCGACCAAGCACGAAGAAAGAGAUGUCACUUCUCUCUAUAUAUGUUCAUGACGAUCUUGUAUAAUUAAUGGUUUCCUUUAGUUGCUUACUAGCUAGCGUCGAGUUCUCUCUAUAUGUGUAGUAGCUAGAGUCGACCAAGCACGGAAAAAGAGAGGUCACUUCUCUCUAUUAGCUCGCUAACACAAUAUGAAACCCCUAAAUUAACCCUUCAAAACCCCAACCCCCCCCCCCUUCCAAAAAACAAAACCCCCAGCGACUGCGAGCUGCUGACGCGUGGCCGCCUUUUGGUCCUAGUUGGUGUUACCAACCGGGACUAAAGGUCCUCCCUCCCCCGCCCCAGGCAGCGCCACGUGGAGGGCCUUUGGUCCCGGUUCGUAAGCAAACCGGGACUAAAGGUUUUGGGUAUUAGUCCCGACCCUUUAGUCCCGGUUCCAGAACCGGGAAAAAUGGCCCUCUGGAACCGGGACAAAUGGCCCUUUUUCUACUAGUGACUUCUCAUAGGAGAUACGUACUUUCAGAUAGACAUAAUUUCCUACUUCGAAAAUUAAUUCUCUUCUUCGAUUAUCUGCAUAGCUCUUCUGACGAGUUUGUGCCACUCUCAAGUUCUCUCUAAUCAACCUGGCUUGUUCCUCGGCAUUCCUGAGCACAUCUGGUCCAAAGACUUAACUUUCACCCGUUUGAUUCCAGAACAACGGUGUUCUACACUUACGCCCAUACAAUGCUUCAAACAGUGCCAUCUUUAGACUAUUCUGGUGAUUAUUGUUGUAAGAGAACUCCGCAUACGGUAAACUUUUAUCCCAACUAGUACCAUACUGCAAUGCACAAGCUCUCAACAUAUCUUCAAGAAUAUGAUUGAGCCUUUCUGUCUAUCCAUCAGUCUGAGGAUGAUAUGUUGUACUGAAAUUCAACUUCGUUCCCAAAGAUUUAUGCACUUUCUGCCAAAAGAUGGACGUGAACUGCGGACCUCUAUCAGACACAAUCUUCUUAGGAACUCCAUGCUGACAUACUAUUCUUUCCAUGUAUAGCUCUGCCAAUCUUGCCCCGCUGUAAGUAGUCUUGACAGGCAAAAAGUGAGCGACUUUAGUGAGACGAUCCACUAUUACCCAUAUAGAAUCAUAACCUUGCUGGGUGUGUGGUAAUCCCACUAUAAAGUCCAUUCCGACUUCUGCCCAUUUCCACUCAGGAAUCUUCAUUGGUUGCAACAAACUAGCGGGUCUCUGAUGCUCAGUCUUUACCCUCUGACAAGUGUCACAUAUAGCUACAUACUCAGCCACAUCUCUUUUCAAUCCAUACUAGCAGUACUUCUCCUUAAGAUUUAGAUACAUCUUAGUACUUCCAGGGUGGAUAGAAUAGGCUGACUCAUGUGCUUCACGCAAAAUUGUAUCAUGAAUGGCUUUCACCUCAGGCACACAUAUCCUUUUUCCAAACCAUAAGGUUCCAUUCUCAUCUAUUCUGAAGCCAGGUGCUUUACCAAUCACCACAUUCUCAGCUAUCUCCUUUAGCUUUUCAUCUUCUAGCUGACCCUUACGUAUUUCUUGCUCCAAUGUAGGAAUCACUUUUAUCUCCAUAGCACUAGCAACAAUGCCAAGGUUCAGAUGUUGCAACUCCGCAUACAACUCUUCUGCCUCUGGUCUCAACUUAAGAUUGUUGUCAUAUUUCUUCCUAUUGAGAGCAUCAGCUACAACAUUUGCCUUACCUGGAUGAUAAUGUACCUCCAGUUCAUAAUCCUUGAUUAACUCUAGCCAGCGACGUUGUCUUAAAUUCAGACCUGUCUGAGUGAAUAUAUACUUCAAGCUCUUAUGAUCGGUGUAGAUAUCACUCUUGUGACCAAUCAGAUAGUGUCUCCAGAUCUUCAAUGCAUGUAACACAGCUGCUAGCUCCAGAUCAUGAGUAGGAUAAUUUAACUCAUGCUUCCUCAACUGUCUCGAUGCAUGCGUCCGUGGUGGUGACCUCAUGUCCGCUCGCACCGUGUUCGAUGAAACGCCAACGAGGGUCAAAAGCUUCGAACCACAUCGGCAUCGCUCGGAGUAGCAACGGGUACACGCUGGAGUGCUGGAUGUGAUGCUUGGCCAUCUCCAACUCACGAGCGUGUAAGAGAGAAACCAUGAGACAGUAAUGAUUUAAUUUGGUUUUGCAAUGUUUUUAUUUUAAAAAUAGUUGGUUUAUCUUUGUAAAAUAGUUAAUUACAUGAGAAUUAUUGAACAAAAUAGUUUUUAAAGAGCAAUUUGCAUUCAAACAGUCUUCAUUCUUAAUGAAGCUACGAGUUCCCAUUUGCUCUAACCAAACGAUCUUCAAUUUUUGCCACCACAGGAGCCUUGUAUUAGCUCUUGCGGUGCGAGCGGGAGCUCGGAUGUCCGUGCGACGAAGCUGAUCUAUGAAAGUGGCCUUGGUGAUCCUGUGCCCCGGUUGGUAGGUUGGGAGACAGCAAGGAUGCAAACCAGCGCCAACGAUGGGCGAAGAUUGCACGACGGAUGAGCGGCGCUAGAGAUGGAAAGUCUGCUGGAGCAGUUUAGGUGAAAGGAUAAAGAUGUAGUUUUCAUUUUUUUUUCUAAUAAUGAAAGUCGGACUCAACUUUAUGGAACUGGGCCUUAUGACACGUAGGGCCCAUCUGAAGCUUCUAGAGUUGUUAAUCCUGUGGUUGAGAAUGUGUGUGACAAAGCCUGUGUUUGAGUAUUUACUAUCUAGGGAAGUAUAAACAAUUUACAAUCUCAGUGGACCCAUAAGCCAAUAUCCUUGAAUGUUUUUUUUUCUGUUUGUGUGUAUAUGUCGCAAGUUUUCUUGUUUUAUUUUAGGUUUGGUACUGUAGCUAGGUCUAGAAUAGUUUUUUUUGUUCUUUUUUUAAUUUCAAAAAAAUCGAGGGAUGUCUCAGUUUUUAUUAAAAGAAAGAAAUAUUUGGUCCAAAGUUGAAUGAGCGUGUCAUGCAGGGUUAAAUCACAAGAUAAACUGAUGAAACACAUGAUGCAUUAGUGGAUAAAUCACACGGGUGAUUUGAAGACAAAUUGAAAAACAUGAUGUGUUAGUUAAAUAAAUAAAUAUCAUGAUACAAUUAUAAGUAACCAUGCAAUAAACUAUAUGUCCAAUACUUGCACUCACAGGCAUUUUUGCUACUAUUAAUAAAUUGGUAAAAAUCAGAGAAUGCGAGGCGGAUACCAAACCUAGCCAAAUGGGCCGGCCUGGGUUAAACGGGCCCGAACCCCUCUUGCCCUCGCUCCUAGAAAAGCCGCCCGCCUCCGUCUCUCCCCCGCACUCCAUCGCCUCGCCUCGCCUCGCCGCCGUUCCCCGCAACCCCCUGUCUGUCGACCCAAUUCAUCUCAGGGAUAUCACCCGACGCCUCGUCCUCCUCUCCAGAUCAGAUCUUACGCCCGCCCGCCCGAGGUGAGCACAUGCUUGUACAUCCCGAUCAGCUUGGAGUUCGUUCCGAUUGGUUGGUAGGCGCGGCGCUGGUUCGAGGCCAGCGUGGUCUCCCUCCUCCUCCGGAGUUGCUCGGGCGCGGCGCGGGUUCAUAGGUGUCGGAUCCAGCGCCGUCUGUAUCCUAUUCGUAUGAGGAACCUCGGCUAGGAUAGGAUUUAAUUAGUUGGUUUUUGUAUUAGGGUAACACCACCUAGGGUUCGGUUGAUUAUCCGUAAGAAGGAAUCAAUCUGACGCUUUAGUUAGGGUUUGCUUGGUUGGUUGUGGUCAGAUUUUGGUUUCUCAUGAAUUCUUCAACUGUGCCUGUCGCGAUUUUGGGCGGAAAUUGAUGAUUGAUUUCGGGGGCAAAAUCCGAGGGAUUUUGUGGAUGAAAGAUGGGGAAACUUGGGGAAACCAAGCAAAUCCAUGGAUCAAAAUAAACAAACUUCAUCAUGCCAACAAAUCACAAAAAAAAUUUGGUGGGGAAAUUUCGAAUUAGGACGAAAAACAACAAGAUCAAAGCUAGAAAACGAAUAUUAAUUUGGAUGGAAUUCAUGCUAUGUUGUUCGAUUUCAGUUUAUGCCUGCCAGAAUGUUUUAAUUUUUUGUUUUAUCAACUGUGUUGGAGCGUACUAGAUUUUUUGUUGCAUAUUCAUCUUCUUGCUCUGUUUGGAUAGGUAACAAUUAAUAUUUGGGAUCCUAAAAUAUGUAUGCACUGGCAGCACUUAACCUGCAGCUGCUGAUUAAUGUUGUAGUCAUAUGUGCUGCUUUCCAGCUCUCUUGUUUGGAUAGGUAUUUGGUUAUCGUUUGGGUUUAUUUAUUAUCGUUUGUAAAUGCUGGUUUGGUUUUCUGUGCUCACUAUGCCCUUGCACAUGGGAUGCAAUUUUUUUAUUUCCCUGCUGUUUAGUUUAUUGUUUCCUUUGAUGGUGAGGCAUUAAUUCUGGAGAUAGAUGCAAUUUUCUUGCUCACACAAUAAUACAAUGAAUGAUGGCAUCUCUAUCUACUUUGAACCAAAUUAUAUUAUAUUCCCCCCUCUGUUAAUUAUUUUUCUGUUUUGGGUAUUCAUUCAUUUUGUUUAGUUGCCUAUCAGUAUAAAUACAUGGCUGGAUUGCUUUCACUUCAUAUUAAUAACUAUUCUGUCGCACAAUGCAAAUAUACAUAUGCUGUCCUAACUAAUUAAGUAGAAGCUUGGAUUGGUGCUGUAUGGUCUCUUCCUGACAUUAAAUCCUCCUCUGUUUGUGCUGUCUGUUUCUGCUGCUGCAGUCUUCUUCGCCGCCAAAAGGAAAAGAUGCUCUACAAAAUCCACUCCCAUGCCGAAAUCCAAGCCCUGCAGGCCCGCACCGAUGAGCUGGGCCACUCCAAUGAGCACAUGGAUGUGAAGCUUGUCUCUCUGGAGUCGGUGCGCAUAGCGCGCGAGUCGUAUGCACUCCUCCGCCCGCUGAUCAUGGAGUCGAGGUCCUGGGAAUGCCCGGAGCUGGAUUCCCUCUCGGACGUGGCAGGCUUGUCGCUGGAAAUCCAAAAGCUCGAGCAUGAUGUGUUACCCCAGCUCACGGUUCAGGAGGCUAAGCUGGAACGGGGUGCCCUGGAAGCCCUCCUACUCAUGAAGAGCUCAGCAGCUAAGCUCUUACAUAUGAGUAAGUGCUUGAAGGAAGCCUUGGGCGUAUUGCUUGCCGAGGAUGUCAAAAAGCUGAGCAUAGUGCUAAGCGAUACUGCUGUUCAUGUACUCAAAGGUAAGUUCAACAGUGGCUUGCUUCAGGAGCGUGUCCCGUGGCUGGUCGAGCUGGUCACCGAUGUGUUGGAGACCCCGGUUCGUUUCUGUGAUACUCGUAAGCGUAAGUAUUCUGAUGAGUAGACUUAUCAGCCAGCUCGAGGCUGUUGUGAUGAGUAUUUCUUAGGGGCGUGGCAAACAGUUUAGAAUCAACCCUUUAUGUUUGUAUGUGUUAUUAAUGGAUUUUAAAUGAUAUGUAUCUUGGGUGGGUAGUGUUUUCUCAUUCUGUGCUAGUCGGGUACAACUUGGAAUUACUUUCAGUUUUUUUUUUGAGAAACAUCCAUUCUGUUUUUUACUGUCACAUGAGGUAUUCGCUCUUUUUAGGGAAUAUAUAGAAGAAAAGAGGCAUACUUUAGAACGUGGAUGGAUUCACUCAUUUUGCUCCGUAUAUAGUUUUCUACUAGUGAAAUUUCUUAAAAGACAUAUAUUUAGGAACGGAGGGUUCUGUGUGUGUCCAUGAUUAAAGCUUUGCAAAUACCAUAAACAAAACAUCACCUUGUACAUAUAAAGUGAUGAUUAUUUUUACACUAACCAGUUUGGCAAGAAGUACUUCCUUCGUAAAUAAAGAAACAUAAGAGUGUUUGGAUUAUCAUUUCUUUAGAGAGGGAGUAGUAUAUAUAUAUAAUUGAAUUAAUAAUCUCUACUCCUAAAGUUGGUCGUCUCCGUUCAUCGGUUAAUUUUUGUCCCACCAACACCGAUUUUUUUUCGUCCUCCAGGCCGUCGAACAAAAAAAAAGGGCUGGCUUAGCUAUGCCCCUACGAAGUCAAGGGGCCAAACCUCCGAUCGAAACAGAGAGAACUGGAUGAAAACAAAUCUACAAAAAACACCUACGAAAUUAAACCAACGAAAAAAACGAAUCGCACGCAGGUAUACGAGCGAUUCCUCCUUCCUUCGAACCACUCACACGCUCACUCCUUCCCUUCGCCCCCGCCGCUCGAUCCCUUCGCCGCCGCCCUCUCACAUCAAAGCCGCCAUCGAUAUGCCCCGCCAGAUCUCGCCUCAGCCCCGCCGUCUUGUGAUCUGGAGUUCACAGUCUCCGCCGCCGAUAUCCUCGCACGCGUUAGGGUUCCUGCGCCGCCGCCACACAGGAGCUCGUCGACCAGCCUAGCGUCCUGCUGCUCCGUGCUUGCUUCCCUCGUCGGUCGCCUUUGGACCCCUCGCUUCGGACUCCGCGCCAAGCCGCCGCCUCUUCGCCGAGAAAGAGGGCUCCCGAUCUCCGCCGUGGUCGACCAUCAGCGCGACGGGUAGAGUACCCAGCCCGUAGGCUCAUCCCCUUCUCCGAUCCACCCCGGCAGCGGCCAUCGUCGGUACGUUCCGCUUGUGAUAUAUCGGUGUAGGCUCAUCCCCUUCUCUUUAUCUAAAGGACUGUGCUAACCACCAGUCGACUGGUGGUUAGCAACAGAUCCGCACGACCUUGGAUCGAUCCUUCCGCUGCCUCGUUCCUCCCGCUUCCACUAUUUUUUUUCCUUCUCUUAAAAACCGUAGUAAAUUGCUAGUGGUUUUUUCUGGUUUUUCGCUGCAUAAUAUGAAAAGAAAAUAAAAGUGCUUGAAAGAGGAUUUGAACCCAGGUCUAUGUAAUACCUAUCAAGCCUAAUAACCAACUAAGCCACCUUUUGUUGUUGUCUAUUAUAGAAUGGCAAUGUUAUUUGAAUCUUUCUUAUUUCUGCCAUAUCAAAAGAAAAAGGAAAGUUUGGCUUGGUAACUUUGGCAAUGACCAGCGUGAUAACUAUGGUCUGAGUAACAUGAUAACUAUACCAUGAUAAGGCUGGUAACUACAGUAUGAGAAGGUUAAAAGCAUGGGAAAGUAUGGUAAUUUAACAUAGAAAUUACCGGUGAAAUGUUUCAAAAAAAUUUUUCCCUUGGAUGAAAGACACCAUGGUGUUUAAACGUAAAAUAUUAGUUAUCAAGUCUGCGAUGAUACAUCAUCAUGUUAUUUACACAGAAAUUAUCGAGUGUAUGUUUUUCAACAAAAAAGUUUCAGGUCAAAAGUUAUAGUGGCGUUUGUAUGGGAGUUAUCAAUUUUGUAUGUUUCUGUUACCAUGUUAUUUACACAGAAAUUAGCGGGGCAUCACCCCCCCUCGCCACAGUCGCCAUAUUACCAGGAUCGGGUACAUAAGUUAUCAAGUCUGCGAUGUGUGAGUUAUCAUGUUAUUUGCAUAAGAGUUAUUGUGGUAUGGUUCAACAACUCCUCCCACCCCUACCCCCACCGACAAAGUUACCAGGACUGGGUAAAUAAUUUAUCAUGUCUACGAUGUGUGAUUUAUCAUGUUAUUUGCAUGGAAGUUACCGUGGUAUGUUUCAACGACUCCCCCCACCCCUACCCCCACCGACAAAGUUACCAGGACUGGGUACAUAAUUUAUCAUGUUUACGAUGUAUGAGUUAUCAUAUUAUUUGCAUAAAAUUUAUCAGGACAGUGAUGCGUAAACUAUCAUCAUAUUUAUACAGAAGUUAUCGAGAGUAUAUUUCAUCAAAACCCCUCCCUCCGGCGGAGGGAAAAGUUAUCAUAUUUGCGGUGCGUAAAUUAUUGGGGGUAUAUUUCAGCACCCCUUCUCGCCAAAGUUACCAGGACUGGGGUGCAUAAGUUAUCGGGUCUCUGAUGUCUGAGUUACCAUGUUGUUCACAUCAAAGUAACUGGGGAUAUUUCAUCAACACCACUUCCCUCAAAGUUACCAGGAUCGAGGUACAUAAGUUUAUCAGGUAUGUGAUGUGUGAGUUAUCAUGAUAUUCACACAAAAAUGACCCGGGAUAUUUCAUCAACGCCUCCCUCCCGAUCGCCAAAGUAAUCAGUACCGAGUACACAAGUUAUCAGGUAUGUGAUGUGUGAGUUACCAUGCUAUACAUACACAAAAAUUACCAACGGUAUAUUUCAUCAACCUCCUCCACCAAAAUUACCAUGGUAUCAUCAACUCGAGACGAGUUGGUAAAAUAAUCUACUUAAGUGCGGAAAAGAUCGGAUAUUGCAUUCACUUUUGUGCAAACAUAGAAAAGGAGACAUGUUAAAAAGCCUAUUUGCUUUCAUUUUUACAAAAGAGGAACGUAGGUGAGGUGGUUGGCUAGUGGGUUACCUUGUAAAAGUUACAAUGAUUGAAUCCUGUUGGCACACUAUUUUUUGACGAGAAAAAUUCAUGUCCCUCGUCACAAUUCUUUGAUUUUGGAGUUUGACUCUAGCUCCCAGCAAAAAAAUUCUGGAAUUAGCACAACUUUUAUUUUGAUGCUAUGAGGUAUAAAAGGUUAAGUUCUUAUGUUUUCCAGUUUGAACAACUAAGAUGUUGUAGCUUGUUGGUCGAAGGGAGCAUGCGGAGCCUGUGUGUCCUGGGUUCAAUUCCCAUCGGGUGCUUUAUCUUUUUCCUCGAAAAAUAAAGUAGCUAGUGAUCUAUCGGGAGGUCGAACGUGGAUCGUGCAUCGAGCGAGUCGUGCGUGCCUGCCACUAAUGACCAGUCGGCAGGUAUUUAGCUUUGUCGUUAUCUAAAAAGGCUAUUCUACAUAUGCCGAGGAGAAGAUGCUCACCUUCUCGCCCCUCCCUCUACCGUGAUGUACGUGGAUGAACCCGACGGCAACAAGGACGACCUCGUAGGAUCCAGCCACGAUUGUGCGGAAUUUCGCGGGGACGAAUCUACCCGGCCUCUCGUCCUAUCCGCCGCCGGUAGAGGCAUCCAUGUCCGAUGGUGUGAAUUUUGGCUGGUUCCAUGAGCACUUCGUUCCCUGCCGUGUAGUCUUCGUUGAUUCGGGAAGAUGGUGGUUGUCUGUUUAGCCAUUUCAAUCUGCUAUUGAUCAUGCUCAUUCUUGUUAUAUUCAGUUAUAUUGGAAACACCAUCUGAUUCAGUUAUAUUCUUGAUCAUGCUCAUGCUCAUCCUUAUUCAAAUACGAAUACUUCUGUUUGGAGAGCUCGGGCGUCAGCUGUGUGGAAGCACCAGCUGAUUUGUAACUGGUCGGAAGGUGAGCUUCUCAUACUCGCUGCCGUCGAAGCACGGCACCUUGCCGCCACUUAUGUUGCAUGUUGUUGUGCUGUAGGUCCUUGGGGUUGGGUGCGGCAACUCGCGACUCGAAGACAUUUCGUGCAUGUGCUCCCCUGCGCUUGGUGACCAAUACAUCUACUCCGUUGUGAACAUGUGCUUCGUGUCAUACAAGUCGCCGCCAAGGGUGAGCUCGUGCAGCUGUACAGGUAUAGAUGUGCAUCCCAUAAUGGCAGCUACAGUUUCUUUCAUAAAGUUAUUUGUGUGAGUGCCCUGCAUAUUGAAGUAAACUGGAUCGGCUAAUCUUGAGUUCCUCCACCAAGUUAUAUUACUUCGACAAGAAAAAGUGCAGAAAGACCAUAUAAAGUACUCUGGUGACUCUCUCAAUUGAACUAAAUUUUUUUUAGAUGCGUGAAACAUGCACAACGAUUUGCUCUAUUGAGUCUAUGUAUGUUGAACUAGCACUCGAAUUAUAGCUCAUGCCGGUAUGCUAUUUUUCUCUUUCUCAUAUCAGCUCUCCUUCUUUUUGUCCAUUUUUCUUCACUACUACCUGAAGGAAACUGUACUGGAUAGCAGCCUAUCAUAUAUAGUUACAUGUACCGAGUGAUUUAGCUUCAUUUUAAUGAUACUGUCAACAACUAACUACUGCUGCGACAUAUUUGAUGCAACCUGUAAAAUAUUUUUUGUUUAAUUUCAGCAUAUCAUUUAUAUACUGAAGUCUCUUCUGGACAUGUUGUCUAAUUGCGUCAUGUAUGUUAGAUAUUUGUUCUAUAAUACUUGCCAUUGACUAAUUUUCUUUUAUUUAGGUUAUGUGCAUUAUUGAUUAGCCAAUCUUGAGAGAGAGAUGGGUUGGCGUGAAUCGGAAGAAAACUACAUUGAAUGGACAAGAAGUAUGCCCUCAACUUUUUCAUGGUAUGUCUUACUUAUUGUUCUUGUGAUUUUUCCAUCAGUUUCACUUUACAUUUCUUCUUUGCUUUUUCAUGGCAUCGGGAUGCCCACUGGCGACGGUGCUGCGUUGCUACCAAAGGGGCACCCUGCCGCGGCCGGGGACUCGCUGCCGUCGAAGUACGACACCUUGCCGUCACGUAUGUUGGGUGUUGUGGUGCUGCAGGUCCUUGGGGUUGGGUGCGGCAACUCGAGACUCGAAGACGAUCUUCUGUGGUAGGGCGUCGCCGGCGGCGGCGGCACCUGUAUAGACCGUCUCGGUGUGACAGAAGAGUUCGGAGUUCACUCCGAGAAAGAAUUGCUUUGCAUGUACAUUUGCUGAAAGACUGAUGUGCUGAACUUUCGAUGAUUUCGAUUGGUCUCUAACAUAACCUUUCCUCUUUUUGUUGAUAUGUCCAAAAGAGAUCCUUAUUUCACCUUUUGUUUAUAGGUAUUCAACUUGAGGAAUUUCAUACUUUUGGAGUGGAGCUAUCAAAUAUAUGUGUGCUCGAUGUUGGUGUUUUAGUCCGGAUCCCUCGCUGAAGGUGCUCGAUGUUGGUGUCUGAAUACUGCUACCGUACUUCAAGGUCUGUAGCAGCUCUUACAAUGGAUUCUUUUUAAUGAUAGUACAAUCUAUUUUUGUUUCGAUUUGGUAUUGUUGUUCUGUUCACUUAACCCAGUCUGUAGCAGCAGCUUUUCAUGUCGUUUCCUCGCCAACAAAUGUCAUAAUUUAUCACAUACGUGUGCAAAUGGUUUUUUGGCUAUAGUAUGAGUAUAUGGUUCAGAGAAGUUCGGUCAGAUGCAAAGCAUGCUUAGCAUCUCAUAGUCGUAGGCUAUUCCUUUUAAAAUUGAAGCCAUCCAGGUUUUCAAUUAUGGAGAUGAUUUGGAAACUCAGCAUAGAAAAUUAUUUACUCUAAUGCAGAUUACACAUAUUAAGGCCUUUAUUCUUUUAUAUUAAGGUCUCCAGUGCAAGCAUUAGCCCAUCUUUAGCUGCUCAUAAGCAGUAUCAGUGAUAUAUAUAUAUAUAAGUACACUCUUGCUAAGAUUAAUCUUUGAUAUAUAAAAUCAUUGCCUGGAUAUAGUUUGCUUUGAAUAUUUUUUUGCUCUUUAGUCUAUGAAGAAUUGCAAGGAGGAGGAUAAUAGAGCAGCAACCAGAGCUGACAAUUGGCCUGUAAAUGCAGCAAAGUUCUCCUAGAGGUGUGAUGUUGGUGGUGAUUUUCUUAUAUUGGGAUAUGGAUGUGGCGGGUCUAUGGGCACCAUGCUGACGCGGAGAAGGAGGUGCAGGUAGCGGGGCGCUUGAGGUGAGGUGGCUGCAGGGUCGCUCGAGAAGAACAUGCUCAUCAGCACCACCUGGAUGCCUUCGUCAUCAGCAAUGUGGACAAGGUGCAAAAGGGAUAUCUCUCUUACCUCUUAUUCAGUCUGGAAAAUUAUGCAAUGUUUGGUUUGGCAGAUUUAACAGUCGCUGGUUUGGAAAUUUGUUACCUAUAGAAGUAUAGGAAUAACAUGACUAAUAUUUAUUGAAUUUAUAGAGUUAUUGUUUUUUUCUACAAAGUCAGUUGUUACAUUAGGAAGAACAUCGUCUAAAAUCUUGACGACAUAAAGGAGCAUAGAGUUAAUAGAUUAUGAAAUCCUGUAGUGCAUCAGAUGCACCCUUCACUAAUUUUUGAACACAUUUAUAUUAUCCAGGUUCCGACCUCAUUCCCUGUGAUGUUUGUCUUUUUUAUGUGGGCGAGGAAAACAUUUUUAGGAGUGAUACUCCCAAACGUUGAUUUCUUGGUUGUCGAAUCAUGGUGCUGAUUAGAUUUUACUUAACCUUAAUUAAUCUAUUUAUAUUGCGGCUUUGUCUUUUAGCUCAUCUUUUAGUUUCUCUUCUCCACUUCACACAAGAUUUUAUUGUAGGCUACCAAGUACAGUUAUACCACUUAUACUCUUUCUAUCUGAUUAUGCAAAGCUUGAUCUAUACUCAUUGAACUUUGUUAGAUAGUAGGCCCUCCUAUUAGUGUGCCUAAAUAUAAUUGUUUCUCUGUGUUUAUAGUAUCUUAGUCCAGUAGGAUGAAUGUUCUCGAGUAAUUAGAGGUAUUUGGAUCAAGUGAAUGUCUGAAUACCACUAAAAUCGAAAUCAUAAUUAAAAAAUACUGACCUUUUUCUUCAGGGCGUCUGUUCCUCCUCCCAUGGUCAGCACCACCACCUACUCUGAAUCUCCGAUCAGAAUAGUAUGAACUAUUAAAUAGGGAACUUAAUGCUUAUCAUUGUUGAUGUAUAUAUGUACAACUAACAAUGUUUGUGCUGCAACCAGCUUACUUUAUUCCUUGCUGAAAUUUAUCUUGAUUUAUUUCACAUCAGAUAGUUCUGAACCUAGAUGAUCUCAAUUAAGGUUAUUGAAAUUUGUUAAAUUAUUUUUAUCCACUCUUCUGAAUGAGCGUAUACUAUGAUCUGAUUUGUAUAUCAUAUUACUGAGGCAGCGCUGGGCCAUGCUGUGGUGAGAACAUACGAGAGAUAAUUGGGGUGUGUGGCUGAUUGCUUCAUAUGCUGCUAAUGAUAUAUGUAGACUGCUGAUUGCUCCUGAUAUAUAGUGUCGAUUGCAGCUGAUAGUAGGAUUGUACUCAACUUGAUAGGUAAAGUGGGAUGGCGGGAUUGUAUAGUGCUCAUAAGCCAGUCCGGGCAUUGUCCUUCCUCGAAUGAAUCUGAGACUACUCCUCAUAUGUUAAUCAGUUGCUCCUCCCUAGCUUUGGUUUGGUCUGAACUUCAAAGUUUUCAUCCACCCAAUGUUGAUUCAGUCAAAGAUCUCUUGGAAAAAUUAUUUCGACAAGAUUCACUCUAUAAUGUUGUUAUCAUUGUCCUCUGGAAUAUAUGGAAGCGCAAAAACUCCAAGGUCUCCCGGGAUGUUUUUGAGGAAUUGCACAUUACUGCUAGCAAGAUUGCUGAUGAUUGAUACCAUGGUCCAACAGGUAUUCACAUGAAAUUAAUAAAUGGCACCUUACGGAUUGGAGUACUCUACUGUAUCACUAUCUGGGAGAUUUUAAUUUUUUCCUUCCAUUAUUUAUCUUAAUCCCUGUGUACUCAUUGGACUUUGUAUAGUUCUCAGUUUUAUGAAGUGGUUCAGGCUGGCGUAAGCCGCCAUAGUCCCAGUAAAAAAAGGCUACAAGCUUCGCUUCGGCCUUACGGAACUGAAUAUUAUGUAGUUUUAUUGAGAUUAUUGAUAGUGCUUCUCUACUAUCAAAGAAGAUAAUAGUCUCUUAUGUGUUUCUUUUUGUCCAUUUGAAUGCACUCCAUUUUUUAGUGUAUUAAUUAACAUCAAACCUCCCAUUCUUUCUAGAGUGCUGAUGUAUUAUUAUUUUCAGCUUAACACAUUUAACUUCCUAUAGAUUUCAUGGUUUAUGCAGAUUAACCGAGCUAAGAAUUUUUGUGAAGCUAAAGCUGGUGUUAAGAUGAACGCCGCUAUGUAUAUAUUUGAAACAGUUAGAUACAUGCUUGACAGACUAUAUAGGGGUGAUCAAAACCAUGCAAAGCAUUAUGGGACAAGUUUCUCUACCUUAAAUAAGUGUUCGUUCUCUCGUGUUUACCAUUCGUUUAAGGGUCAUCAACCCGUGUAUUUAUUUUCAUUGACCAAGUUUUACAUUUUUCUUCUGUAGUGUUCAUUGUGCAGUUCUAGAUUGUUAAGAGAGUAGAGUUUAUUGAUUUAUUACAUGGAGAGACCAGUAGUGUCGUAGUGGUCUUGACAUAAUUGCUAACAUUUUCUACUAGACAAAGUUUAAUUGCACUAAAUACAAAUUAGAACAUGCAUAGACAUUUAUCUUCUUUCUACAGAAUGGUUAGUGUAAACGUACUUUGAGUUGUACAUGAUUCUGUAUCUGACCAUUUUAUCUCAUAUGUUGAUGUGGUUGCAGAUAUGAACUUCAAAUUAUCCUGCAAUGUAUUGACUGCUCGGAGCUAACUUGACUACGCCAGUUUUCUUUUAUGGCUCAAAGUAGUUAGUGUCCCCCCUUAUUAUGAGAGAGGUACUACUUCAAACAUCUCUUCUUAAUGUUUUAUGUCAUGGCAUACAAUAUGAGGGAGUGUUAGUUGGCUUGACUUUCGUGGCACUCAUUGAUAACCUUUCAGUUUAGGAGUUUUUGUGGCCUCUUAAUCCAUGAGAGUAUGCUCAUGUUGAAGAAGUUAGUCAUAAUGAGGGGCACCAUAAAUGUUUGUUAUCUGGCACAAAUUCCUAAUGAAUAUCACAUGUUAAUCAAAUUUCAUUGUACUAUUCAUACAGUAAAAUAUGAGUGCCAUGUCAGAAUAUGGUUCUCGAUCUGAAAGAUCAUAUUCGAAAUUGCAGGUUCUAUGGCAGUGGAGUAAUGUUCGUAAAUUAUAUAUUGCUUUCAAGUUUGGAGCUGGAAUAAUAUAUGUGCUGCAUUUAGUUAUAGUCUUAUAGAUAUACAUGAACAUCCAUUGUAUAUUUCUUGCAAGACAUGAUAACUACUAUUAUUUUGAUUGUUUCCGUGAACUAUUUUGACCUUGAUUAAGAAGUAAAAAGUUUUUAGCCUCGUAGGUUGUUUGAUCUACUAUAUCAAGUGGCACUUGGCUUCUCAUGGCUCUCCUCGCAUUUGACAAACAAAGUUAGUACACACUACCUAGAGCUCUGGAAAUUAGAACUGAAAAAUGGUCCUGCGGUUUAUUAGCUGAUAUAAAUCAUGCACAAUCCUCUACAUUUAAAAAUAACCGGACACAAAGCAGUAUACUUUUUUCCGAGUACUACCUUGAGAGAGCCAAGGGGUUCUGCAUUUUAUAAAGAAGAAGAAAGUUGCCUGGUUCAAUACAUGCUUAUCUAAGAAAUAUAUCUUAUCUAUUUAGUGGAAACCAGGCAAAAACCUACAGAUACAAAAGGCAUAAAGUCCCCCACCGGUUGUGACCGAACUACUGUUUUUGGAAAUAUCACAUGAGCUAGAUUACUAACAUUGAUGUAAUGCUUGUAUGGCAACCUAUUCCUUUAUUGGUUUAAUUACAGAGUUUUGUUAUUAUGUGAACGGAGUAAUGGAGAGCUAAGAAAAAACAAGGUAACAGUUAGUGUUACUCUUGCGAGGUAGUUUCAAUCAUAUCAUUGUUUGCUUUCCCUUUUCUCCUGCCUAGGUAUGUACAAUUAUUCCAACCCAGGUUUCUUUCAAGAAGGAUAUGGGUAUGUGUUUGAGGAAUGUCUACAUGACAAAACACACCUUCAAGUUUGGUGAUUGUUAUGCUAUCAAACUUACAAUGGGGGUCUUAAUUUGUAUUUUUAAUAGAGCACUGGGUUCAUUGGUGAGACUUGUGAGGAUGUGCCUAGGCUAAAGAUGGCUGCUAUGUCGGUACCAAGUGGCAUGUGUUUAAAUGGAGUAUUCUUGUCAGGAGAGCUGAUUUCUGAAAUACGGUACUUUAUGGGUGCAAGGAUUCACCAUGUUGCGGUCUUCGUCAGCGGAGUGGACUCCUAGGAAUUAGUCAAGGCCGCUAUGUUGUUUUAAGCUGAUAUUCUAUCGUACUUGUAUAUUUUUUUGCUUAUCUAGCUGUUUGCCAUGCAGUUCUCGUUGUUGGUGGGAACAUUUGUUGUCUAAGAUCGACCUCAAAUAUCUGGUGGCACUAUAGCAUGGCUUUUGAUAUUCUAAUGUAUAUCUCUUACAAAAUAUUUCAAGAGCCCGUGGCAACGCACGGGCAUUAUACUAGUGUAAGUAAGGAUGGAGAUGAAGAUGGUGUGGCGACAAGGAUAUAACAAAACGCCUGGUUCCUUCAGCCAAAAGUUGGCGACGUUCCUUGUUACACACGCUCCGCCCAACAAACGCUCCAAAAGCCAGAAUACAAUUCCUCAAACAAUGGCCAAAGACUACUUCCCCACAUGGAAAAGAAAUACGCACAUGGCCUUACAAUGUUAGCUACUCAUGUCUGAGUUCCUAAACCCUUGCAAAACAGAAAGAAAGGUUGUUUGCUAAACAAAAGAAAGGCCAACACAAUCCUAUCCAAACACUCCACAUUUUUACUCUGUGUCAAAAAUAUGCAACUUUUUUUUGGUUUUUAGGUACAUGCCAAUUUUUUAAAAAAAAACACAAUUUUUUUAUGUUCACACGCCAAGGUAUUUUGUACACAUGGCAAAAUUUUCCGAAGAAGAAAAAUCUCACGACCCCAUGGAUAAUUCAUAACUUUUUGUCUUUCAAACAGGGCAAUUUUAAGUCAUUUUGUAAUGCUAUUGUGGCAAACGAUUGGAUUUUUAAUCAAUUUUCAUGGCGAAUUUAGGAUUCUUUUCCCUACUUUUCCACAUGGCAAUUUUAUUAUAAUUAAAUGGAGAUCUUAUUAUUCAAAACAUGGCAGCUUUACUAUUAAGAGCAUGGCAAUUUAAGUAUGAUAGAAUCUCCUCCCCUGCUCGGUCUACCCCACAUGCAUGGCGUAUAACAUCCUCUAGCCCCAACUGCCGCCAAACCUCUCUAGCCUUAUGGCAUCGAAAUAGUACAUGAAACACAUCUUCUGCUCCUUGUUUACAUGCAGGACACGUCGACCGGAUUGGGAUGUGUCUAUUAGCAAGAACCACAUUGCAUGGUAGUGUUCCGUGUAAGGUUCUCCAAACAAAUUUUUUAACUUUCGCCGGACAAUUUAGUUUCCAAACCUUUUCCCAUGUUGGGUUAGCACUAGUGGCUCCCAAACCAUCUGUCCUCUGCAAUUUACGGCCAUGCUGAAAGUACCAUAGAGCAUGGUAGGCCGAUUUCACUGUAAAAAUUCCAUGUUUAUUCAAACUCCAUGCUACAAAGUCACUCAUAUCAUGUGUAGGUAGUGGUAAAGCAAGGACCCGUUCCACAUCAACCGGCCAGAAGGUUUGCUCCACAAGUGGCACAUCCCAGUGACCUGUAGCUGAAUCAAUUAAAUCACUCACCUUUGAUAGUAACUGGUUACCUCUUGGGGCAAUAAUCAUUCUGGAUGGUGAGUUAGGAAUCCACACAUCCCUCCAAAUAUUUAUUUUUUCACCAUCCCCAACUCUCCAAAUGUAUCCAUGUUUCAGGGUAUUCACCCCUUGCAUAAUGCUCUGCCAAGUGUAGGAGGAAUUCUUUUUUAGCUUAAUUAAUUUACCAGCACAAGAAGCGGCCGUGCUGGGAGUGAAAAACUUCCAUGACUUGAUGUUCACUUGCUGCUGGUACCUUUGGUGGGAGAGGAGAAAGCUUGUGCACAAUGAGCCGGUACAAGAUGCGAAGAGAGUUGCACAAGCGGUAUGUGCUUUAGCUGCUAACUAUGCUAUUGCAUGUGAUCCAAAGGCCUCGUUAAAGAGGGGAGGUUGGUGCAAACCCCCUAGUGGAUAUGUCAAGUUAAAUGUUGAUGCGGCCUUUGAUUGGGAUUUGCUUCAGGGGGCGAUGGGAGCAGUCAUCCGAGAUGAUAGAGGACAUAUGGUUGUAGCUGGAAACAAGCUCAUUGAUUCCUGUUAUGAUGUACUAACUGUUGAGGCAAUGGCUCUGAAGUUUGGGUUGAAUAUGGCGCUCACAGCUGAGUGCAAUAGACUGAUUGUCAACUCGGAUAAUCUGGAACUCAUGGAAAUAAUGAAUAAGGAUGGCCAAUAUGCUGGAGAUGUCGCGGCCAUUGUCGAUGAUUGUUAUCAUCUGGCUUGCGAAUUUAGCUCUAUUGUCUUCGAAUUUUGCCCCAGAGGGUCGAAUGGGGUUUCACAUGAACUAGCUAGGAUUGCUAGAAGUUCGCUUUGUAAUGAGUGGUUAGAUAAUGCUCCUUCUGAGCUUCUUCCCCUACUACUUAAAGAUGUAAGUCUGAUCACGAAUGAAUAAAGAGGAAGUAAAGUUGUCAAAAAAAAAGAGCAUGGCAAUUUUAUUUUUAAUGGCAUGUCAUUCUUACCUUUUUUUUUUGAGAAAAGCAUGUCAUCUUUAGUAUGUCCUUCUCGCCUGCUAUAUGAAGUAGGCGGACCCUAGAUGGGCUUUCCCAAUAUGGGUUCCUGGGACCGGGUUCCUGCAGAGUUUCUUUUCCUUUUCGUCUUGUGUGUUUCCUGGGCCAAUUUUCAUAUUUUUGUUUGUUUUCUGUCUUAUGUGUUUCUUUAUGGAUUUUAUUUCUUUCUCAAUACAUGUACAUUUUUCUAAAUACACACUGUAAAAAUUUGCACAUCUUGAACAUUUUUUAUUAAUUGGCAUAAACCUAGUUUUGGAGUGUGUGAGCAUUUUUUAAUUGUCAUGUACAUUUUUCUGAAAGGCAGUAUUUAUUUUGUUGAAUUACGUGAGCAUUCUUUACACAUCUUGAACAUUUGUCCAUAUUUUUUUGAAACACAUGAACAUAUUUUUGAAUGCUAUAAAAAAAUUUAUAUCAUGCUGGGUAUGUAUUAGUUUAAACUAAGUUAGUGACAAUUAAUAUGGAUCAUAGAGAGUACAAUUUUGUACAUGAUGUUUAUACUUUUAUAUUUCACUUCCAACAUUUUUUAUUUAUUAAACUCUAUUGUGUUUUUGGAAUAAGUGUAUUUAGAACAUAUUUUUUAAAAUGUAAAUAAAAUGGAGCGAAUGAAGAAGCAGAGAAGAAAAACGAAGGCCGGCCAAAUGUAUGGCGUUCCCUGCCUCAUACCUGCAAAUCAAGCUAAGUAGCGGGUGAUAAUUUUUUACACAAUGUUUAUAGUUUUCUAUUUCACUUUGAACAUUUCAAAAUUUUAAGGAAAUUAUUAUUUUUAAAUAAAUGUUUUUAGUUUUUUUAAUAAAAAGGUGAAAAAAAGGAAAUUGAGCGAAUGAAGAAGCAGAGAAAAAAACGCCCUUUCUUUCAUCAACUGAACUGCGUGCGUGCAUGGAAGGGCUAUCAUCUGCACUUAAGAGGAGUGACUUACCUAUCAUUGUGGAGAUGGACUCUAUUCUUGCAGUCAAACUGAUCCAAUCGAGGGAUUUGGACAAAUCUAUUUAUGCUUGGGUAGUUAAGGUGAUCAAGUAUGUUUUGGGGAUUCGUGGUUCUUGUAUUACUCAUGUUAAUCGCUCUCAAAAUAAAGUUAGCGACUUCUUAGCUAGAUUUGUUAAAUUAGAAGGACAAACCAUGACUUGGGUUGGUUCUGGUCCAGAUGUUGCUGUUGAGCUAGCUGUUGCUCAACGUAUGGACACCAUGAGUUGAGUAAUGCAAAAAAAAAGUUUGCGCAGAAUUAUUUUCGAUUUUUUUGAAAAUUUUAAAUAUGGUUUUUGUUUUUUUUCUUUACAAAAAAAAUACCACACAAAUUUGGCAUUCGUUCCCUGCCUCAUAUCUCUACUCCUAAUGGACGACUUGGUGAAUAGUCUCCAUGGUUUAUUUUCGCUGAUUUUUUUUCGUCAUCCUCCCACCUCACGGUUUCAAAAAAACAACCAAAACCAGAGGCCCGUCCCACGAAACGAAACCCAAUUUGCCCCCGUACCACCACUCCUCCCUCUCCCUCGACCUCCCUUGUCUAGGGUUCCCCGCCACCACUGCGGCAGCCUCCGCCGAAUCCUAGGUCGCCGCACACCGUCGCCGCUGCCGCGAAUCCCCAGGGACACCGCACGCCACCGCCGUCGCGAAUCACCAGAGACGCCGCACGCCGCCGCCGCGGAUCCCCAGGGAUGCCACCGCCACCGCCGCGGAUCCCCAAGGGCGUGGUCGCGUUGUACUAGACAAAGUGUGGUCGCCGCCGUCUUCUCCUCGUCCGACCUUGACCUCAUCCCUUCGACUCCGGUGACUCCUCUGUGGCUCGGUGGACACCAACUGUCGUGGAAUUUUCACGGCAGAUGUUGUAGUGUGAGGACUUAGUCGUGAGGCCAACACAUCUACGCGGUAGCUUGAAGGGGUUGGUCGGAAUCGAGAGACGCGAGGUGGAUCAACACACAAGACAAGGAUUUAGACAGCUUCGGGCCCCGGGAAACAUCAUCCGUUAAUAGCUACAUGUUGUUUGUGGCUAGCUCUCAUUAUGCUCGCGAGGGAGUCACCGUAAACCGGCUCUCCUAGUUAUGUCUAGCCCUAGAGAUUGUUUCUUGUUGCUUGUCCCUCUUUGGGGAGCCUUGUCCCUCCUUAUAUAAGUUAGAGGGGCGGGUUACAUGUGUAGUCCUAUUAGGAUUAGGACUAGUCUACCUUCUAAUACAAACCGGAUACAAGUCCAGGUCUUAACUCCUUGUAAGACAAAUAUUUCUCACGCCUUUCCUCUUAAACCUGCCCACCAUAACAUGAGCCGGCCUUCUGGGCCUUGGGCCUUGUCAUCCGUUUGCCCCGCCCGCCGGGUUACCAGUGAAUCAUAAUGUUCAGUCAGGUUGCUUGUAAACCGUCUGGUCAGUGCGGGUCGCCGGUGAAUCGCCAAGUCCGGCCAGGUUACGCCGCGGGGUAUAUCCCCGACAUCUCCCGUGAUAUCUGAUGAUAUAUUUACAAGUAAUGCGCAUGGAUGGUUCGUCCGUGAUUUUAGGGUGGGUUAGUCGGUUGGAAGAUUUGUUAGUUAGCCUAUUUAAAGGUAGCAUGACGCUCUGGUGCUAUUGUUAGGGUUUGCUAACCCAGCGGAGGAGUCCCUAGUUCUUCUCUUACCCAAAGGAUUACGACCACCGUCUGUCAUUGCCACAGUCGCCUGACACCAAAUCAACCAUGUCAUCGUCGAGCUCGAUUAGGUGCGCGCUGAGGGGCCGAUCAGUUGAUGUGCCCCUGAUCCCUUGCCCUGACUGUGGCGAAACGGUUAGAUUCUAUCUCUCUAGUACCGAAGAGCAUGAUGGUUGGGUGUUCUACAAGUGCAAACACCACGAUGUACAAUCCCUUUACACUUUGGGUUGACAUUUACUGCAUGAGUAAUGUUUUCUACUGUUUCGUUAGUGCUGGUUUGAUUUGUGUUCACUUGGUUCAUAGGAUCCAUGUGAUUUCUGGCGCUGGGAACUAGAGUACGUGGAUCAUCUUGUUGGUACAAGUGUCCUUGUUGGUGGUUAUGCCCUUGAUGCAAUGGCUGCGACACAGGAUAGAAGGGAACAGCUACAUCGCGCAAAAAAACAGUGGGAAAAGACUGCAUGUACCAAGAGUGGCAACAUUGGAGGCAGGACAAAUUACAGUCAGAGCAAUGUGGCAACCAUUACGAAGCACCAAGCUUAUACGAUGUUAGGACUAGGGAGACAAAUUGUUUUCAUGCCGAAGCUGUUGACGGCUAGUGUAAUGGUGUUGUGUGUGUGGUGUGUGAUGUUGAUUGUGAAGAAAUAAUAUAUUUGUGAUCGUAUCAAGGCGAUUAUCAUGGUUACAUGUAAUAACAGCUUAAUAAGAAGAUGUGUUCUAACAUGAUAACUCUUAUAUGCCCCCCAACCCUAUUUUAACAUGACAGGUAAGAGUAAGAAAUAAAUCUUACACGAUGAUUCCAUGAAAUAGUUGUUUUGAUUAUUUCUUACCUUCUUGACUAUUAUGAGAAAAUAAGAGGUAAGACGGAGCAUGUUAAAAUUGCUAAAAAAUAAUGAAUAAACCGAGUUGCAAUGAAGGCAAACGAAUGGAAAAAUGUAAACGACCAUUUAAAUUCUUGCCCACUAUGUUGUGCACGAACACAAGAGUACCAUGAAAUAAAAAUAAAGUACGUCAUUACACCAAUGACUUAAAAAUCCCUUAAUUUAUUUUCGCACACUACGUUUUGCCAAAACUACUCUAGAGGCACAUCAGGAACAUGGCAAACAAAUAGAUAAAUCCCAUGAUCUCCUAGGUACAGCAACAUCAGCACCUUCUGUCCUAACAGCAAGAGGUUUUCCUUCUUCAUGAACUCGUUCCAUUUGUUGACGCAUACAUGACCAUCAAUAUCAGAAAUGGUGUAUGUACUUGACACAACACUGUGUGGAUGAUAAACAAUGGUUAUGGCACCAUAUUCCUCCAUUUCUUCAGGGAAAACACGAUUAGGCAGUUUCUGUUUGAAAACAAUAUUUGUUACAUCAACACGUGGCAACUUAAUGUUAUGUAGUAAAGGAAGAACAAUUAAUUUGGAACAAAACUAAAAACAUAUUGAAAUGACACAAAGUGAAUGAAGUACCGAAAGAUGGUUACCGAGAAGUUCUUGUUGCAAUUUGACCAUGUCAACGUAUGGAGGAAUGCAUAUGCUCUCCCUGAUCAUAGUUUCCAGCAUCAUGACACUCCACUAACUUUUAAGGUCCAUCACUUGGCGUAUGACAUACUCCAUUAUUCUCCAGUUUAAGCUUGUCCCCUCAGUUACAACGACAUUGUCAAUAAUAUCUCUUUUCUCAUUGGACAAUUGGUAGUAUGCUACAAUAUUAUAGCAUAGACAAUUUAAUUUAUUAUAUAUGGAUAUGAUAAAGUUAGAGUAAUAAAACUUGCAGGAGCAAAAAAGUAUCUUACUCAGAUGUAUGAUAGGCAAAUUCCUAGUUGUCAAUACGCUACUUGGUACUUCUGAAUUGUCAGUACUGAACGUAAUCUCCUGACCCACAUGUAGCGUGUAAACUCUAACAAAUUCCUUCCAAUACUUCCCUGAAAUGUAUGUCAACUCAUUGUCAUUGGUAAUCACACAUGGGAAUUCAAACCCCUCAUUGGUACUGAAACUUGCUUCAAAGUUCCCAUAUUUUCCCAAGGACACGCCAAAUUUCUGUGUGAAACUGUAUCUGUCGUAGCAGGGAUUACCUGAGUAGCAUAUCUACGAUUGUUAAUAUAUAUGAACUGCCUGUUAAUCUAAAGAAUUUGUCCAAUCUUAGAUGACUAGCAUAGUAUAGUUCACUACUUCUUAGCAGUAUUAUCAUAUAACCCCAUAGAAGAUUUAAAUUAACAUGCACGUACACAAAACCAUUUUAUCAUCUAAGAAAUCAAGAUGCAAUAUAACUCUUUUUGCAGUAAACAUUACGAACAACUGACUGAGUACAAAGGGUCCGAGUACAAUAUUCGUUCAAUAUUACUGCCUCCGUCCAAAAAUUUGUGGACAAAAUUUUGUACAUACGGAUGUAUCUAUGCAGAAAACAUGACGAGAUAGGUGCGUAUCUACAUGGAUCUAACACAUUAAUUUUGGAUCGGAUGGAGUACUAAAUUUCUCAUGAUAUUUGCUACGGGUCAUGUCAGACUGGAUCUUACUGUCUUGUUUGCAAAUCCCUCGCGCACGGUGACGGUACAAAACUCCCUCAUACAAUGCUCACCGGGGCACAAACCCUUGGUGUCCAAACAAAUGCCACACUCCAAAUCGAGAUCAAUCUCAUUACUAGUACGUACAGUCUUAAAGAUUAGUGCUAGCAGUUGAAUUUAGAUCUGACAGAUUCUAUAGUGCAAAUACGUACCGCGCUGAUCUCCUUAACCAUUUUCACGAAGGUUCUCGACGGCGGCAGUGCGUGUACCGCAUCGACUCCAUGGAUGGAAUCCAGUUUGAACCAAUGUUCGCACUUGCUAUGGUGUCAAUUAGGUCCACCCUUAGGCAAAGAAGCUUGAAGGCAUCAUAUGCUACCACUUUCGAUGGUUGUCUAGGGGGGUAGACCGUCUGGGAGGAAAUGAAAAAAUCAUGAAAAUCAUGUGUAACCUUGAACGCACUGUGCAUGCAUGCUUGAUUUGGUUCAUGGGAUGGCAUCAAAAUAACUCAGAAUCCUAUGUACAUGGUGUAUUGAAGGAGAUGGCCCGAGACGGGCCCUUCCGGGCUAUCCUUGUACCCUCCGAAAGCACGUGUUGGUUUAUUGACCUAUAUUAAAUGACCGUCAAGUUUGUAGGGUUACAAUCCAUGUCCAUGUUAGGGAUACAUAUGCCAAGUUUGAACCAUUUUCAUCUAAGUUUGCAAGUUUUUUCAUGUGUAAAUCUUAGUCUAAACUGAGAAGCAUCACUACAAGAAAUAUGCUAUCUUGUGACCUCCACUAUUGGUCACUGAAAGGUCAUAGUUUUUCAUUUGCGACCUUUUUGUGACCAAAAACAGAAGGUCAAAAGCUGAGGGUCGUAAACUGACUAUAGCGACCUUCUCACAACGACCUUCUCUGUGAGAAGGUCGUGGACGUUUAUGACCAAAAUAUUCCUACUGUGGUGUUUUGGUCACUAGCAGCCUCCCCAGUCCACGUAGGCAUCCAGCGUGGCAAGCUGAUGUGGCACCAGAUUCAGCCCGGUCCAAUUCGGUUUUCUACAUGGACCUAGCCCAUUAAUUCAGCCCAUUUAGUAUAUUUAUUUUUGUUAAUUUUGUUCAGCUACAUGGGCCAAGCCCAACUAGUCAGCCCAUAAAUUUUUAUGCACGUUUGGCCUUUCAAGAAUAUAUAUACAAUUUUGUGCAGCCCAUUUCUGGUUUACAUUCAGCCUUUUUAUACAUUCAAAUAAUAAUUCAAUCCUGAUGUUGGUCCAAUACUCUUUUCAGCCCAUUCACAUAUUCGUACAAAUGAUCCUCAUUUUCGACAAAAUUUGCAAAUAAUUUCAUAUUUCAGCACUAAAUAUGUUUACAUCACAGGCCAUAAAGCCGUACAAACUAGUAUCACUUGUUCCUAUACAAAACUAUCAAAUGAUACAUACAACAAAACAGAAUACAGAAAAUUUAGUUCAACAAAAAUAUGUUUUCUUCCUCUUCCAUCUUCCAGGACAUAAAACACCUGUGAAAGUAAAUAUGCCACAACAAAAAUGGAAGGAUCAGCCAUUAGAAGCAUAUUGAGUACAAGGGAAACACGCACUGUGAAAAUUUUGACAGCACGAAUAUUUUUUAUAUUACAAUAACAAACAGAAAUGUAAUCUGAUUGCAUAAGACAUAUGGCAUUAUCAACAAGACAAAGCAAAAUUUAUAGUGCCAACUCGGGAAUAAGAUAAAGCAAAAUUUAUAAAUCUAUAGCAUCGCACACGAGGUCUAAAUUUAUACUAUGUUCCUUUAGAAGCAAGAGUUGGUUAGUGUCUAGCUUUUAUUGCAGAUAACUAGUAAAUUUCCACAAAAAAUAGGAGCGACAUAUGUUUUAAUCUCGUGUUUGCAGUAUAUAUUCACAGCAUGUAAGAAUACUUUGAUUAACAAACUAACCAACCAUCAACUAACACUUCACAGUACCAACUAACACUUCACAGUACCAAAAAGAUGGGGUGGCGCUCACCAAUUCAGAUGUGCAGCAGCCAUGAGGGCUUCUUUGUGUUCCACCUAUAGCAGCGGCAACUUCUACAAAUCUGAGACACAAAACAAACGCAUGCAGAAGGAAUCAGAGGGAGGGGAGAUGAAGAACAUGGCAGGCAUUUAUAUGAUCGCAGUACAUAUGGAACAAACAGCAGUCCAUACUUGCAUCAUCAUGUGUAUAACAAAAUCACGGUCGCCUCUACAGAUAGCACUACUAGAGUAGAGAGCCAAGCAUAAUAAUUCUACCAGGAGACAAUGUAAACACAGAGUCACACCAUUGACAGAUUAAGCCUUACAACAUGUUUGGUGGCUCAGUGGGCGAUGUAUGCAUGCACAAAAAGGGGGGCAAUUUUUCAAUCAAACUGAAGAAAAACACACAUCAUUUAGUAACCAGUACAAAUCCCGGUAGCUGUAGGUGCAUGCAUUGUGUAACAAUGAGUAAUCAAUAGCAUUUCAGAGUUGUGCAGUUACUAGUGUGUCGUCCUCUGUUUACCACACCACACAUGGGCAUGAGAAAAUUGCUAAAAACCACUGAUCGUGUGCUAAUCUACUUGGAAAAUUAUAUGUUUGAAAAAGAGCAGCUUGCAUCCUUUUUAUUAACCUACAAAGCAUAUGCGGUCACAGAAAGCAGUACUAAAGUAGAAAACACAAAGCAGUAGAAUAAACUAUGCACAUGUACUCGGCAGCCCACUCACAUUACCAGCUCCCUUAUAGAAAUAGCAAUCAUUUUAAAAGCAUCAUGACAGAUGUUAGCAACUGAACAUCUAAGGCUAAUCCAGCAGCAAAUGAACAUAGUGAAGAAUUUAUUUGCAAAGAACACAAAAGGCGGAAGAAAAAUUACAUGUUGAAGCAGCCCUGUUACUUGACGUCCUGCAACAGAUAACACUUGAUCAUUAGAACCACUAUAAUCCAAACAGAGAAACAAAAAUGCCAAACUUAAGCAUAACGAAUGCACUGACCCUAUUGCGGCCACAUUUUAACCACUAGUGUUGUGAUAUAGACAAGAUAGUCAGCCGCUUACAUGGUAAAAGGAACAUGGCAGCACUAAGUUACACAGGAAUGUCAAGUAGGAGAUAUGAUCUGAUAGAUCCACAGAAACAACUCAGACCAGAACAGCACUAAGUGUUCACUCACAAAUUGGUACUAGCAUAGAGAUUUUCGUAUGCCUAGAACCUGUGGCAAUACAGGUUGACGUAUAUGCAAGGGUAUAUAUAUACUCGUAUUUGAUAGGACUAACAACACAUGAAUCAAAGAUAAUCACGAUCAGCCGCGUAAUCUACCACAAACCCGUGGUAACAGACACCAUUACACAGCUACACCAACAGCCUACCGAAGCAAAACUCCAAAUCGGAUGAAAAAUUAACUAGGAUGGGAUCUGACACUGGCAUCAACUAACUAGGGAACAGCCUAAACAAACACCGCUGAGAAUGGUGCCGAAACGGAUCAGAUGACGAAAUUGGCUUACCCGGCCUCCGGGUGCUGCUGCUUGAACUCGAGGUGGUGGGAGGCGACGGGGCUGGCGUGGCGGUCGUAGAUGAUGAACCUGGUGCUGGUGGUGCCCUGGUCGAUCGAUGCCACGUACACCUCCUCUUCCUUCCCCUUCCCCGCCAUACUCCUUUCCCUUCCCCUUCCUCCACACGCCCCAGAGCAUGCUCGCCAGAAAAACAAGCGCCGAACCCUCUGCCGGCGGGCAAACAGAGGGGGGCGGCCGGAGCAGCGGACUGAGCCGGUGGAACAAGCGAGGAGGCGGUCGGCGUUGAAGUGGGAGGCAGUGGGACGCAAAUCCUGGUCGUCCUCCUCCUCAUUGUCGAUGUCGUCCAUGGAGGUCACCUGCCAGUUCAAAUCCAACCCAAUAAAGGGGAUCAGACAAGGAAGUAGAGAGAGGAUCUGGGCUGGGGAAGGGGAAGUAGAGACAAGGAAGUCGGCGUCGCGCUCGGCGUACUUGUCGGCCUUGAGGUAGCGCGCGAUGCGCCCGACGGGGAAUUGGAGCCCGGCCUUGGACGGCCGCGACACCGACUUGGUCUCCUUCGCCUUGCCGCGGCCUAGGUAGCGCGCGAUGCGGCCGACGGGGAACUGGAGCCUGGCCUUGGACGAUCGCGACACCGACUUGGUCGCCUUUGCCUUGCCGCGGCCGACGACGCCUCCGGUGGAACUCAUCGCCGAUUCGCCUUUGGGGGAGGUCCGGACGCGGUUGGUGACGACGAAGGAGAAGAUGAUGAAGACGCGGCAGGAGCAGCGCCUCCAGCGCGAUGACCGGCCGCUCCAGGAACCGCUCGCAGUCGGCGGCGGCGGCCCGGUGGCUCAGCCAGAUGCCGCCGCCGAGGACGACGAGAGGGACGAGGGGGAUCUGGAUCGGGGGAGAGGAGGGAGGGAGAGAACGAAAGAAAGAAAGGAGGCGGGGGGUGGAUGGAAGAUGCCAGCUAGGGUUUCGCCUCAGGCGGGGAGGCGAGGAGCGACGGCUACCGUAGGAUCCGGGAGGAUCCAAUGGUGUUUUGUGCAUGAUCCGUGUGCCUUGUCCACGGAGCAAUCAGAACGCAAUACAAUAUUAUGUCCAAUUGAAUUGGUCGUGAUAAAUUUAAAAAUAAGAUGUUAGAUCAUCUUAGCUAUUUACUUGACCUGAUAAAUUGGAAAAAAAUGAAACAAAUGAAAAACCUUCUCAUCAUGUCAUCAAAUGUGACCUAGUUUUUAGAAGAAAAAAAUAACAAAAUAGUAAUAAGGAACUUUUCAUUUUCUUUGCACGAAAAUUCAUUUUUCAUUUUUCGAGUGCUCAAAAUGAGUUUUUUUGUGAAGAACAUACCAAAUAUUUGUUGCAAAAUUGUAUCAAAUCAUUUUUCUAAAAUACUAGACCAUAUUUAAUGUACAAAUAACCAAAUGGUUGGCUGUAAAAACUUUUAAUCCACCUCUCGUGAAAAAGACAAAUUUCCGCCGAUUCAGUUGGAAGCUGGUCAAAUUUGAACUACAGCUGCUUCAUAGUUUGCUAUUUAUUUUUUCCAAAAAUAAUUUCUAGGUACAUAAGUACCUAUUUAAUCAGAGAAACACCAAAAAAAUUUCAAGAUUCAACCACUAGCUAGGAACGGUCAAGCCCGCCGUUUUGACCGCAUUUUGAAACGGACAUAAAAAAUUCAAAAAAAAAUCAAAAAAUUGGUAAACCUUCGCAUUGUGUCAUUAUAUGUGACCAAGUUUCCACGAAAAAUAAUAAACUUGUAAUAUGGAAAUUAUUUUAGAAAAGUGUUCUUAGAAAUGAGCUAUCAUGUGUGAAGAUUCAUGGAUUUCAACCCAAACGCUCAACCUCAUGGCCACAUUCAUGGCAUAGUUUGUUCAAAUGAUCUCAUAUUGUGCACAAGGGUGCAUCUUGGAAUUCCAAGCAAUGUUGCCAAAGGGAGUUUUCAUUUUCUUUGCACGGAAAAUUCAUUUUCCAUUUUCCGAGUGCCCGAAAUGAGGUUUUUUGUGAAGGACCUACCAUAUAUUUGUUGCAAAAUUGUACCAAAUCAUUUUUUAUAAAAUACUAGGCCAUAUUUAAUGCACAAUUGACAAAAUGGUUGGGUGUCAAAAGUUUUGAUCCACCUCUGGUGAAAAAGACAAAUUCCCGUCGAUUCAGUUGGAAGCGGGUCAAAUUUGAACUGCAGCUGCCUCAUAGUUUGCUCUUUAUUUUUUCUAAAAAUCAUUUCUAGGUACAUAAGUACCUAUUUAAUCAGAGAAACACCAAAAAAAUUCCAAGAUUCAACCACUAGCUAGGAACGGUCAAGCCCGCCGUUUUGACCGCAUUUUGAAACGGGCAUAAAAAAUUCAAAAGAAAACAAAAAAAUUGGAAAACCUUCGCAUUGUGUCAUUAUAUGUGACCAAGUUUUCAGGAAAAAUAAUAAACUUGUAAUACGGUAACUAUUUAAAAAAAGUGUUCUCAGUAAUGAGCUAUCAUGCGUGAAGAUUCAUGGCUUUCAAGCCAAAUGAUCAAUCUUAUGGCCACAUUCAUGGCAUAGUUUGUUCAAAUGAUCUCAUAUUGUGCACGAGGGUGCAUCUUAGAAUUCCAAACAAUGUUGCCUAAAGAAGUUUUCAUUUUCUUUGCACGGAAAAUUCAUUUUUCAUUUUCCGAGUGCCCAAAAGGAGGUUUUUUUGUGAAGGAACUACCAAAUAAUUGUUGCACAAUUGGACCAAAUCAUUUUUAUAAAAUACUAGGCCAUAUAUAAUGCACAAUUGACAAAAUGGUUGGGUGAAAAAAGUUUUGAUCUACCUCUGGUGAAAAAGACAAAUUGUUGUCCAUUCAGUUGGAAACGGGUCAAAUUUGAACUGUAGCUGCCUCAUAGUUUGCUCUUUAUUUUUUCCAAAAAUCAUUUAUAGGUACAUAAGUAUCUAUUUAAUCAUAGAAACACCAAAAAAAUUCCAAGAUUCAACCACUAGCUAGGAACGGUCAAGCCCGCCGUUUUGACCGCAUUUUGAAACAGGCAUAAAAAAUUCAAAGAAAAUCAAAAAUUGGAAAACCUUCGCAUUGUGUCAUUAUAUGUGACCAAGUUUCCAGGAAAAAUAAUAAACUUGUAAUACGGUAAUUAUUUUAAAAAAGUGUUCUAAAAAUGAGCUAUCAUGCGUGAAGAUUCACGGCUUUCAAGCCAAAUGAUCAAUCUUAUGGCCACAUUCAUGGCAUAGUUUUUUCAAAUGAUCUCAUAUUGUGCACGAGGGUGCAUCUUGGAAUUCCAAACAAUGUUUCCUAAGGAAGUUUUCAUUUUCUUUGCACGGAAAAUUCAUUUUUCAUUUUCCGAGUGCCCAAAAGGAGGUUUUUUUAUGAAGGAACUACCAAAUAAUUGUUGCAAAAUUGGACCUAAUCAAUUUUAUUAAAUACUAGGCCAUAUAUAAUGCACAAUUGACAAAAUGGUUGGGUGUUAGAAGUUUUGAUCCACCUCUGGUGAAAAAGACAAAUUCCCGCUGAUUCAGCUGGAAGCGGGUCAAAUUUGAACUGCAGGUGCCUCAUAGUUUGCUAUUUAUUUUUUCCAAAAAUCAUUUCUAGGUAAAUAAGUAUCUAUUUAAUCAUAAAUACAUGGUUUGAUGGCGAGACAUCAAGGUUUGGAGGUGGCCGAGGGCCCCAACUCUAGAGUGCAUAAGCUCGCAUGCCCGCCGCGUGGUCACCGCAUGACCGUGGUGUUGCCAUGCGUUCUGGGAGGCCUAGGCAUGUCUAGUGGGUUGUUCACUCCCCAGGUAGAUGCUAGGAAGAAAAUUAUAACAUAAGAUUCUCACGAGGAGACCAAUCGAUGCUCAAACAUGAAUAAGCAGCCAAGUGUUUGAUUUGCGGUACGGGAAAUGCACAUUGCUAAUGGGCAUGAGUUUUGGCUGAGGAUGAUCAGUUACUAAGAAGACCUCUUCACAAAUUUUUAGGGAAAUCAAGAAUAUAUAAAUAACACUUCCUUCACAAAGUGCUGCUCUGAACAGAAUAGGAAAAUGAAUAUUGUUGAGUUAUUUUUGAACUAGGCAAGGAAGGUUUUUGACAUAUUUGAUGAAGAUAUGAUCCAAACAAUUUAUGAGAUUUUUUUGGGAAUUUUUGGAAUGACAGAAAUAUAGGUUGCUUCACAACCUAGGGCAAAAACUGCCACAUGGACAUGACACAUAGGCAAAACUGAUGAGGUGGCGCCUAGUCAUCACAACCAACCACAAUCUACAAGGCUAUGACCAUCUAUUUUGGUCGUUAACAACUAGAAAUAAGCCAGUGGACCAGCCCUGUUUGCCUUGUGACCAUUUGGUGUAAGGAAAUUACGACCUUUCUGACCAAAAUGGUCGCAAUGGUUUAGGGUUUGGAGCCCCCCGAACAGCUUUUGACCAAUUGGUCUCAAAUGGUCAUAGAUCUAUGACCAAUUCUUCCAGGGUCACUGAUAGAAGGUCACUAGUUGACAUAUUUCUUGUAGUGCAUUUCGCAUGGUAGCUUGUUUUGGUCAUGGGAUUCCAUGGGAAAUAGUAGGCAUAAUUUUGUAUUGUAGAUGAUCUACUAAACAUGAGGGUGCCCCCAAACACGUCCUUGCGGCCUUGACAUGCACCCUCCGAAAUCACAUGUUGGUUUGUUGACCUACCUGAAAUCAACCCAACUUUGCAGGGUUGCAAGCCAUGGUAAUUAUUGGGGUACGUACAAAUUUCAACCAUUUUCAGCAAAGUUGCAAGUUUUGUCACGUACGGACAAUUUUCGGGCAUUUUCAGAACAAACAACAUAUUUUAUACCACUUAAAAAAUGCAUUCCUUUCUCGACGACACAUUUGUUUUUUCUUCGGAACAUUACAUUUGUUUUGGCCAAUUACACAUGCUAAUGUUUCAACCUCCCAUAACUCACGCCACCCAGAUCUCCCGAAAUCCCACGAUUACAGCUCCUCCCUCGUAACCACCCGCGGCAUCCAGGUCCCGUACCACCUCCCACGACUGCUGCAAGAUCAGAUUGUAGCCGCCGCCCACCAGGAACUCGCCUGAGGGGUUGGACGACAGUGGUGUUGUCGCCGUCUCCUACGCGCGUCAACGCGCUGCUCCUGUUGCUCCCGUCGAGCACCACACAUCAACAUCUAGUGUGGGACGCACUAUCCGUGUGGAGCAUUGGGCCGCCACCGUCGACGAUAGAAGGUUACGUGAUCAUAGCUCUUUUUGUAAUCUUUCUCGGACACGCACGUCUACUAGUAAAGCCCUAAUAGGUUUCCCACAAGUUAUUCCAGUCAUCAAGAUUACCUAAUCAUAGCUCUCAUUAAUAACUAUCAACACGAUCAAUCUUGGCACACUACACGAAUGUCCGAAGAGGUAAUACCACAACAAGGGUAUAUCUUUCAUGAAAUAACAUGUCGUAUGUUUAUGCAAUCCCAAAACCCUAGUUGAACUGUCCCAAUGUUAUGCAUGACCAAAAUCUAUAGUGUGCUUAAAGUUACAUGUAGUUCAUAUUAUUUAAUAAACUCAUCCGUGCCUGCGUAUAAGAUUCUAUUUUUGUUACACAUUUCUCAAUGUGAAGGUCAAAUAAAUUGAACCGGUUUUGCUUCUGUUCCAUAGGUGCAGUAAAAUGGAAACUACUGUUAAAAGUGCUACUAAUGGAGAAAAAUACGUCUCCGAAAUGACCGAUGAGGUACAUUGUUGACAUUUCGUUUGAAAACUGUACUUGCAUACACUUCUUUCAUACUCGAUAAAAUCUAUUGCCACUUUUGCAGGCAAUCUUGAGGAAGCACGGCCAUACGAAGUUAGUGUGCUCACUGUCAAGGCUCGCCAAAGUCAUGAAAUUGUUAUCACCAGAACACAUAGAGAAAAUCAUAAGCGAUACCGGUCUUGGGUGUCUAAACAUGAUUCGUGAAUUUAAACUCCGGCGCAUUAUGUUGGUAAGACUAACAAAGAGCUUCAAUAGUGAGACAUCGUUCAUUACCAUAGGUAAAACACCCAUUCCUAUCACCGCAAAAGAUGUGCACCAUAUAUUUGGCCUUGCGAUAGAAGGGGAGGAUAUUGAUGAAAAGCUGCAAAGCACGCCGGAUCCAAAUUUGUUUUAACACAUUUCAAAACAAUGGGAGCAUUGAUCUGGCUGACCUUGAGACAACGAUCUUAAGUUCCAAAACUCCGGACAAUGACUUCUUGGCGCGGUUCGUUCAAUUCGCUAUUGGCACAGUUUUAGCACCAACGACACAAUGUUAUGUCGACGCAAAAUACCUUAAUCUUGUUGCGGCUAUUAAAAGCCUUCGAAAAUUGAACUGGGGAUGUUUCACAAUGAAACACUUGUUCAGGUACAUACACAAAUUUAGCUCUCUUGAUCAAGUAUCUCUACAAGGAAAUCUACCUCUGCUUCAGGUUAGUGCAACAUCACUAGUUAACAUUGUACAAUUCUUUUUCUUUUCUAUAUCUCUCUCUAUAUUGACGAAGUAAUUUAUUGUGAAGAUUUGGUACUGGGAGCACCUGCGUUCCGGCAAAUUGAUGUAUACUCCUAUACCCCCACCAUUGGUCGCACGAUGGGACGAAUGCACGUGUGUAAUAAGAGCAGAAGCUUACACCUCAGGAGGUCUUCAUAAAGGACUGGUGUGUUUCUAGAUUUGACCCAUGUAUAUAUCCGGUUAUUUAUUUGCUACUACUGAUUCAUUGUACCUGAUUCAAAGGUUGUGAUGGAAAUUUGUGCUCGACAACCAAAGGCCAACAAUAGAAAGGAUCCAGGAAGCAAAAAAAUUGUACGUGAGGAUGAAGGUGAUUCAUCUCGAGCACAAUCACAAGGUCAAAAUAUGAGUAGCCACCAAGUAAGCCCAACAAAGACAAUUUUCAUUUUCCAAGAUCAGUAAAAGGUUGCAUCGAAACUCAUUCAUUUUGCUUUGUUCUGAAUAGGGUGUUAUUUCGUUUGCACAGGUGCAAAUGAUAGUUGCAGCCCUGAAUGCAUGUUGUGUUGAGCAAGAAAAGAAGAUAGACAGACAGUUAAUGGAAAUUCAGCGUAGAUUUGAUGCGAAAUUCCUCACCCUGAGCGAAGAGUUAAUCGACAUUAAGAGUAAAUCUGGCAGUAAUCCUAGGCUCUCGCUGCUCGAGGACAAAAUUAAGAACUUAAGGAGGGACCUGAAGGUAUGUCAUGUUGUGCAUUUUUUAUUGUUAUGAAUAUGUUCCUCCAUAUUCAUUAUUGUUAUAGUUGUUAUAGGAAUUAGAAAACCAAACUAAAGUCAGCCGACAAUCCGAGUCACAGAAAGCAGGCGUCGAGGUAAUAAUUAUGGCCCACCACAUAAGUAGUAUUACCAAACUAAUUAUAAUUGACCAUUUUUGUUGUUGUAGGAACAAGUCAAUGUGUGCAGUGAUCCCUUCAUGGCGACUCCUAAGUUCGACGCAUCCACGCCACGUACUUUGACUCCAACACCAAGUGCCAGACACGUCCUGCCAAACAAGGACGAUCCUCGAAUCACACCGUUGAAGCCUCUAUUUGAUAAUGAUUACGUGCUCACCGCUGAGGACAAAGAGGCAGCCAUUUUCAUCCGGGGAACACACGGCCCUGUUGAAGUCAUUCAAAUCGGAGACAUUCCCCUAAGAGCGGAAUAGCUGAAGCCAAUUUACGAUAAAAAAUACAUCUGUGGUGAUGUAAGCCCCUUGUACUCCAUUGUACAUCAACUAUUUGAACUGUUGGCACAUCAUUAUAUGAUUACAAAUUUGGCAGGUUACUAUGGCGUAUGCUCACAUCAGCGGAGUUGAGACUGAUACUACCUCAGUCAUAUCCCCCAAUGAAACCAGAAAGCUUUUACAAACAAAAGGGGUUAUUCCAGAGGGCCGUGGAAGCUCGUUGCUUCAGCGUAUUGCAAAUAAAUUUGUAGGACGCCGGAAGGUACCUGUUUUCCUCACUUUCAUAUAUCAUAAUAGAUAGUGUAGAUGAAAUAUUUCAGGGGUCCCCCGAACCAUAAUUGUUACCUCAUAUACAUUAUUCCGUGGAAUGAGUCCUCUUUGACUUUAUGGCAGGUCCACAUCCCGUUUAAUGUGAAUGAUAACCAUUGGAUGGCAAUGGUGUUCAAUUUCGACAAAGAAGAGAUUCAAAUCCUAAACUCCUUGAAAAAUCAAUUUGCUGAGUCAAAGGAAACUGCUCUUGUAAGCUUUAUCUUGCUGCCUCUUUACUGUCGCAUGGCACAUGAACUCCAAAUCACCGUAACCCUUCGUAAUACUCGUAUUAUGCUAGGUGGAGGCGAUUCAGGCCUGCAUGGAUGGAGCGGUGAAGGAUGGCUUGGUAACACCAGAUAAGCCUAUCAAAUUUACCGACUGGGAAGUAGUACACUAUGACGACAUACCACAAUAGAAUGACGGGUACGUACGACCUCCUAAAUUAUUCCUCGCUGACACGUCCAAGUUUACUAAAACCUAAACUAAACACUGCAGGCAUUCAUGUGCGUUUUUUACACUGAAGUACAUGUUGACAUGGAACAGUGAAGUAUUUACCGACAAAGUGGAGCAGAUGAUCCAAACACUAUAUUUUCUUGUAGAAUAUCUUAUGACUGAACGAUGUGCUGACAUAUGUGUCGCUUAUCAAAUGUAGUCAUAGAUAGAUAUAUUUAGCUAGAAAAUAGUUUCAAGCUUGCUGCAUUCAGAUUGCAACAGUCUUCGCAUGGAAACAUACAAGUACCCCAUAACGGUUAGCGAAAAAGCACAGAUAUUUUAUUGUAUUCACAUGUGUCAUGACGCUACCGAAUGCACUGAUGUCUGCUGUACAGGCGGAGACGUAUGAAGCCCACGUUGCAUCGGAACCUAUCAAUUCACAAGACGAUGUCCAAGAAAUUAUCGGUACUGUUGAGUGCAAGAUAUCAGACACGUCGAGCUCCCCAAAGGAUCCCGACACCCCGAGCUCCCCAAAAAAGCGAAGAGCACGUGGACGCCCGAGGAAGCUUGUUGAUGAAGUGCAAGCUAAAAAAACAAAAACUACGGAAGAGCUCAGAGUGAAAUUUGAUAGCAAGACCAUUGUUAAACAAGUGUCUUCUUCGAUAUCAGGACGAUCACGCAAGCCAUCACAUGCUAUAUCGAGCCCAUUCAAGUUAACCAAAUGGUAGUUUAGGUACGUACUGGGUAGCACUGUAGUUAGCACUACUUAUGAUACAUUUUUCAUUUACGAUUUGGUGAUUGAACUUUAUCAAACGUGCAUCAACUAGCGGUGAAAGACGGCUUGCUAACAACAACUAAGACCGUAAAAAGUAGGGUAUGAUAACAUACCUCAAUAUAGCAAUCUAUGUUGUCCAAGUACAUACUUUUGGCAAUCACGAACAUUAUAUAAUUUCGGCAAUUAGGGAUACAUGCUCAGUUCUUUUGGUUGAACUGCCAAUAGGUCAUUCUGCCAAUCAUUUGCAUGAUGUACUUUUGGCAAUAUAUUAUACAACCUAAGUGCAUGUCAAAAAUGGCAAUAGGUACUUUUGGCAAUCAUGUGCAUGCUACAUUUCUGGCAAUUACUAAUGCAUGCUCAUUUGUUUUGCUUGAAAUGGCAGUAUGUACUCCUGGCAAACAUUUGUGUGCUCUACUUUUGGCAGCUAUUAAUACAGGAUCAUUUAGAAUGGUUUAACUGUCCAUAGAAAUAACUAGAAUGUCAUUAUUUCUAAACAUACCAAAUUCAGUACAAGAUAUAGCAUUAGCAUCUUUAGUUAGAGUCAUAACAUAUAUGUACCAUAUAUCACCAUAGUGGAGGUAUUAGGCAAGGUUGACCGCAAUGCUUACAAGAUAAACAGUAGUUUAAUGAAGAAACAACACUUAUUAGUACAGGGUAGACGCUUAAUUAGGCGCCUAUCAUGUACAAAUUGGCACUGCUGCUUCCGAAAACCAUGUUUAAUAUAGUUAGCAUGUACCUAAGCACGUAGCAUUGGAAGUUGGCCAUUACCAGAAAUGAGCAAUGUACUACCAAAAACUUAAACGUAGCAUGUUAAACACUCGCGACCCAAAAGAUAAACUGGCACAUAAGUUCAAGCAGUACGGUGGGGCAGAAGUAUCACAUGACAACCAUAACAUAAAAACAGUCUUAACUAGGGUGGGCCAGUAGUAACAACCAAGUAGCGCAUCAGAUCCUCGACAUCUUGGCCGGACGAGGAGGCCUCGGGAGGUAGAAUGGAAGAUGCCCCUUCGCGUACUUCCCGAGGAAGGCACCAAAAGCAGAAUGCUCAGCCCGGCCGUGGGGCUUGCGGUUCCUCCCAUUACCACGGCUGAUAUCGGUGCCAUGCAUGAUCAGGUUGUCGUAGUCGCUCUUGAUUCUCGCGCAGCAGAAGGGGCAGGCUAUGUUGCCGUAGAGCCCGUCGGAGCUGCUGCGGUAUGGGAUUUCCCCAUUCCGCAGCCUCCUGAGGACGUAGCGGCUCUUGCUUUCCCUCCUCUCCUUACUAUCAUCCACGUCUUCGUCAUCUUCAUGUGUGUUAGUUGAUUGACAGCUAUGUUAGAUUAGGAAUAUAGAAAUGUAGCAUUUCAUAAGAGUAUCAAGUACAUUCCAAAAGUAGGAACACAAAAAUAUGAUCAAUCAGAUGAUUCACACAACAUGUACCUCAUGUAUUGCUAUAUAUGUUUAUGUAUUAUUUGUUAUCUUUCUUGUUCUUUUUUCUUUGCUUUGCAUGCGUACCUGUUCUCCCCUAUAAAGAAGUACUCCUAUUUGUACAGUCUAAGUUGACAAUUAACUAAAGGGUUCGGGUUUUAGGGUAUGAACAAAUCAUUUUACUGCAUUCAAGCACAUAUUUUAUUUCAUACUGAAAAUAGAUAAUUCCAAAAAUAGGAUCAUUUCUUGCCAUUUCUUGCAACAAUAUUUUGUAUGAUCUGGUUUUAUCAUAAAGAGAUACCAGACAAUAUCUAAUUUAAUUAUAUUCAAACUAGAUGAGUACAUACUACAAAGUAAAACUACCGCAUCAACAAAGAAAAGAUUGCCCUCACUUGAUAUUUUGAAGACAACAAAUCAUAUGAAUCAUGUCAUCAAUUAUGUAUAAAAAGAGAAAUUUUUGACUGAGGUACAUCGGUUGCGAACAUAAGAAAUUAUGGCUUUAAUUACUCCUUGUUGCUAAUAAUUACAUAGGGUGCGUACAUAAGAAACUCCACAACGAAUUACUUACUGCAAUCAGAAAAUGUCUUCACAAUAUAGCUGUAAGGCUUCAUGAUUUUCAUCAAAUAAACUAGUUUUUCUAACAACUAAAUAAAUGUACUGUUUACUAGGUCUCAACAGAUUUGGCAAUCAGAUUGAAAAUAAGAUGCAUAGUCCACUUCAUUAUAUGGAAAUCAUGAAGCAGAUAGAAAAAGUUUGCACUGUUAAGGUAUGAAAGAUUCUAUAAGAAAGGAGAAAAUGUGGUAUCAGCUUUGUGCAUAUGGAGCAUUAUGAUUACACUUAGUAAUGAAAAAUUCUAUAUAAUAAGAAUGCCAUGGAAAUCUUGUUGCUAGAAAUGUACUAUUGCAUGGACUUGGCAUGCAUGAUUACUGAUGUGGCAUAGUUUCAUGGAUUGAUUUGUGCAAGAUAAGAACUAAUCCAUGUUUGUUGUUAAUGGCAGGCAGUGGCCGUAAAUUGUUACUACAUGCAUCAGUACUGACCAGAUGCAUAACUGGAUGAUGUGGCCCAGUUUCAUGCAUACCAAAACCAGAUAAUGGGUUGCCACUAUUGAAGAAAGGAGCAUAGUUUCAUGAAUAGCAAAACCAGAUAAUGGGUUGCACAAUUGAGGAACAGAGCAUAGUUGUAACAGGGGUUCUCUAAUUUAAACUCUCAUCAUUGAUAGCAUUGUUGAUUACUAGCGAGGCACACGUGCAUUGGGCGUGAAAGCAACAUCUAAUGUCAAUUAUUUUAGAUGCACUUUACAUUGCUAUGUUACUAUAGCAAUGGAUUUUUGUGUGUGUUUUCUUUAAUAAAGAGAUAAUGUUAGUGCAUAAUAUGCAUUCAGAUUCACAAAGUUCAAAGCAUUAGCAAUUCAUUUAGAAGAAAAGAGUUUGCGCUGUUGAAGUAUCCAAGAUUCUAUAACAAUGGAGAAACAUAGUGCUAUGAGGUUGUUUGUGCAUAGGUAGCAUUGUGCUUAAGCUUACAAAUGGAAUAUUCUAGAUAGUACGCAUGCUUGGAAUUUUUCUUUUGUAGUAAAUAAGAUAUCGAAUGGCCAACAAUGCUGGGAUUUACCAUCUGUCCACCGUUGGAUUGGCUUCAUCCAACAGCAAAUAUUCAAAGUUGUUUCCAAAGUACAUGUUUUAAAAGUUACCAUUUAUAGAAGCUCAAGCACCGUCGAUAAAUAUUUACUGUUGCAUGUCAACUUUUCAAGUUCUAGAUAUUAAUCAUUGAUCCUCUUGUUGAAUGUCAUGAAAUAAACAAAUUUGUAGGAAAUUUCCAUCCACUCAAACCUGUCUGAAAGAAUCCUACGUUUUUAGUAUGCACAAUCAAACACUCAUACAAUCCUGUAGGAUUCAAGAUGACAUGCCACUCUAAUCCCACGUUUUCCCUAUUCCUGCGUUUUGGAAAUCGUACGACUCAAAGAGGUGAUAUCUAACAAAUACACCGUUUUCUACAGCAGAACUGGUUCAUAAUCAGUUUCUAAAUCAUAUUCUUACUCAUCUUCACAAAAUAAUUGCAUGCACAGGGGGAUUUUAGGCCUACAUGACUACUGUUCCAUGCCAGGUUUCAGAUUGAAGGGGUUUCCUUCCAAAUGUAUGAAACAACUAGUACUAAUCCUAACCCUAAGGGAGAGAUCAAGAAACAUAACCUAUCUGGACAAAAUCUAAUCCGUGCUGCAUGCAAUUUAGGAGAAAACCCCAUGGGAGAAAACCCCCAAAACAGAGUAGGAGAAUAGAGUAGAACAGAGUAGUACCUCCGAGAGCUCGUCGUCGACCUCCUCGUCGAACUCGACUGCCUCGUCCUGCACUUCCUUAGUGUCGAGCUCGGCCCCCUCGUAGUACUUGUCGAUGAGCUCGUACUGCUCGUGCUUCCGCUUGGCCCUUUGCUCCUCCAGAUCCACCGCCACCUCCUCCUCCACCUGCUCCCCGACCGCAGGCUCGGACGCUGUGACGGCGGCCGGAGCAGUCACAACAGAUGGUGCACCGCCUCCCGUCGCCACGACGGCGCCGUCGGCCACGCCAAUCGCGGCGGCAAUGACCACAACAGGCUUCUCCACUGCUUCUACUGCUGCAUCCUUCUCCACCGCCGUGUCUUCAUGGCCAGCCUUCAUCUUCCGACGACGAAGGGCAAGGGAGAUGGUUGCUGGCUCAUAGGAGGUAGGGUUCGAGGUGAGAGGAGAGGGUUUUUGCUGAUUUGGGGAAGAAAAGCAGCAGGGGUGGGGGAGUGGGGGAGACGGGGGUGGGGGAGGCGGCCUUUAUUUGGCGUGUGGGUGGACGUUUGGAGUUACCGAGGCUAGACGCGUGGCGUCGUGCGCUCGUGCUUGCCCCAACCACUUUAAUAUUUUUUGUCAUGAAUUUGUAUAUUUUUUGACCUGUGGUUUAGCGAGGAAUUACACAACCACCUACUUUUGGUGUUACUUUUGCAUAGAACACCUACUUUACAGGUUUGUUGCAAAAAAACACAUAUUGGGGUAAUUUGUUGCAGCAAGGUCUAAUUCGCCAUUUUGGGUGGGUUGACAUGAUUUCUAACAAGUGAGUCCAGUUAGUAAGUGCACCACGGGAAAAAAACAUUCCACAUCAGCACCCAACUAGAGCUGUGCAAAAUUUACAAAUAGGUACUCCAGAAAUAAUUCUCAUUGUUUUUGGGCCCACAGAAAUGAACUAUUGACAUUUUUUUUGUUCCCACAUAACAUGUUAGCACGCAAGAGCAUGCACCAAACUUGUUCUCCUUCGACACACAGACGCUAUAACGACGGACAUGUACCAGUAAUAUUCACACUGCAUGUGUCGAUACCAUCUUGACCAACACGCAACAACAUUGGUCUCAUUGGACUCACACAUGCCAAAAGGGGUCCAAAUCAUUCACCAAUUCUUCUAGUCACAUUCCACUCCAAGAUGCGACAAUGGACCGACAUGUAUCAAUCUUGAUCUAUUUGCACAAAUAAUUGGUAUAAGGGCCAGAUGCACCAAUAGAGGUCACAAUGCACUGACACAUGUCACUUGGGCCAACACGCACCAUGCCCACAUACAAGGAACAAAUAAGCCUAUAGGAUCCACAUGCACCGAUAAACUACGUCUCGACAUGCAACAACUUUUUGUAGUCACAUUGCACGCACAGUGCAUACCAAGACACGCCAAUGGCCCGUCAUGUAGCACUCUUCAUGUGUUUUCACUAAUCAUGGUCUCUUUGGCCUCACGGAUGCCAUAAGGGCCAAAUGCACCAAUAUUGACACGUUGCACUCAAACGUGCCACUUGGGACAACAUGGAUCAUGGUUUCUUUACUAGCAAGGAUCACAUAAGCCAUUAUAUAGUGUUGAUACCCUAGCUAAUAACAACAUAUAUCAACAUUGGUCCUAGUUGCAGCUACAUAGGACCACUUAUGCCACACAUGGAGCGCAGCCUCGGUGCAUGGUUUUUUUUCUGUGCGUCUGUGUCUGGAUAAAUGUCUUAAGGAGAGGCAAAUUGGUUCUGCCGAACACACUGCAUCAACCGAACUGGCUAGACCCUUUACUUCACACCUGCAUGGCCCUGGUUCGAAUCCCCGUGAGGCAGUUGGAAAUGCCAAUUUUUUUCUAUGGGUACUGACACGUGGGGUUCCCUUGUCAUCCACACAAACGCACCAGCACAUGUACCACAUUUGGCUAAGUGCACCUACUACUCCACAUCAUUUUCAACUUUCUUAUUCCCCUCCUCGACAAGCGCCGCCGCCGCCAUCUGCAGACGACGCCUCUCUUCGCCGUCGGAUCUGCGUGGCCGCUGCCAACUCCGGCAAGUAGGUAAGAUCUCCCCUCAUCCCCCUCGUGAAUCUUCUUCCCUUCCCCAACCGCGUGCGUCUCCCUCCGGACGCGGAUCUGAUCCAGAAAUUUUAAUUGGUACAUGCGGUAGAUGAUUUGUUGAUGGAUAUGAUGGUUCUUUCAUACAUUGAUGGAUGUCGUAGUGUAGGAUCUGAGUUGUACCAGGGAAAAGUGAGGCCCUAUGCAAAUCAAAAUGCGGCCCUAUGUGUGAAAAAAUAAAUCAAAAUAAUUCAUCUGUUCUUCACUAUAGUAUGUAUUACUGACAUUGGAUUGGAUUGGAUUGGGAUUUAUUAGGUAGAUGAUACUGGCAUUGCCAUUGUCAUUGGCAUUGCUUUUUAGGUAGAUGAUAGUAAACAGAUUUAAUAGGUAUUUGCAUUUUAGGUUAUCACUAUGAUUUAUUAUAUGUAUGAUCUUUGUAUUGUACUAUGGUAGCGUACAAAUCAACUUAGAGUUCAACAUGUUCUGUGUACAAUGGAGGAAGAACCAUGUGGACGGUGCAAGUCACAGUGCCGGACCAGCCUUUGUACUGCCAUGCUAUUCGGCAUCUACUUCCAGCCUACUUUUGUUUUGAAGCGGUAACAAUUUAUAUGAACCUUCUGACAGUUCAUCUUUUUCUAUUUCCACUAAUGCAUUGUGUUUGUUAUUUGUUUUUUUCUUGCACAGAUCGUCCCAUGCAAUGUGAGAUUGACAUUCAAUGAGCUCAUCGGAGAUACCGUGACCUUCGACACUCUUGGGGGGCGUACACUAUGCAGGUUGAUAAGGGGCGAACGAUAACCCAGAUUGGAGGAGAUGAAUGGGAUCGUUUCAUCGCCCGCUUCCGUCUUAGUGGGGGUGAACGGAUCCUCUUCUCCUUAAGAGGAGAAAGGCCCAGGAUUUAUGUUAUCUAUCUGAAUUUGAUUGCCGAUAGUGAGGAUGAAGUUCAUGAGGAGGACGAUGGUGAGGAUUCAGAUGAUGAUGAGAACCCACUUGAUGAAGCCCUCUAUGCCCAAGGAGUGAGGCUGAGCGACGAGGAAACCAGCAACCUCUGGGACAUGCUUCCGCUACGUGAAGACUACGUCGGGAUGCCAUUCGUGACCGGCCUCACAAAGACGAAUGUUAAACAGCAUCUCAUGGUAUGUUACUUAGUUUGGUAAUUACAUGAUAUGCAUGCUUAAUUAGUGUAGUAGUUGAUAUGAUAUGCAUGUUGUAGUACUGUGAUGAUAUGCCUAGUGUAGAAUUCAUUUAGUGCAGAAUUUUAUGGUAUGCAUGUGUUGUAGUAAUGCGAUAUAUGCUUAUGUAGUGUAGUAAUAUGCGAUGAUAUGCUUAGUGUACGUAGUAUAUAAUCUAAUGAUAUGCUUAAUUACUGUAGUAAUUUGAUGAUUAGCGUGUAGUGUAGUGAUGUGAUGUGAUAUAUGUGUCUUGAAGUGUAUGGUUUGUUGAUAAUUGCAUGUGACAUGCUCAUAUAUCAUAUCAACUAUUUUCAAAAAUUACCUAAGAGGUUAUCUGAUAGUUGUGGCAUCGAGCCGGAUGAAGAAGGCAUGGUUGCUGGACUACGCCUUACCAAAACGGGCUCCAUCACCACCUGUGCCUACGCAGUGGACACGGACGGUCGCACUAUCUUCAACCGGGCGGGGUGGAAGAAGUUCCUUCAUGGAAAGAAUCUUCCGGUAGGUCAGGGCAUCCUACUCACUGUUGCGAAUACCCGUCGCCGUGACUUGAGGAUGAUGAUCACCAUCAACCUCAUUUAGAACUGGCUGGGCCAUGUUUCGAUGUGAAAUGAACUUGGUAUGUUAGCUCUUGUUUUAGAGUACUUGCCGUGUAUUACCGUACCUAUCUAUCUAUCUAUCUAUAUAUAGGUUCAGUAAAUGGGCCAUGUAUCGAUGUGAAAUGAACUUGUUAUGUUUGGGGCUUGCUUUGCUGUUGCCACAUCGGUUAUUUGUGACUUCCUUGAACUUGAAUCUGUCUUGAAAUGUUAUUGGAUGCUUGGUGCUGUUGCUUUAUAGUAUAAAGCUGGGGGCGUUGGGGGACCUUUUUAGUAGGUUUGGUUAAUGGAGUUUAGCUCUUAUUGUACUUAUUGUUUUCUUUUCCAUACAAUUCUGAACCCAAACUACACAGUGCACAACCUUCUGUGAUUAGUUCCUUUGAUAACUAGUACUCCCUCUGUAAACUAACAUAAGAGCGUUUAGAUUACUAAAAUAGUGAUCUAAAUGCUCUUAUAUUAGUUUACGGAGGGAGUAUUGAAGAGCAGCCACAGAGUUCCAUUCACAGUUUACUUGAAUAUUUUUUGAUGAAUAAACAAAAUAGGAAGCUAGCAAAUUUAUUUAACGAGAUAAGCAAACUAUGUACUUGAUUACAUAAGCAAACUUGUUCAACCCUGACAAACUGGACAUAAACAAACAGGUUCAACUAUGACACACAUGACAUAUACAAGUUGGUUUAACCCAAGAAAAGCAAACUACAAAUUUCAAACAACAAGAUAAAGGACAAGCACAAGCGCAAGCAACACGAAGGCAAAUUUUGAUGUCUCCUCAUCCCGCAUAGUGGCAGUGGUAGUAGGGGUCCUCUUCCUGCUCUUUUGAAAUUUCCAGACCUCUUUUGAUGUGUUGAUUAUCUUCCACGACUUGUAGGUGGCGUACGCAUCUAUUGCUGCAUACUCGAUGAAGUAAUCUGGCGCUAGGCUGACCCCCCACAGUUUAUGGUCUGCCUGCUUGUCAAUCUUGUUCUCAUGUUGCUGUAGAAUGGGUGGAUGACGCUGUCUGCAACAUCAACCAAGGAGUCAUAUGGUUUUCCAUUGUAUGGAACUCUCCACUUGCGCUGAAUGUCGAUGUGCUUGUUGGGGUUUAUCUCCAAACCAGACAUCUUCAACUUGUCCAUGUCAUUUUUAAUACUGAAACCGGCAAAGGUGAACAACUUCUCCUCCUGUAGGAACUCUUUGAGGCGCUUUGGCCUGCUAGGGGAGAGACAAGUGAUGAAUACAUGGAGUACUAGUGUUUAUUUUCAAGAUUUAAUCAUCUGUUUUUUACGGUUUACAAGUGAAUAAUACAUGGAGUAGAUGCUUAUACAGUAUAAGUCAUGGAUGAAUUUAGUUCAGAAACUAGUACACAAAGUUCUGAAAUUAAAAUCAAGUACACCAUGUUAUUUUUCUUUUUGGAUAUAUAGUUGAGUCAAUGAUCUAUUUGCUUUCUUAGUGAUAGUUUAGUUUUAUUUUGUUGAAUAAAAUAACAUAUACCUCUGCUUCACCAAGUUCUUUAGUUUUUUUGGUGGUGAAAAUAACACCAGACCAAGUUCAGAAACUACUUGACUACAUCAAGUUCAGAAACUAGACUAAUGAAUCAAGAUGAGAAACUACACUGGUACAUCAUGCUCACAAAUUAAUCUUGUGCAACAAUUUCAGAUACUAUUCAAGUGCACCAGGUUCAAAAUAUAUUCUAGUGCAUCUACUUUGAGGAACUGCACUAGUGCAUCCAUUUUCACAAACUACACUAGUACAUCUAGUAUGAAACUAGUCUAAUAAAAUUUUGAGGGAGCAGUAUUGAUGAAUGGAAGAGGGUGAAUGAGUAGGAUUUUUCACCAUUUUGUGGCCGCAGCAAUGUGGUACACGAGGCAGAGACCUUCCACGCAGAACUACAGAACUGCUGCCAUCUGCGGAGGUUCAUCAUCUUUGGUAAACUCCACAUCAACACCGAUGAUGUGGGGAUACGAGCCGCAUGCGCUCCUCCUGAUCCAAAAGAUCAUCUCGUCGGCCUUGUCUGGUUCGCUGGUGCAGAUGACCUCCGUCGUCUCCUUGCCGUGGAGCUCAACCCCUUUGAGGGUUACGGUGUACUCGCGCUUCUAACCGAGAACGUGAACGACGUCGAGGUUGCCGCUCUGGUCGGACGUCUGGCCACAAUGACGCUUGGCAGAUGCUUCCUCCGCCAUUGCCCUCCUCCUGCGACUGUGGGCUUCGAAGAGAGAUGUUUGUGGGUUGUUUGUAGAAGAGAUGGAAGCGGCAAUGGUGGUUCUCGGAAUGACGCAGUGAUGUAGUCGAUUUGGGGCUUUUUCACGCUUGGGAUGGGGACGUGGGGGAGGUGGUUUGUGUGUAGAACGUGGGGGUGGUGGUGGUGGGGCGCAGUUGCAAUCCGACGUGGCAACCGCGCUCUGUGCACUGCUGGGUGCGCGUGCAUCUGAGUUUAGUCCCACCACGGGCCUGCAUCCUGGCCCAUAUCACUGGGUUUGUUGUCGUAUGUGGGCCGUGGUGUGCGAAAUAUCAUGUUAGGUAGGUGGGCUUUUUUUCUAUAAAAUCUUUUUUUGCCUAUGUGACAUGUUGACUUAUACUAAAAUAACACUUCCUUUUUUUAGGUACACAUGUCUUAUGUGAAAAGUUUAAGUUUGAUAACAAUUAAAAACAUUUAAAACCUUGCCACAUUGGCUUUCUUGGACAUGUGUAAAAAGUUUAAGUUUGAAAACAAUUGAAAAACAUGUAAAACCUUGCAUCAUUGAAUUUUAAUUUUAAAAUAAAUUUGAAAUAUUGCAGUUAAUUUGUAGACCAUCUCUAAAUCAAACCAAAUUUGUUUUACAUUGUCACAUACAUGUUACAAACAUUGUUAUUUACAGAUCAUGUGUGCAAAAACUGAGGUGAUUUAGAUGUGGUCGAAAAAAGGUGAUUUUUUUUCACCACCUCCAUAUCACCUAAAAUUUAUUCUACAUGCUCAAAUAGAUGAGCCAAACAUGUCUAUGAAAGAAAUUUGAAAAAAGCGUAUCCUACAAUGCCCGCUUAAGGUGUAGACCGUUGUUUUGAUCAGUCAGUCUACAAGGCAGAAUAAAUUCAAAACAAAUUAAAAAAUUAUAAAACAUUGAAAACCUAGCUAUGUUUGUGCAACAUAUCAAGUGUGCAAAAUUAGAUAUGAUUUAGAGGAGGUCAAAAAAAAUCACGCUAAAACACGAGGGGCCAUUUGGUCUCAUUUAAGCCAGUUUUUGUAUAAAAUAUGAUUUUUUCCACCACCUCCAAAUCACCACAAAUUUGUUCUACAUGCUUAAAUAGAUGUGCCUAGCAUGUCUAUGAGAUAAAUUUGGAAAAAAUGUAUUCUACGAUGCCCGCUUAAGGUGUAGACCGUUGUUUUGAUCAGUCAGUCUACAGGACAGAAUAAAUUCAAAAAAAAUUAAACAAUUAUAAAACCUUGAAAACCUAGCUAUGUUUUUGCAACAUAUCAAGUGUGCAAAAUUAUAGGUGAUUUAGAGAAGAUCAAAAAAUCAUGCUUAAACACGAGGGACCAUUUGGUCUCACUUAAGCCAAUUUUGGUAGAAAAUGUGAUUUUUUUACACCACCUCCAAAUCACCCCAAAUUUGCUCUAGAUGCUCAAAUAGAUGUGCCAAGCAUGUCUAUGAAAGAAAUUUGGAAAAAAUGUAUCCUACAAUGCCUGCUUAAGGUGUAGACCGAUGUUUUGAUCAGUCAGUCUACAGGGUAAAAUAAAUUAAAAACAAUUAUAAAAUUUUAAAACCUUGAAAACCUAGCUAUGUUUGUGCAACAUAUCAAGUGUGCAAAAUUAUAGGUGAUUUAGAGAAGGUCGAAAAAAUCACGCUUAAACACGAGGGACCAUGUUCUCUCACUUGAGCCAUUUUUUGUAGAAAAUGUGAUUUUUUUUCCACCACCUCCAAAUCACCCCAAAUUUGUUCUAGAUGCUCAAAUAUAUGUGCCAAGCAUGUCUGUGAAAGAAAUUUGAAAAAAACAUGUAUCCUACAAUGCCCGCUUAAGGUGUAGACCGAUGUUUCGAUUAGUUAGUCUACAGGGCAGAAUAAAUUCAAAAAAAAUAAAAAAAUUAUAAAACCUUGAAAACCUAGCUAUGUUUGUGCAACAUAUCAAGUGUGCAAAAUUAGAGGUGAUUUGGAGGAGGUCGAAAAAAAUCACGGUUUAAUUUGUGUGUGGGGGGGGGGGUAGACCUCCCGAGAGCCAUUUACUGGUCAUUUUCGUUCCGUAUAUGUGUAAACAUUCGAAAUUUUACCCAACAUGAAAAGCAAAUUAUGCGUGCAUGCUCUAUGUGGUCAAGGGAUGCGAUGCAGCAAAAUUGGGAUCAUUAGUGCAUGUAUACGCAAGUAGGGUCUCUAAAACGCACUUUUCGGGGAUAGCCUGUCACCACCCCGAGAGCACUAGCUCGGUUUCUCACCUGUAUGAAACCAACCAAAAAUUUCAGGAUGACAAGUCAUGGCCAUGUUAGGGCUACUUGCCAUGUUUCAACCAUCUUCAACAAAUUUUGAAAGUUUCGUCACAUGCGGGAUUUUUUCGGUCAUUAGUACAAUGUGGACCAUUUUCAACAUUUAUUGCAAGUUUUGUCACGUAUGGCAUUUUUCGGGCAUAUGCAACACGAAAAAUCCAUUUUUAAUACUUAAAAACAAGGACAGUAUUUUCUAGAUUUGUUGGGAUAUCAUUGUGAUAUUAUUGAAAUCUCACAUAACUCACGCGGCCCACCCCUCCCUAAAUCCCGCGAUUACAGCGCCUCAUUCUAACCACCCGGCCGUGCUAUCCGCAGCUCCCACGACUGCUGCAAGAUCAUUUCGGAUACGCCGGGCUCACACGGAUUACAGGAGUCGCCGGCCAACGCCCACCGCCAUGAGGGGUCGGACUUCAGUGUUCUUCUCGCUGCUCCCUCCGUUUAUCCUUGCCGCCGUCUACCGCACUAUAGGGGCACUUCUAGUUUGCGACGCACUGUCCGCGGCCAUCAACUCGGCGCCGCCGUCUCCGAGAGAAGGUAUUUCCUGAUCGUAGCUUUUUUUAAUCGUUGUUGGCCGCUCCUUUAGUAGUUGAACCCUCAUAGGUUUUGCACAACUUCACGUGGUUAAGCAAUUGGAUACCCUUGUUAAACUGCGCUUAUUUUAUGCACGACCAACUAGGUUGUGUGCUUAAAGUCAUAAGUGGAUCAUAUGUUAAAUGACCCACUUAAUUUUUUUAAUAUUAGUUGACUGCUAAUUUUUUUUAUACAUCUUUUAAUUAUUGUCUUCAGAUUAAUUGACCCGGUUUUCAUCAUUGCAUACAAGCCAGCAAUGUCAGUUUCAGAUAAAAGUCUUUGAACAGAGAAAAGCCUCGAAGAACUCAAACUAAAAUUUGACAGCAAGACCGUAGGCAAACAAAUGUUUUUGUUAUCAUCACGGUCGCACAGAGCCAUGAACAGCUAUGUUGAGCCCAUUAAAACACAAAUAGGUAGCAUCAAUUGAUACAUGAUCUUGCUCAUGCUCUACUUUUAGCAUCAUUUGAUACAUGUUUAGUUCUUAUCAUAAAGUGGAUAUAUGUACCUUUGGCAAUCAUGAGCAUCCUCUACUUACUGCUAUAACUAAUGCAUCCUCAGUACAAAAAUUGAAUUGGCAAUACGGUUGUAUUGGCAACGAUUUGCAUGCUUUACUUUUGGCAAGAACUAAUGCAUAGUUGAGUUAUAACUGGUCAUAGAUAUGGCUCGAACAUCUAGAGUUAUCAUCAUGGUCACGCGGAGACCCUAAACCAUCACCAGAUAUGUUGAGCCCAUUCAAACACAAAUAGAAGCAGCAAUUGAUACAUGUUAAUGCUCAUGCUCUACUUUUGGUAUAAUUUGAUACAUGUUCAGUUCUUACCAGAAAGUGGAAACAUGCACUUUUGGGAAAUAUGAGCGUCCUCUACUUAUUGCAAUAACUAAUGCUGAUGUAGGUGGCGGGUCGUCCGGGGGCCAGCCGGACUGAUGGAGUUGCUGAACUAAAGCGGCAACUCGAUGCUGCGGAUGCGGACAUCACGCUGGUCAACAGGCGACUUGAUGAGUCGCAAGGUAAGUGUUACUGCGCGGUCACUUGGUAAGGGAGCCAAAGCCAUCUCCUUACAACAUGUGCGUGAAAUGCAGAUAGUGCCGCUGCCGUGGAGAGCCUUCGGGCCGAACUUGAUCGAGCCAAGGAGCAGGCCAGAAGGAGUAAUGCGGCGGCCUCGAAGGCGGCCGAGGAGUUGGCGGCCGAAAGGGUCGCACACUGCCGGAGCAGGGAAGAGAUAGCCGAAAUGGCCGUGAAGUUAAAGGAUGCUACUGACCGCAAUGAGGCUCUUGGGAAGGAGUGCCUAGCGGGGCAAGAAGACCUGCGGAAGGCCACCGCCGAAGCCAAGAAUGCCCGCUCGGCAAUGCGGGCUAUGAAGGAAGAGCUGCGCCAGGCCGGGGAUAUUGUAGCUGGCAAGCCUUUUCUGCUGCGCCGAAGGUUCACGGAUCCAAAAUAUGCUCAGCUGGGCCAACUGUGGUGUCCGGAGGACCCUUAUAUGGACUUAGCAGCGAGUGCGGCGGAUGCCGUUGUGCAUUUUCGAAGCCAGAAGGAUCACAAGAUGGAAGAGCUAUUUUGGUCUCAAUUCCAUAGUCCGGAGCGUUCACUUCCGCUGACCGAUCAUUUGGCUGAGUGGGCUGAGCUAAAUAGGUUGUCCGGGCUUGCUAUGACGGAUAUAGUGACCCAUAUCCGGCCGGAUAGGCCCCAGCCGAAGAGUUACUUUGGCUUAUUGCAGCAAUUUCUUGGGGCGGUGCCGCAUAUCAAGGCGAUGAAGUGGUCGGCCUGCAUAGAGGGUGCGCGGAUGGCGCUCGCCCGUGUGAAGACACAUUGGACAGAGAUGGAUGCCACCGCUGUUGCGACCCCGAGUUCGGAUGAUAACCGGUUACCCGCCGAGCACUAUUUUGGCGAAGUGUUGCGUGGUGCUCGUGUAAUAGAGUCGCAGUGCUCAAAAAAUGUUACGUUCAAAUGAACGUUUGUAAAACGAUAUUUAUGAUGUAAGCGCCUUUUAUACUUGUGCGUGCAAGUAAUAGAAUAUCUCCUAUGCGGCCGUUCAUGUAUACGUGUGUAUAACCUGAAAGAUGGCAGUCGUCGGCUUCAGCCCCCACGCACAAGGUGCGGGGGUGUUCGCAAAAAAUAGCGCAUUUUCACACUUAAUCCGACGUCUCGGUCCUGUAAAGGAGGUGGUAGCGUAGCAAACGAGACAACCGGACUAUAAUGCUUUAUCACUUUCACUUAGCCAUGGAGUUCGAGGGUGGGGCUACGACAUAGCCCCUGGGGGCACCGCGCUCUCCGAAUUCGGGGCGCGUAUGUGCCUGGCCGGGAAACGGCCCUUCGUCAAAGCGGAGGAAUCCUAAACAUUCCCAUAGUCGAUUGAGUGGUUGACCAGUCUCUCGCUGUAUCAUGACAGUCAGUUUUCGGCUUUCUCUACUGAGGUGCUCGCCCAGCCGAACUGGGGCACAAUCGCAGUAGUUCUCCUGGAGCCGCGUUAGCCGAUGAUAUGGAACGUAAGGCAACAAAACACAGGAGCCGGGCAAACCCAACAUUUGACCAAAGACAUGAUUCGGAGCUGAUGCAUAUAAGGCCUAACUCGAGACACCGAACACUCCCGAAGGUGUUCGGUCUUUAUAAUAGUGGGCAAAACAAAGCCCUAAGCCCCUUGUGUCCAGGUACGGGCAGAUUCUUCUGGCGCGGCCGAUGCCAAAACGCCAGUCUCCACUCUGGUUAUAAUGAUAAACUAGGGGAUUAUAGCAACAAGAGACAGUAAGAAAGGUUUACGUAGGGUCUUAGUCUGAAAAGAGUCCUUGCAACGGGUCCCUACUGCACGUCUGCGCCUGUGUCUCCGUUGUGCCGUAUCCUGGACGGGUGUGCAUGCUGUUCAUCUGAAAAAAGAGAAGAACUUGGUUGGAAAAGAAAUCGUGCGAGAAAGUUCAUAAAAAAUUGAAAUAGAGAUUAAGAAAAUUGAGCCUAUGCUAGCUCAUUAUGGCUUAUAUGUGCAAACCCUUGUGAAGGGAUGUGCGGCUAGGUAGCCCCUAGCUUUUUUAUUCCGGACUCGUCCAGCCGUGUCCGGGGUCUCGAGCGACCUUUUAAUGAAAUGAUACCGCGUGGAACGGGCAUCUUAAGCAUAAGAGACGCGUAAUGUGGUAUUGCAUUGAAGCGGAUGCAAGCUUCCCGUCCCAGUGAUGCUUGAUAGCUACUUUUAUAUGGUGCGACAUGAAAGGUUAGCUUUUCUCGUCGGAAGUUGUCAGGUGACCCUGACACAACUUCUAGCAAUAAUGAAACUGUGCACCUAGCGUAAGGGCCUGGCGCCACUCCUUUGAAGGAAGUGCGGCUAUGCCGAAUUGUAGUAGGGUCUAUCCCAACUUGCGGAUUGUGUCCGGAAAUAGCAGGUUCAAGUCCCUGCCGCCGUCCAUCAAAACCUGCGUUAAUUGCAGUCCGUCUAUUAUGCGAUCCAAUAUCAGGGCAGUCUAUCCUAUGUUCCGGAUACUUCUGGACUAAUCCAGCUGGUCGAAAGUGAUUGGUUUUGACGUCCAAUCUCGGUCCACUGGGGUGGACCGUGCGACACUUGUCUUAGCGAGUGCCGUGUUGGCUUUCCGUACUAUCACGUGAAGCGAGUUUACUGUUUUGACUUCUUGUGGGAAAGUCUUUUGACUUCCGGUGCUCUGCUGGUGGGGUUCGUCAUCGUCCUCGCUUGGCGCAUCGAGCCCCUUGUGUCCGGCGUUGAGUCUGCUGGACUGUUUAAAAACCCAACAAUUUCGGUUGGUAUGGUUUGCAGGCCUUCCGGAGGUACUGUGGAUUUGACAUAUCCGAUCUAAAAUUUUGUUUAAAUUUGAUAGCUCGUCUUUGUUCUCCUUAAGAGGCGUGUUGUAUUGUUUGGCCGCGAGCUUUUGAAUCCGGCGUUGACCGCCGUGCCCUUUGGGCUUUUUUCUUUAUUCCGGCGCUGGUCUUUCCUGCGCCGUGACUGUCCGUUUCCAUCUCUGAUCUCGGAUGUAUUCGGGUCGCUGGUGCUGCAUCUUGCUAGCCAGCUGUCUUCUCCUGCGCAAAAGCGAGUCAUGAGGCUUGUUAGUGCGGCCAUUGUUCUUGGCUUCUCUUGGCCGAGGUGUCUGGCGAGCCAUUUGUCUCGGGCGUUGUGUUUAAAAGCUGCUAGGGCUUCUGCGUCCGGACAGUUGACUAUUUGGUUCUUUUUGGUAAGGAACCUGUUCCAGAAUUUGCGCGCUGACUCUCCGGGCUGUUGGGUUAUAUGACUCAAAUCGUCUGCAUCCGGAGGGCGGACAUAAGUCCCUUGAAAAUUUGCUCUAAACGCGUCCUCAAGCUCUUCCCAACUUCCAACAGUAUUUUCUGGGAGGCUUUUGAGCCAAUGCCGAGCUAGCCCUUUGAGCUUGAGGGGUAGGUAUUUUAUGGCGUGGAGAUCAUCUCCUCUAGCCAUGUGUAUGUGUAGUAUAUAAUCUUCUAUGCAGACUCCGGGGUCUGUUGUGCCGUCGUAUGCCUCUAUGUUUAUGGGUUUGAACCCUGCUGGAAAUUCAUGAUCCAGCACCUCAUCAGUAAAACAUAGCGGGUGUGCGGCGCCCCUGUAUUUGGGUGUGCCGCUGUCUUCGAACACUUGUCGUGUUGUGUUAGUUCCUGGGGUCCUCUUUUUUUGGCCCGUAGAUGGACCUAGUUGGGCCGUCUGUUUUUCCAGGAUUAUAAUUCGGCUUGUGUGCAGCCCCGCUUGUCGCUUUGGGCCUGUCAUCUGGCCGUCUAACCGGCUAGGCGGCCUCUUUAUUUUUUGACUGUGAAGGCUCUAUGGCUUCCUCGUCAAAUUCUGGCAGCAACUUGCGCUUCGGGUAGCUCUUAGUUUGAUGGCCAUUGCCAUAUUUGUCUGCGGUCUUGAAUACUUUGCUCCACUUCAUUCUGAGCGUGUCUUCUGCUGUUUUGAGCUUCCGUUUCGCCUUCUUCAAACUUCUUGCAGUGGCGACGAGUUUUUUGUGUAUGUUCUUAUGCUCCGGUGUUGGCUCCGGACUGUUGAUUGCUCCGUGAAGGGGUUGAUUAUCCGGCUCGUCCUGUUCGUCGUCCGCUGGUUUGCCCUGCUCUAUCGCUGGGUCGUUAGGAAGGCUGCUUUGAUCGAGGCGGGACUUAGGGCGGCGUCUACGUCGCUGUUUUGGUUCUUUAUCGGCGAGAUUAUCCUCUGCCGCAUCCUGUUGUUCCUCGUUAUCGCUUCCCUUUGGGGUGUCCACCAUGUAUAUGUCAUAUGACGGGGUGGUCUUCCAGUGUCCUGUAGGCACUGGUUCUUGGUAGUCUCCGGCAUCGUCGUCCAUACCGUCGAUGUCUUCGGAGUCAUAGUUGAGUACGUCGGUUAAAUCGUCGACGGUGGCUACGAAGUGGGUGGUGGGUGGGUUCUGAAUUUCUUCGUCGUCCGCGUCCCAACCAUCCUGGCCAUAGUUCGGCCAGGGCUCUCCGGAUAGCGAGAGAUGCUUUAGUGAAUUUAUAAUAUCGCUGAAGGGCGAGUGCUGAAAGAUGUCCGCAGCGGUAAAUUCCAUGAUCGGUGCCCAAUCGGAUUUGACUGGUAGGGGCGCAGGAGGUUCGGAGUCCGGCAGGGAGUCUGGCACCUCGGAGUCAUGAGCUUUAUGCGGGAUAAGGUAAGUGUUCGGCUCCAUCGCCGUAGGAGUUGCGGCUCCCGAGGCGGUGUCCAGCCAUCCGUCCUCGAUCCGAGCGAUCGGCUCCGAACUAUGAGUCGGAGCGGACUCGUGUGCGGCCUCCAAGGUGUUGUCCGGCGGCAGAGUUAGGUCAUGCCCCUCGUGACAGCGCGGCACGCUCGGCUGUGGCUCAGAUCCAUCGAAGAUCAAGUCCCCGCGGAUAUCGGCCAUGAAGUUUAGGCUUCCAAACCUGACCUGACGGCCAGGGGUGUAGCUUUCGAUCUGCUCCAGAUGGCCAAGCGAGUUGGCCCGCAGUGCGAAGCCGCCGAAUACGAAGAUCUGUCCGGGGAGAAAAGUCUCACCUAGGACUGCGUCGUUGUUGAUUGAAGAGGCCAUCAAGCCUAUCGGUGACAACACAGAGGAACCCUCAAUGAAAGCACCAAUGUCGGUGUCAAAACCGGCAGAUCUCGGGUAGGAGGUCCCGAACUGUGCGUCUAGGCGGAUGGUAACAGGAGACAAGGGACACGAUGUUUUACCCAGGUUCGGGCCCUCUUAAUGGAGGUAAAACCCUACGUCCUGCUCGAUUGAUAUUGAUAUUGUGGAUGUUUACAAGAGUGAAUCUACCACGAGAUCAAGGAGGCUAAACCCUAGAAGCUAGCCUAUGGUAUGAUUGUAAGGGUUGUUCUCAUAGUCCUACGGACUAGAGCCAUCCGGUUUAUAUAGACACCGGAGAGGGCUAGGGUUACAUAGAGUCGGUUACAAUGGUAGGAGAUCUACAUAUCCGUAUCGCCAAGCUUGCCUUCCACGCCAAGGAAAGUCCCAUCCGGACACGGGGAGAAUUCUUCAAUCUUGUAUCUUCAUAGUCUUGGAGUCCGGUCGAUGAUGAUAGUCCGGCUAAUGAUAGUUCGGCUGAUGAUGGUAGUCCGGCUAUCCGGACACCCCCUAAUCCAGGACUCCCUCACUUAGCAUCUACCAUUGUAUAAUGCCUAACAUGCAUCAGAAAAAUAGUACUAAUAACAACUUAGACAACUUAAGCAGGUUAGCAGCAAACACUUAGAUAAACGGCAGAUUAACCACCGCACACCAUAAGUUCACGCCCACCAUAGACCAUAGGACAUAAGUUCUUACACACCAUAGACAAUAAGUUUUAGAGUCGACCAGCAAAUACCGAUAACAUAAAAGGACACGGCGGUCCUGGGGCAGCAACAGCAGUCUAGCAGCACAUCACUUAUCUCCCAUGUUUAGCGGCGGCGCGGCGGGAUGUAGUAGGGCUCAUUGACUUUGACAAUCUUUAAAGCGCCCGUAGGCCGCAUGUUUGGCCAGAGUACUGGCCUUUUGCUUCCUACUGUAGGAGUUGCCAGUGGUGACGGCAUGUUGCAUCAAGCCAUCAAUGCCGCCCUUGAUCGCCUUGCCAUAGAAGGGGCAGCCAAGCUUGCCAUAGAAACGGUACUUGAAUUUUCCAGCAAUCAGCUGCCUCAUGAUGUAGUGGCUCUUGCUGUGCCUGUUGUCCAUGUCAUACCCCACAUCAUCGUCAUCCUCCUGUGAAUUAGUACACAAAGAAGAACUCAGUUAAUCUAUUCUGCUACAUUGCUCUUAAUUAGAAUGUGUGAAAAGUACAUACGUGUAACAUGACAAAUAUCUAUUUGCUGGAAAUAAGGCGUAUAUGCACAUACAUAAUUGACCAAAAUAAUUUGACAUGCAUAAAUAUGGACGGUGGAAUAGUUGCAUUGAUAGAUUAGUGCACAAGAAGUACAUAAUUAACACAUGAAAGAAUUCAUGAUGUGGCUUGGUUAAAUGAUACUUGAUACUUGUUACAGGUGUAAUUCUGAUUGGAAUCAGAAAAAAAGGCUUCAUUAUACUCCUCCAUGUUACACACAGGGGGGUAUUCUUCUAUCUACUGGAAUCAAGAAACCAUUAUUCUUUCUGAGAGCAGCAAUACUAAUUCUCCAACAUUGUUAGCCCCUGAUAAGUUUUAGAAGGAAACUGAUAAAGGAGCUAUGGGCUACUAUCUUUAUCCCUUAACUUAUGACUCUGAUGAUACCGGUGUGGAAAAUACUUUGGAGGAACUUAACUUGGAAAAGGAAAUUUUGUCAUGCAAAACAAAGUGUUUUUUUGUCUAUUUAUUGGAAUCAAAAAUUGAAUUCUAGUUUUACAAAUAUAUGCUAAAAAAUAUUCAUUCCAGUGGUCUAAAAAAAGAUUCAUAAAUUGAAUUCUAGUUUUAGAAAUACAAGUUGAGUAUUUAGGGCAUGUUGUCUAAAAAACAUUCAUUCCAGUGGUCAGAUGCUGAAAUUGAGACCUUCACAACAUUGAAGAAUUGUCUGGUCACUGCUCUUGUUAUGGCUUUGCCUUAUUUGACCCUACCAUUUACUUUUUAAAUAGAUGCAUCAGGUGAAGGUAUUGGUUCUGUCCCCAUGCAACAAGGCAGACCAAUUGCUAGAAAAGGAAAUGUUGUCAUGCAAAACAGGGGUUCUCAAAGAAAUAAUCAAGUGGUCAGAACAUGAUUCUUACCAAUUAAAUCUAAAUGUAGAUGCAUCAUAUGAUAGUUAAGAAGGAGAUGAGUCGACGGGUGGUGUUUUAAGAGAUCAGUAUGGCAACUUUGUGUCAAUCCAGUAAAUUACCAUUAUAUUCCAAAUGCAUCAUUUGCCUGCUUGAUGGAUUCGGUGGCAAUGAAAGAAGGCCUAUCUUUGGUAGCACCUGUAGGCUAUCAUCAAAUUAUUGUAGAAUGGGAUUGCUUACAAGUUGUUCAAGCUUUUACUCGAGGUAACACAUGGUGGAACGAAGGAUCACGUAUUAUUGCUGAUAGUUUUGAUCUAGUUCUGGAGAUAGGAACUGCGCAUUUUCUCACUGUCCUCGGGAAGCCAAUGGUGUCGCACAUGAGAUCGCUAGAAAUAGCUAUGAGAAUCAUCUAUCUUGUAUUUGGGUUGAUUACGCCACUUCUAUCAUUCAUGUAUCCCUUGUGAACGAUGUAAGUUUGCUUAAUCAAUAAAGCAUGCCGUGAUGGAAUCAGAUAAUGAAUCUCUGUUUUAGCUAUACUAGUGGGUUUUUUCUUCUGUCUAUUCGAAUCAGAAAAUGAAUCAGAUUCUAAAACUGCCAUCCAACAAGAAAAUAUAUGCUAGAUCCCUAGCUACAAUCCUACAUGUACGCAAACAUUAUAGCUGGGCCAGUACAUGAGUAGAAAUACCUCAUCAAUACGUGAAGAAAAUGAUUCAGAUUCAAAAACCACCAUUCAAUAUGCAAGAAAAUCUAUGCUAGAUCCUUUCAACUAGCACACCCAUAUGAAAUUGAUGCUCAUGUACUUAACAAAAAAACCAAUGCCAUGAAAAAACAGGGUACUUACAGGAAAUAUAAAUCUAAUAAAAUCAGAUUAGUACCUCAGAUAGCUCGUCGAUGACGUCCUCGUUGUAGUCGCUGCCCUUCCUGGGAUCCACAGCCAUCUCGAACUCUAUUUGCUCCUCGUCGUUCCCCUCGUAGAACUCCUCCUCGAUUUUGUCAUAGAGCUCGCGCUUCAGCCUCGCCUUCUGCUUGUCCAGAUCUUCAUCGACCUUCUCCUGCAUAGGCUCACCGUCGGGUAGCUCGCCGGCUGGGAUGAUACCGGGAGGAGGCACAGCAGUUGCUGCACCGCCUCCAUCGCCGCUACGGCGGACUCAACCGCUGCAACUGCGGCGGCAGCCAUGACAGCAGACUGCUCUCCACCGAUGGUUGCCUCCGGCUCGUCCAUCGCAUCUUCACGGCCGCGCUUCAUCGGCGGUCGACGAGAGGACGAGGGACGUGUUGGAAGGGAGGAGAGGUGUGGAGUGGUGAGGAAGGGAAGAGGGUUUGGGAGAGGACGAGGUGGUAUGGCUGGAGUGGGAGAGGACGAGGGUUUUCUACCCGAUUUGUGGAAGAAAAUGAAUGCGGCUGCCUCUUGGAGUUAUCGAGGGGUCGAGGGGGGUGAUUUGUCUCACCUACCAGGGCCUUCCACAGUGAGGACGCGUGGGGUUUGCCCCGCGCCAUGCACCUCGUAUGCGGUUUGCCCCGCGCCGCCCUUCAACUGCUGACACGUGGACACCAGCAGUGGUUACACAUGAUAGAUAUGGUAAAUGAAUUUCUUAAAUCUGAGGGCAUGUAAUUUGUAUCAAAAUGCAUCAUCAACUUAGCGGUAACACCCUCACGAUCACAUACUAAUGCCCUUGGUUCGAAACUCCGUCGUUCAGUUUAGUUCCCUCUUUUUUGCCUAUGUGGUUUUUACAUGUGGAUCCCACAUGUCAUUCACAUACACGGAGAACACGUACAAACAAACUUGCCGGACAUGAUGUAAAUGGGCCCAAAAAAUUUCUACUUCUUUGUAUCAUUCUUGUAUGGAUUUGUAUGGAUUUUCUAGUACGAUUAAGUGCUUAAGAUACUUCUCGGAGGUGAUGCGACAAGCGCACGUUGUCGAUCCACUGGGGUGGCCAUGCCCACAACAAGGAAAAAUUUGGUGUCAUUCUUAACAUGGCCAAAAAUUCACCUCCUUCACCGGCGGCCGUUCGGAUAGGAGGUAAGGGUCUGUGUGGAAGGACGGUUUUUUCUCGACAUGCUUCAAAUGGACCUAUAUUCUUUCUACACCCUUGUACCAACAUGAGAAGCAUCCAUGACUAGUUCCAUUGAUUUUUGAUGUUUUUAUUAUUUUUCUAGGGUUAUCACGAUGAUAAAACCCUAAAAUAUUUCCCACCAGCGCCACCCUUCCCUCUGAUCACUCUGACUAGCAUGUACUUAACUUAGCAUCAAGGCCAUGAAAACAGGAAUCAGAACCGUAUUAGAUUUUGAUCCCACACAUACAAAACAGAUAACACAAAUCACAGAUUGCAGGUACUAUGAUUAUCUGAGUGAACUUCUAAUGCAUAACAACUUCUGGUAUUCAAAUACAUCACAUGAAAUACUAAGACAACUAGAAAUGCAAAACAGCUUCUGUGUUGAGAUUGAGCAAGGGAUUUUUAUUGUGAGGCGCAGCAUCUUCAGCAACCUAUCCAUGAUUCCACCUAUAGCAUAUAAGUAACUGAAAUUUUUAGAUUGAAUACAGUUGGUAUUGGAAAAAUGAUAGUACGGUAAUUUGAAGAUGCCAAGGAAAUCUGUCGCAACAACUGUAGGAGUAUACAAAUUUGAAUACAAAGUUCAUAGAAGUCAAUGUUGAAUUAAUAAGACCUUUACAAGAUGCAAAAUCACUGCUGUGAUGAGAGUAAACAGCAUGUAGGCCAUAGCACAUGCAAGAAGCACUUACAGGAAGUGAAGCAAAACAUUGUACAGCACGGCAACAUGAGUAAGCCAACAUCCCUACUAAAAUUAUUUCACUGCUUAUGUCUAGCUUUUUUUCUUGAAUCAUUAGGAAGCCCUAAAUAUUUUGAUGCAAGAUCACCGACAGGGCACUAUUGAAAUAUUUCAAUGUCUACAUCUCUCUACUGAAAGUGCGUUACUGAAAUAUUUCAGUGGCUACGUGUGUGUGUACUGAAACAACACCACUGAAAUAUUUCAGUUGCUACAUGCGUGUACUGCAACAGCACCAUUGAAAUAUUUUAGUUGGUACUUGUGUGUACUGAAAGUGAACCGCUGAAAUAUUUCAGUGGAUACGUGCGUGUACUGAAAGUGCACUACCAAAAUAUUUCAGCGGCUACUUGCUUGUAUUGAAACAACACCCCAGAAAUAUUUCAGUGGCUACGCGCGUGUCCUGAAACUACUACACUGAAAUAUUUCAGGGGUUGCGUGCGUGUACAGAAACUACAGUAUUGAAUUAUUUCAGGGGUUGCGUGCGUGUACUGAAACUGCAGUACUGAAAUAUUUCAGUGUCUACCCGUGUGUACUGAAAUUGCAUUGCACUACUGAAAUAUUUCAGUGUGUACCCGUGUAUCUGCAGUUGCACUACUCAAAUCUUUCAGUGUGAACCGGUUAGUAGUGAAAUAUUUCAUUGCCUACAACUAUCUACUGAACUUGCAGUAUUGAAAUAUUUCAGUGUCAACCCAAAGUCUAUCACUCUAAAACUGUGUACUGAACUUGUCUGGAGGCACUUCUUGCAGCCUCGAUGGUGCAAGUUCAAUUUACACAGAUUGCAUCACGUAAUUUGAACACAACUCUUGAGGUGACAGAAAAAAAUUCCUAUCAUGGAUACCACUCCAGCACAUCAAAACAUAGCAAUGAUGGAGAAUCGGAGUAUAGAUCUGAAGCCGAAAAAUGACUAAGUGAGGAAGAACAAGUUUCACAUUAGAAUUUUAGAUCUACCGCAUGACAGGAAAAGGAAAAUAUUUAGACCUAAAGGUUGGUGCUUGAGCAGUUCAUGAAGUUCUAGAUCGGGUUUUUAUACACAAAAGAGAUGAUCUGAUGGCAAAAGAAGGAUUAUCAUUACUACCGCAUAAGAGUAUAUCACGUUUGGAGUCUAUCCUAUAGGCCUUAAUGAAGAACAGGGGAAGAACACCAUGAAGCUUCGAGGAGCCCAUGCGAAACCUAAACAGAUCUAUGGAGGAAAGGAAGAAGAACUCACCAAAAACUGUUGAACAGUGGAGAGGCACCGCGAUUUUCUGGUACGGGCAGGGUGAUGCAGCGGCCAAGGUCGGGGCAUGAUACGUCUCCAAUGUAUCUAUAAUUUUUUAUCAUUCCAUGCUACUAUAUUAUCAACUUUGGAUGUUCUAUAUCCAUGAUUAUGCUAUUUUAUAUUAUUUUUGGGACUAACCUAUUAACCUAGAGCCCAGUGCCAGUUCCUAUUUUUUCCAUGUUUUUAACCUUUUUCAGAUAGGAAUAUCAGACGAAGUCCAAACGGAAUAAAACCUUCACUAUGAUUUUUUAUGGAAAAUAUCAAAAAUACCAGAAAGAAAAGAUACCAGAGGGGAGUCUUGAGGAGAUCACAAGCCAGGUAGGCGUGCCUGGUGGGCUUGUGACCCCCUCGUGGGUCCCUCCAACUUGUUCUCGACGUCAUCUGGUCUUAUAAAUACAGAAACCUCCAGAAAAAAACCUAGAUCGGGAGUUCCGCCGCCGCAAGCCUCUGUAGCCACCAAAAACCAAUCGGGAGCCCUUUCUGGCACCCUGCCGGAGGGGGAACCCAUCUCCGGUGUCCAUAUUCAUCAUCCCUACAAUUUCCAUGACGAGGAGGGGAGUAGUUCUCCCUCGGGGCUGAGGGUAUGUACCAGUAGCUAUGUGUUUGAUCUCUCUCUCUCUCUCUCAUGUUCUUGAGAUGUAAUGAUCUUGAUGUAUCGCGGGCUUUGCUACUAUAGUUGGAUCUUAUGAUGUUCUUCCCCCUCUCCCUUCUUGUAAUGAAUUGAGUUUUCCCUUUGAAGUUAUCUUAUCAGAUUGAGUCUUUAAGAACACUUGAUGUAUGUCUUGCACGUGUCUAUCUGUGGUGACAAUGGGAUAUUCAUGUGAGUACUUGAUGUAUGUUUUGGUGAUCAACUUGCGGGUUUCGUGACAUUGGGAACCUAUGCAUAGGGGUUGGCGCAUGUUUGACUCUCCGGUAGAAACUUUGGGACACUCUUUGAAGUUCUAUGUGUUGGUUGAAUAGAUGAUUCUGAGAUUGUGUGAUGCAUAUCGUAUAAUCAUGCCCACGGAUACUUGAGGUGACAAUGGAGUAUCUAGGUGACAUUAUGGUCUUGGUUGAUAUGUGUUUUAGGGUGUUAUUCUAGUACGAACUCUAUGAUAGAUUGAACGGAAAGAAUAGCUUCGUGUUAUUUUACUACGGACUCUUAAAUAGAUCGAUCAGAAAGAAUAACGUUGUGGUGGUUUCGUACCCGACAAUAAUCUCUUUGUUUGUUCUCCGCUAUUAGUGGCUUUGGAGUGACUCUUUAUUGCACCUUGAGGGCUAGUUGUAUGAUCCAAUUAUGUUAUCAUUGUUGAGAGAACUUCCACUAGUGAAAGUAUGAACCCUAGGCCUUGUUUACACACAUUGCAAUACCGUUCGUGCUCACUUUCAUUGUUAUUUACCUUGCUGUUUUUAUUAUUUCAGAUUACAAAAACCUAUAUCUACUAUCCAUAUUGCACUUGUAUCACCAUAUCUUCGCCGAACUAGUGCACCUAUACAACUUACCAUUGUAUUGGGUGUGUUGGGUACACAAGAGACUCUUUGUUAUUUGGUUGCAAGGUUGCUUGAGAGAGACCAUCUUCAUCCUACGCCUCCCACGGAUUGAUAAACCUUAGGUCACCCACUUGAGGGAAAAUUUCUACUGUCCUACAAACCUCUGCACUUGGAGGCCCAACAACGUCUACAAGAGAAGGUUGCGUAGUAGACAUCAGGGCAAAGGUGAAGGUUGAUACGUCUCCAACGUAUCUAUAAUUUUUGAUUGCUCCAUGCUACUUUAUCUACUGUUUUGGACUAUAUUGGGCUUUAUUUUUCACUUUUAUGUUAUUUUUGCCUAUUUCAGUGUUUCGAAGAAACAAAAUAUCAAACGGAGGCCAAACGGAAUGAAACCUUCGGAAACGUGAUUUUCUAGCCGAACGUGAUCCAGGAGACUUGGACCCUACUCCAAGAAGUAACAGAGGCGGUCACGAGGGUGGGGGCGCCCCCUCCCCAGGGCGCACCCCCCGGCCUCGUGGGCCCCCUGUUGCUCCACCGACAUACUCCUUCCUCCUAUAUAUACCUACGUACCCCCAAACGAUCAGAACAUUAGCCAAAAACCUAAUUCCACCGCCGCAACUUUCUGUAUCCACGAGAUCCCAUCUUGGGGCCUGUUCCGGAGCUACGAGGGGGCAUCCACCAUGGAGGGCUUCUACAUCAACACCAUAGCCCCUCCGAUGAAGUGUGAGUAGUUUACUUCAGACCUUCGGGUCCAUAGCUAGUAGCUAGAUGGCUUCUUCUCUCUUUUUGGAUCUCAAUACAAUGUUCUCCCCCUCUCUCGUGGAAAUCUAUUUGAUGUAAUCUUCUUUUCGCGGUGUGUUUGUUGAGACCGAUGAAUUGUGGGUUUAUGAUCCAGCUUAUCUAUGAAUAAUAUUUGAAUCUUCUCUGGAUUCUUUUAUGUAUGAUUGAGUUAUCUUUGCAAGUCUCUUCGAAUUAUCCGUUUGGUUUGGCCAACUAUAUUGGUAGUUCUUGCAAUGGGAGAAGUGCUUAGCUUUGGGUUCAAUCUUGCGGUGUCCUUUCCCAGUGAUAGAAGGGGCAGCAAGGCACGUAUUGUAUUGUUUCCAUCGAGGAUAACAAGAUGGGGUUUUUAUCAUAUUGCAUGAAUUUAUCCCUCUACAUCAUGUCAUCUUGCUUAAGGCAUUACUCUGUCUUUAACUUAAUACUCUAGAUGCAUGCUGGAUAGCGGUCGAUGAGUGGAGUAAUAGUAGUAGAUGCAGAAUCGUUUUGGUCUACUUGUCUUGGAUGAUGCCUAUAUACAUGAUCAUACCUAGAUAUACUCAUAACUAUGCUCAAUUCUGUCAAUUGCUCAACAGUAAUUUGUUCACCCACCGUAGAAUAUCUAUGCUCUUGAGAGAAGCCACUAGUGAAACCUAUGGCCCCCAGGUCUAUUCUCAUCAUAUAAAUCUCCAUUACUAUAAUACUUGCUUUGUUUUUACUUUGCCUUUUACUUUUCACUUUGCACCUAUAUACCAAAAAUACCAAAAAUAUUAUUUAUCAUCUCUAUCAGAUCUCACUCUCGUAAGUGACCGUGAAGGGAUUUGACAGCCCCUAAUCGCGUUGGUUGCGAGGAGCUAUCGUUUUGUGUAGGUACGAGGGACUUGUGCGUGGCCUCCUACUGGAUUGAUACCUUGGUUCUCAAAAACUGAGGGAAAUACUUACGCUACUUUGCUACAUCAUCCUCUCCUCUUCGGGGAAAUCCAAAGCAGUGCUCAAGAGGUAGCAAGAAGAGUUUCUGGCACCGUUACCGGGGAGGCUCAUGCAAGAGCAAGUCAACCAUACCAAGUACCCAUCACAAUCCCUAUCUCUCGCAUUACAUUAUUUGCCAUUUGCCUCUCGUUUUCCUCUCCCCCACUUCACCCUUGUUGUUUUAUUCGCCCUCUCUUUCCCAAUCUCCUCCUCUUUUUCCCGCUUGCCUUUUUGUUUGCUCGUGUGUUAGUUUGCUUGCUUGUCGUCCUGACUAGUCUCAUAUCUUCUCCAUUAUCUCCAGAGAAUGAAGUUCUAAAUUUUAAACAAAGGGAGGGAGAAAAUCUAAAAGACUCUUGGUAUAGAAUUUGCAAUGCUCAAAAUAGAUCUACCAGGAAGCAAUCUACUUCAGUUCUUCUUCGUAAUACGUAGGUGCUAAUCCUUGGUAUAGAUAUAUCCUUGAUACCAUUACCGGAGGGAAUUUCUUGGGUAGCCAUACUUUUGAUUCUUAUAAUGCUUUAAUAGAUUUAUUUGGCUCACCACCUCUUUUGAUUAAUGGAACUAUGUUAACUUUGGAGCAUGUUAUGCAAAGACUUGAAAUUAUUGAGAAUAAAGUUGCUACCAUUGAAUCAAUUGAAAAUCUUGAUAAAAAGAUCCACAAUCAAAUUACCCAAUAUGGAUCUAAGGUAGGAAUGAAUUUGAAAAAUAUUAAAGAAAAAGAACCCAUAGUUAAUGAGAAAAUAAAUCUAGAUUCCACAAGAAUCCAUAAACUUGAGGGUAUCAUUACCAACUUGGGAACCGCUUUUUCUUCCGUACAAAACACUCCAAGUUAGUCUACUAAAAAUACUAAGCUUAUUUAUGUUCCUAAGAAUAAGGGUGAAUCAUCUAGUAAGGAAUCUGCGGAUCUUAAAUCUAUAAGUGUUCAUCCCAAUCUUUUUGCCAUCAUUAAGGAACCAUUUGCUAUGAAUGAAUUUUUUGAUCUUUUGCCUGAGAAUUCGACAAUUACUAGAAAGAAAUAAAAUUCUAAAGGAGGUAGAUGCCUCAUUGAAGAAUUGCCUACCAAAGAUGGCAAUACCUAGAUCUAUCCUUGCUUUUAUGCCUAGCUAGGGGCGUUAAACGAUAGCGCUUGUUGGGAGGCAACCCAAUUUUAUUUUUAAUUUUUAGUUUUUGCUUCUGUUUAGGAAUAAAUAAUCCAUCUAGCCUAUAUUUAGAUGUGUUUUUAUGUUUUAAUUAGUGUUUUUGCCAAGUAGAACCUAUAGGAUAACCUACGAUGAUAGUUGAUUUGAUUCUGCUGAAAAACAGAAACUUUGCGCGCACGAAUAUAAUUUUGUUAAAUCACAGAAACAUGCUUUUGCGUUGAUUAUUUUUUCUGCUGUUCAAUAAACAAAUUGUACAGGACUUCCUAUUUUGGUAGGAUUGUUAGAGUUCUAGAAGUUUGCGUUAGGUACAGAUUACUACAGACUGUUCUGUUUUUGACAGAUUCUGUUUUGCGUGUGUUGUUUGCUUAUUUUGAUGAAUCUAUGGCUAGUAAAAUAGUUUAUGAUCCAUAGAGAAGUUGGAAUACAGUAGGUUUAACACCAAUAUAAAUAAGGAAUGAGUUCAUUACAGUACCUUAAAGUAGUCUUUUGUUUUCUUUCUCUAACGGAGGUCACGAGAUUUCUAUUGAGUUUUGUGUUGUGAAGUUUUCAAGUUUUGGGUGAAUUCUGUUGAUGGAUUAUGGAAAAAGGAGUGGCAAGAGCCUAAGCUUGGGGAUGCUCAUGGCACCCCCAAGAUAAUACAAGGACACCAAAAAGUCAAAGCUUGGGGAUGCCCCGGAAGGCAUCCCCUCUUUCGUCUACUUCCAUCGGUAAUUUACUUGGAGCUAUAUUUUUAUUCACCACAUGAUAUGUGUUUUGCUUGGAGCGUCUUGUAUUAUUUGCGUCUUUUGCUUGUUAGUUUACCACAAUCAUCCUUGCUGUACACACCUUUUGAGAGAGCCAUACAUGAAUUGGAAUUUGCUAGAAUACUCUAUGUGCUUCACUUAUAUCUUUUGAGCUUGAUGGUUUUGCUCAUAGUGCUUCACUUAUAUCUUUUGAGCGUGAUAAUUUUUGCUCUAGUGCAUCACUUAGAUAUUUUAGAGCACGGUGGUGGAUUUGUUUUAAAGAAACUAUUGAUCUCUCAUGCUUCACUUAGAUUAUUUUGAGAGUCGUUAAUAGCAUGGUAAUUUGCUUAAUAUUAAUAUAUUUGGUAUUCAAGAUAUGUGAAACUUUCUUUUGAGUGCGUUGAAUACUAAGAUAAGUUUGGUGCUUGAUAAUUGUUUUGAGAUAUGGAGGUGAUAAUAUCAAAGUCGUGCUAGUUGAGUAAUUGUGAAUUUGAGAAAUGCUUGUGUUGAAGUUUGCAAGUCCCGUAGCAUGCACGUAUGGUUAAAGUUGUGUAACAAAUUUGAAACAUGAAGUGUACCUGGCUUGUGCAUCCUUAUGAGUGGCGGUCGGGGACGAGUGAUGGUCUUUUCCUACCAAUCUAUCCCCCUAGGAGCAUGCGCAUAGUACUUGAUUUUUGAUGACUUCUAAAUUUUUGCAAUGAGUAUAUGAGUUCUUUUGACUAAUGUUGAGUCCAUGGAUUAUACGCACUUUUACCUUUCCGCCUUUGCUAGCCUCUUCGGUACCAUGCAUUGCCCUUUCUCACCUUGAGAGUUGGUGCAAACUUCGCCGGUGCAUCCAAACCCCGUGAUAUGAUACACUCUAUCACACAUAAACCUCCUUAUAUCUUCCUCAAAACAGCCACCAUACCUAUCUAUCAUGGCAUUUCCAUAGCCAUUCCGAGAUAUAUUGCCAUGCAACUUUCAUCAUCAUAUACAUGACAUACAUUACUUUUGUCAUAUUGCCAUUGCAUGAUCAUGUAGUUGACAUCGUAUUUGUGGCAAAGCCACCAUGCAUUAUUUUUCAUACAUGUCACUCUUGAUUCAUUGCACCAUCCCGGUACACCGCCGGAGGCAUUCAUAUAGAGUCAUAUCUUGUUCUAGUUUCGAGUUGUAAUCCUUAUGUUGUAAUCAAUAGAAGUGUGAUGAUCAUCAUUAUUAGAGCAUUGUCCCAAAAAAAAGAAAAAAAGAAAAAAAAAGAAAGGCCAAAAAGAAAAAAGAAAAAGGAAAGGCCAAAAAAAAGAGAAAAAAAGAAAAAAAAGAGAAAAUAAAUAAAAAGGGGCAAUGCUACUAUCUCUUUUUCCACACUUGUGCUUCAAAGUAGCACCUUGUUCUUCAUGUAGUGAGUCUCAUAUAUUGUGCUUCAAAGUAGCACCUUGUUCUUCAUGUAUUGAGUCUCAUAAGAUGUCUUUUUAUACUAGUGGGAAUUUUUCAUUAUAGAACUUGGCUUGUAUAUUCCUACAAUGGCCUUCCUCAAAUGCCCUAGGUCUUCAUGAGCAGGCGAGUUGGAUGCACACCCACUAGUUUUCUUUUGUUGAGCAUUCAUAGCUCUAGUGCAUACGUUGCAUGGCAAUCCCUACUCCUCAUGUUGACAUCAAUUGAUGGGCAUCUCCAUAGCCCAUUGAUUAUUAUCCUCGUCAAUGUGAGACUUUCUCCUUUUUUUUGUCUUCCCCACACAAUCCCCAUCAUCAUAUUCUAUUCCACCCAUAGUGCUAUAUCCAUGGCUCACGCUCAUGUAUUGCGUGAAGGUUGAAAAAGUUUGAGAUUAUUUAAGUAUGAAACAAUUGCUUGGCUUGUCAUCGGGGGUAUAGAAGUUGGAAACAUCUUUGUGUGACGAAAAUGAAGCAUAGCCUAACUAUAUGAUUUUGUAGGGAUGAACUUUCUUUUGCCAUGCUAUUUUGAGAAGACAUGAUUGCUUUGAUUAGUAUGCUUGAAGUAUUAUUAUUUUUAUGUCGAUAUGAACUUUUGUCUUGAAUCUUUCAGAUCUGAAUAUUCAUGCCACAAUUAAGAAGAUUUACAUUGAAAUUAUGCCAAAGUAUCACUCCGCAUAAAAAAUGCUCUUUUUAUCAUUUACCUACUCGAGGACGAGCAGGAAUUAAGCUUGGGGAUGCCUGAUACGUCUCCAACGUAUCUAUAAUUUUUGAUUGCUCCAUGCUACUUUAUCUACUGUUUUGGACUAUAUUGGGCUUUAUUUUCCACUUUUAUGUUAUUUUUGGGACUAACCUAUUAACCGGAGGCCCAGCCCAGAAUUGUUUUUUUUUCUAUUUCAGUGUUUCAAAGAAACGGAAUAUCAAACGGAGUCCAAACAGAAGGAAACCUUCGGAAACAUGAUUUUCUCACCGAACGUGAUCCAGGAGACUUGGACCAUACUCCAAGAAGUAACAGAGGCGGUCACGAGGGUGGGGGGCGCGCCCCCUGCCUCGUGGGCCCCCUGUUGCUCCACCGAUGUACUCCUUCCUCCUAUAUAUACCUACGUACCCCCAAACGAUCAAAACAGGAGCCAAAAACCUAAUUCCACCACCGCAACUUUCUGUAUCCAUGAGAUCCCAUCUUGGGGCCUGUUCCAGAGCUCCGCCGGAGGGGGCAUCCACCACAGAGGGCUUCUAUAUCAACACCAUAGCCCCUCCGAUGAAGUGUGGGUAGUUUAAUUCAGACCUUCGGGUCCAUAGCUAGUAGCUAGAUGGCUUCUUCUCUCUUUUUGGAUCUCAAUACAAUGUUCUCCCCCUCUCUCGUGGAGAUCUAUUCGAUGUAAUCUUCUUUUUGCGGUGUGUUUGUUGAGACCGAUGAAUUGUGGGUUUAUGAUCCAGCUAUCUAUGAAUAAUAUUUGAAUCUUCUCUGAAUUCUUUUAUGUAUGAUUGAGUUAUCUUUGCAAGUCUCUUUGAAUUAUCCGUUUGGUUUGGCCAACUAGAUUGGUAGUUCUUGCAAUGGGAGAAGUGCUUAGCUUUAGGUUCAAUCUUGCGGUGUCCUUUUCCAAGUGACAGAAGGGGCAGCAAGGCACGUAUUGUAUUGUUGCCAUCGAGGAUAACAAGAUGUGGUUUUUAUCAUAUUGCAUGAAUUUAUCCCUCUACAUCAUGUCAUCUUGCUUAAGGCGUUACUCUGUUUUUAACUUAAUACUCUAGAUGCAUGCUGGAUAGCGGUCGAUGAGUGGAGUAAUAGUAGUAGAUGCAGAAUCGUUUCGGUCUACUUGUCUUGGACGUGAUGCCUAUAUACAUGAUCAUACCUAGAUAUACUCAUAACUAUGCUCAAUUCUGUCAAUUGCUCAACAGUAAUUUGUUCACCCACCAUAGAAUAUCUAUGCUCUUGAGAGAAUCCACUAGUGAAACCUAUGGCCCCCGGGUCUAUUCUCAUCAUAUCAAUCUCCAUUACUUUAAUACUUGCUUUGUUUUUACUUUGCCUUUCACUUUUCACUUUGCAUCUAUAUACCAAAAAUACCAAAAAUAUUAUUUAUCAUCUCUAUCAGAUCUCACUCUCGUAAGUGAUCGUGAAGGGAUUGACAACCCCUAAUCGCGUUGGUUGCGAGGAGCUAUCAUUUUGUGUAGGUACGAGGGACUUGUGCGUGGCCUCCAACUGGAUUGAUACCUUGGUUCUCAAAAACCGAGGGAAAUACUUAUGCUACUUUGCUGCAUCAUCCUCUCCUCUUCGGGGAAAUCCAGCGCAGUGCUCAAGAGGUAGCAAAGGUCGACGGCGGUGGCAGCGCUCGAGUGCUAAGGCAACGUGAGGUGGAAGACAGACGAAGAGGCAAGGGGAGAAAAGGAAAGGGACCCUCGGCCCUAUUUAUAAGACGAAGAGAUAAGUGACAGGCGCAGGAAUCGAGGAGCCCAAAAAAUGGAUAUGUCCCAGACCCGUCUCCUCAAUUUUUGGAGGCUCAUUAAUAAAAGUAAGGUAUAUACAGUUUUUUUAAUGAACAGGUGAUGUCAUGGCGAUUUAUUAUAAUCCUGGAAGAUGACGUCAUGGCGGUUUAUUAUAAUCCUGGAAGAUGACGUCAUGGCGGAUUACAAGGUUUACUCGAAGGUACUAAAGAAGAAGUUUUUCUAAAGUGUUGAAGAUUGACAUGAACAGGUUCAAAUCAAUCUGGGGCCUAAUGUUGGGGAUAUAACUACUGAGUAUAAACCGCCCAGGAGGGGUCGGGUUAUACCUGUAAUGAGUUAUUCAUAUUGAAGCCCAUGAAGAUAAGGUGUAUGACGCUUUAAUAUAAGAGAUCUAAAAGCCCAGGGCCCAAAGGCGGAUUAGGGCCCAUAGACAUAAACCGCCAUAAGGUGUGUAACUUGUGUUGUAAGAUAGGAAAGAGUAGAAACCGAGCCGCACACGUUUAUGAGCCGGUCGGGAUUCUAUAAACCGCAGGGCCUCAAGCUGUGUAUAUAAAGGGAUGACCCGGUGGCAGUUCAAGGACAAGAAACAACAACUCGAGAGCCAGGCAAAGCGUAUUCGCUCCCUGGUCAUCGAAACCAUAGCAAUCCCAUCAUAACUGGAGUAGGCUUUACCUUCACCGUAAGGGGACGAACCAGUAUAAUUCCUUGCUUCCUUUGUCAGCUUUAACCCCUUUAAGUUCACUAUGUUGCAAUGGCUCCACGACUAAGUCCUCACACUGGGACAUCUGCCGUGACAAUCCCACGACAAGCGGGGAAAUAUUUAGCAGAGAAAUAAUAAAUCAUAUCCUGGGGACUACGCACACAACCAGGAUCAAGAGAAUUAAACCAUGUUUUAGCAUCACCCUUUAAUGAGAACGGGAAUAACUUAAGGAUAAAGUAAUAGUGAGUUUUCUCAUCAUUAGUGAAUAGGGUGGCUAUAUCAUUUAAUUUAGUAAGAUGUGUCACAACAGUUUCAGAUUCAUAGCCAUAGAAAGGAUCAGAAUCAACCAAAGUAAUUAACUGAGGAUCGACAGAGAAAUCAUAAUCCUUAUCGGAAAUAAAGAUAGGUGAAGUAGCAAAAGCAAGGUCAUAUUUCAUUCUAGCAUUCAAAGACUUUUCUUUAAGCUUAGCUAAUAAUUUCUUAAGAUCAGAUCUAUCAUUGCAAUCUAAGAAGUCUCUAGCAGUUUCUUCAUCCAUAACAUAACCCUCAGGCAUAAUGGGCAAUUCAUAUCUAGGGGAGAAUCUUCAUCAUCACUUUCAUCAAUAUUAUCAGUUUCAGUAAUUUCAUUCUCUCUAACCCUAGCAAGUUGUUCAUCAAGAAAUUCACCUAAUGACAUAGUAUUAUCAAGCAUAGAAGUAGUUUCAUCAUAAGUAUCAUGCAAAGUAGAAGUGGCAUCAUCAAUAACAUGCGACAUAUCAGAAUGAAUAGCAGGAGUAGGUGUCGCAACUUUACUCAAAACAGAAGGUGAAUCAAGUGCUGAGCUAGAUGGCAGUUCCUUACCUCCACUCAUAGUUGAGGGAAAAUCUUGGUUCUUUUAUCUUUCAAGUUCUUCAUAGUGAUCAGCAGAUAUAAAUCCCAAGUGACUCAAAGAAUAGAGCUAUGCUCCCUGGCAACAGCGCCAGAAAAUAGUCUUGAUAACCCACAAGUAUAGGGGAUCACAACAGUUCUCGAGGGUAGAGUAUUCAACCCAAAUUUAUUGAUUCAACACAAGGGGAGCCAAAGAAUAUUAUCAAGUAUUAGCAGCUGAGUUGUCAAUUCAACCACACCUGGAAACUUAAUAUCUGCAGCAAAGUAUUUAGUAGCAAAGUAAUAUGAUAGUAGCAGCAACGGUGGCAAAAGUGACGGUAGCAGUUUUGUAGUGAUUGUAACAGUGGCAACGGAAAAGUAACUAAGCAAAGAUCAAUAUAUGAAAAGCUCAUAGGCAAUUGAUCAGUGAUGGAUAAUUAUGUCGGAUGCGAUUCCUCAUGCAAUAGUUAUAACAUAGGGUGACACAGAACUAGCUCCAGUUCAUCAAUAUAAUGUUGGCAGGUAUUCAGAUAUAGUCAUACGUGCUUAUGGAAAAGAAAAUGCAUGACAUCUUUUGUCCUACCCUCCCGUGGCAAUGGGGUCCUAUUGGAAACUAAGGGAUAUUAAGGCCUCCUUUUAAUAGAGUACCGGGAAUACAUCAACACCUCAAACUACGGUCAUCACCGGUAAGUAUCCCGAUUAUUGUCACUUCGGGGUUAACGGAUCAUAACACAUAAUAGGUGACUAUAGACUUGCAAGAUAGGAUCAAGAACUCAAAUAUAUUCAUGAAAACAUAAUAGGUUCAGAUCUGAAAUCAUGGCACUCGGGCCCUAGUGACAAGCAUUAAGCAUAGCAAAGUCAUAGCAACAUCAAUCUCGGAACAUAAUGGAUACUAGGGAUCAAACCCUAACAAAACUAACUCGAUUACAUGAUAAAUCUCAUCCAACCCAUUACCAUCCAGCAAGCCUACAAUGGAAUUACUCACGCACGUCGGUGAGCAUCUUUAAACCUCGCCUCGGCAACUUGCAAUACACGUCACGAAGCUUCAAAAGUAUAUCACCUCAGCGCAGGAAGGGACGUUCAUUCCCGACAGAGAAAAGGACGAGCUGAUUGAGGCCCUAGGGAAUGCUGAGCACCCUGGACGAACACGAGGCACUCCAGGCUCCGUUCUAUGGAAGUUUGGGUUUCCCGAUGCAGGCGGUUACAAAAGCCGGGAGAGAAAGAGGAAAGAGGAGCUGAGCGACAUGUAGAAGCUCAAUGCAAGACUACAAAAGCUAGAGGAAGCUGAGAGCAAGCGAGCUGCCGACCAACCAUCUCAGCGGCACGAAGCUACCCCAUAAACUACCCCGCCAUCUCAGCGGAGAAGCAGCAUGGCUUCCACGGAGUCCGUUCAUCCUGACUUCAUGUCUCCUAGCUACCCCGUGGAUACUAUCACGAAGGCUCAACAUUGCGAGCUUAUGACGAAAUGCCGGAACCUCACUUUCAAGGCGUCUACAAGCGAAGGGUAGAAUUGGCUGGUUCAUGCUCUGAGGAGUACAUGUCUAUGGCAGAAGGAGUACAUCAAGCUUCCAAACUGGACGCCUCUGCUUCCUGCUCCUCCUCCGGCGAGUCAGGGCACUCCGCCUCCUCCUCCUCCGGCGAGUGAUCAGGGCACUCCACCUCCUUCUCCGGCUCCUCCGACACGUGAGGGCACUCCGCCUCCUCCUUCGCAUACUACGGCGCGUCGGAGCAGUCCGCCUCCUCCUCAGCCUCGUCGGCAAUGGCGGAAGACAAACGCCGUCGCUCUGGCUCCUUCGGUGCGUCAGAUUUCUCCGCCUCAUCGGCAACGACGGAAGAGAGACGCCGCCGCUCCGGCGGCUAGCAGUAUAAGCAGAGGCGGGAGCCAAUUCAGAUACGGUCCAUCUCUCAAGCCUCUGGAAAGUUACCAUAUGAGAGGACCGAGCAGGAAAAUGAGGACAUAUGUCGUGCCCAACUAAGGGACCAUUUUGCAAAGAAAACUCCACCUCUGAAGGAGAAGGUAGAUCCGGUGAAAGUGAAGCGCACUAUCAAUGCCCUGAAGCGACCACCACUGCCUCCACCGGAUUCCAACUAUGGCCGCAUAAUUACUAAGACACAUGCUAAAGCGCAGCAGUCGGGAAGUACUUCCAGUGCUGCAAGAGCGAAAAAAUGAGGAAGUGGGAAAACAAUUCCUCAGCUCGGCGAACAGGAGAAGCAAUCGUGCCCCCNNNNNNNNNNNNNNNNNNNNNNNNNNNNNNNNNNNNNNNNNNNNNNNNNNNNNNNNNNNNNNNNNNNNNNNNNNNNNNNNNNNNNNNNNNNNNNNNNNNNNNNNNNNNNNNNNNNNNNNNNNNNNNNNNNNNNNNNNNNNNNNNNNNNNNNNNNNNNNNNNNNNNNNNNNNNNNNNNNNNNNNNNNNNNNNNNNNNNNNNNNNNNNNNNNNNNNNNNNNNNNNNNNNNNNNNNNNNNNNCUAAUCAUCCGAUGCUACUGCCCGAUACCACUCUUGAUGAUUACCUGCCCAAUGAUGUACAGUUUGAAACGGCUGAGGUAGUAGACGUCUUUAGAUACGAGCAUGGGAAGCCUCUCGUCAAACCUGAUCAUCCUCAUCUAACAACGAUGAUGCAAAAAUUGCAUGACUGGUACAUGGAAACCUACAGGAAGUCUGGGAAAGACAUUUGUUAGUCAGAAUUAAAAAAGAGCAUGACUUCCUUGGAAUCGACCUGCUGCCUGCUGAAUUUGUGGAGUUAUUUCAAUUAUACAAUCACAAGGCCCUCGACAAACAACUCAUGACUUGCUACUGUCUGUAAGUAUUACUUCUAUAAUUAAGUCUCUAGCUCAGCUCAUUCAUUGCAUGUAUAUAUAAUUAUCCUCACUAUAUUAUGCAGAUUGAAGAUGGUCGAAUGCAAAAAAAUAGGAAUCUUCGACGUUGGGUUCAUUAGCCCAAAUACCGUAAAUGAAUGGUCGGUACGAAAGGUGGCUGAAGAUACCGAGAACAACUUACUACAAACGUUCCUUACACAUCAAAACAAAAGGGAAAUACUCUUUCCUUACAACUUCAAGUGAGUGUUACUGUCUUCUGCAUAUUCGGUUCCGCUUACUCGUGGUUAAGUAAUGUAAUUGAUGAGUUAUGCGUGCGCAGCUUCCACUAUAUUCUGCUAUCCAUUAACCUUGACGGGGCAUUACUAAUUGUCUUAGACUCGCUCCGUAAAGAUCCCAAGUAUUAUGCGGACACGACUGCAAUGCUCCAAAAGUAAGUUCAAUCAAUACCGGGACCAUAUCGGCAACUUUUAUUCAUUUCCUGAUAUCAAGUAAUCAUUUUCUUUGCCUGCCAGGGUUUGGAAAACGUUCACCGCUAAGGUUCCGGGUCUGAAGAAGGAGUUGCAAUUUACACACACCAAAGUAAGUAGUACAAGCUAGUUUCGCGCAUCUCUCAUUGAUUCUAGUUUAAUCAAUAUCAUUAUCAUGCUUGCUUAUCAGUUUGAUUGAACUCUAUUCUCGUAAAGUGCUUGUUGCAGGCACCCAACACUCAUUUAUGUGGAUACUACGUAUGCGAGUUCAUUCGCUACUAUACCUCUGAACGGGCCUCCUAUGAGAAACAAUUUGAAGUACGUAAACAAUAUUCACAAUUUUAUUUUAUAUAUUACCAUCAGUUGUGUUGAGUUUCAUUCAUAUAUAUGUAUUGACCCCUUCUUUAAAUUAGAUCUGGCAGCUGCGGGAUGAACUCCUACCACAUGAUCGCAUACGAGCAAUUCAAGAGGAAUUGGCGGGAUUCUUUCUUGACCACGUCAUACCUGAACAAGGAGAAUACCAUGUGAAAUUGAAAUUGUUGUAAGGGAUGUUAUAUAUUGUACAUAUGUAGCAGCGUCGGAUAGAUAUACGAAAACUUGUUAUUCGACCAAGCACGAAGAAAGAUAUGUCACUUCUCUCUAUAUAUGUUCAUGACGAUCUUGUGUAAUUAAUGGUUUCCUUUAGUUGCUUACUAGCUAGCGUCGAGUUCUCUCUAUAUGUGUAGUAGCUAGAGUCAACCAAGCACGGAAAAAGAGAGGUCACUUCUCUCUAUUAGCUCGGUAACACAAUACGAAACCCCUAAAUUAACCCUCCAAAACCCCAACCCCCCCCCUCCCCCCCGUCCAAAAAAAAACAAAACCCCCAGUGACUGCGAGCUGCUGACGCGUGGCCGCCUUUUGGUCCUGGUUGGUGUUACCAACCGGNNNNNNNNNNNNNNNNNNNNNNNNNNNNNNNNNNNNNNNNNNNNNNNNNNNNNNNNNNNNNNNNNNNNNNNNNNNNNNNNNNNNNNNNNNNNNNNNNNNNNNNNNNNNNNNNNNNNNNNNNNNNNNNNNNNNNNNNNNNNNNNNNNNNCCCCAGCGACCGCGAGCUGCUGACGCGUGGCCGCCUUUUGGUCCUGGUUGGUGUUACCAACCGGGACUAAAGGUCCUCCCUCCCCCGCCCCAGGCAGCGCCACGUGGAGGGCCUUUGGUCCCGGUUCGUAAGCAAACCGGGACUAAAGGUUUUGGGUAUUAGUCCCGACCCUUUAGUCCCGGUUCGAGAACCGGGACAAAUGGCCCUCUGGAACCGGGACAAAUGGCCCUUUUUGUACUAGUGACUUCUCAUAGAAGAUACUUACAGAUAGACAUAAUCUCCUAUUUCGAAAAUUAAUUCUCUUCUUCGAUUAUCUGCAUAGCUCUUCUGACGAGUUUGUGCCACUCUCAAGUUCUCUCUAAUGAACCUGACUUGUUCCUCGGCAUUCCUGAGCACAUCUGGUCCAAAGACUUAACUUUCACCCGUUUGAUUCCAGAACAACGGUGUUCUACACUUACGCCCAUACAAUGCUUCAAACGGUGCCAUCUUUAGACUAUUCUGGUGAUUGUUGUUGUAAGAGAACUCCGCAUACGGUAAACUUUUAUCCCAACUAGUACCAUACUGCAAUGCACAAGCUCUCAACAUAUCUUCAAGAAUCUGAUUGAGCCUUUCUGUCUGUCCAUCAGUCUGAGGAUGAUAUGUUGUACUGAAAUUCAACUUCGUUACCAAUGAUUUAUGCACUUUCUGCCAAAAGAUGGACGUGAACUGCGGACCUCUAUCAGACACAAUCUUCUUAGGAACUCCAUGCUGACAUACUAUUCUUUCCAUGUAUAGCUCUGCCAAUCUUUCCCCGCUAUAAGUAGUCUUGACAGGCAAAAAGUGAGCGACUUUAGUGAGACGAUCCACUAUUACCCAUAUAGAAUCAUAACCUUGCUGAGUGUGUGGUAAUCCCACUAUAAAGUCCAUUCCGACUUCUUCCCAUUUCCACUCAGGAAUCUUCAUUGGUUGCAACAAACUAGCGGGUCUCUGAUGCUUAGUCUUUACCCUCUGACAAGUGUCACAUAUAGCUACAUACUCAGCCACAUCUCUUUUCAAUCCAUACCAGCAGUACUUCUCCUUAAGAUUUAGAUACAUCUUAGUACUUCCAGGAUGGAUAGAAUAGGCUGACUCAUGUGCUUCACGCAAAAUUGUAUCAUGAAUGGCUUUCACCUCAGGCACACAUAUCCUUUUUCCAAACCAUAAGGUUCCAUUCUCAUCUAUUCUGAAGCCAGGUGCUUUACCAAUCACCACAUUCUCAGCUAUCUCCUUUAGCUUUUCAUCUUCUAGCUGACCCUUACGUAUUUCUUGCUCCAAUGUAGGAAUCACUUUUAUCUCCAUAGCACUAGCAACAAUGCCAAGGUUCAGAUGUUGCAACUCCGCAUACAACUCUUCUGCCUCUGGUCUCAACUUAAGAUUGUUGUCAUAUUUCUUCCUAUUGAGAGCAUCAGCUACAACAUUUGCCUUACCUGGAUGAUAAUGUACCUCCCGUUCAUAAUCCUUGAUUAACUCUAGCCAGCGACGUUGUCUUAAAUUCAGACCUGUCUGAGUGAAUAUAUACUUCAAGCUCUUAUGAUCGGUGUAGAUAUCACUCUUGUGACCAAUCAGAUAGUGUCUCCAGAUCUUCAAUGCAUGUAACACAGCUGCUAGCUCCAGAUCAUGAGUAGGAUAAUUUAACUCAUGCUUCCUCAACUGUCUCGAUGCAUGCGUCCGUGGUGGUGACCUCAUGUCCGCUCGCACCGUGUUCGAUGAAACGCCAACGAGGGUCAAAAGCUUCGAACCACAUCGGCAUCGCUCGGAGUAGCAACGGGUACACGCUGGAGUGCUGGAUGUGAUGCUUGGCCAUCUCCAACUCACGAGCGUGUAAGAGAGAAACCAUGAGACAGUAAUGAUUUAAUUUGGUUUUGCAAUGUUUUUAUUUUAAAAAUAGUUGGUUUAUCUUUGUAAAAUAGUUAAUUACAUGAGAAUUAUUGAACAAAAUAGUUUUUAAAGAGCAAUUUGCAUUCAAACAGUCUUCAUUCUUAAUGAAGCUACGAGUUCCCAUUUGCUCUAACCAAACGAUCUUCAAUUUUUGCCACCACAGGAGCCUUGUAUUAGCUCUUGCGGUGCGAGCGGGAGCUCGGAUGUCCGUGCGACGAAGCUGAUCUAUGAAAGUGGCCUUGGUGAUCCUGUGCCCCGGUUGGUAGGUUGGGAGACAGCAAGGAUGCAAACCAGCGCCAACGAUGGGCGAAGAUUGCACGACGGAUGAGCGGCGCUAGAGAUGGAAAGUCUGCUGGAGCAGUUUAGGUGAAAGGAUAAAGAUGUAGUUUUCAUUUUUUUUUUCUAAUAAUGAAAGUCGGACUCAACUUUAUGGAACUGGGCCUUAUGACACGUAGGGCCCAUCUGAAGCUUCUAGAGUUGUUAAUCCUGUGGUUGAGAAUGUGUGUGACAAAGCCUGUGUUUGAGUAUUUACUAUCUAGGGAAGUAUAAACAAUUUACAAUCUCAGUGGACCCAUAAGCCAAUAUCCUUGAAUGUUUUUUUUUCUGUUUGUGUGUAUAUGUCGCAAGUUUUCUUGUUUUAUUUUAGGUUUGGUACUGUAGCUAGGUCUAGAAUAGUUUUUUUUGUUCUUUUUUUAAUUUCAAAAAAAUCGAGGGAUGUCUCAGUUUUUAUUAAAAGAAAGAAAUAUUUGGUCCAAAGUUGAAUGAGCGUGUCAUGCAGGGUUAAAUCACAAGAUAAACGGAUGAAACACAUGAUGCAUUAGUGGAUAAAUCACACGGGUGAUUUGAAGACAAAUUGAAAAACAUGAUGUGUUAGUUAAAUAAAUAAAUAUCAUGAUACAAUUAUAAGUAACCAUGCAAUAAACUAUAUGUCCAAUACUUGCACUCACAGGCAUUUUUGCUACUAUUAAUAAAUUGGUAAAAAUCAGAGAAUGCGAGGCGGAUACCAAACCUAGCCAAAUGGGCCGGCCUGGGUUAAACGGGCCCGAACCCCUCUUGCCCUCGCUCCUAGAAAAGCCGCCCGCCUCCGUCUCUCCCCCGCACUCCAUCGCCUCGCCUCGCCUCGCCGCCGUUCCCCGCAACCCCCUGUCUGUCGACCCAAUUCAUCUCAGGGAUAUCACCCGACGCCUCGUCCUCCUCUCCAGAUCAGAUCUUACGCCCGCCCGCCCGAGGUGAGCACAUGCUUGUACAUCCCGAUCAGCUUGGAGUUCGUUCCGAUUGGUUGGUAGGCGCGGCGCUGGUUCGAGGCCAGCGUGGUCUCCCUCCUCCUCCGGAGUUGCUCGGGCGCGGCGCGGGUUCAUAGGUGUCGGAUCCAGCGCCGUCUGUAUCCUAUUCGUAUGAGGAACCUCGGCUAGGAUAGGAUUUAAUUAGUUGGUUUUUGUAUUAGGGUAACACCACCUAGGGUUCGGUUGAUUAUCCGUAAGAAGGAAUCAAUCUGACGCUUUAGUUAGGGUUUGCUUGGUUGGUUGUGGUCAGAUUUUGGUUUCUCAUGAAUUCUUCAACUGUGCCUGUCGCGAUUUUGGGCGGAAAUUGAUGAUUGAUUUCGGGGGCAAAAUCCGAGGGAUUUUGUGGAUGAAAGAUGGGGAAACUUGGGGAAACCAAGCAAAUCCAUGGAUCAAAAUAAACAAACUUCAUCAUGCCAACAAAUCACAAAAAAAAUUUGGUGGGGAAAUUUCGAAUUAGGACGAAAAACAACAAGAUCAAAGCUAGAAAACGAAUAUUAAUUUGGAUGGAAUUCAUGCUAUGUUGUUCGAUUUCAGUUUAUGCCUGCCAGAAUGUUUUAAUUUUUUGUUUUAUCAACUGUGUUGGAGCGUACUAGAUUUUUUGUUGCAUAUUCAUCUUCUUGCUCUGUUUGGAUAGGUAACAAUUAAUAUUUGGGAUCCUAAAAUAUGUAUGCACUGGCAGCACUUAACCUGCAGCUGCUGAUUAAUGUUGUAGUCAUAUGUGCUGCUUUCCAGCUCUCUUGUUUGGAUAGGUAUUUGGUUAUCGUUUGGGUUUAUUUAUUAUCGUUUGUAAAUGCUGGUUUGGUUUUCUGUGCUCACUAUGCCCUUGCACAUGGGAUGCAAUUUUUUUAUUUCCCUGCUGUUUAGUUUAUUGUUUCCUUUGAUGGUGAGGCAUUAAUUCUGGAGAUAGAUGCAAUUUUCUUGCUCACACAAUAAUACAAUGAAUGAUGGCAUCUCUAUCUACUUUGAACCAAAUUAUAUUAUAUUCCCCCCUCUGUUAAUUAUUUUUCUGUUUUGGGUAUUCAUUCAUUUUGUUUAGUUGCCUAUCAGUAUAAAUACAUGGCUGGAUUGCUUUCACUUCAUAUUAAUAACUAUUCUGUCGCACAAUGCAAAUAUACAUAUGCUGUCCUAACUAAUUAAGUAGAAGCUUGGAUUGGUGCUGUAUGGUCUCUUCCUGACAUUAAAUCCUCCUCUGUUUGUGCUGUCUGUUUCUGCUGCUGCAGUCUUCUUCGCCGCCAAAAGGAAAAGAUGCUCUACAAAAUCCACUCCCAUGCCGAAAUCCAAGCCCUGCAGGCCCGCACCGAUGAGCUGGGCCACUCCAAUGAGCACAUGGAUGUGAAGCUUGUCUCUCUGGAGUCGGUGCGCAUAGCGCGCGAGUCGUAUGCACUCCUCCGCCCGCUGAUCAUGGAGUCGAGGUCCUGGGAAUGCCCGGAGCUGGAUUCCCUCUCGGACGUGGCAGGCUUGUCGCUGGAAAUCCAAAAGCUCGAGCAUGAUGUGUUACCCCAGCUCACGGUUCAGGAGGCUAAGCUGGAACGGGGUGCCCUGGAAGCCCUCCUACUCAUGAAGAGCUCAGCAGCUAAGCUCUUACAUAUGAGUAAGUGCUUGAAGGAAGCCUUGGGCGUAUUGCUUGCCGAGGAUGUCAAAAAGCUGAGCAUAGUGCUAAGCGAUACUGCUGUUCAUGUACUCAAAGGUAAGUUCAACAGUGGCUUGCUUCAGGAGCGUGUCCCGUGGCUGGUCGAGCUGGUCACCGAUGUGUUGGAGACCCCGGUUCGUUUCUGUGAUACUCGUAAGCGUAAGUAUUCUGAUGAGUAGACUUAUCAGCCAGCUCGAGGCUGUUGUGAUAAAUAUUUCUUAGGGGCGUGGCAAACAGUUUAGAAUCAACCCUUUAUGUUUGGAUGUGUUAUUAAUGGAUUUUAAAUAAUAUGUAUCUUGGGUAGUGUUUUCUCAUUCUGUGCUAGUCGGGUACAACUUGCAAUUACUUUCAGUUUUUUUUUUGAGAAAUACAGUCACAUGGAGGUAUUCGCUCUUUUUGGGAAUAUAUGCCAAAAGAAUAUACUCCCUCCGUUCCUAAAUAUUUGCCUUUUUAAGGUUUCAAAUAGACUACCACAUACGGAUGUAUAUAGACAUGUUUUAAAGUGUAGAUUCACUCAUUUUGGUCCGUAUGUAGUCAUUUGUUGAAAUCUCUAGAAAGACAAAUAUUUAGGAACGGAGGGAGUAGUAUCUUAGAAAAGAAAUCCCAAAUAUAAGUCUUUUAAGAGGUUUCACUAAAAGACUACAUACGGAUGAAUAUAGGCAUACUUUAGAACGUGGAUGGAUUCACUCAUUUUGCUCCGUAUAUAGUUUUCUACUAGUGAAAUUUCUUAAAAGACAUAUAUUUAGGAACGGAGGGAUCUGUGAGUGUCCAUGAUUAAAGCUUUGCAAAUACCAUAAACAAAACAUCACCUUGUACAUAUAAAGUGAUGAUUAUUUUUACACUAACCGGUUUGGCAAGUGUUAGAGUUUAAUUAACGUGUGUUAAUUAUGGGGUAAAUCUCUCCUUGUAACUGCCAUCUCUCCCGGAUGCCUCUUCAUCGCAUCCCUUCUCCUUGUAUAAAUGCUUACAAUCAUCUAAUGAAAGGGAUAGAGGAUUCACUUUUCUCUCAACACGUUAUCAGCACGCUCUGGCGAGAGCAGAAGGCCACGAGAGAUUAGGCCAUCCCGGCGGUUACGGAUGUUACUUUCGUCGCCGAUGGCUUACAGGCGAUGCAACCGGAAGCGGUUCCAUUGAGCGCUCGCGGCGAGACAUCUUCCGGUGACGAGGCGAUGGAGCCCAGGUGCCGGCGCUCGACCGCAGCGUCCUCCAGCGCAUGGUUUGGUCUCACCCUCUCCUUCCCCUUCUCCCAGACGCCGUCCACAGUGGCCGCAUAAGCGGCCCUCUCCGGCACGGCCUACCGCGGCGCAUCUGCGACCCCGGCCUGCUACGCAAGGCACGGCGGCGUGGCAAGCGCCUCCCGACCGGAGACUCGACGCCUAUUGCGGGGAACAACCCGGCCUCGACCUCCCGGCGCGCGGAGCCCACAGCGGAUCGCAGAUCCUCGACAGCGGCGCACCCGCAUCUUCUACGUCGAAGACGGGCGAUGGAGGCGAGGCAGCCAGCGCCCGACGCGGCUCCCGGCAUCCACGUGGAGUUCCUGCAGCCACGGUCCUACCCGUGGUGAAGAUGGAGCGGGCUCUCCCUUCAGCUGACUGUGUGCAGCCCGCCCCCGAUGGUCGGCACAGGCCUCCUCCGGCGCGGCGAGGCCCAGAGUGCGAACGGUGUCGUUUCCACCGCCAGACUACGGCGGUGGCGACCCUCGACCUGCGCUCCUUCCUCCGGCCGGCUGGUGCGCGGCUACGCGGAGCGGGACGUCGAGUACGGCCUCGGCCCGGUCCUUCUCGCGUAGCCAUGGCCCUGCCCCUCGGCCUAGGUUGACGCGGACCUCCAUGGCACGCGGCGCGGUGCCCGUGGCGUCGUUCAGCGUACGCCGACGAACUCCGGUGCGAGGCAACUCAGCACCGCGCGCGAGGCGAAGGCAUCCAUGACUGGAUCUCCCGGAAGCGGCGGCGAUGGCUUCUGUGUAAAGCUAACCGAAUCGAUUGAUUCGUGUACUAAUUACAGGCCAACACAGGACAACGAUGGGAACCUUAUCUCUUUGAUGAAGGGUUUUUUUCACAAGUGGCUAUGUAUUUGCAUUGACCAUCAAAUCAGGCCACAGGCUGUGCAUUGGAGACCGUCAGAUAUCUCCAUAUCACAUUUACAAUAUAUGUAAAUGAUGAUUUCAGAUAUACUAUGUGAAAAUGGGACAUGUUCAUCGUAUUUGCUCUCUAUCAAUUCCUUUCAAAUAAUUCAGAUCUUAAGUUGAUGUAAUAUAUUUCCACGUUUACCACGUGUUGAGAUUAAUUACGUUCAUUUGCAAUUGAGAUUUCUCAUCUCUUGCAAAGAUAAAUUCAAUACCUCUGCAGUAUUGUUUCUCCGUUGAGUACGAUGUAUUCCGGAAUAUUUAAAACUAUGAUUGCGAUUGAGAUUAAGUUUUCUCGCACAACAAUAUUGAUUUGCGAUUGAGAAUUUUUUUUCUCGCAAAAUAAUUGCGGUUGAGAUCAAUUUUCUCUUGCAAAAUAUUAAUUCACUUCGCUGAAUUAUCUUGCAAUUUGAUACAAGAUCUCAUUUAAUUUGAGAUCUAUACAAUUCAAGUUUUUCACUUGAACAUCAAGUUUGCAACAUCAUUACUAUUCAUUAUAAUAGUGGUGUAGUUCUGUUGAGUACGAUGUAUUCCGGAAUGUAUGUAUCUCCAUGUUCACUAUAUGUUGAGAUUAAUACGUCUAUUUGCAAUUGAGAUUUUCAAUUUCUUGCAAAUACAUAUGCAAAAUUCAAGGUGAUUUCUUCAAAUUGAUGCUUUUUUUGGGAUCACAAGGUAGUCAUAUGGAUCUACUGCCUACGCAGAUUAUCAAUGACUACUGAUAAAGCCUAUAUUUUGUCGUUUCGACAUUAUGAUUGCUUCACAAAGUGCUCUCCCACCCAUUUUACUAAGUUAUGAAGUAAGGCAUCAUGAGUGAGUAUCUACUGAUUUCAUCAGGUUAUACUCCCUAUGCUGCAGAUCUACUUCAUUUUGGAGAUUAUCUUCAAGAUGUCAUACUUAGCAAUUUGAGAUUGACACUAAUGGUUUCAAGAUAACUUCUUGAAAUACCCAUUGAUUUUGCUAAGUUGAUUACAACAUCAACCACGAUGAUCUUUAAUUUACUGCUGUAAAUUAAUUAUCUUUGGUUUACCCAUAGAGGUAACACAUGGCUAUAGAGUUUGAGGCAUUCACCCUCAAUGGCCACCACUGCCCUAUCUGGGCCAUGGAUAUCAUGAUCGCUCUUGUGUCUCAUGGGAUAAUGUGUGCAAUAGUGUCUUAUAUAUCAUAAGGCAUUAGAUUCAGAUCUCAGCAUCUGCUUAUUCUGAAUCAACAAUUCCUGGAAUACAAUGAACCCCAAGGGCAAAUGUUUGAAUCUUACUUCAACCUUCAAUCCGACAUCACCAGCUGUGACGGAACCCUAUGGGCACAGAGAGUGUGAUGGUUGAAUAUGCCUCAAUCGGCAUGUUUGGAGACUAUGAAUAGUAUCUCAAUCUCCUGAGUGAUCAAUAUAAUUUAUGUCCAUUUACAAUGUUGCAACAUAAGUAUUGUUGUCAUCAUAUAUUGUAUAUCACAAUAUAUUGUAUCAGCACUUUGAUACAAAUACAUUUGUAUGCAUUCUAUAUAUUUGACAGUGAUUUUCAUAUUGAGAAUCUUCAUGUCUAUAUAUAGUUUUCUACGGGAGUCAAUCCGAUGAAAAAUGAUAUGUGCCUUGUGGACAUAUGCACCACAAACUUUAUACUCAGGGAAGCCCAAUGUUUCCACUCUCUUGAGAGAAAGGAGAUAUUUAAAUCGCUAGACGCGAUGAGGUAUUUGUUGGCUCAACUCGAGUCAUAUUUACUAUCCCUGUGGGUACUCGAGUAAUGUCGGGAUGCUUUAUUGCUUCCCAGGUUUAACUCGUACCCUACUAAACUAUGAAGGUAUCCGUCAAAAUAGUUUCCAUAGCGAAACUUAUUAUGACAACAAAGAGAAAUAACUUCUCUUUACCAUAUGCAACGGAUAUGGCAAAUACAUUCUCUGUGUAUCAUCUGGAUUGUACUACACAUACGACACAACCCGUACCACAUGUCGUGUACGUGAUAGUUUUCCAGAGUGUCUUGUACAUGACAUACUUGGCAUACUGGCCUUGGUCAUCGAGACAUUGGGUUGAAACCGAAACUAUCAGCAAUUCCAAUAGUUUACAAUUAUUAUGAUGCCAAAUUCUAACAACAUUUGGAUUUUAUGUGCACUACAAGUGACACAGGGAAGCUAAUUUUAAGGAUCGCACACCUUAAAGUCUACGCUGAACCACUCAGACUCCUUGAAUGCAUCAAGUUGAGGAAACCAUUGGCUCAUUAUCCUGACAUCGAUUUCAAGCAAAUCGAAUGGAUAACAUUGCAACAUUCUCCUUGAGUGCCUUCUCUAUGGCCCUUGGAUUGAAGUUUAGCAAUUUGUCCUAAUGUCUAGACUCCAAAUGGUUUGGUAGAAUCCUAUCCAAAUAGUUAAGCUCAUUACAUUAUCUUUACUUUGGAAUUGCAACUUACCAACUUUACGUUGGAGUCAUGCAGUUUUACACGCUCAUGACAGAACUGCAUAAUAUUAUUCCCCUCUAUCUUUGAUAUGUGGAUAUCUACCAAGUAUUUCCUAUCUGCGGUAAUUCGGUUGCAUACCGAUAUCACCACCCGGCAUACAUCAUUGGCCCCUCAACAUAUAGUUGGGAUCUAUGUGAGGAAUAACUGUAUUUCCGUCAAUACCUCAAGCCCCUCGCAUGGGGAGUUAUUCAAGGCCUGUAUGCUGAUUCAAUGAGGAACAUUUCCAGGCAUUAGGGGGAGAUUUCAAGUACCAUAAAGAAUGCCAGGAAAUUAGUGGAAUGUUCAACACAUUUCUGCCUCAAAUCCACAUACUCAAAGAUCUGAACCAUGCGUUCAGAAGAUUUGCAACACAUUGCAAAUAACCUGCCAGAUUCAUUUACUGACUAUAAAGGUGUCACACAAUCCUACAAUCCUGAAAAAUAUGUCCGAAAGAGUGGAGGUACCAACUAAAACCACUCAACUCCCCGUUCAAAGCAACGGGGGGAGAAGUACGGCAAUAGUACAUCAGGAUUCAGCUUCUCGCAAGCAAGGAUAUCAAGGCCUGUGAAUCAGUAAAUGCAAGUCAACUUCACGUUGACAGACACCUGAUGGGUAGUAUACACCUAGUGGACGGGAAACCUCCACCAACCCAGGUCAUAGUGCACACAAUGACCGGGACAUCGGAAUACCCGACUCAAUCGCAUUGGGAAAUCGCGAGCAGUCACCAUGGGUAACAAUAUUUCCAUCAACUAUAUAUUGAUAUAUAGAUUCUGGAGAAACAUACAACUGGAAGUCUACAAUUGUCGACGUACAUUUCUCAACUAGAUUGCAAAAACCUUUUCAAAUGAUUCAGAUCCAAAGACCAUGGCCAUGGCAAAGUGUGAACAACACUCGGACUGAACUCAAGCAAAGGGUAUAAUCUAGGUAGAAAUGAUCUUGCUCAGUAAUGGCAAGGUAUUCAUAAGCAAUACCUACACCCGUUUUCUUCUGGAAACGGAAUUGAGAACAACAAGGUGGUGAACAGGGAGCAAGUAUUGUAGCACAAGGGUUCACGCAGAUACCCAACUAUUCUCCAGAGGUGGAAUCUCUUUCCGAUAACUUGUAUCAUUGGCAGUACAAAAUCAUCUAUCUCUGCAGUUGAUAGAUGUAGUGAUUACAUAUCCAUGUGGAUCACUAGAUUCAGUGAAUAUGGUUGAUCCCGGAUGGAAUCUCAAUUCUGAAUCGAAAUACAAAAUGCAAACAUGCAUUGUGCAAAUUUAGUAAGUCACCAUACGACUUAUUAUUGUCAGUACAUAUGGUACAACUGACGUAGUGAGAUCCUUAUACACAAGGAUUACUCAUACAAUGAUGAUUAUCCAUGUUUGUGUGUCUGCAAUGACGACACUUGUAAUCAUCUAAAUGGCGGAGUUUAAAAUGAAGGAUUUGGGUAAACCAAAAUACCGCUCGUUACUACAACUUGAGCGCCUUCAUUCAUACAUUAUGGUAUACUAUGUUGUCUAUAUCCAAAAUAUAUUGGAGAAAUUCAUUGUGGACAAAUCUUAUCCAUCCAUAACUCUCAUGGUAGUUCAUUCUCUAGACGUAGAGAAAUAUCUAUUUAGACCAAGAGAUGAUGGAAAUGAGAUAUUGGGACUCAACGUUCCAUAAUGCCAUUGGAUCCACCAAAUAUAAUUGGUUGGUACUCAAGAAUAUCUUUCGAUAUCUCCAAGGCAUCAAACAUCUUGUCCUGGUUUUCAGUUUCACAGGAAUGUGAACACCGAUAUCAUUGGAUACAUCGAUCAGAUCCCCACUAUGUCAGAUCAUAGACAAGCUUAGUGUUCCUACUAGGUGUGGUAGCCCUCUCAUGAAGAGUCUUCGAAACGGACCUUAUGGCUACAUCCACCAACCAUUAUCUCAACGAUAAUGUUUCUUGUGUUGCCCGGAUGCAAACAGGUUACAUAAUAAGUAAUAUCACUAUAUUGCAUAUCUUGCAAGUCAAAUCAGCGACUGAUUUGUUCAGCGAGUCUCUACCAAUUUCUAUGUUUUGGUAUGUGACGACUUUGAAUUUUUGCAAGAAUCAGGGGGAGUAUCUUCCUGAAUUGUUCCUGUUCAAUGCAUCAUAUUAUACUCUUUUUCCCUUCAUGAGUUUACUUUACAGAUUCUCAUAAAGGUUUUUAAUGAGGUAAUAUCAACAUGAGAUCAUAUGUCAUACUUUCUGUUUUCCCCACCGGGGUUUUUGGGAAAGUAUAUACGACAUAUUUAUUGUCCUCUGAACUCUAUGGGUUUUCUCGUAUUGAGUUAAAAGAGACAAUAACCAUUAUAUGUUGUAUCAUUUUCUCCUUAUUUUUCCCAUUGGGUUUGAAGGAGUUUUGGCAACAUAUCAAACACUAUACUCCUCAUAUUUUUCCCACAGGGUUUUUAGAGGAGCCUCUAAUCAAGAUGAUGAUUCUGGAUGAACAAGUGUAGAUUAGGGGGAGUGUUAGAGUUUAAUUAACAUGUGUUAAUUAUGGGGUAAAUCUCCCCUUGUAACUGCCAUCUCUCCCGAACGGAUGCCUCUUCAUCGCAUCCCUUCUCCUUGUAUAAAUGCUUACAAUCAUCUAAUGAAAGGGAUAGAGGAUUCACUUUUCUCUCAACAUCAAGUAGUACUUCCUCCGUAAAUAAAGAAACAUAAGAGUGUUUGGAUUAUCAUUUCUUUAGAGAGGGAGUAGUAUAUAUAUAGAAUUGAAUUAAUAAUCUCUACUCCUAAAGUAUCAGUUGGUCGUCUCUGUUCAUCGGUUAAUUUUCGUCCCACCAACACUGAUUUUUUUUCGUGCUCCCUCCCACCCAACCCCCGGGACAUCGAACAAAAAAAAGGGCUGGCUUAGCUAUGCCCCCACGAAGUCAAGGGGCCAAACCUCCGAUCGAAACAGAGAGAACCGGAUGAAAGAAAAUCUACGAAAAAAGACCUACGAAAUUAAACCAGCGAAAAAAACGAACCGCACGCAGGUAUACGAGCGAUUCCUCCUUCCUUCGAACCACUCGCAUGCUCGAUCCCUUCGUCGCCGCCGCUCCAUCCCUUCGCCCCCACCGCUCGAUCCCUUCGCCGCCGCCCUCGCACAUCAAAGCCGCCACCGAUAUGCCCUGUCGGAUCUCGCCUCAACCCCGCCGUCUUGUGAUACGGAGUUCACAGCCUCUGCCGCCGAUGUCUUCGCACGCGUUAGGGUUCCUGCGUCGCCGCCACACAGGAGCUCGUCGACCAGCCCAGCGUGCUGCUGCUCCGCGCUCGCUUCCCUCGUCGGUCGCCUUUGGAACCCUCGCUUCGGACUCCGCGCCAAGCCGUCGCCUCUUCGCCGAGAAAGAGGGCUCCCGAUCUCCGCCGUGGUCGACCAUCAGCGCGACGGGCAGAGCAACCAGCCCGUAGGCUCAUCCCCUUCUUGGAUCCACUCCGGCAGCGGCCAUCGUUGGUACGUUCCGCUCGUGAUAUAUUGGUGUAGGAUCAUCCCCUUCUCUUUAUCUAAAAAGGCUAUUCUACAUACGCCGAGGAGAAGAUGCUCACCUUCUCGCCCCUGUUGGAAAUAUGCCCUAGAGGCAAUAAUGAAUUGCUUAUUAUUAUAUUUCCUUGUUCAUGAUAAUCGUUUAUUGUCCAUGCUAUAAUUGUAUUGAUAGGAAACAUAGAUACAUGUGUGGAUACAUAGACAACACCAUGUCCCUAGUAAGCCUCUAGUUGACUAGCUCGUUGAUCAAUAGAUGGUUACGGUUUCCUGACCAUGGACAUUGGAUGUCGUUGAUAACGGGAUCACAUCAUUAGGAGAAUCAUGUGAUGGACAAGACCCAAUCAUAAGCCUAGCACAAAGAUCGUGUAGUUCGUAUGCUAAAGCUUUUCUAAUGUCAAGUAUCAUUUCCUUAGACCAUGAGAUUGUGCAACUCCCGGAUACCGUAGGAAUGCUUUGGAUGUGCCAAACGUCACAACAUAACUGGGUGGCUAUAAAGGUACACUACGGGUAUCUCCGAAAGUGUCUGUUGGGUUGGCACGAAUCGAGACUGGGAUUUGUCACUCCGUGUGACGGAGAGGUAUCUCUGGGCCCACUCGGUAGGACAUCAUCAUAUGCGCAAUGUGACCAAGGAGUUGAUCACGGGAUGAUGUGUUACGAAACAAGUAAAGAGACUUGCCUGUAACGAGAUUGAACAAGGUAUCGGAUACCGACGAUCGAAUCUCGGGCAAGUACAAUACCGCUAGACAAAGGGAAUUGAAUACGGGAUUGAUUAAAUCCUCGACAUCGUGGUUCAUCCGAUGAGAUCAUCGUGUAACAUGUGGGAGCCAACAUGGGUAUCCAGAUCCCGUUGUUGGUUAUUGACCGGAGAACGUCUCGGUCAUGUCUGCAUGAUUCCCGAACCCGUAGGGUCUACAUACUUAAGGUUCGAUGACGCUAGGGUUAUAAAGGAAGUUUGUAUGUGGUUACCGAAUGUUGUUCGGAGUCCCGGAUGAGAUCCCGGAUGUCACGAGGAGUUCCGGAAUGGUCCGGAGGUAAAGAUUUAUAUAUGGGAAGUCCUGUUUUGGUCACCGGAAAAGUUUCGGGUUUUAUCGGUAACGUACCGGGACCACCGGGAGGGUCCUGGGGGUCCACCAAGUGGGGCCACAAGCCCCGAAGGGUUGCAUGGGCCAAGUAUGGGAGGGGACCAGCCCCAGGUGGGCUGGUGCGCCCCCCACAAGGGCCCAAGGCACCUAAGGAGAGGAGAGGGGGCAAACCCUAAGGGCAGAUGGGCCUUAGGGCCCAUACCUGGUGCGCCUCCCUCUCCCCCUCCACCUGGCCGCCACCCAGAUGGGAUUGGGGCUGGCCGCCGCCCCUAGGGUGGAACCCUAGAGGGGGCACAGCCCCCUCCCUCUCCCCUAUAUAUAGAUGAGGUCUUUGGGGCUGCCAACACAAGAGUUUUGACCUCUCCCUGGCGCAGCCCUGCAUCUCUCUUUCCUACUCUCCCGCGGUGCUUGGCGAAGCCCUGCAGGAUUGCCACGCUCCUCCUCCACCACCAGGCCGUUGUGCUGCUGUUGGAUGGACUCUUCCUCAACCUCUCCCUCUCUCCUUGCUGGAUCAAGGCGUGGGAGACGUCACCGGGCUGUACGUGUGUUGAACGCGGAGGUGCCGUCCGUUCGGCACUAGGAUCUCAGGUGAUUUGGAUCACGACGAGUACGACUCCUUCAAUCCCGUUCUCUUGAACGCUUCCGCUUAGCGAUCUACAAGGGUAUGUAGAUGCACUCUCCUUCCCCUCGUUGCUGGUUUCUCCAUAGAUAGAUCUUGGUGACACGUAGGAAAAUUUUGAAUUUCUGCUAUGUUCCCCAACAGUGGCAUCAUGAGCUAGGUCUAUUGCGUAGAUUCUUUGCACGAGUAGAACACAAAGUAGUUGUGGGCGUUGAUUUUGUUCAAUAUGCUUACCGUUACUAGUCCAAUCUUGAUUCGGCAGCAUUGUGGGAUGAAGCAGCCCGGACCGACCUUACACGUACACUUACGUGAGACAGGUUCCACCGACUGACAUGCACUAGUUGCAUAAGGUGGCUAGCGGGUGCCAGUCUCUCCCACUUUAGUCGGAUCGGAUUCGAUGAAAAGGGUCCUUAUGAAGGGUAAAUAGCAAUUGACAUAUCACGUUGUGGUUUUGCGUAGGUAAGAACCGUUCUUGCUAGAAACCCACAGCAGCCACGUAAAACAUGCAAACAACAAUUAGAGGACGUCUAACUUGUUUUUGCAGGGUAUGCCAUGUGAUGUGAUAUGGCCAAAAGGAUGUGAUGAAUGAUAUAUGUGAUGUAUGAGAUUGAUCAUGUUCUUGUAAUAGGAAUCACGACUUGCAUGUUGAUGAGUAUGACAACCGGCAGGAGCCAUAGGAGUUGUCUUAAUUUAUUUAUGACCUGCGUGUCAACAUAAACGUCAUGUAAUUACUUUACUUUAUUGCUAACCGUUAGCUAUAGUAGUAGAAGUAAUAGUUGGCGAGACAACUUCAUGAAGACACGAUGAUGGAGAUCAUGGUGUCAUGCCGGUGACGAUGAUGAUCAUGGAGCCCCGAAGAUGGAGAUCAAAAGAAGCAAAGUGAUGAUGGCCAUAUCAUGUCACUAUUUGAUUGCAUGUGAUGUUUAUCAUGUUUUUGCAUCUUAUUUGCUUAGAACGACGGUAGUAAAUAAGAUGAUCCCUCAUUAAACUUUCGAGAAAGUGUUCCCCCUAACUGUGCACCGUUGCGAAAGUUCGUCGUUUCAAAGCACCAUGUGAUGAUCGGGUGUGAUAGAUUCUAACGUUCACAUACAACGGGUGUAAGACAGAUUUACACACGCGAAACACUUAGGUUGACUUGACGAGCCUAGCAUGUACAGACAUGGCCUCGGAACACAAAAGACCGAAAGGUCGAGCAUGAGUCGUAUGGUAGAUACGAUCAACAUGAAGAUGUUCACCGAUGAUGACUAGUCCGUCUCAUGUGAUGAUCGGACACGGCCUAGUUGACUCGGAUCACGUAAUCACUUAGAUGACUAGAGGGAUGUCUAUCUGAGUGGGAGUUCAUAAGAUGAACUUAAUUAUCCUGAACAUAGUCAAAAGGACUUCGCAAAUUAUGUCAUAGCUCGCGCUUCAGUUCUACUGUUUAGAUACGUUCCUAGAGAAAAGAUAGUUGAAAGUUGAUAGUAGCAAUUAUACGGACUAGGUUCGUUAACUGAGGAUUGUCCUCGUUGCUUCGUAGAAGGCUCAUGUCCUUAAUGCACCGCUCAGUGUGCUGAACCUUGAACAUCGUCUGUGGGUGUUGCGAACAUCUAACAUACAUGUUUUGAUAACUACGUGAUAGUUCAGUUAAACGGUUUAGAGUUGAGGCACCAUAGACGAUUUCGAAACGUCGCGGAACAUAUGAGAUGUUUCGAGGGCUGAAAUUGGGAUUUCAGGCUCGUGCCCACGUCAAGAGGUAUAACACCUCCGACGAGUUUCUUAGCGUACAAACUAAGGGAGAAAAGCUCAAUCGUUGAGCUUGUGCUCAGAUUGUCUGAGUACCACAAUCACUUGGAUCGAGUGGGAGUUAAUCUUCCAGAUGAGAUAGUGAUGUUUUUCCAAAGACAUUAUCACCAAGCUGCUAGAGCUUCGUGAUGAACUAUAACAUAUCAGGGAUAGACAUGAUGAUCCUUGAAAUAUUCGCGAUGUUUGACACCGCGAAAGUAGAAAUCAAGAAGGAGCAUCAAUUGUUGAUGGUUAGUGAAACCACUAGUUUCAAGAAGGGCAAGGGCAAGAAGGGAUACUUCAUGAAACGGCAAAUCAGCUGCUGCUCUAGUGGAGAAACCCAAGGUUGAACCCAAACCCGAGACUAAGUGCUUCUGUAAUAAGAGGAACAGCCACUUGAGCAGAAUUACCCUAGAUACUUGGUAGAUGAGAAGGCUGUCGAUAGAAGUAUAUUGGAUAUACAUUAUGUUAAUGUGUACUUUACUAGUACUCCUAGUAGCACCAGGAUAUUAGAUACCGGUUCGGUUGCUAAGUGUUAGUAACUCGAAACAAAAGGCUACGGAAGAAACGGAGACUGGCUAAAAGGUGAGAUGACGAUAUGUGUUGGAAGUAUUUCCAAGGUUGAUCAAAUAUCGUACGCUCCCUCUACCAUCGAGAUUGGUAUUAAAACCUAAAUAAUUGUUAUUUUGUGUUUGUGUUGAGCAUAGACAUGAUUGGAUUAUGUCUAUCACAAUACGGGUAUUCAUUUAAGGAGAAUAAUUGUUACUCUGUUUAUUUGAAUAAUACCAUCCCAAUCGUAGUGAUACACAUUUUCAUGCCAAAGGUAUAAGAUAGUAAUGAUAGUACCACACAAUUGUGGCACUGCAAUUUUAGUCACAAUGGUAUAAAAUGCAUGAAGAAGCUCCAUGUUGAUGGAUCUUUGGACUCGCUUGAUUUUGAAUCACUUGAGACAUGCAAAUCAUACCACAUGAGCAAGAUGACUGAAAGGCCUCGUUUUCAGUAAGAUGGAACAAGAAAGCAACUUGUUGGAAGUAAUACAUCUUGAUGUGUGCAGUCCAAUGAGUGCUGAGGCAUGUAGUGAAUAUCGUUAUAUUCUUACUUCACAGAUGAUUUAAGUAGAUACUGAGUAUAUUUACUUGAUGAAACACAAGUCUGAAUUAUUGAAUGGUUCAAGUAAUUUCAGAGUGAAGUUGAAGAUCUUCGUGACAAGAGGAUAAAAUGUCUAUGAUAUGAUCAUAGAAAUGAAUAUCUGAGUUACGAGUUUGGCACACAAUUAAGACAUUGUGGAAAUUGUUUCACAACUAAUACCGCCUGGAACACCAUAGUGUGAUGGUGUGUCCGAACAUCAUAGUUGCACCCUAUUGGAUAUGGUGCGUACCAUGAUGUCUCUUAUCGAAUUACCACCAUCGUUCAUGGGUUAGGCAUUAGAGACAACCGCACUCACUUUAAUAGGGCACCACGUAAUUCUGCUGAGACGAAACCGUUUGAACUAUGGUUUGGAGAAACCUGAGUUAUCGUUUCUUAAAAGUUUGGGGCUGCGACGCCUAUGUGAAAAAGUUUCAGGUUGAUAAGCUCGAACCCAAAGCGGAUAAAAUGCAUCUUCAUAGGACACCAAAAACGGUUGGGUAUACCUCCUAAUUCAGAUCCGAAAGCAAUAGGGAUUGUUUCUAGAAUCGGGUCCUUUCUCGAGGAAAAGUUUCUCUCGAAAGAAUUGGGUGGGAGGAUGGUGGAGACUUGAUGAGGUUAUUGAACCGUCACUUCAACUAGUGUAUAGCAGGGCACAAAGAGUUGUUCCUGUGGCACCUACACCAAUUGAAGUAGAAGCUUAUGAUAUUGAUCAUGAGACUUCGGAUCAAGUCACUCCCAAACCUCGUAGGAUGACAAGGAUGCGUGCUAAUUUAGAGUGGUACGUAAUCCUGUCAUGGAAGUCAUGCUGCUAGACAACAAUGAACCUACGAGCUAUGGAGAAGCGAUGGUGGGCCCGGAUUCCGAUAAAUGGCUCGAGGCCAUAAAAUCCGAGAGAGGAUCCAUGUAUGAAAACAAAGUGUAGACUUUGGCAGAACGACUCGAUGGUCGUAAGGCUGUUGAGUACAGAUGGAUUUUAAAAGGAAGACAGACAAUGAUGGUAAGUGUUACCAUUGAGAAAGCUCGACUUGUCAUUAAUAUGUUUCCCGACAAGUUCAAGGAGUUGACUGCGAUGAGACUUUCUCACACGUAGCGAUGCUAAAAGUCUGUUGGAAUUAUGUUAGCAGUUACUGCAUUGUUUAUGAAAUCUUGCAGAUACGAUGUCAAAAUAUUGUUUCCUUGAUGAUUUUCUUGAGGAAAGGUUGUAUGUGAUACAACCAGAAGGUUUUGGCAGUCCUGAAAAUGCUAACAAGUAUGCAAAGCUCCAGCAAUCCUUCUAAGGACUGGAGUAAGCAUCUCGGAGUUGGAAUGUACGCUUUGAUGAGAUGAUCAAAGCUUUUGGGUUUAUACAAAGUUUAUGAGAAACUUGUAUUUCCAAAGAAGUGAGUGGGAGCACUAUAGAAUUUAUGAUGAGUAUAUGUUGUUGACAUAUUGUUGAUCGGAAAUGAUAUAGAAUUUCUGGAAAGCAUGCAGAGUUGUUUGAAAAGUGUUUUCAAUGAAAAACUGGAUUAGGCUACUUGAACAUUGAGCAUCAGGAUCUAUAAGGAUAGAUCAAAAACCGCUUAAUGGUACUUUCAAAUGAGCACAUACCUUGACAUGAUCUUGAAGGUGUUCAAGAUGGGUCAGCCAAAGAAGGAGUUCUUGCCUGAGUUGUAAGGUAUGAAGUUAAGACUUAAAGCUCGACCACAGCAGGAGAAAGAGGAUGGACGAAGGUCGUCCCCUAUGCUAUUGUCAUAGACUCUAUACGGUAUGCCAUGCUGAGUACCGCACCUGAUGUGUGCCUUGCCACAUGUCUGGCAAGAGGGUACAAAGGUGAUCUAGGAGUAGAUCACCAGAUAGCGGUCAAAAUUAUCCUUAGAGUAAUAAGGAUAUGUUUCUCGGUUAUGGAGGUGAUAAAGAGUUCGACGUAAAGAGUUACAUCGAUGCAAGCUUAACACCUAUCCGGAUAGCUCCGAGUAGAGAUACCGGAUACGUAUAAUGGAGCAACAGUUUGGAAUAGCUCCAAGUAGAACAGUUAUUUCAAAUGGCUCCAAAUAUAGCGUAGAGAUUUGCGAGGUACAUACGGAUCUGAAUGUUGCAGACCCGUUGACUAAAACCUCUCUCACAAGCAACAUGAUCAAACCUAGAACUCAUUGAGUGCUAAUCACAUAGUGAUGUGAACUAGAUUAUUGACUCUAGUAAACUCUUUGUAUGUUGGUCACAUGGCGAUGUGACCUGUGAGUGUUAAUCACAUGGAGAUGUGAACUAGAUUAUUAACUCUAGUGCAAGUGGGAGACUGUUGGAAAUAUGCCCUAGAGGCAAUAAUAAAUUGGUUAUUAUUAUAUUUCCUUGUUCAUGAUAAUCAUUUAUUAUCCAUGCUAUAAUUGUAUUGAUAGGAAACACAGAUACAUGUGUGGAUACAUAGACAACACCAUGGCCCUAGUAAGCCUCUUGUUGACUAGCUCGUUAAUCAAUAGAUGGUUACAGUUUCCUGACCAUGGACAUUGGAUGUCGUUGAUAACGGGAUCACAUCAUUAGGAGAAUCAUGUGAUGGACAAGACCCAAUCAUAAGGCUAGCACAAAGAUCGUGUAGUUCGUAUGCUAAAGCUUUUCUCAUGUCAAGUAUCAUUUCCUUAGACCAUGAGAUCGUACAACUCCCGGAUACCGUAGGAAUGCUUUGGGUGUGCCAAACGUCACAACGUAACUGGGUGGCUAUAAAGGUACACUACGGGUAUCUCCGAAAGUGUCUGUUGGGUUGGCACGAAUCGAGACUGGGAUUUGUCACUCCGUGUGAUGGAGAGGUAUCUCUGGGCCCACUCGGUAGGACAUCAUCAUAUGCACAAUGUGACCAAGGAGUUGAUCACGGGAUGAUGUGUUACGAAACAAGUAAAGAGACUUGCCGGUAACGAGAUUGAACAAGGUAUCAGAUACCGACGAUCGAAUCUCGGGAAAGUACAAUACCGCUAGACAAAGGGAAUUGAAUACGGGAUUGAUUAAAUCCUCGACAUCGUGGUUCAUCCGAUGAGAUCAUCGUGGAACAUGUGGGAGCCAACAUGGGUAUCCAGAUCCCACUGUUGGUUAUUGACCGGAGAACGUCUCGGUCAUGUCUGCAUGAUUCCCGAACCCGUAGGGUAUACACACUUAAGGUUCGAUGACGCUAGGGUUAUAAAGGAAGUUUGUAUGUGGUUACCGAAUGUUGUUCGGAGUCCCGGAUGAGAUCUCGGACGUCACGAGGAGUUCCGGAAUGGUCCGGAGGUAAAGAUUUAUAUAUGGGAAGUCCUGUUCUGGUCACCGGAAAAGUUUCGACUUUUAUCGGUAACGUACCGGGACCACCGGGAGGGUCCCGGGGGUCCAUCAAGUGGGGCCACAAGCCCCGAAGGGUUGCAUGGGCCAAGUAUGGGAGGGGACCAGCCCCAGGUGGGCUGGUGCGCCCCCCCACAAGGGCCCAAGGCGCCUAAGGAGAGGAGAGGGGGCAAACCCUAAGGGCAGAUGGGCCUUAGGGCCCAUACCUGGUGCGCCUCCCUCUCCCCCUCCACCUGGCCGCCACCCAGAUGGGAUUGGGGCUGGCCACCGCCCCUAGGGUGGAACCCUAGAGGGGGCGCAGCCCCCUCCCUCUCCCCUAUAUAUAGUUGAGGUCUUUGGGGCUGCCAACACAAGAGUUUUGACCUCUCCCUGGCGCAGCCCUGCAUCUCUCUUUCCUCCUCUCCCGCGGUGCUUGACGAAGCCCUGCAGGAUUGCCACGCUCCUCCACCACCACCACGCCGUCGUGCUGCUGUUGGAUGGACUCUUCCUCAACCUCUCCCUCUCUCCUUGCUGGAUCAAGGCGUGGGAGACGUCACCGGGCUGUACGUGUGUUGAACGUGGAGGUGCCGUCCGUUCGGCACUAGGAUCUCAGGUGAUUUGGAUCACGACGAGUACGACUCCUUCAACCCCGUUCUCUUGAACGCUUCCGCUUAGCGAUCUACAAGGGUAUGUAGAUGCACUCUCCUUCCCCUCGUUGCUGGUUUCUCCAUAGAUAGAUCUUGGUGACACGUAGGAAAAUUUUGAAUUUCUGCUAUGUUCCCCAACAGCCCCUCCCCCUACCGUGAUGUACGUGGAUGAAUCCGACGGCAACAAGGACGACCUCGUAGGAUCCAGCCACGGUUGUGCGGAAUUUCACGGGGAUGAAUCUACCCGGCCUCUCGUCCUAUCUGCCGCCGGUAGAGGCAUCCAUGUCUGAUGGUGUGAAUUUUGGCUGGUUCCAUGAGCACUUCGUUCCCUGCCGUGUAGUCUUCGUUGAUUCGGAAAGAUGGUGGUUGUCUGUUUAGCCAUUUCAAUCUGCUAUUGAUCAUGCUCAUUCUUGUUAUAUUCAGUUAUAUUGGAAACACCAUCUGAUUCAGUUAUAUUCUUGAUCAUGCUCAUCCUCAUCCUUAUUCAAAUAAGAAUACUUCUGUUUGGAGAGCUCGGGCGUCAGCUGUGUGGAAGCACCAGCUGAUUUGUAACUGGUCGGAAGGUGAGCUUCUCAUACUCGCUGCCGUCGAAGCACGACACCUCGCCGCCACUUAUGUUGCGUGUUGUUGUGCUGUAGGUCCUUGGGGUUGGGUGUGGCAACUCGCGACUCGAAGACAUUUCGUGCAUGUGCUCCCCUGCGCUUGGUGACCAAUACAUCUACUCCGUCGUGAACAUGUGCUUCGUGUCAUACAGGUCGCCGCCAAGGGUGAGCUCGUGCAGCGGUACAGGUAUAGAUGUGCAUCCCAUAAGGGCAGCUACAUUUUCUUUCAUAAAGUUAUUUGUGUGAGUGCCCUGCAUAUUGAAGUAAACUGGAUCGGCUAAUCUUGAGUUCCUCCACCAAGUUAUAUUACUUCGACAAGAAAAAGUGCAGAAAGACCAUAUAAAGUACUCUGGUGACUCUCUCAAUUGAACUAGAAUUUUUUUAGAUGCGUGAAACAUGCACAACGAUUUGCUCUAUUGAGUCUAUGUAUGUUGAACUAGCACUCGAAUUAUAGCUCAUGCCGGUAUACUAAUUUUCUCUUUCUCAUAUCAGCUCUCCUUCUUUUUGUCCAUUUUUCUUCACUACUACCUGAAGGAAACUGUACUGGAUAGCAGCCUAUCAUAUAUAGUUACAUGUACCGAGUGAUUUAGCUUCAUUUUAAUGAUACUGUCAACAACUAACUACUGCUGCGACAUAUUUGAUGCAACCUGUAAAAUAUUUUUUGUUUAAUUUCAGCAUAUCAUUUAUAUACUGAAGUCUCUUCUGGACAUGUUGUCUAAUUGCGUCAUGUAUGUUAGAUAUUUGUUCUAUAAUACUUGCCAUUGACUAUUUUUCUUUUAUUUAGGUUAUGUGCAUUAUUGAUCAGCCAAUCUUGAGAGAGAGAUGGGUUGGCGUGAAUGGGAAGAAAACUACAUUGAAUGGACAAGAAGUAUGCCCUCAACUUUUUCAUGGUAUGUCUUACUUAUUGUUCUUGUGAUUUUUCCAUCAGUUUCACUUUACAUUUCUUCUUUGCUUUUUCAUGGCAUCGGGAUGCCCACUGCCGACGGCGCUGCGUUGCUACCAAAGGGGCACCCUGCCGCGGCCAGGGACUCGCUGCCGUCGAAGCACGACACCUUGCCGUCACGUAUGUUGGGUGUUGUGGUGCUGCAGGUCCUUGGGGUUGGGUGCGGCAACUCGAGACUCGAAGACGAUCUUCUGCGGUAGGGCGUCGCCGGCGGCGGUGGCACCUGUAUAGACCGUCUCGGUGUGACAGAAGAGUUCGGAGUUCACUCCGAGAAAGAAUUGCUUUGCAUGUACAUUUGCUGAAAGACUGAUGUGCUGAACUUUCGAUGAUUUCGAUUGGUCUCUAACAUAACCUUUCCUCUUUUUGUUGAUAUGUCCAAAAGAGAUCCUUAUUUCACCUUUUGUUUAUAGGUAUUCAACUUGAGGAAUUUCAUACUUUUGGAGUGGAGCUAUCAAAUAUAUGUGUGCUCGAUGUUGGUGUUUUAAUCCGGAUCUCUCGCUGAAGGUGCUCGAUGUUGGUGUUUGAAUACUGCUACCGUACUUCAAGGUCUGUAGCAGCUCUUACAAUGGAUUCUUUUUAAUGAUAGUACAAUUUAUUUUUGUUUCGAUUUGGUAUUGUUGUUUUGUUCACUUAACCCAGUCUGUAGCAGCAGCUUUUCAUGUCGUUUCCUCGCCAACAAAUGUCAUAAUUUAUCACAUACGUGUGCAAAUGGUUUUUUGGCUAUAGUAUGAGUAUAUGGUUCAGAGAAGUUCGGUCAGAUGCAAAGCAUGCUUAGCAUCUCAUAGUCGUAGGCUAUUCCUUUUAAAAUUGAAGCCAUCCAGGUUUUCAAUUAUGGAGAUGAUUUGGAAACUCAGCAUAGAAAAUUAUUUACUCUAAUGCAAAUUACACAUAUUAAGGCCUUUAUUCUUUUAUAUUAAGGUCUCCAGUGCAAGCAUUAGCCCAUCUUUAGCUGCUCAUAAGCAGUAUCAGUGAUAUAUAUAUAUAUAUAAGUACACUCUUGCUAAGAUUAAUCUUUGAUAUAUAUAAUUCAUUGCCUGGAUAUAGUUUGCUUUGAAUGUUUUUUUGCUCUUUAGUCUAUGAAGAAUUGCAAGGAGGAGGAUAAUAGAGCAGCAACCAGAGCUGACAAUUGGCCUGUAAAUGCUGCAAAGUUCUCCUAAAGGUGUGAUGUUGGUGGUGAUUUUCUUAUCCGGGGAUAUGGAUGUGGCGGGUCUGUGGGCACCAUGCUGACGCGGAGAAGGAGGUGCAGGUAGCGGGGGCGCUUGAGGUGAGGUGGCUGCAGGGUCGCUCGAGAAGAAUAGGCUCAUCAGCAACACCUGGAUGCCUUCGUCAUCAGCAAUGUGGACAAGGUGCAAAAGGGAUAUCGCCCUUACCUCUUAUUCAGUCUGGAAAAUUAUGCAAUGUUUGGUUUGGUAGAUUUAACAGUCGCUGGUUCGGAAAUUUGUUACCUAUAGAAGUAUAGGAAUAACAUGACUAAUAUUUAUUGAAUUUAUAGAGUUAUUGUUUUUUUCUACAAAGUCAGUUGUUAAAUUAGGAAGAACAUCGUCUAAAAUCUUGACAACAUAAAGGAGCAUAGAGUUAAUAGAUUAUGAAAUCCUGUAGUGCAUCAGAUGCACCCUUCACUAAUUUUUGAACACAUUUAUAUUAUCCAGGUUCCGACCUCAUUCGUUGUGAUGUUUGUCUUUUUUAUGUGGGCGAGGAAAACAUUUUUAGGAGUGAUACUCCCAAACUUUGAUUUCUUGGUUGUCGAAUCAUGGUGCUGAUUAGAUUUUACUUAACCUUAAUUAAUCUAUUUAUAUUGUGGCUUUGUCUUUUAGCUCAUCUUUUAGUUUCUCUUCUCCACUUAACACAAGAUUUUAUUGUAGGCUACCAAGUACAAUUAUACCACUUAUACUCUUUCUAUCUGAUUAUGCAAAGCUUGAUCUAUACUCAUUGAACUUUGUUAGAUAGUAGGCCCUCCUAUUAGUGUGCCUAAAUAUAAUUGUUUCUCUGUGUUUAUAGUAUCUUAGUCCAGUAGAAUGAAUGUUCUCGAGUAAUUAGAGGUAUUUGGAUCAAGUGAAUGUCUGAAUACCACUAAAAUCGAAAUCAUAAUGCUUAUCAUUGGUCAGCACCACCACCUACUCUGAAUCUCUGAUCAGAAUAGUACGAACUAUUAAAUUGGGAACUUAAUGCUUAUCAUUGUUGAUGUACAUAUGUACAACUAACAAUGUUUGUGCUGCAACCAGCUUACUUUAUUCCUUGCUGAAAUUUAUCUUGACUUAUUUCACAUCAGAUAGUUCUGAACCUAGAUGAUCUCAAUUAAGGUCAUUGAAAUUUGUUAAAUUAUUUUUAUCCACUCUUCUGAACGAGCGUAUACUAUGAUCUGAUUUGUAUAUCAUAUUACUGAGGCAGCGCUGGGCCAUGCUGUGGUGAGAACAUACGAGAGAUAAUUGGGGUGUGUGGCUGAUUGCUUCAUAUGCUGCUAAUGAUAUAUGUAGACUGCUGAUUGCUCCUGAUAUACAGUGUCGAUUGCAGCUGAUAGUAGGAUUGUACUCAAUUUGAUAGGUAAAGUGGGAUGGCGGGAUUGUAUAGUGCUCAUAAGCCAGUCCGGGCAUUGUCCUUCCUCGAAUGAAUAUGAGACUACUCCUCAUAUGUUAAUCAGUUGCUCCUCCCUAGCUUUGGUUUGGUCUGAACUUCAAAGUUUUCAUCCACUCAAUGUUGAUUCAGUCAAAGAUCUCUUGGAAAAAUUAUUUCGACAAGAUUCACUCUAUAAUGUUGUUAUCAUUGUCCUCUGGAAUAUAUGGAAGUGCAAAAACUCCAAGGUCUCCCGGGAUGUUUUUGAGGAAUUGCACAUUACUGCUAGCAAGAUUGCUGAUGAUUGAUACCAUGGUCCAACAGGUAUUCACAUGAAAUUAAUAAAUGGCACCUUACGGAUUGGAGUACUCUACUGUAUCACCUAUCUGGGAGAUUUUAAUUUUUUCCUUCUAUUAUUUCUCUUAAUCCCUGUGCACUCAUCGGACUUUGUAUAGUUCUCAGUUUUAUGAAGUGGUUCAGGCUGGCGUAAGCCGCCAUAGUCCCAGUAAAAAAAAGGCUACAAGCUUCGCUUCGGCCUUUUGGAACUGAAUAUUAUGUAGUUUUAUUGAGAUUAUUGAUAGUGCUUCUCUACUAUCAAAGAAGGUAAUAGUCUCUUAUGUGUUUCUUUUUGUCCAUUUGAAUGCACUCCAUUUUUUAGUGUAUUAAUUAACAUCAAACCUCCCAUUCUUUCUAGAGUGCUGAUGUAUUAUUAUUUUCAGCUUAACACAUUUAACUUCCUAUAGAUUUCAUGGUUUAUGCAGAUUAACCGAGCUAAGAUUUUUUGUGAAGCUAAAGCUGGUGUUAAGAUGAACGCCGCUAUGUAUAUAUUUGAAACAGUUAGAUACAUGCUUGACAGACUAUAUAGGGGUGAUCAAAACCAUGCAAAGCAUUAUGGGACAAGUUUCUCUACCUUAAAUAAGUGUUCAUUCUCUCGUGUUUACUAUUCGUUUAAGGGUCAUCAACCCGUGUAUUUAUUUUCAUUGAGCAAGUUUUACAUUUUUCUUCAGUGGUGUUCAUUGUGCAGUUCUAGAUUUUUAAGAGAGUAGAGUUUAUUGAUUUAUUACAUGGAGAGACCAGUAGUGUCGUAGUGGUCUUGACAUAAUUACUAACAUUUUCUACUAGAAAAAGUUUAAUUGCACUAAAUACAAAUUAGAACAUGCAUAGACAUUUAUCUUCUUUCUACAGAAUGGUUAGUGUAAACGUACUUUAAGUUGUACAUGAUUCUGUAUCUGACCAUUUUAUCUCAUAUGUUGAUGUGGUUGCAGAUAUGAACUUCAAAUUAUCCUGCAAUGUAUUGACUGCUCGGAGCUAACUUGACUACGCCAGUUUUCUUUUAUGGCUCAAAGUAGUUAGUGUCCCCCCUUAUUAUGAGAGAGGUACUACUUCAAACAUCUCUUCUUAAUGUUUUAUGUCAUGGCAUACAGUAUGAGGGAGUGUUAGUUGGCUUGACUUUCGUGGCACUCAUUGAUAACCUUUCAGUUUAGGAGUUUUUGUGGCCUCUUAAUCCAUGAGAGUAUGCUCAUGUUGAAGAAGUUAGUCAUAAUGAGGGGCACCAUAAAUGUUUGUUAUCUGGCACAAAUUCCUAAUGAAUAUCACAUGUGAACCUUUUACUGUUGUGUUAUUCAAAUUUCAUUGUACUAUUCAUACAGUAAAAUAUGAGUGCCAUGUCAGAAUAUGGUUCUCGAUCUGAAAGAUCAUAUUCAAAAUUACAGGUUCUAUGGCAGUGCACUGGUAGAAAAAGAGGCUUCCGUCCAGCCCCAUUAGUCGCGAAACUGUAGGAACCGCGACCAAUGAAGUCUUUAGUCGCGGUUCGACAGACGAACCGCGACCAAAUGCCUGGGCCCAGGGCGCUCGGUGGCCAGCUGGUGCACGUGAGGGGCUUUAGUCGCGGUUGGCCAGGCCAACCGCGACUAAAGCUCCUCCCCUAUAUAUACCAGUUCAGCACACUCACUUAGCCAUUUGGUGCCACUUCUCUUCGCAAGCUUCACAAGGGGGUGUAGGUUUGCUUUUGGUUCCUCUUAUGCACACAAGGUGUUUGAUGAAAUGCCCCAAGAGCGUGAAACAAACAUGAUAUGAAGUGUUGGAGCCACACUUGAGGUUCCUCAUUUAUUUUUUCCUCCUCGAUCGCGGUUAGCAACUUGAACCUUUCAUGCAUGUGUGUCAUUGAUAAAAUAUGCAUGUGUGUUGUUCAUUGUUUAAUUUCUAUUGUUUAUAGCUAGUUAGUUUAACAAAUGCAUGAUGGUUAAUUAUAUAUUUUAUAUUAUAAUAAUGCAGAUGAAUCGGCAAUGGAUGUACGGUAACCGACUCUCCCGCGAGUUCACUACGGGUUUGAAAGAUUUCCUCGUAGUGGCUAAUGCGAACAAGCAGAAGGGUUUUGUUAUCUGUCCAUGUGUUGACUGUAAGAAUCAGAAGGGUUACUCUUCCUCAAGAGAAGUUCACUUGCACCUGCUUCGGCACGGUUUCAUGCCAAGCUAUAAUUGUUGGACCAAGCAUGGAGAAAGAGGGGUUAUAAUGGAAGAAGAUGAAGAAGGGGAUGAUUUCAUCGAUGAAAGCUAUCUUGCUCAUUUCGGUGAUACUUUCAUGGAGGAUGCUGAAGGUGAAGGGGAAGGUGAAGGUGAAGAAGAGGCACGUGAUGAGACCGUUGAUGAUCUUGGUCGGACCAUUGCUGAUGCACGGAGACGCUGCAAAACUGAAAAGGAGAGGGAGAAUUUGGAUCGCAUGUUAGAGGAUCACAGAAAGUCGUUGUACCCCGGAUGCGAUGAUGGUCUGAAAAAGCUGGGCUGCACACUGGAUUUGCUGAAAUGGAAGGCACAGGCAGGUGUAGCUGACUCGGCAUUUGAAAACUUGCUGAAAAUAUUGAAGAAUAUGUUUCCAAAGAAUAACGAGUUGCCCACCAGUACGUACGAAGCAAAGAAGGUUGUCUGCCCUCUAGGUUUAGAGGUUCUGAAGAUACAUGCAUGCAUCAACGACUGCAUCCUCUACCGCGGUGAAUACGAGAAUUUGAAUGAAUGCCCGGUAUGCACUACAUUGCGUUAUAAGAUCAGAGGCGAUGACCCUGGUGACGAUGUUGAGGGCGAGAAACCCAGGAAGAGGGUUCCCGCCAAGGUGAUGUGGUAUGCUCCUAUAAUACCACGGUUGAAACGUCUGUUCAGGAACAAAGAGCAUGCCAAGUUGUUGCGAUGGCACAAAGAGGACCGUAAGUCGGACGGGGAGUUGAGACACACCGCAGAUGGAACGCAAUGGAGAAAGAUCGACAGAGAGUUCAAAGAUUUUGCAGCUGACGCAAGGAACAUAAGAUUUGGUCUAAGUACAGAUGGCAUGAAUCCUUUUGGCGAGCAGAGCUCCAGCCAUAGCACCUGGCCCGUGACUCUAUGCAUCUACAACCUUCCUCCUUGGUUGUGCAUGAAGCGAAAGUUCAUUAUGAUGCCAGUGCUCAUCCAAGGUCCGAAGCAACCCGGCAACGACAUCGAUGUGUACCUAAGGCCAUUAGUUGAUGAACUUUUACAGCUGUGGGGCAGACCUGGUGUCCGUGUGUGGGAUGAGCACAAAGAAGAGGAAUUUGUCCUACGAGCGUUGCUUUUCGUAACCAUCAACGAUUGGCCUGCUCUUAGUAACCUUUCGGGACUGUCAAAUAAGGGAUACAAUGCAUGCACGCACUGCUUACAUGAGACUGAAAGUGUACAUUUUCCAAAUUGUAAGAAGAACGUGUACCUUGGGCAUCGUCGAUUUCUUCUGAAAAUUCAUCCAGUAAGAAAGAAAGGCAAGCAUUACAACGGCAAGGCAGAUCACCGGCCGAAGCCUGCGGAACGCACUGGUGAUGAGGUAUUUGAUAUGGUCAAGGAUUUGAAAGUCAUCUUUGGAAAGGGUCCUGGCGGACAAUCAGUUCCGAAGGGAGCUGACGGGCACGCAGCCAUGUGGAAGAAGAAAUCUAUAUUCUGGGAGCUAGAAUAUUGGAAAGUCCUAGAAGUCCGCUCUGCAAUCGACGUGAUGCACGUUACGAAGAAUAUUUGCGUGAACCUCCUAAGCUUUUUGGGCGUGUAUGGAAAGACAAAUGAUACAAAGGAAGCACGGCAGGACCAGCAACGUUUGAAAGACCCUGAUGACCGGCAUCCGGAAUGGUUUCAAGGUCGUGCCAGCUACGCUCUGACCAAAGAAGAGAAGGUCAUCUUUUUUGAAUGCCUGAGCAGUAUGAAGGUCCCGUCUGGAUUCUCGUCCAAUAUAAAGGGAAUAAUAAACAUGGCGGAGAAAAAGUUCCAAAACCUGAAGUCUCACGACUGCCACGUGAUUAUGACGCAAUUGCUUCCGAUUGCUUUGAGGGGGCUCCUGCCGGAAAAUGUUCGAGUAGCCAUUGUGAAGCUAUGUGCAUUCCUCAAUGCAAUCUCUCAGAAGGUAAUCAAUCCAGAAGUUCUACCACGGUUACAGAACGAUGUGAUCCAAUGUCUUGUCAGUUUCGAGUUGGUGUUCCCGCCAUCCUUCUUCAAUAUUAUGAUGCACCUCCUGGUUCACCUAGUCGAAGAGAUUUUCAUUCUCGGUCCUGUAUUUCUACACAAUAUGUUCCCCUUCGAGAGGUUCAUGGGAGUAUUAAAGAAAUAUGUUCGUAACCGUGCUAGGCCAGAAGGAAGCAUCGCCAAGGGCUAUGGAAAUGAGGAGGUAAUUGAGUUUUGUGUUGACUUUGUUCCUGACCUUAAGCCGAUUGGUCUUCCUCGAUCGCGGCAUGAGGGGAGACUAAGUGGAAAAGGCACGAUCGGAAGAAAAUCAACGAUAUGUAUGGACGUCCAUUCUCUGACUGAAGCACACCACACUGUACUGACCAAUUCCAUCUUGGUGGCUCCGUACUUUGAGAAACACAAGAAUAUUUUACGCUCGGACAACCCGGGGAAGCCUGAAUCCUGGAUUAGGAAGGCCCACAUGGAGACUUUCGGCAGUUGGUUGAGAAAACAUUUAAUGAAUGACAAUGAUGUUGUAGAUCAGCUGUACAUGUUGGCCAAGACACCAUCUUCGACUAUAAUGACUUUCCAAGGGUACGAGAUAAAUGGGAAUACAUUUUACACGAUCUCCCAAGAUAAAAAGAGCACCAACCAAAACAGUGGUGUCCGCUUUGAUGCAGCAACCGAGAAUGGGCAAAAGGUCACAUAUUAUGGUUACAUAGAGGAGAUAUGGGAACUUGACUAUGGACCCUCCUUUAAGGUCCCUUUGUUCCGGUGCAAAUGGUUCAAGCUAACAGGAGGUGGGGUAAAGGUGGACCAGCAAUACGGAAUGACAAUGGUGGAUUUCAAUAAUCUUGGUUACCUUGACGAACCAUUCGUCCUAGCGAAAGAUGUCGCUCAGGUUUUCUAUGUGAAGGACAUGAGUAGCAAACCGAGGAAACGGAAAGAUAAGAAAACGAUCAGUACAUCAUGCGAUGAUCCAAAGCGCCACAUUGUUCUUUCAGGGAAAAGAAACAUCGUGGGAGUGGAGGACAAGACAGACAUGUCAGAAGAUUAUAAUAUGUUUGCUGAAAUUCCGCCCUUCAAAGUGAACACCGACCCAAGCAUUAAGUUAAAUGAUGAGGAUGCUCCAUGGAUACGGCACAAUCGUAAGCAAGAAGGGACACAAGGGAAGAAAUGAUGUGUAAUAAUUUAUUACCCGUGAUGUGUUUGGUGUCCAUUUUCGAAUGAUUCGAGAUACCACUGAUGAUACAUGAAAUUUGGAGUGAUUUAGUCAUACUCCUGCCUAGGCGUAUAAUAUGCAUACUCGUAGUCUUCAUAGCCGCCGUCGUCGUCGUUCCUGUCGUCGCCUUCUAAGUUGCCGCCGUCGUCAUCGCUGCUGUCGUCGCUGUCGUCGGGCGGCGCUCGUGGCUCGAACUGAGGGUAGCGCAGGCGGGGGAUAUCGCCGGCCGUGAUGUAGUCCAUGACGCUCUGCAGAGUCCGGCCGUACCACCAUAGCCGACGGCCGGCCUCGUGGAAGUUCCCAGGAGGCAGACCGUCCUCCUCAUACCUGGCGAGCGCCCUCUCACGCCGAUUAAUGAAGAAGGCGUCCCAAGUAUGCUGGUUAUCGGGAUGCCAGCGGGGAUUCAUCCGCUGCUCCGGCGUGAGGUCGAGGUAGUAGUGGUUCGUGAUGGCCGCCCGGCACGCAGUACCCUGAGGGACGGGAGGGACCGGCACGCCGCCGGCGCUUAGGCUCCAGCCGGUGGGGACGCGGUAGCCCGGUGGACAAGGGUAGUUCGAGGCGCAAAGCUCCUCCACCUGCUGGUAGGUUAGAGUGGGUGCGGUGGAAGCCAUGAGAGAGUGAUGAGAGAUUGUAGAGAUGUGAUAAUGCUGGCCAAGACGGGCUACAUAUAUGUAGUGAGAAAUGGCGGGAAAAAUGGGAGCGGGAAGACAGGAGGCGGGAAGAAAGUGGCGGGAAGAAAGAGGCGGGAAGACAAGGAAGAAAUGGCGGGAAGAAGAUAAUAUUUGUGUUUUUAACAUAUUGAAUUGAAUUAGUUCUAUUUUUCUGAAUUUUUUGAUAUAUUAUUUGUAUUUUUAACAUAUUGAAUUGAAUUACUUUUAUNNNNNNNNNNCGCCGUCGCCCUCGCCCUCAACGCCGCCCGCCGCCGCCCGCCGCGCUGUCAGGCGACGACUCCGGCGCCUCGGCCGGGUAAUUAUCCUCAAGCGCCGUCUCCUCCAGGCCCCGUGCCGCGCGGCCCAUGGCGGCGCACGAGAGCAGCAGCACGGCCAAGAGAAGAAGCGCGGUGCAGCGGGCCUUCUCCGGUGAAGUGCCGCCACGGGAGAGGCUCACCGGAGCUCUCUCCGGCACCCGCCUACGGGUCCCAUCUGUCAUACACAUGAACACACUGCUGGGUGCACUUCCGUGUACCCAUAGCAGUUUCUGUAUUUAAUAAUUUGAAUUAAAUUAAAUCAGGAUAUUAGAAAAUGAACCAAAACUUUGAAAAUUAAUAGAAAAUAAACCGUAACUCGGAUGGGAAAACUCUGUACAUGAAAGUUGCUCAGAACGACGAGACGAAUCCGGAUACGCAGCCCGUUCGUCCAUCACGCAUCCCUAGCAUAGCGAACACGCAACUUUCCCCCUCCGACCCAUCUGUCUGAAAACGCGAAACACCGGGAAUACUUUCCCGGAUGUUUCCCCCCUUCACCGGUACCACCUCGUACCGCGUUAUGGUACACCUAGCAAAUAAAAAACUUGCCAUGAUGAAUUACUAAAAUUUGCCAUGAUCUAUCAAAUAAUUUUGACAUGAUUCAUAAGUAAAAAAAGAAAUAUGUCAUCAGUUAUUUUAACAAUGCAUGGUCACUGGCUCAAAUUUGGCAUGAACUAUAAACUAAAACUAUCAUGGUGAAUUACUUAAAUUUGCCAUGAUACAUGUACUAAAAUUUGCCAUGGUUCAUACAAAAAUGUGUAAACCCUCUCCCACCCCUUCCUCGCCCCCUUCUUUUGCCACCGCCCUUUCGCCACCGCCACCGCCACCGCCACCGCCCCCCUUCUUCACUUAAUUAAUUUGUUUUUACUACAUGUUUUCAGGACUGACAUAAUGGCGGACGAUAGAGCUGACCCGAUUAUGGACAACUAUGAUCCGGACGGUGAAGCACAUAUGUUCGGCAUCAUAAACGGCGAUAUUCUAUAUGUGCCGACCGGACAAGAAGAAGAUGAUAUCUCUUCUUAUCUGAACCUUGACGGUGAAGAUGAAGGGCGCCGUCAGCAAGAUGAUGCCGAACAAACGUCGAUAAACGACGAUCUUCAAAUGGAAGUAGCAACCACCUCCGGCGCCGAGGUAUAUAUAUACAUUGAGCCUCUGGUGAUACAAACUAACUGAUUUGAAUAAAUAUGUGUGUACUAACGUGCGCGACUCUCUUUCUUAUUUUAGCCCUCGGCCGGAUCGUCGAAACAAUCGAGUACAUCGUCAAAGCGUGGCGCAACCAAGACGAUGAAACAAGGAGAAACAUGCACCAUCGAGGUUGUCGACAGUGCAACCGGCAGGCCGCUGGAGCCCCGCAAGAACGCCACCAAGUUUGUCAACCAAUGCGGAGCCGUUGUUAGAGACAACGUCUCGAUCACCGUCCAGGAGUGGAAUAAGCCAAAGAAGGCACGAAUUGCUGGUUUCACUUUUGUCGAUAAGAGAACAAAAAAAGAUUGCUUCAAGAAGCUUAUGGAACAUUUCAUUCUACCUCCGGAAUACAACAAAUUCGAUGAGGAGGGUAACAAGAUUGAGGAAAACAAGGAGAGGAUGAGGCUAGUCAAACAGUUCGCUCUUCAUAAGAUGGCCGACGCAUUCCGGAAAUUCAAGCAAAAUCUAGCCCGUGACUUUGUCAAGCAGAACAAGACUCCGGAUUUCAAAGGACAAUAUGAGAAACUGAAACAUGAUUGGCCAGAAUUUGUGAAGCAAAAGAAAUCGGAGCAGUUCAUUCAAAUAUCAAAAAAAAUAAGGAAAAUGCGGCUAAGAAGGAGUACAAUCAUAUUAUGGGGCCAGGAGGGUAUCGCCUUUGGGUGCCUAGGUUGGAGAAGAUGGAGAACGAGCUGAGGGCGCGAGGAAUCCGUCCAGGUACGGAGGGAUGGGACCCAAGGGCCAAAAGCUGGUGGUACGGGCAUGGGGGAACGCUGAACCCGAAGACAGGGGAGUGUGUUUACCGGGGCAAAAUAAUUAAACCCACCCAAGCCCUUAUUGACGCAAUGAGGGAUGCUCAAGAGGGGAAGAUCAAGUUCAACAGAGAGAACGACGCGCUGACAAAAGCCCUCGGGAAUCCUGAACACGGAGGACGUGUACGAGGCAUGGGGCACAUUCCGUGGAAAAUAGGGUUCCCCCAGAACGAUGACCCGUACGGUUACAGAAGCCGUAAGAGAAAGAUGGAUCGGGAAGCAGAUGUUGUGGCGCGGUUGGCAUCGGAAAUGGAUGUGAUGAAGAAAACCGUGAGUGUACUAGUAGCCGAAAGAGAUGCAGCUCGGGCGCAGCAUGAAGAUCAUCUAGCGGAUCUCGGAAGCCAGCAGCGGAGAAGCAGCGUGGCUUCCUCGGAGGCCCCACCGGCUGGUGCAGAUGCACCGACGAUCGAAAUUACUGCACCGGAGCCUCUGGUGGUCGAAAUUACUGCAUCGGAGCCUCCUCGCUACCCCGUGGACGAUAUAAAGGAGAUGAAAGAAUGUCAUCUGUAUUAUCCUAUCGGGAACAUGUCCAUGAAGGUAGCCAUCGGCAGUGCUUUACCAUGUUUACCUGGAGCACUCCACCACAACAACCCCAUUCAAGAUGGCUAUGCUCGUGUCACGGUGGAGGACAUAGUCCAAGGGUUUGAGGACCUGGAGAUUGACAUUGCUACACCUGAAGGGGAGAAAAGACUUGGAGAUGUCAAGCGCCAUUUCAUUCUAUGGCAAAAGAAGUUUAUCAAGUUUCCAGGCGAGGCGCCAAGGACAACAAGUCCACCCCCCUACGGUGGUGGUGGUGGCGGUGGUGGUGGUGGUGGUGGUGGUGGCGGUUCACCUACACCUCCGUCACGUCAGUCGACGCCCCUCAGUCCACAACGUCCGGCGGGUGAUCAGACGCCGCCCCCCAGUCCUCGUCCGGCGGGUGAUCAGACGCCGCCCCCAGUCCUCGUCCGGUGGGUGAUCAGCCGACGCCCCCCAGUCCACAACGUCCGGCGGGUGAUCAGACGCCGCCCCCCAGUCCUCGUCCAGCGGGUGAUCAGACGCCGCCCCCCAAUCCACCUCCGGCAAAGAAGCAGAAGCAGUCCUGGAUUAUUAACCCGGACCCUUAUGUACCUAAGACCACAAAGGUACCGGAGCCAUCACUGAAGCCUCUCCCCACAAGGCCUUGGGAACGUAGUGCCGAGGAAACUGCCGCGGCCGCGGCUGCUGAUCAUGACAAAUGGAAGGCGGACUGCAAGAAGAAAAGAGAGCCCGAGCCCAAGCCAGUAUUUUCUGAUGAGCAAAAGAAGUGGGCUAAGUCAUUUUUGAGCACACCGUCCCAAGCCGCGAAGAAUCUGCCUGACGACUAUGCACGUGAACUUCGUAGGCAGGCACUCAUGUUGAAGGAGAAGAAAGAGCGGGCGGAGAACCAGGAGAACAAAGCCUUGGAGGAGGCCGAGAAAACGGAAUUAGAAAGUAAAAAAGCGGGAAACGAGUUGCCCAGCUCGGGGAACAAAGUAAACAAUCGAUUGCCCCGCUUAUAGUGAAAGCCGCCGGUCCGGAUGACCCCGAUAUCAUAGUAGCUGCGGCAGCACAUGGAUUGACUGUAACGAGUGCCAGAGAACAAGUGGCCAACUUAGGUAUUACUCUUCGUGAACUGUUAGGCCUUGAUGAGGCGCCAGUGAAGGAGGUAGUAAUUACAUAUGUGAAGAAUGGGCCUCUCGUCGAGCCUGCGCAGGAAAAGGAUCUACCUCCACAAAUGAAAGGUCUGCUGAAAUGGUACAAGGGUUACAUAAAAAAUAAAAACGCCAAAGAAUAUAUUUAUGCGGAAGUUAGAUAUGAGCAUCACUUCAAACAUUACUAUGUACAAAUUCUUCUGAGUGAAUUGUUCCAGCUUUUCAAUCUGCGCGAGCUCGACAAAUCUAUCAUCAGUUGCUACGUUCUGUAAGUGAUUUAUUUCUACCCCAUCUCGUUCAUAUUGCCUGCACUAUAUAUAUGUCCUAACUAUAUUGUUGUGUCCGCUAUUAUACAUGCAGAAUGAAGAUUAAGGAAUGCAGAGUAAGGAACAUCCAUGAUGUUGGGUUCAUUGACCCACACAUCGUUAAUGGAUAUGUGUUGGAGCAUCACCCCGCCGACAUGGAGGCAGACCUGUGGCAGUUUCUUACAAAGCAGGAACUCAAAAGUGAUAUUCUAUUUCCUUACCAUUUUGGGUGAGUGUUUCUGUCUUGAGCACAUUCUCUUUUGUUUACUCCAUGCAUGGUAUGUGGCUGGCUAAUCGAUGAGUUAUGCAUGACGUACUGUGCAUGUAUCGUGUCCGCAGGUUUCACUGGAUUCUGCUAGUAAUUAAAGUUGACACCUCAGAAUGUCUCGUCCACGACUCUCUGAAUAUGGAUCCAAAGCUUUGGGGCGGCAUGAGAAGAAUGCUGCAGAAGUAAUUAUUUUCAUUCAUUUGCGCUCUAUAUCGAUCGGCCUAUUUCGUUCAUUUCCUAAUAUCAAGUAACUAAUAACUCUCUUGUUCAUUUAAUUUUCUUUGCCUCGUAGGGUUUGGAGACGGUUCGUAGAUACAAAGGUCGGUGAAUUCAAAAAAGAGCUAGAAUUCAAAAGGUCAAAGGCUAAGAAUGCUGGGGAUAUUCAGCCAGCGGGGACCAAUCUAUGUGGAUACUAUGUCUGUGAGAUGAUCCGGAGAUACACCUCUGAGCGGGUUCCGAGUGAUACCAAUGCUCAGAGGAAUAACCUCCGGAUGAUGCUUAGUCCAGAAGCUCGCUUCCGACCACUUCAAGAGGAACUAGCUGGAUGGUUCAGCAGGGAAGUCCUCCAUUCUAAAGGAGAACACCAUUACGAGGACGUAGAACUUUAUAUGCAUUAAAUUAUGUAUGGAAACUUGUUCAAAAUUGUAUAUGGUCAUCCGAUGAUAUUGAAUAUAUAUUGUAUAUUCCUCUUGAAUUCUUUUUGGUUCUAAUUUCAAAUUUGUUUGAAAUUGUACAUUCAUAUGCAUGUAUGUAGUACCGUAGAAUAUGUGAAACUCCUUCAAAAUUAAAAUAAAGCACAAAAGAAAUAAAACAAUACAAAUUAAACAGAAAACAGGUUUAGGGGGGGGGGCUAAAACCCUAAACCUGUGGCGGCCUUUAGUCGCGGUUGGCCAGAAGAACCGCGACUAAAGGUCCUCCGCCCCGACGGCCGCCUGGCGCCCACGUGGACGGGCCUUUAGUCGCGGUUCUUAAGCAACCGCGACUAAAGUGGGGGUCCUUUAGUCGCGCCUAUUUGGUCGCGGUUGCGCAACCGCUACUAAUGGCAGUUGCGAACCGCGACCAAAGGCCCUUUUUCCACUAGUGGUGGAGUAAUGUUCGUAAAUUAUAUAUUGCUUUCAAGUUUGGAGCUGGAAUAAUAUAUGUGCUGCAUUUAGUUAUAGUCUUAUAGAUAUACAUGAACAUCCAUUGUAUAUUUCUUGCAAGACAUGGUAACUACUAUUAUUUUGAUUGUUUCCGUGAACUAUUUUGACCUUGAUUAAGAAGUAGAAAGUUUUUAGCCUCGUAGGUUGUUUGAUCUACUAUAUCAAGUGGCACUUGGCUUCUCAUGGCUCUCCUCGCAUUUGCCAAAACAAAAUUAGUACACACUACCUAGAGCUCUGGAAAUUAGAACUGAAAAAUGGUCCUGCGGUUUAUUAGCUGAUAUAAAUCAUGCACAAUCCUCUACAUUUAAAAAUAAACCGGACACAAAGCAGUAUACUUUUUUCCGAGUACUACCUUGAGAGAGCCAAGGGGUUCUGCAUUUUAUAAAGAAGAAGAAAGUUGCCCGGUUCCAUACAUGCUUAUCUGAGAAAUAUAUCUUAUCUAUCUAGUGGAAACCAGGCAAAAACCUACAGAUACAAAAGGCACAAAGUCCCCCACCGGUCGUGACCGAACUACUGUUUUUGGAAAUAUAAAAUGAGCUAGAUUACUAACAUUGAUGUAAUGCUUGUAUGUCAACCUAUUCCUUUAUCGGUUCAAUUACAGAGUUUUGUUAUUAUGUGAAUGGAGUAAUGGAGAGCUAAGAAAAAACAAGGUAACAGUUAGUGUUACUCUUGCGAGGUAGUUUCAAUCAUAUCAUUGUUUGCUUUCCCUUUUCUCCUGCCUAGGUAUGUACAAUUAUUCCAACCCAGGUUUCUUUCAAGAAGGAUAUGGGUAUGUGUUUGAGGAAUGUCUACAUGAUAAAACACACCUUCAAGUUUGGUGAUAGUUAUGCUAUCAAACUUACAAUGGGGGUCUUAAUUUGUAUUUUUAAUAGAGCACUGGGUUCAUUGGUGAGACUUGUGAGGAUGUGCCUAGGCUAAAGAUGGCUCCUAUGUCGGUACCAAGUGGCAUGUGUUUAAAUGGAGUAUCCUUGUCAGGAGAGCUGAUUUCUGAAAUAUGGUACUUUAUGGGUGCAAGGAUUCACCAUGUUGCGGUCUUCGUCAGCGAAGUGGACUCCUAGGAAUUAGUCAAGGCCGCUAUGUUGUUUUAAGCUGAUAUUCUAUUGUACUUGUAUUUUUUUUGCUUAUCUAGUUGUUUGCCAUGCAGUUCUCGUUGUUGGUGGGGACAUUUGUUGUCUAAGAUCGACCUCAAAUAUCUGGUGGCACUAUAGCAUGGCUUUUGAUAUUCUAAUGUAUAUCUCUUACAAAAUAUUUCAAGAGCCCGUGGCAACGCACGGGCAUUAUACUAGUGUAAGUAAGGAUGGAGAUGAAGAUGGUGUGGCGACAAGGAUAUAACAAAACGCCUGGUUCCUUCAGCCAAAAGUUGGCAACGUUCCUUGUUACACACGCUCCGCCCAACAAACGCUCCAAAAGCCAAAAUACAAUUCCUCAAACAACGGCCAAAGACUACUUCCCCACAUGGAAAAGAAAUACGCACAUGGCGUUACAAUGUUGGCUACUCAUGUCUGAGUUCCUAAACCCUUGCAAAACAGAAAGAAAGGUUGUUUGCUAAACAAAAGAAAGGCCAACACAAUCCUAUCCAAACACUCCACAUUUUUACUAUGUGGCAAAAAUAUGCAACUUUUUUUUGUUUUUAGGUACAUGCCAUUUAAAAAAAACACAAUUUUUUUAUGUUCACACGCCAAGGUAUUUUGUACACAUGGCAAAAUUUUCCGAAGAAGAAAAAUCUCACGACCCCAUGGAUAAUUCAUAACUUUUUGUCUUUCAAGCAGGGCAAUUUUAAGUCAUUUUGUAAUGCUAUUGUGGCAAACGAUGGGAUCUUUAAUCAAUUUUCAUGGCGAAUUUGGGAUUCUUUUCCCUACUUUUUCACAUGGCAAUUUUAUUAUGAUUAAAAUGGAGAUCUUAUUAUUCAAAACAUGGCAGCUUUACUAUUAAGAGCAUGGCAAUUUAAGUAUGAUAGAAUCUCCUCCCCUGCUCGGUCUACCCCACAUGCAUGGCGUAUAACAUCCUCUAGCCCCAAUUGCCGCCAAACCUCUUUAGCCUUAUGGCAUCGAAAUAGUACAUGAAACACAUCUUCUGCUCCUUGUUUACAUGUAGGACACGUCGGCCGGACUGGGAUGUGUCUAUUAGCAAGAACCACAUUGCAUGGCAGUGUUCCGUGUAAGGUUCUCAGAAGAAAAUUUUUAACUUUCGCCGGACAAUUCAGUUUCCAAACCUUUUCCCAUGUUGGGUUAGCACUAGUGGCUCCCAAACCAUCUGUCCUCUGCAAUUUACGACCAUGCUGAAAGUACCAUAGAGCAUGGUAGGCCGAUUUCACUGUAAAAAUUCCAUGUUUAUUCAAACUUCAUGCUACAAAGUCACUCAUAUCAUGUGUAGGUAGUGGUAAAGCAAGGACCCGUUCCACAUCAAUCGGCCAGAAGGUUUGCUCCACAAGUGGCACAUCCCAGUGACCUGUAGCUGGAUCAAUUAAAUCACUCACCUUUGAUAGUAACUGGUUACCUCUUGGGGUAAUAAUCAUUCUGGAUGGUGAGUUAGGAAUCCACGCAUCCCUCCAAACAUUUAUUUUUUCACCAUCCCCUACUCUCCAAAUGUAUCCAUGUUUCUGGGUAUUCACCCCUUGCAUAAUGCUUUGCCAAGUGUAGGAGGAAUUCUUUUUCAGCUUAAUUAAUUUACCAGCACAAGAAGCGGGGAGUGAAAAACUUCCAUGACUUGAUGUCCACUUGCUGCUGGUACCUUUGGUGGGAGAGGAGAAAGCUUGUGCACAAUGAGCCGGUACAAGAUGCGAAGAGAGUUGCGCAAGCGGUAUGUGCUUUAGCUGCUAACUAUGCUAUUGCAUGUGACCCAAAGGCCUCGUUAAAGAGGGGAGGUUGGUGCAAACCCCCUAGUGGAUAUGUCAAGUUAAAUGUUGAUGCGGCCUUUGAUUGGGAUUUGCUUCAGGGGGCGAUGGGAGCAGUCAUCCAGAUGAUAGAGGACAUAUGGUUGUAGCUGGAAACAAGCUCAUUGAUUCAUGUUAUGAUGUACUAACUGUUGAGGCAAUGGCUUUGAAGUUUGGGUUGAAUAUGGCGCUCACAGCUGGGUGCAAUAGACUGAUUGUCAACUCGAAUAAUCUGGAACUCAUGGAAAUAAUGAAUAAGGAUGGCCAAUAUGCUGGAGAUGCCGCGGCCAUUGUCGAUGAUUGUUAUCAUCUGGCUUGCGAAUUUAGCUCUAUUGUCUUCGAAUUUUGCCCCAGAGAGUCGAAUGGGGUUGCACAUGAACUAGCUAGGAUUGCUAGAAGUUCGCUUUGUAAUGAGUGGUUAGAUAAUGCUCCUUCUGAGCUUCUUCACCUCUACUUAAAGAUGUAAGUCUGAUCACGAAUGAAUAAAGAGGAAGUAAAGUUGUCAAAAAAAAAGAGCAUGACAAUUUUAUUUUUAAUGGCAUGUCAUUCUUACCUCUUUUUUUUUGAGAAAAGCAUGUCAUCUUUACUAUGUCCUUCUCGCCUGCUGUAUGAAGUAGGCGGACCCUAGAUGGGCUUUCCCAAUAUUGGUUCCUGGGACAGGGUUCAUGCAGAGUUUUUUUUUCCUGGGCCAAUUUUCAUCUUUUUGUUUGGUUUUCUGUCUUAUGUGUUUCUUUAUGGAUUUUAUUUCUUUCUCAAUACAUGUCCAUUUUUCUAAAUACACACUGUAAAAAUUUACACAUCUUGAACAUUUUUUAUUAAUUGGCAUAAACCUAUUUUUGGAGUGUGUGAGCAUUUUUUAAUUGUCAUGUACAUUUUUCUGAAAGGCAGUAUUUAUUUUGUUGAAUUACGUGAGCAUUCUUUCCACAUUGUAUGACAUUUUCUAAUAAUCUCACGUAUAUUUUUUGAAACACGCGAACAUAUUUUUGAAUGCUAUAAACAUUUUUUAUAUCAUGCUGCAUUUGGUCUAUAUUAGUUUAAACUAAGUCAGUGACAAUUAAUAUGGAUCAUAGAGAGUACAAUUUUGUACAUGAUGUUUAUACUUUUAUAUUUCACUUUCAACAUUUUUUAUUUGUUAAACUCUAUUGUGUUUUUGGAAUAAGUGUAUUUAGAAUAUAUUUUUUUAAAUGUAAAUAAAAUGGAGCGAAUGAAGAAGCAGAGAAGAAAAACGAAGGCCGGCCAAAUGUAUGGCGUUCCCUGCCUCAUACCUGCAAAUCAAGCUAAGCAGCGGGUGAUAAUUUUUUACACAAUGUUUAUAGUUUUCUAUUUCACUUUGAACAUUUCAAAAUUUUAAGGAAAUUAUUAUUUUUAAAUAAAUGUUUUUAGUUUUUUUAAUAAAAAGGUGAAAAAAAGGAAAUUGAGCGAAUGAAGAAGCAGAGAAGAAAAACGCCCUUUCUUUCAUCAACUGAACUGCGUGCGUGCAUGGAAGGGCUAUCAUCUGCACUUAAGAGGAGUGACUUACCUAUCAUUGUGGAGAUGGACUCUAUUCUUGCAGUCAAACUGAUCCAAUCGAGGGAUUUGGACAAAUCUAUUUAUGCUUGGAUAGUUAAGGUGAUCAAGUAUGUUUUGGGGAUUCGUGGUUCUUGUAUUACUCAUGUAAAUCGCUCUUAAAAUAAAGUUAGCGACUGCUUAGCUAGAUUUGCUAAAUUAGAAGGACAAAGCAUGACUUGGGUUGGUUCUGGUCCAGAUGUUGCUGUUGAGCCAGCUAUUGCUCAAUGUAUGGACACCAUGAGUUGAGUAAUGCAAAAAAAAAAAAAAAGUUUGCGCAGAAUUAUUUUCGACCUGCCUCAUAUCUCUACUCUUAAUGGACGACUUGGUGAAUAGUCUUCAUGGUUUAUUUUCGCUGUUUUUUUUUGUCAUCCUCCCACCUCACGGUUUCAAAAAAACCAACCAAAACCAGAGGCCCGUCCCACGAAACGAAACCCAAUUUGCCCCCGUACCAUCACUCCUCCCUCUCCCUCUACCUCCCUUGUCUAGGGUUCCCCGCCACCACUGCGGCAUCCGCCGCCGAAUCCUAGGUCGCCGCACACCGUCGCCGCCGCCGCGAAUCCCCAGGGACGCCGCACGCCACCGCCGUCGCGAAUCACCAGAGACGCUGCACGCUGCCGCCGCGGAUCCCCAAGGGCGUGGUCGCAUUGUACUAGACAAAGUGUGGUCGCCGUCGUCCUCUCCUCGUCCGACCUUGACCUCAUCCCUUCGACUCCGGUGACUCCUCUGUGGCCCGGGCGGCCCUGGCCGACGCCGUCACAGCCAACGCCGGCCUCACCUCUGCGGCCUCACGCACUGCCGCCGCCGAGGAGCCGGCCUGAUAGGUUUGAACCAUCCCUUGAUCCCUCGAGUAUUCUGCGUCCCUUGAUGGCUCGAUUCCUUGUCUUCUCCAUCUAUCAAUCCCUCGCAUCCUUGCAUGCUACGAAGAGAAUGGUUCCCUUUCUACAGGGUCUGGUGUGAAAGAGUUGGAGCAAGGAGGACGUGUGCGGCCACUUCGCGCUUCGGCGAGAUCCUCAAGGUUGUCAUCGCAGACAAGGGCACUGGAAGAUCCAAGGGCGGCGGAUUCGUGAGUACCGCCCAAACAAUUCUCUCCUCCCCUCAUCAUCGAUUGAUCUUCCUGUAGUUAAUUUUCUUGCUUAAUUCAGCCCCGUUAGUUGAUGCUAUGCCUGGAUGGAUGCUUGGCAUGUUACGUUCCAGGAAGCGGAGGCGGCCAUUAGGGCGUGCUUGGGUCCGUACCCGGUGAUUGACGGCCGGAGGGCCAACUGCAACCUCGCCUGCCUCGAGGUCCAAGGCGCCACAACGAAAACGCCCGCCUCGAUACUCAGCUUCAAGGGAUGUGUCCUGCCACGGGUAGUGCCAUCACACCGGCACAAUGAACUCCCGUGCAACCCAGCAUCCGCAUUGAGACAUCUUUCUUGGCGCUGCCAUUGCUGCCGUACUCUGACAGUCCAUGCAUUGACGCAUCGAUUCAGAAGGUGAGCCCCAGCGACGGCUCCGGAAGAAGGGAUUGGCUGCAGCUGAUUUGGGAGGCCCAGUCGGGGAGAGCAGGGAGGAGGAGCAUCGAUGAUAUUCCUCCCGUCCCAUAGCCAAAGGGAGUGUCAGCGCACCCAGCGGCGGCACAUCUUGCGGCAGCAAUUGACGUAUCGUACCAGGCGGCUGUGUAGCUGGUGAAGUGGUGAGUGCAAAGUGUUUGUGCUAAUGAUUGAGCGGAGUUAUCUUAUGAUUGUCAUAUCACACUAUUUACGAGUAGUAAUGCUUAACUCCGUUGCCUUAGCGUGUGAUUGUGUCAUGUCCGUGACAAUACUAAUGCUCAAUGUUGUUGCCCGAGAGGCCCUUUUUGUAGUUAUCAUAAACGAGUAGGCAGCAUGUAAGAGCACCCACAGUGCUUAGAUGUAUGCUCAUUGCCCUUAAGCAGUGCGUUCUUGUCAACUCACAAGAUUGUACUAUUGUAUUUUGUAGGUACAUCUGAAGAUUCAUCUGCAGUUAGGUAGAAAAUGAUUCAUGUUUUACAUCCAAAAGUUAUACAUUUUUCAGGCUGUAAGCACCUUUAAAGUUAUUCAUGCAUACUUUUUUCAGGCUGUAAACUGCACCCUUAUAGUUAUUCAUGCCUUUUCUUUUAUAUAGUCGUGAUACUUAGAAUACUUAUAUAUUGUCAGUUAUAGGUAAUAUGUUCCAUCAAACAGGAGUUUACUCAGUAUUCAAUAAGAUAUUUUAUUUUUAAUAGUUAUAAGAGGAGACCUGCAUGAAAAACAAGAGUGCAGUUGGUUCAAUCAAAUAGAACUGCAGGUUGAUGGGGGUGGUUUAAUAAAAAGAAAAAGAUGAAAUAGAUUGGUGUUUAUUUAUUCUCUGCGGAAAAUUUUGGGCUCUUUUGUUAUGCUUGCAACUUUGUUUUGGAAUAGGGUAGUUAAAGUGUACUUUUCUUAUGGAAGGCAUGAAAAAGCAUGCGUAGCUAAUUACAACUCAGAAACAAAUGUCUUUGUUUCAAAAAUGACAAUGACGGAAUAAAUUGUUUCAAAAAAUAACUACAAAAAUCUAAAAAUCUAAACAUAGUGAUCAGAUGAACACGGUGGCCACUGAUGAUGUUGGAAUUAGGAUAAGUAGCGAGAUGGGUGGGAGGGCAUGUUGAAGUAGAGAACAUGGACUUGCGGGGAGGAGGGGUGCUUACUUGAGCCAAUUUAUUAGAUUAAGGGUGUGCAUGACUUUUUCCAUAUGCACGAAUUAUUAGUUAGUGAGAAUUAAGCGCCAUGCAUUCUUGGUUUGAUUGUUAUUCGUCGACCAUGAGCAAGAAUCUGUCAAUUAAUUAGAUGCUUUAAUUAACUUAUAUGUAAUGGCAGGGUGUCCAUGUUGAACGGAAACGCCUAUGGUUGCCCUUCAAGCACUAACAAAUUGGAAAUUCCAAGCCCUGCUGAGAUUACGAGCAGAGUGGAAAGGGAAUCAACACCAUCACGCCAAAACAUUGAAGGUGAAUAAGUGGACCACUAUCUAAGUAAAUAGACGAACCAUAUUUUGUUAGAACUAAGCAGUUGCUGCUAAUAUAAUCCUCUCCAGCAAGAUCAGUUUCGGACAAUAUAAUUUGCUAUUCACUUUCUAUGUGUUUAAGCAUGCUCAAACUCAAUACAAAUGAACAUAAUUCUUUUUUUUAGGUCAUUGCAUGACAAAUAAGAAUACUUACAUCACUGAAUUUCUGAUGUUUUUCUGUCGGAAGUUAGUUCAGUUAGGCACUUCUAAUUGCUUAAGCUCGAUUUCACUCAAGUUUGAUAUAAUCUGCAGGAGCAAUCCAAGAGCUAAAAACUACAGUGAUCUCACUAUUCACCAAGUAUUGUUAUUUUCUCUACCUACGUCCUAAUCAGGUGUGUCACCUUGUGUUGACUUUGCCUACUGAAUUAUAACGAGUCUUGAACUUUGUUAUCUGAUUUUCCUUAUCCUACUUCUUAGCUUUUCAUGCUAUUCUGCGCGCUGUGCAUAAUGUGCAUUUCUUGUUAUUUGCUAAUGUGUACUGGACAAGCGCGGCAGCAAAUUCAUAGUGUGCAUUUCUUGUUAUUUGCCAAUGGUUGUACUGGACAAAGCAUGGUCUUUUGUCCAAACACAUCCCUUAUGUUAUGUCCAAAAUUAGGUUGUUAGUCCUUUUUAGUGGGGUGCACUUAUAUCUCAAUUUUUCCUCCAGUUGUUUAUUACAUAUUGUGAUAUUGGUACAAAGGCUGCCACAAAAGACGAGCAUGUCUGGAUCAGCAAUAUGUCAGGUGNNNNNNNNNNNNNNNNNNNNNNNNNNNNNNNNNNNNNNNNNNNNNNNNNNNNNNNNNNNNNNNNNNNNNNNNNNNNNNNNNNNNNNNNNNNNNNNNNNNNNNNNNNNNNNNNNNNNNNNNNNNNNNNNNNNNNNNNNNNNNNNNNNNNNNNNNNNNNNNNNNNNNNNNNNNNNNNNNNNNNNNNNNNNNNNNNNNNNNNNNNNNNNNNNNNNNNNNNNNNNNNNNNNNNNNNNNNNNNNNNNNNNNNNNNNNNNNNNNNNNNNNNNNNNNNNNNNNNNNNNNNNNNNNNNNNNNNNNNNNNNNNNNNNNNNNNNNNNNNNNNNUAAAACACAUAGACUGUUUUUAUUUUACUAAAAUGUCUACUGCCGACGCAUGUUUGAACUGAAAUGUAUUCUGUUAACAAUUUAUGCUUUACCUUAAUUUCUGCUUUGUGUGCAGGCCCUAGCAGAGCUUGAACCUUCUUCAGCAAAUAAGGGUCACUGAGUUCUUAUAGUCAGUCACUGGACCACAAUGGUUGAUAUCCUUCAAUGGACACUGGAAGUAAUAUGAGCUACAGAUAUGCGUCUCAAUGGGGGGUUAUUUCUUUCCUCAACAAGUUACAGUACAGUAGCAAAGGUAAAGUGAACACACAACUUGAUUGUAUGGUUCUUAGAAUGUCACUGUACUCAGAGGCAGAGGACGAAAAAAAAUUAAGGUGUGGCGAAAUCUUAGGAAAAUAUUUUUUUUGAUGCAAAUUGAAAUAGUCAAUACAAAGUACAAACGAAAAACCAAAUACAAUGAAAAUGUAGACAUGUUUCAAUAGAAAAACAACCUAAAACAUACCAAUAAUCAAGUUUUCAAUGGCGUCUAGAAGACCUAGGUAAUGGCAAUGACCUACCCUCCUUCUGAAAAUCUUCCUUAAUUUUACUAUCAAUACUUUUGAAGAUCUCUCGCUCAAUAUAACAAACCAUCAAGUCACUUGAUCUUCAUGAGUGACAUGUGCCCAAACAUUGACACUUUAGCGGGUGCUUGGAUUCGAUUUCGAGCUGCUGCCACUACCAUUACUUCAAAAUACUUUGUCAAAUAUGCAAUCCAUAACAUCAAUUUGUAACUCAAUUCUGAUUGGUUUCAAGCUGCUGUUAUGCUACAAAUUUUCAUAGACAUGAGCAAUCUACCGCUUCCACCCCAUUCCUUUGGAUUUGCUGGUCCCUUCCCCUCCUUUUCCAUCUUAUGGCCAGAACUGCACCGGACUGGAGCCGCCGCCGUCAGCUGCCCCGUCGUCGGUCACCCGCCUGUUCAUCAGCCCAAUUUUCAUUACAUUUAUUACAAAAACUAAACUUUGCUAGCUCAUGAGCUACUGAAUUAGCAUCACGAAAACAGUGUGAAAAGAUGACCUUCCCUAUCACUAGUAGAAAACGGAGCUUUAAAACCGGUUUGUAAGGGCCUUUAGUGCCGGUUAUGGAACCGGCACUAAAGUGUGGGCACUAAAGGCCCCCCCCUAGUACCGGUUCGGCAUGAACCGGCGCUAAAGUGCCACCACGUGGCGUGAGCUCGCGCCCUGGUAUGGGGGACCUUUGGUACCGGUUGGUGUUACCAACCGGUACUAAAGGUUUUUUUUGAAUUUUUUUUUUGAAAAUUUCGGAAAAAAAUUUUGAUUUUUUUUUUGAUUUUUAAUUUUUCUGAAUUAUUUGAUGAUUUAGUCUCUAAUCACCUCUCUUAACUGCUCAAGUGUGGAUCACUCAUUCCAAAUCAUCUAACUGUUGGGGAACGUAGUAAUUUCAAAAAAAAAAUCCUACGCACACGCAAGAUCAUGGUGAUGGCAUAGCAACGAGAGGGGAGAGUGUAUGUCCACGUACCCUCGUAGACCGUAAGCGGAAGCGUUAGCACAACGCGGUUGAUGUAGUCGUACGUCUUCACGAUCCGACCGAUCCAAGCACCGAACGUACGGAGCCUCCGAGUUCAGCACACGUUCAGCUCGAUGACGUCCCUCGAACUCCGAUCCAGCCGAGUGUCGAGGGAGAGUUCCGUCAGCACGACGGCGUGGUGACGAUCUUGAUGUUCUACCAGCGCAGGGCUUCGCCUAAGCUUCGCGACGAUAUGACCGAGGUGGAAUAUGGUGGAAGGGGGCACCGCACACGGCUAAGGAACGAUCCGUAGAUCAACUUGUGUGUCUAUGGGGUGCCCCCCGCCCCCGUAUAUAAAGGAGCCAGGGGGGAGGAGGCCACCGGCCUAGGGGGCGCGCCAAGGGGGGAGUCCUACUCCCACCGGGAGUAGGACUCCCCUUUUCCAAGUUGGAGUAGGAGAGAAGGAGGAAAGAGGGGAGGAGGAGAAGGAAAAGGGGGGGCGCCGCCCCCUUUCCCUUGUCCUAUUCGGACUAGGAGGGGGAGGGGCGCGCGGCCCCCCUCCUUGCUCCUUCCUCUUCUCCCUCUUGGCCCAUGUAGGCCCAUUAACCUCCCCGGGGGGUUCCGGUAACCUCCCGGUACUCCGGUAAAAUGCCGUUUUCACCCGGAACCAUUCCGAUGUCCAAAUAUAGGCUUCCAAUAUAUCAAUCUUUAUGUCUCGACCAUUCCGAGACUCCUCGUCAUGUCCGUGAUCACAUCCGGGACUCCGAACAAACUUCGGUACAUCAAAACUUAUAAACUCAUAAUAAAACUGUCUGUUAGAGUCAGAUCCUCCGACGGAGCCGCAUAGUAAUGAACAACGUGGAGUGCAAGUCAAGCAGCUACCAAAUAGAUAGUUUCCAUCUCUGUUGGUCUAUUCGUAUUGUAUACAAACUCUGUAAUUUUUGGAUGCAUAUAUAUACGAGGAGGCUGUACCGUGGCUGGCAUUGAGCCGCCCGGUGUAUUCCAAUUUACGUGGUAUCAGGCCACAUCGUUCCUCUCCUGUCAAGACUCGAUCUCAAAACCUAAUCGCCGCCGCCGUUGCCGUUGCCACCAUCGUCGCUUCCCACAGCCUCCUUCUUCUCUGCCACCAUGAACGCUGACGACCUCAAGAAGCUUGAAGAGGAGCUCAAGCAACGCGAGUCCAUCAUCAGAACUCGCGAGGAAGAACUCCGGUGUCUUGCCGAGGAGCGCGGCAAGAUAGUUCUCGCAUCCACCCCUGCACCUGUUCCUGCACCGUCCUCCUAUGCUGCUUCAAUCAAGACAUAUGUUCCCAUCACUCUUGAUCUUCAGGAUUCCAACUACGCCAAAUGGCGUGAGCUUUUUCUCGUGGUCCUUGGGCGCUACGGCCUCUCCAGCCACGUCGGCGGCGGCGGCGCCGCCGACGCCACCCCCUCCGACACGUCGCCUACCUUGGAUUGGGGACGCGAUGACUACACGGUGCUCUCCUGGAUCUACGGUUCGGUCUCCAUCGAGCUCUUCGGCAUCAUCAUGGCUCCCGGCUCCACGGCGCGGCAAGUCUGGGACUCCAUUGCCAACCUCUUCCACGACAAUAAGAAAAGCCGCGCCUUAGCCCUCGAUGCCGAGUUCCGCAACACUCCACAAGGGGACAUGUCUAUUCAUGACUACUGCGCCAAACUCAAGUCUCUUGCCGACGCUCUCGGUGAUGUCGGCCAAAAUAUCACCGACGAGACGCUCGUCCUCACAGUGCUCCGCGGCCUCAAUGAACAAUUCAGUCAUCUUCGGUCUUUUCUACUGUUCCAGGUGCCGUUCCCAUCCUUCCUGCAGACACGUUCCGCUCUCGUCCUCGAGGAGACGCAGAAAAAGACGGACGCCAAGAACGCGGCGGCAACCGCACUCUGGGCAAGCAGCAACAGCAUCCUCCCUCAUGCUGGCGGGGAGCGUGCUCCUUCUUCUAGCCGCGGCACUGGCUACAACAACAGCGACUCACGCAACGCCGCCACACACUCCACCACGCCCUACCCCAACCCUGGCCGCGGCAGUGGAAAUGGCGGACGCCGCGGACGUGGAGGCGGCCGCGGACGAGGCCGCGACAAUCCUUGGAUGUUCAACCCAUGGACCGGCCUCCCGACUCGGGCUCAACAACAACAACAACAUCCUCCCACUGCACCGUGGCAGCCCCGCUGGCGUGCUCGCAGCGCCGGCGUCCUUGGUCCUCACCCCGGUGCAGCUCCUUUCCAGGCGUACACUGCAUAUGGUCAGCAACACACCAACAACGGUGGCAUGAUGCCGUCACCAUCUACAAGCUAUCCAGGAGGUCACCAGCAACUUGAUCCAGCCUUGCUGAACGCACUUCAGAACAUGCAGCUUCCUGGCAAUCAAGAGUGGUACAUGGACUCUGGAGCAUCAUCCCAUAUGGCAUCCGAUCAUGGUAUUCUCUCCUCCUCCCAACCCUCCUCUGCUCACACCGUCACUGUUGGUAACGGUGCCUCCCUUCCCAUCUCUCACAUCGGCACACACACCCUGCCCUCUCUUUCGAAACAUUUAUAUCUUAACAAUGUUCUUGUCGUUCCACAUAUCAUCAAAAAUCUUCUUUCCGUUCGCAAACUUACCACUGAUAAUUUUGUUUCGAUAGAAUUUGACCCUUGGGGUUUUUCUGUGAAGGCACUUCCCACAAGGAUCGAGAUUCUUCGAUGCAAUAGCUCCGGACCACUCUACCCAGUAUGUCGUCCCACGCCCGCCGAAGCACAUGUCAUCACCACCACCCUCGACCUUUGGCAUCGCCGACUUGGACACCCCGGUCAUCACACCAUGAAGCGUCUUCAAAGUUCUUGCCAUAUCUCCUACAAUAAAAUCAUGCCAUCCAUUUGUCAUGCUUGUCAGCUUGGGCGACAUGUUAGAUUACCCUUUUAUCCAUCUGUUUCUUAUAUUAGCAAACCUUUUGCAUUAUUACACUGUGAUCUUUGGACUUCUCCCGUACCCAGUACAUCUGGCUUUGCCUAUUAUCUUAUAAUUGUCGAUGAUUUCACUCAUUAUUUUUGGACUUUCCCACUGCGCAAGAAAUCUGAUGUCUAUGCAACACUUCUCACCUUUCAUGCUUACGCUCGCACUCAAUUUAAUCUAUCUAUUUUAGCUUUCCAAUGCGACAAUGGACGAGAGUUUGACAAUACAAAAAUAGAUACUUUCUGUGCCUCUCACGGUAUUCUCCUUCGCUUCUCCUGUCCAUACACCUCUCAACAAAACGGCAAGGCUGAAUGAGCUAUUCGCACCACCAACAAUGUCAUACGUACCCUUCUGGUCCAAGCUUCUCUCCCCCCAUCCUUCUGGGCCGAAGCACUACACACUGCCACCUUUCUUAUAAACAUUAGACCGACGUCGUCUACCAAAUUUCUCACACCAUAUGCAACUCUUCUUGGUUCGUCACCCCCAUAUGACUCACUUCGUGUGUUUGGUUGCCUCUGUUACCCUAACACUACAUCCACAUCUUCCAACAAACUAUCUCCACGCUCCACAAAAUGCAUCUUUCUUGGGUACCCGACACGCCAUAGAGGUUAUCGGUGUCUUGAUUUAACCACACGACGGAUCAUCAUCUCUCGUCAUGUGGUUUUUGACGAGUCCUCCUUCCCCUAUGCACCCGCCCCCAUUCCUAAUCCACCACGUUGUACAGAAAUUUUCGACCCACCUGAACCAAUCCAUCCGCUUGUUCCCCCUGCCAUGCAUGCAUCCCCUCCACCUGCGCCAGCUAUGCAUGCGCCUGCUAUGCAUGUGCCCAACACCCCGCCACCAACGCCUCAUUCUUCUGGCUCGUCUUCGACCCCGCCUACUAGCACCCCGCUCGCUUCUCCACCACCGGGCUCUUCCUCUACUCACGGGGUGCAGCCUAGCCCACCUGUGCAAUCCACCCCACCUGGCUCGCCAUCCCCUAACCCCAUACCACCGCCCGCUCCACUACAUCGUACACGCUCCACUACUGGCCGGCUUCCUCCACCCAUCGACCGCCUUAACCUCUCUGCUAUUGCUUCUUCUCCACUCCCACACAACUAUCUUAUGGCAUUACGCGAUCCCAACUGGCGUCAAGCCAUGCAAGAAGAGUUUGAUGCUCUCAUCCUAAAUAAAACAUGGACUCUUGUUCCUGCUCCUCCCGGUGCAAAUGUUGUGAGUGGUAAAUGGAUUUUUCGCCAUAAAUAUCAUGCCGACGGCUCUCUCGCUCGUCACAAGGCUCGUUGGGUAGUCCGUGGUUUUACGCAACAACCAGGAAUUGACUUUGAUGAAACCUUCAGUCCUGUUGUUAAACCUGCCACUAUUCGCAUUGUUCUCUCUCUUGCUAUCUCUCAAUCUUGGCCCAUACACCAGCUUGAUGUAAAAAAUGCCUUCCUCCAUGGCCAUCUUGAUGAAGUUGUCUAUAGUCAACAACCCUCUGGCUUUGUUGAUCCACGUCACCCCACUUAUGUGUGUCGUCUUCUUAAAUCUCUAUAUGGUUUAAAACAAGCUCCCCGCGCAUGGUUUCAGCGGUUUGCCACCUUUGCGCGCUCCAUUGGGUUCGUUGAAUCCAAAUCCGAUGCCUCUCUUUUCAUUUUUCACCAGGGCACCAACUUAGCAUAUCUCCUUCUUUAUGUCGAUGACAUCAUUCUUACUGCCUCCACCCCAUCUACUCUUGCUACUAUCACACAUGCCAUGGCACGUGAAUUUGCUAUGAAGGAUCUUGGCCCCCUACAUCACUUCCUUGGCAUUUCUGUUACACGUACUUCUAGCAGCCUCCACCUCUCUCAACGAAACUACAUUCUUGACAUCUUGAAUCGUGCAGGCAUGCGUGAUUGUCAUCCCGUCCCUACACCUAUUGAUACCAAAGCAAAACUCUCCUCCACAUCUGGGUCCCCUGUUUCCGAUCCUUCUCAGUAUCGUAGCUUAGCUGGCGCACUACAAUAUGCUACACUCACUCGUCCCGACACUGCUUACGCCGUGCAACAAGUAUGUCUCCAUAUGCACGAUCCACGAGAACCCCAUUUCUCUCUCAUAAAAUGCAUUCUCCGCUAUCUUCAUGGCACUCUCGACCUUGGUCUUUCUCUGCAUCGCACUUCUUCUCACUCUCUCAUUGCCUACUCGGAUGCCGACUGGGCUGGUUACCCGGACACACGACGCUCUACGUCUGGAUUUUGCAUGUACCUCGGUGAUAAUCUCAUUUCUUGGUCCGCACAACGACAAACGACCGUCUCCCGCUCUAGUGCCGAGGCAGAGUACAGGGCAGUAGCUGCGGCUGUUUCAGAGUCAUGUUGGGUUCGGCAGCUCCUACAGGAACUUCGACGGCCGAUCUCGACUGCCACAAUUGUCUACUGUGAUAAUGUCAGUGCCGUCUACUUGUCUGCCAACCCCGUUCAGCAUCGACGGACCAAGCAUAUUGAGCUGGAUAUUCACUUUGUUCGGGAGAAGGUCGCCCUAGGAGACGUGCGCGUUUUACAUGUACCCUCGUCCUCGCAGUUCGCGGACAUUUUCACGAAGGGUUUGCCUACUACUCUUUUUCAAGAGUUUCGCUCCAGUCUUCAGGUCGAGAGCUCUCCCGGUUCAGACUGCGGGGGCGUGUUAGAGUCAGAUCCUCCGACGGAGCCGCAUAGUAAUGAACAACGUGGAGUGCAAGUCAAGCAGCUACCAAAUAGAUAGUUUCCAUCUCUGUUGGUCUAUUCGUAUUGUAUACAAACUCUGUAAUUUCUGGAUGCAUAUAUAUACGAGGAGGCUGUACCAUGGCUGGCAUUGAGCCGCCCGGUGUAUUCCAAUUUACACUGUCAUCAAAAACGUUAAGCGUGCGGACCCUACGGGUUCGAGAACUAUGUAGACAUGACCUAAAACCAUUCUCGGUCAAUAACCAAUAGCGUGACCUGGAUGCCCAUAUUGGUUCCUACAUAUUCUACGAAGAUCUUUAUCGGUCAAACCGCAUAACAACAUACUUUGUUCCCUUUGUCAUCGGUAUGUUACUUGCCCGAGAUUUGAUCGUCGGUAUCCAAUACCUAGUUCAAUCUCGUUACCGGCAAGUCUCUUUACUCAUUUCGUAAUAUGUCAUCUCAUAACUAACUCAUUAGUUACAUGCUUGCAAGGCUUAGGUGAUGAGUAUUACCAAGAGGGCCCAGAGAUACCUCUCCGACAAUCGGAGUGACAAAUCCUAAUCUCGAAUUAUGCCAACCCAACAUGUACCUUCGGAAACACCUGUAGAGCACCUUUAUAAUCACCCAGUUACGUUGUGACGUUUGGUAGCACACAAAGUGUUCUUCCGGUAAACGGGAGUUGCACAAUCUCAUAGUUGCAGGAACUUUGUAUAAGUCAUGAAGAAAGCAAUAGCAGUAUACUAAACGAUCAAGUGCUAGGCUAACAAAAUGGGUCAUGUCAAUCACAUCAUUCUCCUAAUGAUGUGAUCCCACUAAUCAAAUGACAACACAUGUCUAUGGUCAGGAAACAUAACCAUCUUUGAUUAAUGAGCUAGUCAAGUAGAGGCAUACUAGUGACUAUAGUUUUGUCUAUGUAUUCACAUAUGUAUCAUGUUUCCAGUUAAUACAAUUCUAGCAUGAAUAAUAAACAUUUAUCAUGAUAUGAGGAAAUAAAUAAUAACUUUAUUAUUGCCUCUAGGGCAUAUACCACUUGCACUAGAGUCAAUAAUCUAGAUUACAUAGUAAUGAUUCUAACACCCAUGGAGUCUUGGUGCUGAUCAUGUUUUGCUCGUGAGAGAGGCUUAGUCAACGGGUCCGCAACAUUCAGAUCCGUAUGUAUCUUGCAAAUCUCUAUGUCUCCCACUUGGACUUGGUUCCGAAUGGAAUUGAAGCGUCUCUUGAUGUGCUUGGUCCUCUUGUGAAAUCUGGAUUCCUUUGCCAAAGCAAUUGCACCAGUAUUGUCACAGAAGAUCUUCAUUGGUCCCGAUGCACUAGGUAUGACACCUAGAUCGGAAAUGAACUCCUUCAUCCAGACUCCUUCAUUUGCUGCUUCAGAAGCAGCUAUGUACUCCGCUUCACAUGUAGAUCCCGCCACGACGCUUUGUUUAGAACUGCACCAACUUACAGCUCCAUCGUUUAAUAUAAACACGUAUCCGGUUUGCGAUUUAGAAUCGUCCGGAUCAGUGUCAAAGCUUGCAUCGACGUAACCAUUUACGACUAGCUCUUUGUCACCUCCAUAUACGAGAAACAUAUCCUUAGUCCUUUUCAGGUAUUUCAGGAUGUUCUUGACCGCUGUCCAGUGAUCCACUCCUGGAUUACUUUGGUACCUUCCUGCCAAGCUUAUUGCUAAGCAUACGUCAGGUCUGGUACACAGCAUUGCAUACAUGAUAGAGCCUAUGGCUGAAGCAUAGGGAACAUUUUUCAUUUUCUCUCUAUCUUCUGCUGUGGUCGGGCAUUGAGUUUGACUCAACUUCACACCUUGUAGCACAGGUAAGAAUCCUUUCUUUGCCUGAUCCAUUUUGAACUUUUUCAAAAUCUUGUCAAGGUAUGUGCUUUGUGAAAGUCCUAUUAAGCGUCUUGAUCUAUCUCUAUAGAUCUUGAUGCCCAAUAUGUAAGCAGCUUCACCGAGGUCUUUCAUUGAAAAACUUUUAUUCAAGUAUCCCUUUAUGCUAUCCAGAAAUUCUAUAUCAUUUCCAAUUAAUAAUAUGUCAUCAACAUAUAAAACUAGAAAUGCUACAGAGCUCCCACUCACUUUCUUGUAAAUACAGGCUUCUCCAAAAGUCUGUAUAAAACCAUAUGCUUUGAUCACACUGUCAAAGUGUUUAUUCCAACUCCGAGAUGCUUGCACCAGUCCAUAAAUGGAACGCUGGAGCUUGCACACUUUGUCAGCACCUUUUGGAUCAACAAAACCUUCCGGCUGCAUCAUAUACAACUCUUCUUCUAGAAAUCCAUUCAAGAAUGCAGUCUUGACAUCCAUUUGCCAAAUUUCAUAAUCAUGAAAUGCAGCAAUAACCAACAUGAUUCGGACAGACUUAAGCAUCGCUACGGGUGAGAAAGUCUCAUCGUAGUCAACCCCUUGAACUUGUCAAAAACCUUUCGCAACAAGUCGAGCUUUAUAGACAGUAACAUUACCAUCAGCGUCAGUCUUCUUAAAAAUCCAUUUAUUCUCAAUGGCUUGCCGAUCAUCGGGCAAGUCAACCAAAGUCCAUACUUUGUUUUCAUACAUGGAUCCCAUCUCAGAUUUCAUGGCCUCUAGCCAUUUUGCGGAAUCUGGGCUCAUCAUCGCUUCCUCAUAGUUCGUAGGUUCAUCAUGGUCAAGUAACAUGACUUCCAGAAUAGGAUUACCGUACCACUCUGGUGCGGAUCUUACUCUGGUAGACCUACGAGGUUCAGCAGAAACUUGAUCUGAAGUUUCAUGAUCAAUAUCAUUAGCUUCCUCACUAGUUGGUGUAGUUGUCACGGGAACCGGUUCUCGUGAUGAACUACCUUCCAACAAGGGAGUAGAUACAGUUAUCUCAUCAAGUUCUACUUUCCUCCCACUCACUUCUUUCGAGAGAAAUUCCUUCUCUAGAAAGGAUCCAUUCUUAGCAAUGAAUGUCUUGCCUUCGGAUCUGUGAUAGAAGGUGUACCCAACAGUCUCUUUUGGGUAUCCUAUGAAGACACAUUUCUCCGAUUUGGGUUCGAGCUUAUCUGGUUGAAGUUUCUUCACAUAAGCAUCGCAGCCCCAAACUUUAAGAAACGACAACUUCGGUUUCUUGCCAAACCACAGUUCAUAAGGCGUCGUCUCAACGGAUUUUGAUGGUGCCCUAUUUAACGUGAAUGCGGCCGUCUCUAAAGCAUAACCCCAAAAUGAUAGUGGUAAAUCGGUAAGAGACAUCAUAGAUCGCACCAUAUCAAGUAAAGUACGAUUACGACGUUCGAACACACCAUUUCGUUGUGGUGUUCCAGGUGGCGUGAGUUGCGAAACUAUUCCGCAUUGUUUCAAAUGUAAACCAAACUCGUAACUCAAAUAUUCUCCUCCAUGAUCAGAUCGUAGAAACUUUAUUUUCUUGUUACGAUGAUUUUCUACUUCACUCUGAAAUUCUUUGAACUUUUCAAAUGUUUCAGACUUGUGCUUCAUUAAGUAGAUAUACCCAUAUCUGCUCAAAUCAUCUGUGAAGGUGAGAAAAUAACGAUAUCCGCCACGAGCCUCAACAUUCAUUGGACCACAUACAUCUGUAUGUAUGAUCUCCAACAAAUCUGUUGCUCUCUCCAUAGUUCCGGAGAACGGUGUUUUAGUCAUCUUGCCCGUGAGGCACGGUUCGCAAGUACCAAGUGAUUCAUAAUCAAGUGAUUCCAGAAGUCCAUCAGUAUGGAGUUUCUUCAUGCGUUUUACACCGAUAUGACCUAAACGGCAGUGCCACAAAUAAGUUGCACUAUCAUUAUCAACUCUGCAUCUUUUGGCUUCAACAUUAUGAAUAUGUGUAUCACUACUAUCGAGAUUCAAUAAAAAUAGACCACUCUUCAAGGGCGCAUGACCAUAAAAGAUAUUACUCAUAUAAAUAGAACAACCAUUAUUCUCUGAUUUAAAUGAAUAACCAUCUCGCAUCAAACAAGAUCCAGAUAUAAUGUUCAUGCUCAACGCAGGCACCAAAUAACAAUUAUUCAGGUCUAAAACUAAUCCCGAUGGUAGAUGUAGAGGUAGCGUGCCGACCGCGAUCACAUCGACUUUGGAACCGUUUCCCACGCGCAUCGUCACCUCGUCCUUGGCCAGUGCUCGCUUAUUCCGCAGUCCCUGUUUCGAGUUGCAAAUAUUAGCAACAGAACCAGGUUCAAAUACCCAGCUGCUACUACGAGCUCUAGUUAGGUACACAUCAAUAACAUGUAUAUCACAUAUACCUUUGUUCACUUUGCCAUCCUUCUUAUCCGCCAAAUACUUGGGGCAGUUCAGCUUCCAGUGGCCAGUCUGCUUGCAGUAGAAGCACUUAGUUUCAGGCUUAGGUCCAGACUUGGGUUUCUUCUCUUGAGCAGCAACUUGCUUGCCGUUCUUUUUGAAGUUCCCCUUCUUCUUCCCUUUGCCCUUCUUCUUGAAACUAGUGGUCUUGUUGACCAUCAACACUUGAUGCUCCUUCUUGAUUUCUACCUCCGCGGCUUCAGCAUCGCGAAGAGCUCGGGAAUAGUCUUGUUCAUCCCUUGCAUAUUAUAGUUCAUCACGAAGCUCUUGUAGCUUGGUGGCAGUGAUUGAAGAAUUCUGUCAAUGACACUAUCAUCAGGAAGAUUAACUCCCAGUUGAAUCAAGUGAUUGUUAUACCCAGACAUUUUGAGUAUAUGUUCACUGACAGAACUAUUCUCCUCCAUCUUGCAGCUAUAGAACUUAUUGGAGACUUCAUAUCUCUCAAUCCGGGCAUUUGCUUGAAAUAUUAACUUCAACUCCUGGAACAUCUCAUAUACUCCAUGACGUUCAAAACGUCGUUGAAGACCCGGUUCUAAGCCGUAAAGCAUGGCACACUGAACUAUAGAGUAGUCAUCAGCUUUGCUCUGCCAGACGUUCUUAACGUCGUCAGUUGCAUCAGCAGCAGGCCUGGCACCCAGCGGUGCUUCCAGGAUGUAACUCUUCUGUGCAGCAAUGAGGAUAAUCCUUAGGUUACGGACCCAGUCCGUGUAAUUGCUACCAUCAUUUUUCAACUUUGCUUUCUCAAGGAACGCAUUAAAAUUCAACGGAACAACAGCACGAGCCAUCUAUCUACAAACAAACAUAGACAAGCAAGAUACUAUCAGGUACUAAGUUCAUGAUAAAUUUAAGUUCAAUUAAUCAUAUUACUUAAGAACUCCCACUUAGACAGACAUCUCUCUAGUCAUCUAAGUGAUCACGUGAUCCAAAUCAACUAAACCAUAACUGAUCAUCACGUGAUAUGGAGUAGUUUUCAAUGGUGAACAUCAUUAUGUUGAUCAUAUCUACUAUAUGAUUCAUGAUCGACCUUUUGGUCUCCGUGUUUCGAGGCCAUAUCUGCAUAUGCUAGGCUCGUCAAGUUUAACCUGAGUAUUCUGCGUGUGCAAAACUGGCUUGCACCCGUUGUAGAUGGACAUAGAGCUUAUCACACCCGAUCAUCACAUGGUGUCUCGGCACGACGAACUUUGGCAACGGUGCAUACUCAGGGAGAACACUACUUGAUAAUUUUAGUGAGAGAUCAUCUUAAAAUGCUACCGUCAAUCAAAUCAAGAUAAGAUGCAUAAAGGAUAAACAUCACAUGCAAUCAAUAUAAGUGAUAUGAUAUGACCAUCAUCAUCUUGUGCUUGUGAUCUCCAUCUCCGAAGCACCGUCGUGAUCACCAUCGUCACCGGCGCGACAUCUUGAUCUCCAUCGUAGCAUCGUUGUUGUUUACGCCAUCUAUUGCUUCUACGACUAUCGCUACCGCUUAGUGAUAAAGUAAAGCAAUUACAGGGCGUUUGCAUUUCAUACAAUAAAGCGACAACCAUAUGGCUCCUGCCAGUUGCCGAUAACUUCGGUUACAAAACAUGAUCAUCUCAUACAAUAAAAUAUAUCAUCACGUCUUGACCAUAUCACAUCACAACAUGCCCUGCAAAAACAAGUUAGACGUCCUCUACUUUGUUGUUGCAAAUUUUACGUGGCUGCUACGGGCUUAGCAAGAACCGUUCUUACCUACGCAUCAAAACCACAACGAUAGUUUGUCAAAUAGACUCCGUUUUAACCUUCGCAAGGACCGGGCGUAGCCACACUCGAUUCAGCUAAAGUGAGAGAGACAGACACCCGCCAGUCACCUUUAAGCACGAGUGCUCGUAACGGUGAAAUCAGUCUCGCGUAAGCGUACGCGUAAUGUCGGUCCGGGCCGCUUCAUCUCACAAUACCGCUGAACCAAAGUAUGACAUGCUGGUAGGCAGUAUGACUUAUAUCGUCCACAACUCACUUGUGUUCUACUCGUGCAUAUAACAUCAACGCAUAAAACCUAGGCUUUGAUACCACUGUUGGGGAACGUAGUAAUUUCAAAAAAAAAUCCUACGCACACGCAAGAUCAUGGUGAUGGCAUAGCAACGAGAGGGGAGAGUGUAUGUCCACGUACCCUCGUAGACCGUAAGCGGAAGCGUUAGCACAACGCGGUUGAUGUAGUCGUACGUCUUCACGAUCCGACCGAUCCAAGCACCGAACGUACGGAGCCUCCGAGUUCAGCACACGUUCAGCUCGAUGAUGUCCCUCGAACUCCGAUCCAGCCGAGUGUCGAGGGAGAGUUCCGUCAGCACGACGGCGUGGUGACGAUCUUGAUGUUCUACCGGCGCAGGGCUUCGCCUAAGCUUCGCGACGAUAUGACCGAGGUGGAAUAUGGUGGAAGGGGGCACCGCACACGGCUAAGGAACGAUCCGUAGAUCAACUUGUGUGUCUAUGGGCUGCCCCCCGCCCCCGUAUAUAAAGGAGCCAGGGGGGAGGAGGCCGCCGGCCUAGGGGGCGCGCCAAGGGGGGGAGUCCUACUCCCACCGGGAGUAGGACUCCCCUUUUCCAAGUUGGAGUAGGAGAGAAGGAGGAAAGAGGGGAGGAGGAGAAGGAAAAGGGGGGGCGCCGCCCCCUUUCCCUUGUCCUAUUCGGACUAGGAGGGGGAGGGGCGCGCGGCCCCCUCCUUGCUCCUUCCUCUUCUCCCUCUUGGCCCAUGUAGGCCCAUUAACCUCCCGGGGGGUUCCGGUAACCUCCCGGUACUCCGGUAAAAUGCCGUUUUCACCCGGAACCAUUCCGAUGUCCAAAUAUAGGCUUCCAAUAUAUCGAUCUUUAUGUCUCGACCAUUCCGAGACUCCUCGUCAUGUCCGUGAUCACAUCCGGGACUCCGAACAAACUUCGGUACAUCAAAACUUAUAAACUCAUAAUAAAACUGUCAUCGAAAACGUUUAGCGUGCGGACCCUACGGGUUCGAGAACUAUGUAGACAUGACCUAAAACCAUUCUCGGUCGAUAACCAAUAGCGUGACCUGGAUGCCCAUAUUGGUUCCUACAUAUUCUACGAAGAUCUUUAUCGGUCAAACCGCAUAACAACAUACUUUGUUCCCUUUGUCAUUGGUAUGUUACUUGCCCGAGAUUUGAUCGUCGGUAUCCAAUACCUAGUUCAAUCUCGUUACCGGCAAGUCUCUUUACUCGUUCCGUAAUACGUCAUCUCAUAACUAACUCAUUAGUUACAUGCUUGCAAGGCUUAGGUGAUGAGUAUUACCGAGAGGGCCCAGAGAUACCUCUCCGACAAUCGGAGUGACAAAUCCUAAUCUCGAAUUAUGCCAACCCAACAUGUACCUUCGGAAACACCUGUAGAGCACCUUUAUAAUCACUCAGUUACGUUGUGACGUUUGGUAGCACACAAAGUGUUCUUCCGGUAAACGGGAGUUGCACAAUCUCAUAGUUGCAGGAACUUUGUAUAAGUCAUGAAGAAAGCAAUAGCAGUAUAUUAAAUGAUCAAGUGCUAGGCUAACAAAAUGGGUCAUGUCAAUCACAUCAUUCUCCUAAUGAUGUGAUCCCACUAAUCAAAUGACAACACAUGUCUAUGGUCAGGAAACAUAACCAUCUUUGAUUAAUGAGCUAGUCAAGUAGAGGCAUACUAGUGACUAUAGUUUUGUCUAUGUAUUCACACAUGUAUCAUGUUUCUGGUUAAUACAAUUGUAGCAUGAAUAAUAAACAUUUAUCAUGAUAUGAGGAAAUAAAUAAUAACUUUAUUAUUGCCCCUAGGGCAUAUUUCCUUCACUAACUUCUCGACCGGUCAUCCAUCCCUCUCACUACUCCAGCCCGAGCACGCUUAACUUUCAGGUUCUAUUCUCCUUCGUUUCCGAGUCUGCACUUGUUGUUUUCCUGACAAUAGUAAGAUGUCAAUCCUAUUAACCCUCAGGAGUUUAGCUUGAGCAUGAAGUCACACAUUUCACCGUUUGAGUUUGAAACUAUUAUUCUAAAAAAACAGUAAUUAUUUAGUAACGCUAAUAUUUCUUGAAUAAGUUUGACCAUAGUUUGACCAUAGUUUGACCAGAUUUGACCAAAAUUCAAAAAAUUGAAAUAAUUAUUUAGUAACACUAAUAUUCUUUGAAUAAUUAAGUAGUAACACUAAUAUUUCUUGAAUAAGUAGUUUGACCAUAGUUUGACCAAAGUUUGACCAGAUUUGACCAAAAUUCAAAAAAACUGAGAUACUUAUUUAGUAACACUAAUAUUAUUACGUAAUUAUUUAGUAACACUCUAUAUUUCUUGAAUCAGUUGUUUGACCGGUUUGACAAGAUUUAACCAAAAUUCAAAAAAACAUAAAUUAGAGCAUAUCUUUUUUUCCUUUUACAAUUUUGUCAUUUCAAAAAUUGUCCUAAACCCUAAACCCGGGACUUAAAACAUCGGAAUCUCUAUGCUAAAUAGUAAAAACUAAGGGUUUAAACCAUAAAACCUAACCCCAAACUCUGAAAUCUAAACCCUAGCACUAAACGCUAAAAACGUCUAAAAACGUCCAAAACGCCCAAAAACUCUAUUUUCCCUUUGGAAUUUUGUGAUUUUCAAAAAUUGUCGAAACGGAAAACUGGCUAGCCAAUCGAGCAGUUACCAGUUAACGAUUUCCUCAACAAUGGUUGUAAGAGAACUCCGCAUACGGUAGACUUUUAUCCCAACUAGUACCAUACUGCAAUGCACAAGCUCUCAACAUAUCUUCAAGAAUUUGAUUGAGCCUUUCUGUCUGUCCAUCAGUCUGAGCAUGAUAUGUUGUACUGAAAUUCAACUUCGUUCCCAAAGAUUUAUGCACUUUCUGCCAAAAGAUGGACGUGAACUGCGUACCUCUAUCAGACACAAUCUUCUUAGGAACUCCAUGCUGACAUACUAUUCUUUCCAUGUAUAGCUCUGCCAAUCUUGCCCCGCUAUAAGUAGUCUUGACAGGCAAAAAGUGAGCGACUUUAGUGAGACGAUCCACUAUUACCCAUAUAGAAUCAUAACCUUGUUGAGUGUGUGGUAAUCCCACUAUAAAGUCCAUUCCGACUUCUUCCCAUUUCCACUCAGGAAUCUUCAUUGGUUGCAACAAACUAGCGGGUCUCUGAUGCUCAGUCUUUACCCUCUGACAAGUGUCACAUAUAGCUACAUACUCAGCCACAUCUCUUUUCAAUCCAUACCAGCAGUAAUUCUCCUUAAGAUUUAGAUACAUCUUAGUACUUCCAGGAUGGAUAGAAUAGGCCAACUCAUGUGCUUCACGCAAAAUUGUAUCAUGAAUGGCUUUCACCUCAGGCACACAUAUCCUUUUCACAAAACAUAAGGUUCCAUUCUCAUCUAUUAUGAAGCCAGGUGCUUUACCAAUCACCACAUUCUCAGCUAUCUCCUUUAGCUUUUCAUCUUCUAGCCAACCCUUACGUAUUUCUUGCUCCAACGUAGGAAUCACUUUUAUCUCCAUAGCACUAGCAACAAUACCAAGAUUCAGAUGUUGCAACUCCGCAUACAACUCUUCUGCCUCUGGUCUCAACUUACGAUUGUUGUCAUAUUUCUUCCUACUAAGAGCAUCAGCUACAACAUUCGCCUUACCUGGAUGAUAAUGUACCUCCGGUUCAUAAUCCUUGAUUAACUCUAGCCCGCGAAGUUGUCUUAAAUUCAAACAUGUCUGAGUGAAUAUAUACUUCAAGCUCUUAUGAUCGGUGUAGAUAUCACUCUUGUGACCAAUCAGAUAGUGUCUCCAGAUCUUCAAUGCAUGCACCGCAGCUGCUAGCUCCAGAUCACGAGUAGGAUAAUUUAACUCAUGCUUCCUCAACUGUCUCGAUGCAUGCGUCGGUGGUGGUGACCUCAUGUCCGCUUGCACCGUGUUCGAUGAAACGCCAACGAGGGUCAAAAGCUUCAAACCGCAUCGGCAUCGCUCGGGUACACGCUGGAGUGCUGGAUGUGAUGCUUGGCCAUCUCCAACUCACGAGCGUGUAAGAGAGAAAUCAUGAGACAGUAAUGAUUUACUUUGGUUUUGCAAUGUUUUUAUUUUAAAAAUAGUUGGUUUAUCUUUGUAAAAUAGUUAUUUACAUGAGAAUUAUUGAACAAAAUAGUUUUUAAAGAGCAAUUUGCAUUCAAGCAGUCUUCAUUCUUAACGAAGCUACGAGUUCACAUUUGCUCUAACCAAAAGGUCUUCAGUUUUUGCCACCACAGGAGCCUUGUAUUAGCUCUUGCGGUGCGAACGGGAGCUCGGAUGUCCGUGCGACUAAGCUGAUCUAUGAAAGUGGCCUUGGUGAUCCUGUGCCCCGGUUGGUAGGUUGGGAGACAGCAGGGAUGCAAACCAGCGCCAACGAUGGGCGAAGAUUGCACGACGGAUGAGCGGCGCUAGAGAUGGAAAAUCUGCUGGAGCAGUUUAGGUGAAAGGAUAAAGAUGUAGUUUUCAUUUUUUUUUCUAAUAAUGAAAGUCAGACUCACUGUAAAGAUCGACGUGGGCUUAACUUUAUGGAACUGGGCCUUAUGACACGUAGGGCCCAUCUGAAGCUUCUAGAGGUGUUAAUCCUGUGGUUGAGAAUGUGUGUGACAAAGCCUGUGUUUGAAGGCAAGAAUCGCAGGGGUGAUUGGGAAGAACACUAAACAGGACAAUUUACAGUACAACAUGAGCAUCUCCAUUAAAAGGCAGCACUUUUCUUUAUCCAAUGUUAGUACUUAGCUAAAGUGAUGAUAACUUUUACUAUGUAUAGAUUGAUAACUUGAUUAAUUCAUGCAGUAUAACAUUCUUGUAGACUGAAAAAUGUACCUUUUUUGCAAUGCAUCUUCCAUUGUAUGAGAGAAUGAUUUUUGUGGUUAAUAAAGGUUCCUCUCUCCUUUAUUUUGUCUUUAUUUUUACAUGGUAGAACAGAAAAUCCGUGUUUAGUGUAGCAAGGGAAUGGGGUAUUUUUUUGGGUACUCUGUUUUGUUGCAUGAAGCUGGUAACAAAAACUACGGGGGGCUGGUAAUUUUUGCACUUAGUUGAUUGGUAACUCACUGCAAUAGGCAAAAUUAUGUUUUCUAGUGGUGAAAGGAUGGUAAUUUUUGCACAGAUUGGGAGGGGGGUCUGGUGGGCGUGGGGUAAGUCUUUGUAUUAAGCAGAAUUUUUUUGGAGAUCUUUGGAUGAGUCUUUGAUUCUUACCAGGGUGAGGUGAUGUUGCCUGGUGAUUUCCUCGCCGUAUCCCUGGUAAUUUCCAGCGCUCCCCUGAUGGAUCUGCUCUUGUUUGAUCCAGAUCUAGAGGAGGGGUAGGUCUUUGCUGUUGAUUUUGAGCAGCUNNNNNNNNNNNNNNNNNNNNNNNNNNNNNNNNNNNNNNNNNNNNNNNNNNNNNNNNNNNNNNNNNNNNNNNNNNNNNNNNNNNNNNNNNNNNNNNNNNNNNNNNNNNNNNNNNNNNNNNNNNNNNNNNNNNNNNNNNNNNNNNNNNNNNNNNNNNNNNNNNNNNNNNNNNNNNNNNNNNNNNNGAGGGUAUACUUGCGUGGAAGGUAGGGGGGGGGGGAAGUUGCGAUCUGGAAAUUGCUGUCGUGGGGGGAUGGCAUUUUCUGUUGGGCCUUGUACAGCGAUUGGCCUUGUUAGCUAACAGGGUGGUCGGCCUGUUUAGCUGGCGGGGUGGCGGGUGAUCGACAGGUAAGGUAAGUUUUCUAUCGGGCACACUGUUGCCAAAUAUCGCUGUCCAUAAACUAUAUGUCCAAUACUUGCACUCACGGGCAUUUUUGCUACUAUUAAUAAAUUGGUAAAAAUCAGAGAAUGCGAGGCCUGGCCAAAUGGGCCGGCCCGGCCUGGGUUAAACGGGCCCGAACCCCUCUUGCCCUCUCUCCUAUAAAAGCUGUGCUUUUACCCCCGCACUCCAUCGCCUCGCCGCCGUUCCCCGCAACACCCUGUCGACCCAAUCUCACAUCCUCCUCUCGCCCGCCCGAGGUGAGCACUUGUAGUUCCUCUGGAUUGGUUGGUAGGCGCUGGUUCGUAGGUCUCGGAUCCAGCCAGCGUGGUCUCCCUCCGCGUGCAUCCGGAGUUUCUCGUUCCGAUUGUGGUUGGUAGGCGCGGCGCGGCGCGGGUUCAUAGGUGUCGGAUCCAGCGCCGUCUGUAUCCUAUUCGUAUGUGGAACCUCGGCUAGGAUAGGAUUUAAUUAGUUAGGUUUUGUAUUAGGGUAACACCACCUAGGGUUCGAUUGAUUAUCCGUAACAAGGAAUCAAUCUGACGUUUUAGUUAGGGUUUGCUUGGUUGGUUGUGGUCAGAUUUUGGUUUCUCAUGAAUUCUUCAACUGUGCCUGUCGCGAUUUUGGGCGGAAAUUGAUGAUUGAUUUCGGGGGCAAAAUCCGAGGUAAUUUGUGGAUGAAAGAUGGGGAAACUUGGGGAAACCAAGCAAAUCCAUGGAUCAAAAUCAACAAAACUUCAUCAUGCCAACAAAUCACAAAAAAAAUUUGGUGGGGAAAUUUCGAAUUAGGACGAAAAACAACAAGAUCAAAGCUAGAAAACGAAUAUUAAUUUGGAUGGAAUUCAUGCUAUGUUGUUCGAUUUCAGUUUAUGCCUGCCAGAAUGUUUAAUUUUUUGUUUUAUCAACUGUGUUUGAGCGUACUAGAUUUUUUGUUGCAUAUUCAUCUUCUUGCUCUGUUUGGAUAGGUAACAAUUAAUAUUUGGGAUCCUAAAAUAUUUAUGCACUGGCAGCACUUAACCUGCAGCUGCUGAUUAAUGUUGUAUUCAUAUGUGCUGCUUUCCAGCUCUCUUGUUUCGAUAGGUAUUUGGUUAUCGUUUGGGUCUAUUUAUUAUCGUUUGUAAAUGCUGGUUUGGUUUUCUGUGCUCACUAUCCCCUUGCACAUGGGAUGCAAUUUUUUUAUUUCCCUGCUGUUUAGUUUAUUGUUUCCUUUGAUGGUAAAGAGGCAUUAAUUCUGGAGAUAGAUGCAAUUUUCUUGCUCACAAUAAUACAAUGAAUGAUGGCAUCUCUAUCUACUUUAACCAAAUUAUAUCAUAUUCCCCCCUCUGUUAAUUAUUUUUCUGUUUUGGGUAUUCAUUCAUUUUGUUUAGUUGCCUAUCAGUAUAAAUACAUGGCUGCAUUGCUUUCACUUCAUAUUAAUAACUAUUCUGUCGCACAAUGCAAAUAUACAUAUGCUGUCCUAACUAAUUAAGUAGAAGCUUGGAUUGGUGCUGUAUGGUCUCUUCCUGACAUUAAAUCCUCCUCUGUUUGUGCUGUCUGUUUCUGCUGCUGCAGUCUUCUUCGCCGCCAAAAGGAAAUGAUGCUCUACAAAAUCCGCUCCCAUGCCCAAAUCCAAGACCUGCAGGCCCGCUCCGAUGAGCUGGGCCUCUCCAAUAAGUCCAUGCUUGUGAGUCUUGUCUCUCUGGAGUCGGUGCGCAUAGCGUGGGAGUCGUAUGCGCUCCUCCGCCCGCUGAUCAAGGAGUCGUGGAUUUGGGUAUGCCCGCAGCUGGAAAUCCUCUCGGACGUGGCAGGCUUGUCGCUGGAAAUCCAAAAGCUCGAGCAUGAUGUGUUACCCCAGCUCAAGCUUCAGGAGGCUAAGCUGGAAAGGGGCGCCCUGGAAGCCCUCCUACUCAUGAAGAACUCAGCUGUUGCGCUCUUACAUUUGAGGAAGUGCUUUAAGGAAGACUUGGGCGUAUUGCUUGCCAAGGAGGAUCUGGUCUCAGCCAAAGUCAAAAGGCUGAGCAAAAUGCUAAAGUAUAUUGCUGUCCGGUUGCUUCAGGAGCGUGAAUGCAACAUUGUCGGGCUUCAGGAGCGUGUCCGGUUGCUGGUCCAGCUGGUCACCGAGGUGUUGAACACCCCGGUUCAUUUCGAUGAUUCUGAUGAGUCUUCUGAUGAGUCUUCUGAUGAGUAGACUUAUCAGCCAGCUCGAGACUGUUGUGAUGAGUGUUUCUUAGGGGCGUGGCAAACAGUUUAGAAUCGAAUGUUGCGAUGUAUUUCUUGUAACCUCCUUUAUGUUUGGAUGUGUUAUUAAUGGAUUUUAAAUUUUAUGUAUUUUGGGUAGUGUUUUCUCAUUCUGUGCUAGUAGGUACAGUCACAUGGAGGUAUUCGCUCUUUUUGGGGAAUAUAUGCCAAAAGAAUAUACUCCCUCCGUUCUUAAAUAUUUGUCUUUCUAGAGAUUU